UCUGGUUCAAGAGAGAGAGAGUGAGCCACAUAAUCUUGUUUUCUUACUCUAGCAAACCAAGAACAACAAUCAAGAGAGAAAAAUCUGAAUUAGUGAGAGAGUUCCUACAACUCCAAGUGUUUGAUCCAAGCUUGAAGACUUACUUUGGUGAAGUGAUUUUGGUGAUUCAAGCUCACUAUAAGAGAGGUAUAUGUUCUUUAAAUCCUUGUUUUUGAUGAUAGAUCAUGCACUUGAAAGUGUUAAUAGCAAAGAUACAAGUUGUUUGGUUGAGAUGUUGAGUUAGUUUCUUGAAGUAAACAAGUAGUAGCUAGGUUUCUUAGUAUGUAUACCAAGUGUUUGAUGAAAUGUUUGAUUCUUAUUCAUGUUUGUUUAUGAGGUAUUAUUAUGUUUUAAACCUCUUUUGAGCUAGAACUACCACUUGAUAUGAUGAUUGAGUAGAAAACAUGUAAGGAUGAAGAUUGAACAAAUGUUGAAAAGUGUGGCUGGUUGCUUUGUCUAGGCUGGCCGGUUCUUGUAGGAGGGAUUUUCCCUCAAUCUUGUUGUUAAAUUUGUCCUAAUCAAGCCUAAUAAACUAGGUUAAAUAUUGGUUAAGCCUAUGAGCAAGUUGGAAUGGAGUUGAAGCAAGUAAAGUGGUGAUUUUGAACCAUUAGUAGACUGUUUUAGGACUCUUGUAGUUAUGGGAUCAUUAUGGCUACCUUAAAUCAUGUUGUAUGUUAUAUUGUGAACUCCAUUGAUUCUAAGUGACUUGAAUCCUUGUAUAUGAUCACUUGAGGAGUGAAUUGGGUGAAUUUGAAUCAAAACUAAUGAAGUUAGCCCUAGAACUAGAGUAGUUUGGUAUAGGAUUAAUGUUGAUCCAGGGUUGGAAAAACAGCCACCUUGUCUGAAUUACUGUUGUUGAUAGGAGAUGAACCACGGUGUGAGCUUGGUACCGUUGGAAAGCCCUUCGAGUCUAGUUUCCAACGCCACUGACGGCACCUAAUUUCGACUUUUCUACAGUGAGUUAUGACCGUUUUCCUAAGACUGCCAGGGCAUGACUGUGCAACCCGAGAAGAAAUCCUUAAGCAUAAUUGGAACUUUUCUUUUGCCAAACUUUCAUGCACCUACUAAACUUGUUUUCUCAUGAACUUUUACCAUGGUUUGGACCUUGUUUGCAUGACGGAUUAAGUAGCUUAGACUACUCACUUGGUCUCUUAUUAAGCCUAACCUAGUGGGGCAUGAAUCUAAUUGUUAACGAUUUCACUCGUUGCCCUAGGUUUGGGAAACGAAGGUGACCGUAACUAAGACGUUUGACAUCGAUUGCUUCUUUUGAUUGACAGGUGAGUGUUCCACUACCUGCUACCUGCUUAUGUGAAAUAUUUGAAUACUUGAUUUACGACUGUUUGAGCCAAACCCUGAUUUGAUAAAAGUGGAGGCGAGGUGUACUUUAUCGCACUCGUCCUCCUUCAUUUUCACUGAGGCUCUGUAUACUGUUAUUGUGAAAUGUGAAUUCUCUAUAUGUGACUGUGCUUGAGUUGUUUGGGUGAAUCCCAUCAACUACUACUACUGUUUGGGUACCCAACCUCAUAGGUGAGUCGGUUCUAUCGAGCCAGCAAGGGCUUGGUCGAGAAGGCCGAUAAACCUUGAGGACUGUUUACUGUUCACUGAAACCGGUAUACUCGAGUAUUACCUAACUACUGUUUAUGAAGUGCGGGCCCGGUGGGGGGUUGAUUGGUGGACGGAGGCAGGUGAAAGUGGUGUUCUACGGACUAAAUAUUCUGUGUAUACAAGUGUUGACGGAGUGUCAACGAAGACAUUUAUGAUCAAGCUCAAGGGAAUUUUGGCUUUUGAAAGCCACCCGUAUCCUUGAAUUGAAUUGUGGAUUAAUUGUUAUUGUAUCAUCAGGUAUUUACUUGAUUAUCUAUGCCUUAAUUUGACUAUGUGUUUACUUGUUUACUUGGAACCUCACUGAGCUUUAGCUCACCCCACUCCCUUUGUUUUCCUUAACAGAUCGGGGAUGGACUAACGGUCAAGAGCUUUCUUAGCUUUGUUUUGCUUGAACUUGUAACUUUUGUUAAGAUGACUUUACCUUUUACUUUUGUAAGCUUGAAUUUCUAAGUUUGACUUAUGUUAUGUAAUUCGUAGUAUGAAUGGUAAGUGUGACUCUUAGCUUGCCGUAUUAAGUUUGGAAAGUUGAUUGAUAGUUAUGUGUUAUUAGGGUUGUAUAAUUUAAUUUGAAGUUAUUUUCCCAGUUAUUUUGAGUUGCUAGUUCUUUGAUCGACUGAGUCCCGGCGAGAGCUGGGCAGGCAGUCCGCUGAUACCCUAGGGUUCGCCUAGGGAGAGGUGGGGCUGUCACAGUUGGUAUCAGAGCCUAGGUUUGAAUUAGCCUGGGCGAAUUAGAAAUUUCCGACUUAAGGAUUAUAUUUCAUUAUUUUCCCUUAAGAGUACUAAAGUUUAUCUACACUUUUGUGUAGGAUGGACGGACCUAGCGGCCAUAGUGAUAGUCCUGUUGGUGAGAAGCCCAAGGAGCCUUCCCGUGAUUAAGUAUCAAAUCCGGCCUGGAGGAUCUAGAGUUUAUUGGAGCCCGUCAAACCGCUAUAGGCGUUGCGAGUGCCGUCAUAUUUAUGCUACCCUAAUGAAGUGUAUUGGCGGUGGUAAAAGAGCGUAAGGAGCUUGCCAGGGAUAAUGCUAGGCUUGAAGCCGAAGUGAAGCAACUAAAGGAAGCCAAUAAGAUGCAAGCCGAGCGAUUAAGAGCUCGAGUAUGAUAAUGUUGAGGGCCAAGAGAGGAUUGACGAUCUUUGCGCACAGUUGGAGGAAACUCAAGAACGCAUGGUGACUAGGACAAUGAAGGUGAGGACUAGGGCGGAGUCCAUUCUGAAUGUUUGUGACGACCUUCUAGGAGAAGCAAGUGAUGAGGCUUCUUAUAUGGAUAUUGGUCAGAAGAUGAACCUACUGAGAGUGGGGGUCAGCUAGUCCCGCCACUGACUAGGUCUUCACCAUUUGGCUAGGAUAGUGGAUGAUUUUGACAUUGUACAUAGACAGGUUAGGGGAUGUGGUGACCUGGUGGUUGUAUAGCUCCUUUUGACUACUUGUGUUAGGUUUUGCUUGAUAUGACUAUAUCUGUACUUUUGAGGGCUCGUACUUUCUAUUGUGGUCUCGUUAUCUUGUAAAUGACUACUAUGAGCCUUUUAAUGUAUAAUACUUUGACUGUUGACCUUGAUCUUUGACUGUUGACUGUUGACUGUUGACUGUUGACUUACUUUUGACUUUGACUUUAUUCCGUCAUUAAUUUUAACUGCGGUGCAUUUCACUUGCUUAUCGUGAUUCCAAUCUUGAUUUCUUAUUGACUUUUCAUUAUAGUAAUCAUCUUUCGUAUAUCAUAUUCGCUCACCCGGUUAGUUGUCAUACUUGGGCACUAGGCCACUGAGUAAUAAUGGAGACGAGACAAAGACGUACUCGGGGCCGUGGACGAGAACCCAGGCAAGUCCAAGAUCAAGGGGAGGAACAAGGUUCGGUGGCGAAUCAAAACCAGGAACCCCGAGGUGAUGGAGGGGACCAAGUAGCAACAGCUAUUAAUCGAAUGACUGAUUUGUUGGCCCGCUUGGUUGACCAGCAGGGUCAAGUACCUGGUAACCAACAAAGGGACCCCGAAGUAGGCGAGGAUAGGGCCCUGGAGCGGUUUCAAAAGUUUGCUCCUCCAAAAUUUCUUGGAGGACCUGAACCUGAAGUUGCCGAGAAUUGGUUCGAGCGAAUGGAGGAUAUAUUCGCCGCGUUGCAUUACUCUGAAGAGAGGCAAGUUACCUUCGCCGUUUUCCAGCUGGAAGGCGCGGCCCGUUCCUGGUGGAACGUAGUAAGGGCCAAGUGGGAAAGGGAGCAAACCCCACGUACCUGGUUAAACUUCACGAGGGAAUUCAAUGAGAAAUUCCUUCCACCCUUAAUUCAGGAGAAAAGGGAGGAUGAGUUCAUUAAACUGCGCCAAGGCACUUCAAGUGUGGCAGAGUAUGAACGCAGUUCACCCGACUUUCCAAGUUUGCCCCAGAAUUGGUGUAAGUGAGCAAAAGCGUAUAAGGCGGUUUAUACAAGGUUUGAAUGUAGAAAUCCAAAAGGAUUUAGCUGCCGCUCAAAUUGACACCUUUAAGGAUGCGCUUGAAAAGGCUCAACGUGUGGAGCAGGCCCGAUCUCAAGUUCGGACCUUUCAGGCUAAGAGCGUGGUGCAUCUACCAGUACUCCUGGCCGAAGUGAUCAGAAUGUGCCACCUCCGAAGUUUGGAAGGGUACGAGUGGAGCCCGAAUUGCGGGGACACCAAGAGGUGGAGCUUCAUCUAGAGGAGCUCAAGGGGAAGGGGACAGGGACAACAGAGAACUGUCUCCCUAGGAGUUCCCGCACCCACCACACGUGUAAGCUGUGGAUAUUGUGGUAAGCCAAAUCAUACCGAAGACAAUUGCUGGAAAAAGUUGAAAAAGUGCCUUGUUUGUGGAAGUUCUGAACACCAGAUUGCCACUUGCCCUGUUAAGAAUCGUGACGGGAACGGGGUACCCAGUCGGAAAAGUCAAACCCUAAGCAACCUACCGCCAGUGCUAGUCGACCCAAAACCUCUGCUAGGGUUUUUGCUUUGGACCACCGAGUUCCGGAUUCCUCGGAAGUAGUGGAAGGUACGAUCCCUAUAUUCCACCGCUUAGCUAAACUUUUGAUUGACCCUGGGGCAACCCAUUCUUUUGUGAAUCCUGCCUUUAUGUGUGGUAUUGCUGUGAAUCCUGUUAAGUUGCCAUAUGAUUUAGAAGUGAAAACACCCACUGGGAUCAAAGCCUGAUUACCAAUAUGGUCUAUAAAAAUUGAGAUUUGGGUAGGAGAACGGAAGUUAGUGGGUGACUUGAUAAGUUUAGACCUUAAGGGAUACGAUGUAAUUAUAGGCAUGGAUUUGCUAGCCCGUUAUAACGCCCAAUUGAACUGUAAAACAAAGGUGGUAGAAUUCUCGAUACCCGGAGAGGCAACUUUAUGGUUGGACGUGAGAGGUAGGUUAGCCUCGUCUGCACUUGUUUCGGGAAUCCGAGCCAGAAAGUUGUUGAGUAAGGGGGCGCAAGGCUACUUAGCCUUCUUAAUUAAUACUCCUGGAGAUAAAGUGAAACUGGAGGAUGUUUUAGUAGUGAAUGAAUUUCCUGAUGUCUUUCCCGAUGAGUUGAAAUCGAUGCCAUCAGAAAGGGAAAUAGAAUUUAAGAUCGAUUUAGUACCUGGAACUGCUCCCAUUGCAAAAACGCCAUACCGAAUGGCCCCCGCCGAACUUAAAGAGUUGAAACUGCAGUUACAAGAUCUGUUAGAACGAGGGUUUAUUCGAGAAAGUGAGUCACCGUGGGGCACCAGUGUUUAUUUGUUAAGAAAAAGGAUGGUAGUUUAAGACUGUGCAUUGACUAUCGUGGCCUAAAUGAUGUUACGGUGAAAAAUAAAUAUCCCUUACCACACAUUGAUGAAUUGUUUGACCAACUACAAGGGCAGUAGUUUUCUCUAAGUUGGACUUGAGGCAAGGCUACUACCAGUUACGAAUUAGGCAAGAGGAUAUACCGAAGACUGCCUUUAAUUCCAGAUAUGGUCAUUUUGAGUUCGCUGUGAUGCCUUUGGUUUAACGAAUGCCCCUGCUGCAUUUAUGGAUUUAAUGCAUCGAGUCUUUAAACCCUACUUGGAUCAAUUUGUUGUAGUAUUUAUCGAUGAUAUUUUGGUGUAUUCCAAGACUCGAGAGGAACACGAACGGCAUUUGAGGAUAGUUUUGCAGACCUUAAGGGAACAUCAGUUAUUUGCCAAGUUUAGCAAAUGCGAGUUUUGGUUGGAGCAAAUUUCUUUUCUAGGGCAUAUAAUAUCUAAAGAUGGAAUUUCUGUGGAUCCAGUGAAAGUGGAGGCUGUAGCUGAGUGGAAACACCCGGAAACCCCGACUGAGGUCCGUAGUUUUCUAGGUUUAGCCGGGUAUUACCGUCGGUUUAUCAAAGAUUUCUCCAAGUUAGCCGGUCCUUUAACCGACUGACCAAAAGCAUGGUCAAUUUGUCUGGAAUUCUAAGUGUGAAUCUAGUUUUCGGGAAUUGAAGAAAAGGUUAACGUCGGCACCUGUUUUAGCUUUACCAAAUGGGAGAGAUAGUUUUAUUGUAUAUACGGAUGCCUCAAGGGAAGGUUUGGGAUGUGUUCUAAUGCAAAAUGGGAGUGUAAUUGCCUAUGCCUCUAGGAAGUUAAAACCCCAUGAGCGAAAUUACCCCACUCAUGAUUUAGAAUUGGCCGCUGUAGUUUUUGCAUUAAAGAAGUGGAGGCAUUACUUGUAUGGAGUGACUUUUGAGGUGUAUACCGACCAUAAGAGUUUGAAAUACCUAUUCUCUCAGAAGGAGUUAAACUUGAGACAGCGUCGGUGGGUGGAAUUUCUUGAGGAUUAUGACUGUACAAUUAACUAUCACCCAGGCAAGGCUAAUGUUGUAGUGGACGCUUUAAGCCGACAAGUGCAAAUAGCUGGAUUGAUGGCUAAGGAAUGGAAUUUGCUGGAGGAAGUGAGUGAAUGGAACCCGCGAUUAGACCGACAGAGGGUAAUUUUCUGCAAUAUUACAGUAAGAUCUGAAUUGUUGGACCGCAUUAAAGAAGCUCAAAGGAAUGACGGAUGGUGCAAAAGUGGAUAGGAGAAGUACAAAAAAAGGAGUUACAAGACUUUAACAUAAGCUCUGAAGGUAUCUUGAAAUUUCAAGAUCGAAUAGUGGUACCACAAGAUGAGGUGAUAAAAAGGGAUAUUUUGGAAGAGGCACAUCGGUCCAAGUAUACAGUACAUCCUGGAAGUAACAAAAUGUACCAAGAUUUGAAAAGGUUAUAUUGGUGGGAUAAGAUAAAGAAAGAAAUUGCUCAGUUUGUCCAAAAAUGUUUGGUUGUGUGCAACAAGUGAAAGUUGAGCAUCAAAAGCCUUCAGGUCUUCUGCAACCUCUGGAGAUCCCUGGGUGGAAAUGGGAACAUAUUACUAUGGAUUUUGUAUCGGGAUUACCCCGUACCCAGAAAGGUCACGACACCGUUUGGGUAAUAGUAGACAGGUUGACCAAGUCUGCUCAUUUCUUACCCAUAAAUAUGAAAUAUUCUAUGGAGAAAUUGGCCCAACUUUACAUGGAUGAGAUAGUGAGGUUACAUGGGAUCCCUGUAAGCAUUGUGUCUGAUAGAGACCCACGAUUUGUGUCUCGUUUUUGGCAACAAUUACAAGGAACUUUAGGGACCAAGCUGAAUUUUAGUACUACCUAUCAUCCCCAAACUGAUGGACAAUCGAGAGGACCAUUCAAACACUUGAAAAUAUGUUGAGGACCUGUAUUCUAGAUUUUGGUGGAAGUUGGGGACAAUACAUGGCUCUGGUUGAAUUUGCAUACAAUAAUAGUUACCAUUCUUCAAUACAAAUGGCACCGUAUGAAGCUCUCUAUGGAAGAAAGUGCCGAUCACCAAUAUUUUGGGAUGAAGUAGGAGAGAGAAGAGUUUUAGACCCAGUUGCAGUACCAUGGAUCGAGAAUGCGUAUGAGAAAGUGAAAGUGAUACGUCAGAGGCUUCAGACAGCGCAAAGUCGACAAAAGAGCUACGCUGAUAAUCGACGAAAGGACUUGGAGUUUGAGGUUGGGGACAAGGUAUUCUUGAAGGUUACGCCACUUCAAAGUCUCACGGCAGGAAAAGGAAAGAAGCUCCAUCCAAGAUACGUAGGACCCUUCAAAAUCCUUCAACGAGUUGGAAACGUGGCAUAUCGAUUGGAGUUACCAACAAGUCUAUCCAGGGUUCAUGAUGUAUUUCACGUGUCCAUGUUGAAAAAGUACCAUCCAGAUCCCACUCAUAUACUGAAACCAGAGGAAAUUGACAUUGAUGAAUCUCUAACCUACGAGGAAAGACCAGUGCAAAUCUUAGAUCGAAAAGUGAAGGAAUUGAGGACUAAGCAAAUACCCUUGGUAAAGGUCUUGUGGAGAAACCAUGAGGUGGAGGAAGCUACUUGGGAAGUGGAAGAGGACAUUCGCACCAAAUACCCUAAGCUAUUCAAUGAUGAAGGUGAGAAUUUCGAGGACGAAAUUCUUUAAGGGGGAGAGAGGGUGAGAACCCUCAUUUUUAAAACACAAUUUCCUCAAAUUAAUUGCCUUAUUCUAGGAUUUAAAUCAUAUAUUAUAUGCCAUUACAUUUGCUUUUCUAGGUGUUACAAUAAUUUUCAUGCAUUACACUUCAUUCCUUUUACUUGUAGUAAAGCAUUUUUUUUUAGAGUUAAUUUUAAAUAUACACCACUUACAUUUUACCAAGUGUCUUUAUAUUAGUGGUAGAAAUCUUACAUGUAGGAUUAUAGGUGCUAAAAUAUGAUUGGUGCACUUGGAAAGAUUAGUUAGGAGUGUUAAAGUAUUAUUGGUGCACUUGGAAAGGUUAGUUAGAGGUGUUAAAAUAUUAUUGGUGCAUUUGGAAAGAUUAGUUAGAGGUGUUAAAGAAUGAUUGGUGCAUUUGGAAAGGUUAAGACACCAUUAGUCAAAGAUUAAGAAAGAAUUGGACAAGUAAGUGGACAUGUGGCUAAACUUUAGCCAAGUAUCUUAUUGGAACCAAGAUUAGAAGACUAUAUAAACAGCCAAAGCCUUCUUUUUUUCUUGAGUGCUGGCCGAAAUUCUGGUUCAAGAGAGAGAGAAAAAGUGAGCCACAUAAUCUUGUUUUCUUACUUUAGCAAACCAAUAACAACAAUCAAGAGAGAAAAAUCUGAAUUAGUGAGAAAGUUCCUACAACUCCAAGUGUUUGAUCCAAGCUUGAAGACUUACUUUGGUAAAGUGAUUUUGGUGGUGCAAGCUCACUAUAAGAGAGGUAUAUGUCCUUUAAAUCUUGGUUUUUGAUGAUAGAACAUGCACUUGAAUUGUUAAUAGCAAAGAUAUAAGUUGUUUGGUUGAGAUGUUGAGUUAGUUUCUUGAAGUAAACAAGUAGUAGCUAGGUUUCUUAGUAUGUAUACCAAGUGUUUGAUGAAAUGUUUGAUUCUUAUUCAUGUUUGUUUAUGAGGUAUUAUUAUGUUUUAAACCUCUUUUGAGCUAGAACUACCACUUGAUAUGAUGAUUGAGUAGAAAACAUGUAAGGAUGAAGAUUGAACAAAUGUUGAAAAGGGUGGGCUGGUUGCUUUGUCUAGGCUGGCCGGUUCUUGUAGGAGGGAUUUUCCCUCAAUCUUGUUGUUAAAUUUUGUCCUCAUCAAGCCUAAUAAACUAGGUUAACUAUUGGUUAAGCCUAUGAGCAAGUUGGAAUGGAGUUGAAGCAAGUAAAGUGGUGAUUUUGAACCAUUAGUAGACUGUUUUAGGAUUCUUGUAGUUAUGGGAUCAUUAUGGCUACCUUAAAUCAUGUUGUAUGUUAUAUUGUAAACUCCAUUGAUUCUAAGUGACUUGAAUCCUUGUAUAUGAUCACUUGAGGAGUGAAUUGGGUGAAUUUGAAUCAAAACUAAUGAAGUUAGCCCUAAAACUAGAGUAGUUUGGUAUAGGAUUAAUGUUGAUCCAGGGUUGGAUAAACAGCCACCUUGUCUGAAUUACUUUUGUUGAUAGGAGACGAACCACGGUGUGAGAUUGGUACCGUUGGAAAGCCCUUCGAGUCAAGUUUCCAACGCCACUGACAGCACCUAAUUUUGACUUUUCUACAGUGAGUUAUGACCGUUUUCCUAAGACUGCCAGGGCAUGACUGUGCAACCCGAGAAGAAAUCCUUAAGCAUAAUUGGAACUUUCUUUUGCCAAACUUUCAUGCACCUACUAAACUGUUUUCUCAUUAACUUUUUACCAUGGAUUGGGCCUUGUUUGCAUGAUGGAUUAAGUAGCUUAGACUACUCACUUGUCUCUUAUUGAGCCUAACCUAGUGGGACAUGAAUCUAAGUGUUAACGAUUUCACUCGUUGCCCUAGGUUUGGGAAUGAACCGUGCAUGUCAUAAGUGUAAGGAUCAUUAUCAUGGGACUUGAGGAAGUUAGGUAUGUAUGUCGGGUAGGAAUCUUUAAUAUGGACAAUUUACGCUUGGGACCGGCCGGCUCGAGUUGUGAAUUAUCUUAGAUGGGAUUCUUGCGCCCGGAUACGAAAGAGAUGAAAGCCUAGGUUAGAAAGGAUUGGGUGAACUAGAAAUGUGAUUCUAUGGAACUUCGUGUGGUUUGUUCGGGUGUGGUUAAGCGUGAUUAACCUUGAUUAAGAUAUAAAUGGUGUUGCUCUUGUAGACUAUGGAUGGAGCCCUAGAGAGGGAAAAGUUUUUCGUGAGUUCUUUUGUACUCGUGACCUAGUCUGUCUAUAGUACUUUUGGAGGACCCUUUUGUUUCAUGGGAUGACUUUGUAUGUACUUGAUUGACUGUUCUGUAUAAUUGCUUGAUCUGGUUAUGUGUUCUCUGUAUAUGUGUUAUGUGUUUAAAUGCUCCACGAGAUAGUGGUUCUAGUUACUUGUUCUUGUUUAAUUGUUCCUGUCUAGUGCUACGAAAAGGAGGGUUAUGUGCCCAUUAACAGUAUAUUUAUUUUGUGAUCUAGAUUGACUUAGAUUGAUGGAAGGCACUCGUAGUGGUCGAGGCCGUGGACGUGGGGGUAGGCAACCCACGCCUGAAAGGGGCACUGGAGAAACCUCAUCUGGCCCUAACCCUGAAUCUAGGGUUGAUCCUAACAUCCAAAUAGCGGCUGCCAUGCAGCAAAUGACUAAUUUACUAGCCCAAGUGGUGCACCAACAGGGUCAAAACCCUUAUUCUAACCCUGGAAACCCUGGCAACCACGUCGAGAGCGACGACAGGGAACUUGAAAGAUUCCAGAAGUUUUCUCCACCGAAGUUCGUUGGGGGGCCCGAUCCGGAUGUCGCCGAAAGGUGGCUCGAGAAAAUGGUAGACAUAUUCGCUGCCCUGCACUACACCGAAGAACGGCAGGUGACUUUUGCCGUUUUCCAGCUGGAAGGGGCGGCCCGUUCCUGGUGGAAUGUUAUUCGGCAGAAAUGGGAACGGGAGCAGACGCCCCGGACCUGGGUGAAUUUUAUGAGAGAAUUCAACGCGAAAUUUUUUCCUCCUCUAGUUCAGGAGAGGAAAGAAGAUGAAUUUAUUCGGUUUCGUCAAGGGGCCCAAUCUGUAGCGGAGUAUGAGAGCCAAUUCACCCGCCUAUCCAAAUUUGCGCCUGAACUCAUCAUGACUGAGCAACGAAGAAGAUGGCGAUUUGUCCGGAGCCUGAACGUAGAAAUCCAGAAGGACCUCGCGGCAGCUGUAGACACCAAAUUUUAGUGUAUUUUUACUUACUAUUAUUUUUAUUUUUCAUGUUAGUUUUUAUUUACUUUUAGUCUUUUAUUUUUAUUUUUAAGUCAUUUUAGCAUAGAAUUUUUUGGAAAAAGAAGGAAGAAUUAUUAGCAUUUUGUUUUUAUCUUUUAUUCCUAGUUUUGUUCAUUUUAUCUGAUUUUAUUUUUAAGUUGUUGUUAAAAAAAAAAAAGGGAAACCCGAUAGCGGGUUUUGGGUUGUUUAAGAGAUUCUGAAAAGAAAAAACAAUGGACGAGCUCACGCACAACGAAAAUUCUAGCUUACUUCCUGUUUUUGUUCCGUCAUUUCUCCACCUUUAGAUCAUGCUAACCUGGCUUUCAUCAACGAGGCAAAAGGAAUCUCAGGAAAAAGCCCUGGGAACAUGAAUUCAGCAGCACCAUUGAUGUUAGGUUCUAGGGAUAUUCAGUGCAUAUAAAAGCUAAGAGGAGGACUAAAGGAGGGGGGAGGUUUUAUGACGACUGAGGGUGAAAAAAGAAUAGGAGAGAGCUGGGGUUUCAGGAGUGAGGCUGGUGACGACUAAGGAACCAGAAACCAGAAAGAGUGAAGAGAGCCGAGAGAGGGCGGGACAAAAAGAGAGUUCGGUGACGGCGAAAAAGAAAAAAAACAAGAGGGAGACCGAAAGGAAAAAGGGCAAGAAAGCUACGGAGAGGUUUGAGAGAGCAAAAGGUGACGGCUGGAGAAAACUGAGAGGGGUCGGCUGUGAGAAGAGGCUAGGGUUUGGAGAGAGGUUCUAGAGGAGAGAGAAGAAAGAUUGACGGCGGGGUUGGAGAGGAAGCAACAAAAAGAAAAGGAGAGCAGGAGGAGGUCUUAGCAGAGAGCUCUAGAGGUUUAGCAGACGGCAGAAAUCUGAUAAGAAGGAGAGGAGAGACUGAGUUGACGGCUGGACUGAAAGAUAGGAUAAGAAGAGAGGGGGAGAGAAGGAGCGAGGGAAAUUGAGAAGAGGGUUUCGGAUGGCCAUGUUCAGUCAAAUCUCGAUCAUAUCUCCAAUUCACAGUAAUUCUCCUCGGUAGCUUGAUUUCGUGCACUUUGCCUAGGAAUUGGCGUGGUUGUUUCAAGCUCAUAAGUGGCAAAGGUGAUUCAUUUUACUUGAACUGGUUCUGAACAUAUCGAAAUUCUUGAAAUCUUAUCUUUUUUUUUGGGAUCUGAUCUUCGAUCCUUUGUUGCUGUGAUUCGUUCCCUUUUGUAUGAACUGUUAGCUUAGAUAUUGUCUGUAUACCCCUGUGCUUGAACUUUGUGUUGUCAUAGCCCAAGAAACACAGGGUAUAGGAGUCUUUCCAAGUUCAUUUAAUUGAUAUUUGAUCCUAAAAUUGCUGAAAAAAAAGAAGAAAGUUGUGGAAUUUUUCUUUUCAGAUUCGCAAGCUAUCUUCGUCUGAAUUUUUUUGUGUGUGUUUUAAGAUAAGGAUUGCAGCCAGGAUGACAGGGGUCAUUUUCCUUGGGUUGUUUGAGCUCUUGGGUUGCUUGAAGUUCUAGAUUUGCUUGUUGUUUGAUUAGUUUUCCAUGUACAUGUCUAGCGCAAGAUCCUUUCUUUCUGACUUUGCUACAUUUUUUCCUUUUCCUUUCGGUCAAUUCCAGUUCUUUGUUUGAAUCCUGUAGCCAAAUUUUUGUGUUGGAUUUAGUUGGUGUUUGAUGGUUAAAAUCGUGAUGUUUUGGUGGAUUCGUUGGCAUGAUAAGAUGGCCAAGACAAUUGCAGUAAGAAAGAUGUGAAGUAGUUGAAAAAUAGUCUCAGUCUGCAGAAUUGUUUUUCGUUGCAUGCAUGGGAUAUUUUCUGAGAAUUAUAUUUUAACCCCUAUCUUUUCAACUAAUUCUUCUAAGUCCCAGGAGUUUUGGAAAAUAAAUCAAUUUUGUCUCCUUGGUUUCUAGUAAUACUACAAAGGCCCAAUUACAUUCCAAUCUCAUGCAAUUAAGUCCUAAGUUGAUUACAAUUUGAACCGUUAUUUGGCUCUUUAUUAUUUUGGGACCUUUAAAGUUCCUACAAUGUUUCAAUUGGCCUUGAUUGAUUGAUUAAUGGUUGCUAUUGGGUCUUUAGUCAUUUUGCUAUUUUAGAAAUUUGAUCAAUGAUUCACUUUUGCUUGGAAAUUAUGCAUUAUUUGAUCAUUUUUAAGUUACAAUUGAAGAAGGAUUCGAUGAUUUUGUGGAUUCAAAUUGGCUUAUUUACAUUUUACCACUAAAUUGGUGCAUUAAUUCAUUGUUUUGAUGGUUUUUAGCCCAUGUUAUUCCUUUCUUUGGUGACUUUAGCCCAAGUUAAGUCGUGUUUACUUUACUAACAUCAUAAACGGGGAGGUAUAAUUUCUUUUAUCCCUUUUUGUUUCUCUCCUAUGUGAUUCAACGUGCUAAGUGAGAAUUGCAUGUCUACUUUGCUUUCCUUGCCUUUCUUUAAUUCCUUUCAUUUAUUUUAUUUACUUUUGCUUUUAUUAAGUUAUUCUUUUAUGGGGUAUGUGUACACCUCUUGGCUUGUAAUAGAUAGAGCUUGGAGAGAAAUUUUGUCCAUUUUUCCCCUUCCCCGUUUUGUUUUAGUUAGCAAAUGUAAUAGGUUCAUUGCUUGCUUUUGUUGCUGUGAGAACCCGAAUUUUUGCAUUUUCUAGGUUUUAUUAUUUUUCAUGGCUUGUUUUCUGCAUUUUCGUGCUUAGGAAAAAUUUCUAGAUAAUUUUAAGGAGCAGAUAUAAUUUUUAGAUGAUUUUUCUAGUAUCGAAUAGGUUUUUGAGAAAUUAAGAGCGUAUACCGGACGUGGGACCCACUAGUGCGAAAAGUUCGGAAAAAUUCGGCCAACUAGGUUAAGUUUCGGAUACUGGGUUUAAUUUACCGGGUGUUAAGAGAUAAUUAGAGGAAGCUAUUUGGAUUGAUGUGAGAGGGAACAAAGUGAUAGACUUGCAUUAAAUAAGUGACAAGUGUCACCAUUUGAUUGGAGGAACUUGUAAGACCACUAUUCAUUUUCUUACCAUUGACCAAAUAAAUCAAAAAUUCACCAAAAAUUCCUCAUUGAUAUGAGAGGGAACAAAGUGAUAGACUUGCAUUAAAUAAAUGACAAGUGUCACCAUUUGAUUGGAGGAACUUGUAAGACCACUAUUCAUUUUCUUACCAUUGACCAAAUAAAUCAAAAAUUCACCAAAAAUUCCUCAUUUUUGUCUUCCUCUUGGCCGAACCUCUUCCUACAAGAAAAGAAAGAAAAGCUUCCAAGUUUCUUGCUCCAAUCUUGCCCAAUCUCACAAACUAACCGUUUCAUCUUGAAUUACUUCCAUAAAACCUUUUCAAUUAGUGUUAGUGAGUUGAUUUGUGGAGUUAUUUGGAAAGCUAAGAGGACCUAUUGCUCUCUCUCUCUUGUUUCUAAGGUGAGUUGUGAAGAACCACCCUCCUCCCUUAAUUGAUGCUUAAAUCAUGAUUAGUGGUAGUAUGAGAUGCAAUAUUAUGGAUUAUUUCUUGAUUUGUGGUUGAAGUGAUGAAGUUUUAUUAUUUUUGGGGAUUUUUCUGUUUUAAUAUAAGCAUGAUUGUGUGGCUAUCUAUGAUGAUUGGAAAUGGUAUAUAAUGACUCUAGGAGGUGGAAAAAGUGAUUAAUUGCAACCAAUUUCUGGUUUGGAAGAAAUUUCAGAAAAUUAGGGUUCUUGUGGGAGCAUUCUGGCCGAAUUUUUAGCUCCUAGUUAGAGGCCGAAUUGGCCUUAGAUUAAAACAUGAAAGUUGUAGGUAAUGACAUUUUAGAGGUGCCUACAAAAUUUCAGGUCAAUCGGAGUAGUGUAGAAUGAGAAAAGUCAAAAUUACCCUUGCUGUCCUGGUUUUAUCCGAAUGUAAGAAUUGCGCCUGUAAUUGGUUGUUUUGGCUGGAAUUGCUUCCGAAUUGGUUGUUGAGGCCUUCUGAUGAAAUUUAUCCCUGUUUCUUAGCUUUCAGCUGGUUUUGGAAUUUCUGGAUUUGGACUUGGAGAGCCUGAGUUAUGAUGUUUCCGCUAGAAUGCAUUUUGGUGAAUCUGUUUUACGUUUUUGAUGUAGUAUCUUACAUUUUCGACCUAUUUGCACUCAAAACUGGGUUGAGUGACCUUCUGUGAUGUUGUAGCCCUGUUGUUUAGCUUCGAAAUGGUGGGUCUUGUACCCUCAUCCAAUAAUCGUAGUGAAAUUGGUGCCAUUACCGCAAAAUGAGGUCAAAAACUGUUUUUUCAGGGCUAAAGGUAAUUCCAUUUCCGGAUUUUUCUGGUUUCCUCUAAUGCUUAUAUAUGCUUAUGGAACCCUAUUGUGAUCAUGUUGGCAUUGGUUUAUGACUUGUAAUCGAGUCUUCUUGUGCUUAUUGGAAUAUUCUAGGGCUUGACUUUUAUUUCCGGUCAUUUUCCUAGCUAACUUUUGUACUUGGAUAACCUUGAGCCUAUUGAACGGCUGUGGUGAUGAAUGUAUAUUGAGUAUGACUUUGGGAGUUGAUUGAGGAAAAUAAUGAAGCCGUGAUGGCUGGAAAAGGAAGAAAUUUAGGGGAAGUGCUGUCCAAUUUUUCUAGGCCGAUUGGUUCCUUUAAGUUUGAAUUGGCAUGUGAUAGAAAUGAAGGGCUUUUGGGUUGUUGAACCUAGGUCUUCAUGUUACCUUUUUGUUCCCAAAAAUCAUGUUUUGUACCCUUGCAUUAGUAAUUAUUUGGCGAGGCAUACGACUAGUAGUCGAGCCUCACAUGUGCAUUUUGUUUACUCGAUUCUGGAUGUGAAACCUUCAAUUGAUUUACUUUGAUUAUUUUAGGGUUUCUUGGCGAUUAAAGCCAAUCCGAAGUGAAAAUUUUUGAGGUAUCUGUACUUGAACCGGUGAGUGUACCACUCCCCUCCAUUACUGUUUAACUUGAUUUCUGCUCUGCAAUCUGUUUAAUUUGUUUGAGACGAGGGUGUACUUUAUCACACUCGUUCUCUUGUCUGUUCAUAUGCCAAUUUUGGUGUCAAUCUGAAUCUGAAUCUGUAUCUGAUAUCUGUAUCUGUAUCUGUUCGGACGUCGUUUGGAAACUUGUAACCAACGACCUUUCUGUGACCUAUGAGCUCAAAUCCUGUGGCUAAAUUAUUCGAGUCGGGCCGGCAAGGGCCUGGACGAUUAGAUAACGAACCACGGUAGUCUGUUUUGGGAUCUUUGGGUAUUGAGACCCUUGAUUCCGGUAUACUCGAGUAUUACCAUUUCUGUUUCUGUUGAGGUGAGCGGGCUCGGUAAAGGGGUGUUUGGUGGACGGAAUUUGGUGUAAAGUGGAGUCUACAGACGCAUUGGUUCUAUAUACAUUGACUGAGAGUCAACCGGCUUGGAUCAAGUACUGUGCUGGAAAGCUGGCUCCUGAGAGCCACCUGUAUCCUUCCUAUUUGAAUCCUUGUGUCUACCUGUCUUACUUUAUAGCGAGCAUGUGUAUCUGAUUUGUAUAACGUGAAAUGCCUGAUUUUUCUGCUACAUGUUUGGCACCUCAUUGGGCGUAAGCUCACCCCCUCCUCGUUAUCUUUGUUUUCCUUACAGGAACCUCUUUUGGAAAUCAUGAUUUUGAGAAGCGAGUUGAGCUAGUUAGAUAAUCUUUUGUUCUUUUGUAUAGCUCCUCGAGAGUGAGCAAACUCCAAAUGUAUUUCAUUUCACUGGUUCCACUUGUAUUGUAAACCUAGCGACAUGUAUAUAUGAAAGUGUUUUCCCCAUGUGAUUUUGGUAAGUUACUUGUAAGCUUGGCGGUCUUCAAUCGUUCAAUUCUUUUGGGUCCUAUCUCGCGUAAUGUCGGAUUUGUGUAAUUCGACUCCGUAGUCCUGGCGAGAGCUGGGCAGGCGGUCCGCUGAACCCUUUGGUUCGCCUUAGGGUGAGAUGGGGCUGUCACAGGUGGUAUCAGAGCCACUUCGCGUGGUCUCUGCGCGGAGAGAGCUUGGGCCAAGUGGUGUUAUGGCCCUGCUUUCGUGAAAGCGUCAAAAGGUAUAUGUGCUCGUUUAAGCGUAAGUGAUGAACUGUGCAUGUCAUAAGUGUAAGGAUCAUUACCAUGGGACUUGAGGAAGUUAGGAAUGUAUGUCGGGUAGAAAUCUUUAAUAUGGAUGAUUUACGCUUGGGACCGGCCGGCUCGAGUUGUUAAUUAUCUUAGAUGGGAUUCUUGCGCCCGGAUACGAAAGAGAUGAGAGCCUAGGUUAGAAAGGACUUGGGCGAACUAGCAAUGUGAUUCGAUGGAACUUCGCGCAGUCUGUUCGGGUGUUGUUAAGCAUGAUCGACCUUGAUUAAGAUAUCAAUGGUGUUGUUCUCGUAGAUUAAGGACGGAGCCCUAGAGAGGAAAAGCUUUUCGUUAGUUAUUCUUGUACUUGAUACCUGGUCUGUCUAUAGUACUUUUGGAUAACCCCGCUACUUUCAUGGAUUUGUAUUUAAUUGAUUGCUACUGUAUGGCUUGUUUGAUACAGUUAUGUUAUAUAUGGAUACUUUUGAUCUGUGCGCACCUUUUGCUACUUGCUUUUGCCUACCUAUGUUUAAUAUUAUAUUCCCGCUUCGACCCUAGAUUUAUUAGACCAAUGGAAGGCACUCGUAGUGGACGGGGCCGCGGGCGUGGAAUUAGGCAACCUACAUCUGAGAGGCGCACUGGAGAAACCUCAUAUGAACCAAACUCUGAACCUAGGGUUGACCCCAACGUCCAAAUAGCCGCUGCUAUGCAGCAAAUGACUGAUUUGCUAGCCCAAGUGGUGCACCAACAGGGUCAAAACCCUAACCCCAACCCUGGGAACCCUGGUAAUCACAUAGAGGGCGAGGAUAGAGCCCUUGAGAGAUUUCAAAAGUUCUCCCCACCUAAAUUUCUUGGAGGCCCUGAUCCUGACGUAGCUGAGAAGUGGCUGGAGAAGAUGAUCGAUAUUUUUGCUGCCUUACACUAUACCGAGGAGAGAUAGGUAACAUUUAUUGUCUUUCAACUAGAGGGAGCCGCCCGUUCCUGGUGGAAUGUCAUUCGAAUGAAGUGGGAAAGAGAACAAACCCCGAGGACGUUGGCGAACUUUAUGAGAGAAUUUAAUGCCAAGUUUUUCCCUCCUCUAAUCCAAGAAAAAAAGGAAGAUGAAUUCAUUCGGUUUCGCCAAGGAACUCAGACCGUAGCCGAGUAUGAGAGUCAAUUCACUCGGUUGUCUAAGUUUGCGUCCGAAUUGAUUGUAACCGAACAAAGACGGAUAAGGCGAUUCAUCCAAGGAUUAAAUGUUGAAAUUCAGAAAGAUCUGGCAGUAGCCCAACUUAAUGCCUUUAGUGAUGCGGUGGAGAAGGCCCAGCGAGUUGAAACUGCGAGGUUACAAGUUAGGAACUUCCAAGCCAAAAAAAGGGGCUUUCCUAGGAGCAGUUCGGAACAGGAAGAUAAGAGCACACCCCCUAAGAGUGGAAAAGGAAAUGGGGGAGUACGACAACCGGGGGUGGCCAGUGGUGUCUCACUGGGAGGAUCGGCCACUGCUACUCGAGGUCCCUGUGGAUAUUGCGGAGGGCCAAAUCACACGGAGGCAAAUUGUUGGAAGAAAGAAGGAAAAUGCCUGCGCUGUGGUAGCGCCGAACAUCGAAUUGCUAACUGUCCAGCUCGACUGUGCGAGCGGAGAGGGACUCAGCCACCAACCAAGCCCAAUUCUCAGCAACUAUGUGACGACCCCACUUCUCCCAAGGGCGAACCCAAGGGUAUCGACGGGCCGCCUGCCUAGCUCGCGCCAGGUCUCAAAACUUAAAACAAUCAAAGCCAGAAAAUCCAAAAGAGUACUAUAUACAAUCCCAAAAGAGUUAUAAUUACAUUCUCCAAAAGUACCUGCUUACACUAUUACAUCCUUAUAACUACCACCAAAACCACAAUGUAGACCCUAAGGAGGGUCCUUAUACAAACCACCAAAACUAAAACAAAAACAAACAUACUAGAUGUCCAACUAUUACAAGCAAACCUAACUAUACUAGUGCACGUGCCAAAAAUCCCCGUGUCGGCCCCUGCUAAGGAAAACAAAAGGAAAGGGGUAAGCUAUAUGCUUAGUAAGUAAACAGGGGCGAAAGCGUAAAUGUCACAUAACAAUAGUUACACAGUAAGAGUAACGCAAAACAGAAAGAUAACAUCACAUAAUAAGGAUACGGGUGGCUCCAAAGCCAAUUCAUGUGCCAUGCGUGAACUCCUGCCGACACUCCGUCGACCGCAAUUAAUGGUCCGUAGAACUUCACUUGUACACCCACCGACACCUUAUCACCCUCACUGGCCAGUCACCUCACAAACUUGCCCAGACGAACGAAAUCACAAACUUGAGCUUGAGUCACAAGCUCGGGUCACAAAAUUGGUCCACAUACUCGGUGAACCGGGUUCACAAACUUGGUGACCUCAAACCAGGUUGGACUGACUUCGACCAAGCCCUAACCGGCUCGAAUAGUCCAUCUAGGCAUUAAGACCGCCCCACAAACACACAAACUUCACAAAAUUAUUCAAAAGUCACCCCGAGCCACAAGCUCAAGGGUUUUAGUUUCAAAAUGAUUCAUGUACAUAUGUCAUGUACAAAUAUGUGCACAAAUUUCGGGUUUAGGUUGAGUGCGAUAAAGUACACCUUCGCCUAGAUACCCUUUUUAUGUAUAUCAAAACACAUAAACAAAUAACACACAAGAGCGGCCCGAAUACUUACACAAUGAACAAAAGAGCAAAAUUCGAAUUUGGAGUCGCGAAGAAUAGCUAGUAGGCCCCACCGGCCCAACCUAGCUCACCACCGUCUGAAAUAGAAGAUUGCGUCACAUAAUAUCAUAAACGGCUACAAACAUACAUAAAACAAUCAAAACGGCAAAAUCGGCACAUGCAAGUGCGGAAACGGCAAAACGGCCGCACGCGUCCGCGCGGAACGGCAAACGGAAAUGGCCAAAUCUGCCUUCUUAAGCCGGUUUGGUCAAAAGUGAGGCUAGGAAUGUCAGAUUAAGGUACAUGAGGUUCCGUUACGAAGCUAAGAGAAAAGUAUAUAACUUUCAUGAAGACACGUAAUUCAGGAUCUGAACAGAGGUAGGUCGAAAGUGCAGAAAACCGUUCCAGGAAUUUGCACUUUAGAGUAACGAACAGGGUAUGUUUUCUGGACUAUAACUCCCAGCUCACAAAUCCAAAUCAAGAAAUUCCAAAGGAAUUAGAAAGCUGAGACAUAAGGAUAAAACUUUGAUGUUUUGGCCAAGACCUGAAUCCACUCAGAACAGAACGAAAUUUGAGUGUCAAAGUACCCGUCAGAACUGUCCAGAUACAAGGCAGUUCUGACGAUCGAUUUUGUUUUGGUCAUAACAGGAGCUCGGAACUCGGAUUUCAACGCACUUUAUACCGUUUCGAAGCCAAAACCAAGAUCUACAUUUUUUAUGAAGGAGUCAAAACCCAGAUCGUACGGGAUCAAAACCGAAAAGUCAAAGGCAGAAGCGAAACUAAAAACGCACAGAAUCAGAGGGUCAAAACAGGCUUGAGCAUUUCGUCGAUAACUCAGGCUACGCUAAUCCGAUUGACCUGAAAUUUUGCAGGAAUAUGCAGGACUUACAAGGCUACAACUUUCAUGUUUUGAGGAAUGUCUGAAUACGUACGCAACAUCAAGAAAAAUAAAGCCAAAGUUAAGAUCCUGAACUGUCCUGUUUUUUCCAGUUUCGCCGGUUUUGCGCGCCGCAACCGCACGGUCCCCUUCUAUUGUUCUUAUGCGCAUUUUUCUAACCAAAACGAUACCCAAAGCCCAUACCUAUAUCAGUCUAGGAGUGGUCUAAAAUUCUUUCACAAAUUAUCCCAAAAUCACCAAAUACUAACCAUAAUCCAUAAGCUAAUUUUAUUAGCACCAUAGAACUUAUUUUCCCAUCCAACUACACAAACUCAAACUCAAUAGCCAUAAGCUCAACUAAUCUAACCUAAUGGAGUCUAGGGUUUCUUAACCCAAACCAGAUUUUUUCUGGAAACCAACCAAUCAAGUGAAGCAAAUCAUCAAACACAACCACUACACAUCAAUUUCUCAAUUCAAGCAACUAAGGAAAACAUUAAAGCAAGAAGCCCCAAUUCCUCUUUCUCUUGACCGAAAUUUUCAGCAACAUAAAUCACAAAAAUUAACCAAAGUACUCCAUAAAAACAAGUGAUAGGCAUAAGAGGUACCACAAUCAAGCACAACUAAGAUCCUAUACAAAAAUAACCACUAGUUCAUCAAGCAAUAAUCAACUUAAGUCUUCAAAUAGACUUUCUUACCUCAAGAUUAAGGAUGUAUGAUGACUAAUGACCUUAAGCCAAUUCCAAAGUAGAUUCUUUAUGCUUCAAAAUGAAGAUUUAUGGAAGGAAAUUGAUUGAACUUCACAAACUUUCCUUGGUUUCUCCCUUCAAGGUGGCCGGCCCUCUCUCUCCAAGUUACUCUUCAAUUUUUGUUUUGUUUGUCGUACAAAUGACUUAAUUAUGGCCCUUGAGACUAAUAUGUGGUGCAAGACCACUUAGGAGAGAUAUUUUUAAGGCUAACCAAUCACAUAAAAGCUCCUCAAUUGCACUUUUAACCCUUGCACUCCAACUCUCUCUUUCUUAUACAUUUGCCCUCAAACAUUUGAUAAUCUUUCAAUUUACUCCAUAGGUUAUAACUUAAUCUAGUUUAAAACACAUAAUCCCACUUAAGUACUUCACUAAUCACUUUCCUCUCUUAAUCAUUUAUACUUAAGCAUACUUUCUCCAUAAAUAAAACAAUUAAACAACAACUUUAUAAUAUUGGCAAAAUUAGGGUUUUUAAACCCAACUUAGGCUUUCUAAUAAUUUAUAACACUAGAGGUUUACUAAUCUAAGGUUUGCUAACCAUUUUCAAACUUGUUCAACCUCGGUAAACAAUAGCGAAUCCUAUUUUUUUAUACUUGUGCCGAAACACACACUAGAAUACCACAUAGAAACCAUAGCUCGAGCUUAUGAAUAAUACAUAAACUAGGGUUUCCUUCUUACCCUAAAACCCCAAUUAGCCGCACAAAAUAAUGGAAAACCCUAAUAUCAACUUACGAACGGACUGGGGCCUCACAAUCUCCCCCGCUUAGGACAAUUUCGUCCUCGAAAUUACUUCUCUGAUCAAAGCGUACCUUCGAAAUCCGCCGAAGGGUCAGUCAUUGCGUAUUGACCAAUUGCAUACACUCUUGCUGGCCCUUUGGGUCGAUUUUCCCCUGCGUUUGAUGGCUUCGUUGUGGUCCCUUCUGUUGGUGGUUUGGUUCCUUCCUUCUGCAUCUUAGGGCACCGGGCAAUCAAAUGUUCAGUGCUGCCACAUUUGAAGCAUUUUCGUACCGAACUAUUUUUCCAGCAAUUUUCAUCGGUGUGAUUGCCCCCACAGAAACCACAGGUUGGCUUAGCGGCCGUACUUGACCCUCCACGCUGAGCACUCUUCUGAGGCUCUUGCACUAUUUGACCUCGCCCAAAGCUAUUCAGGGUUCUUGUAGGUCGUGGACCAUCUGUGCCUUUACUCGUCUUAGCAGGUGGCUCGUUUCGGGAACUUUGUCCAAUCGUGGAGUCAUUCGAGCUGGGUUGCCUCCUUUUCCGGUCAUGGAAAGCUUUCACCUGUCCCCUAGCAGUCUCAAUCCGCUGUGCUUUUUCUAGCGCCUGGCUAAUGGUGUCCAGCUGUGCAGCCGCUAGUGCUUCUUGGAUCUCUACGUUUAAGCCUUGAGUAAAGCGGCGAAUUCGCUUGCGCUCUGUUAGUACCAGCUCCGGGGCGAAGCGAGAGAGUUUGGUAAAUUGUGUCUCAUACUCCGCCACACUAGACGCCCCUUGACGCAGGCGGAUAAAAUCAUCUUCCCGUUUUUCUUGCACAAUGGGUGGUAAAUAUUUUUCAUUAAACUCCCGUGUGAAGUUGGUCCAGGUCCAAGGGGUUUGUUCGCGCUCCCACUUGGUUUUCACCACGUUCCACCAGCGGCCCCUUCAAAUUGAAAAACAGUAAAGGAUAUCUGCCGUUCCUCUGAGUACCUAAGCGCGGCAAAAAUAUCUAGCAUACGGUCCAUCCAACCCUCCGCUAAGUCAGGAUCGGGUCCACCUACAAACUUAGGAGGUGCAAAUUUCUGGAACCGUUCCAAAGCACGGUCCUCUCCCUCUUGAUUAACCGGAUUAUGUCCCGGAUUAUGUCCAGGAUUCCCCAUACUGCUCCCCUGGCCUUGUUGAUUUGACAUUAGCUCUAAUAGAUCGGCCAUCCGCUGAAUGGCUGUAGCGACUUGAUCUGGUUCAUGUCCUUGUCCCCUUUCAGGGCUUCGUGCUUGCCCUCUACCUCCACCUCGAGUACCGAAGGCCAUUUAAGUGCAAAAGUCUAUAGAUCGGAACAUUACGGAUACUUAUUAUCCAGACUAUGAGCAAAAGUACGGACGUAAAGCAUAUACACAGAAGACACACAAAAGAUACGUUCAAAAGGCUUUUCAAAUAUAUACAUAUAUUUACAAAGUCACACCAAAAGAUUUACAGAUUACCAACCUCCAGUCGGUACAAAAGCCAAUGUACACAUGAGCAUCGGCUCCAAAAAUCUAAUCAGUCAACCAGAUAACAAAAGAAGGCAGUCAUGCUAGUUCUAACAAAAGUCAUACACUAGCGAAACAAAAGUAUAAAAGUGACCCUAAUCGCCUCCCCUAGGGCCCAGGUUCCCAACGGAGUAUAAAGUGUAAGGCUCUCCAGGUCUCUGCCGAUAGCGGAUCACCCGCUUACGCAGCACUCGAUCCUCUACGCCUCUCAUACUCGGAAAUCUCGGUCCCACACCACGGGGUCCCACACCACUCGAACUACCCGGAUACAUACUUACACAACAUUAAGUCGUCAAUCAACCGGCAUUUCAACUUAAAACAUAUCAUUCAACUUAAAAGGGUCACAUAUGCCUAGUGCCUACCGCGUAUGUCCUACUUGCCCAAGUCCUCUAAUCUAGGCGCUCUGAUACCACCUGUGACGACCCCACUUCUCCCAAGGGCGAACCCAAGGGUAUCGGCGGCCGCCUACCUAGCUCGCGCCAGGGUUCAAAACUUAAAACAAUCAAAGUCAGAAAAUCCAAAAGAGUACUAUAUACAAUCCCAAAAGAGUUAUAAUUACAUUCUCCAAAAGUACCUGCUUACACUAUUACAUCCUUAUAACUACCACCAAAACCACAAUGUAGACCCUAAGGAGGGUCCUUAUACAAACCACCAAAACUAAAACAAAAACAAACAAAUUACAUGUCCAACUAUUACAAGCAAACCUAACUAUACUAGUGCACGUACCAAAAGUCCCCGCGUCGGCCCCUGCUAAGGAAAACAAAAGGAAAGGGGUAAGCUAUAUGCUUAGUAAGUAAACAGGGGCGAAAGCGUAAAUGUCACAUAACAAUAGUUACACAGUAAGAGUAACGCAAAACAGAAAGAUAACAUCACAUAAUAAGGAUACGGGUGGCUCCAAAGCCAAUUCAUGUGCCAUGCGUGAACUCCUGCCGACACUCCAUCGACCGCAAUUAAUGGUCCGUAGAACUUCACUUGUACACCCACCGACACCUUAUCACCCUCACUGGCCAGUCACCUCACAAACUUGCCCAGGCGAACGAAAUCACAAACUUGAGCUUGAGUCACAAGCUCGGGUCACAAAAUUGGUCCACAUACUCGGUGAACCGGGUUCACAAACUUGGUGACCUCAAACCAGGUUGGACUGACUUCGACCAAGCCCUAACCGGCUCGAAUAGUCCAUCUAGGUAUUAAGACCGCCCCACAAACACACAAACUUCACAAAAUUAUUCAAAAGUCACCCCGAGCCACAAGCUCAAGGGUUUUAGUUUCAAAAUGAUUCAUGUAUAUAUGUCAUGUACAAAUAUGUGCACAAAUUUCGGGUUUAGGUUGAGUGCGAUAAAGUACACCUUCGCCUAGAUACCCUUUUUAUGUAUAUCAAAACACAUAAACAAAUAACACACAAGAGCGGCCCGAAUACUUACACAAUGAACAAAAGAGCAAAAUUCGAAAUUGGAGUCGCGAAGAAUAGCUAGUAGGCCCCACCGGCUCCACCUAGCUCACCACCGUCUGAAAUAGAAGAUUGCGUCACAUAAUAUCAUAAACGGCUACAAACAUACAUAAAACAAUCAAAACGGCAAAAUCGGCACAUGCAAGUGCGGAAACGGCAAAACGGCCGCACGCGUCCGCGCGGAACGGCAAACGGAAAUGGCCAAAUCUGCCUUCUUAAGCCGGUUUGGUCAAAAGUGAGGCUAGGAAUGUCAGAUUAAGGUACAUGAGGUACCGUUACGAAGCUAAGAGAAAAGUAUAUAACUUUCAUGAAGACACUUAAUUCCGGAUCUGAACAGAGGUAGGUCGAAAGUGCAGAAAACCGUUCCAGGAAUUUGCACUUUAGAGUAACGAACAGGGUAUGUUUGCUGGACUAUAACUCCCAGCUCACAAAUCCAAAUCAGGAAAUUCCAAAGGAAUUAGAAAGCUGAGACAUAAGGAUAAAACUUUGAUGUUUUGGCCAAGACCUGAAUCCACUCAGAACAGAACGAAAUUUGAGUGUCAAAGUACCCGUCAGAACUGUCCAGAUACAAGGCAGUUCUGAUGAUCGAUUUUGUUUUGGUCAUAACAGGAGCUCGGAACUCGGAUUUCAACGCACUUUAUACCGUUUCGAAGCCAAAACCAAGAUCUACAUUUUUUAUGAAGGAGUCAAAACCCAGAUCGUACGGGAUCAAAACCGAAAAGUCACGGGCAGAAGCGAAACUAAAAACGCACAGAAUCAGAGGGUCAAAACAGGCUUGAGCAUUUCGUCGAUAACUCAGGCUACGCUAAUCCGAUUGACCUGAAAUUUUGUAGGAAUAUGCAGGACUUACAAGGCUACAACUUUCAUGUUUUGAGGAAUGUCUGAGUCCUUACGAAACAUCAAGAAAAAUAAAGCCAAAGUUCAGAUCCUGAACUGUCCUGUUUUUUCCAGUUUCGCCGGUUUUGCGCGCCGCAACCGCACGGUCCCCUUCUAUUGUUCUUAUGCGCAUUUUUCUAACCAAAACGAUACCCAAAACCCAUACCUAUAUCAGUCUAGGAGUGGUCUAAAAUUCUUUCACAAAUUAUCCCAAAAUCACCAAAUACUAACCAUAAUCCAUAAGCUAAUUUUAUUAGCACCAUAGAACUUAUUUUCCCAUCCAACUACACAAACUCAAACUCAAUAGCCAUAAGCUCAACUAAUCUAACCUAAUGGAGUCUAGGGUUUCUUAACCCAAACCAGAUUUUUGCUGGAAACCAACCAAUCAAGUGAAGCAAAUCAUCAAACACAACCACUACACAUCAAUUUCUCAAUUCAAGCAACUAAGGAAAACAUUAAAGCAAGAAGCCCCAAUUCCUCUUUCUCUUGACCGAAAUUUUCGGCAACAUAAAUCACAAAAAUUAACCAAAGUACUCCAUAAAAACAAGUGAUAGGCAUAAGAGGUACCACAAUCAAGCACAACUAAGAUCCUAUACAAAAAUAACCACUAGUUCAUCAAGCAAUAAUCAACUUAAGUCUUCAAAUAGACUUUCUUACCUCAAGAUUAAGGAUGUAUGAUGACUAAUGACCUUAAGCCAACUCCAAAGUAGAUUCUUUAUGCUUCAAAAUGAAGAUUUAUGGAAGGAAAUUGAUUGAACUUCACAAACUUUCCUUGGUUUCUCCCUUCAAGGUGGCCGGCCCUCUCUCUCCAAGUUACUCUUCAAUUUUUGUUUUGUUUGUCUUACAAAUGACUUAAUUAUGGCCCUUGAGACUAAUAUGUGGUGCAAGACCACUUAGGAGAGAUAUUUUUAAGGCUAACCAAUCACAUAAAAGCUCCUCAAUUGCACUUUUAACCCUUGCACUCCAACUCUCUCUCUCUUAUACAUUUGCCCUCAAACAUUUGAUAAUCUUUCAAUUUACUCCAUAGGUUAUAACUUAAUCUAGUUUAAAACACAUAAUCCCACUUAAGUACUUCACUAAUCACUUUCCUCUCUUAAUCAUUUAUACUUAAGCAUACUUUCUCCAUAAAUAAAACAAUUAAACAACAACUUUAUAAUAUUGGCAAAAUUAGGGUUUUUAAACCCAACUUAGGCUUUCUAAUAAUUUAUAACACUAGAGGUUUACUAAUCUAAGGUUUGCCAAAUAUUUUCAAACUUGUUCAACCUCGGUAAACGAUAGCGAAUCCUAUUUUUUUAUACUUGUGCCGAAACACACACUAGAAUACCACAUAGAAACUAUAGCUCGAGUUUACGAAUAAUACAUAAACUAGGGUUUCCUUCUUACCCUAAAACCCCAAUUAGCCGCACAAAAUAAUGGAAAACCCUAAUAUCAACUUACGAACGGACUGGGGCCUCACACACUAGCCAAGAGCAACCCUGGACAGACGAAAAGAGAAGGGACGGGAUCGAAGGCACCAGCUCGAGUAUAUUCUCUAGAGCAGCAUCAGGUCCCUGACUCGUCUGUGGACGUAGAAGGUACAAUCCGUUAGGUACCUUGGAUUUUGAAAAAAAAAAUUCCGUUCAUAAGAAAAUUUCGAGGGCGAAAUUCUUUUAAGGGGGAGAGAGUGUGAGAACCCGUAUUUUUGCAUUUUCUAGGUUUUAUUAUUUUUCAUGGCUUGUUUUCUGCAUUUUCGUGCUUAGGAAAAAUUUCUAGAUAAUUUUAAGGAGCAGAUAUAAUUUUUAGAUGAUUUUUCUAGUAUCGAAUAGGUUUUGAGAAAUUAAGAGCGUAUACCGGACGUGGGACCCACUAGUGCGAAAAGUUCGGAAAAAUUCAGCCAACUAGGUUAUGUUUUGGAUACUGGGUUUAAUUUACCGGGUGUUAAGAGAUAAUUAGAGGAAGCUAUUUGGAUUGAUGUGAGAGGGAACAAAGUGAUAGACUUGCAUUAAAUAAGUGACAAGUGUCACCAUUUGAUUGGAGGAACUUGUAAGACCACUAUUCAUUUUCUUACCAUUGACCAAAUAAAUCAAAAAUUCACCAAAAAUUCCUCAUUUUUGUCUUCCUCUUGGCCGAACCUCUUCCUACAAGAAAAGAAAGAAAAGCUUCCAAGUUUCUUGCUCCAAUCUUGCCCAAUCUCACAAACUAACCGUUUCAUCUUGAAUUCCUUCCAUAAAACCUCUUCAAUUAGUGUUAGUGAGGUGUUUUGUGGAGUUGUUUGGAAGGCUAAAGGGAUUAGUUGCUCUCUCUCUUGUUUUACCCAGGUGAGUAGUGGAUGAACCCCUCUCCUCCCUUAAUUGAUGCUUAAAUCAUGAUUAGUGGUGGUAUGAGAUGCAAUAUUAUGGAUUAUUUCUUGAUUUGUGGUUGAAGUGAUGAAGUUUUAUUACUUUUGGGGAUUUUUCUGUUUUAAUAUAAGCAUGAUUGUGUGGCUAUCUAUGAUGAUUGGAAAUGGUAUAUAAUGACUCUAGGAGGUGGAAAAAGUGAUUAAUUGCAACCAACGACCUGUUCUGUAUCUGUAUCUGUAUCUGUUCGGACGUUGUUUGGAAACUUGUAACCAACGACCUUUCUGUGACCUAUGAGCUCAAAUCCUGUGGCUAAGUUAUUCGAGUCGGGCCGGCAAGGGCCUGGACGAUUAGAUAACGAACCACGGUAGUCUGUUUUGGGAUCUUUGGGUAUUGAGACCCUUGAUUCCGGUAUACUCGAGUAUUACCAUUUCUGUUUCUGUUGAGGUGAGCGGGCCCGGUAAAGGGGUGUUUGGUGGACGGAAUUUGGUGUAAAGUGGGGUCUACGGACGCAUUGGUUCUAUAUACGUUGACUGAGAGUCAACCGGCUUGGAUCAAGUACUGCGCUGGAAAGCUGGCUCCUGAGAGCCACCUGUAUCCUUCCUAUUUGAGUCCUUGUGUUUACCUGUCUUAGUUUAUAGCGAGCAUGUGUAUCUGAUUUGUAUAACGUGAAAUGCCUGAUUUUUCUGCUACAUGUUUGGUACCUCAUUGGGCGUAAGCUCACCCCCUCCUCGUUAUCUUUGUUUUCCUUACAGGAACCUCUUUUGGAAAUCAUGAUUUUGAGAAGCGAGUUGAGCUAGUUAGAUAAUCUUUUGUUCUUUUGUAAAGCUCCUUGAGAGUGAGCAAACUCCAAAUGUAUUUCAUUUCACUGGUUCCACUUGUAUUGUAAACCUAGCGACAUGUAUAUAUGAAAGUGUUUUCCCCAUGUGAUUUUGGUAAGUUACUUGUAAGCUUGGCGGUCUUCAAUCGUUCAAUUCUUUUGGGUCCUAUCUCGCGUAAUAUCGGAUUUGUGUAAUUCGACUCCGUAGUCCUGGCGAGAGCUGGGCAGGCGGUCCGCUGAACCCUUUGGUUCGCCUUAGGGUGAGGUGGGGCUGUCACAGUUGCUAUGUGUUAAUUUGCUUUAUUAGGCUCUUGCAUUUAGUCGAGCAUGCUAAGUGUUAUGUGCUACGUGUUUAUAGGCGAUUGGCAUGUCUACUUGUUUUCUAUAAUCAUAGAUGAAUAUGGUGGAUGAAUGCACGUCACCACACUAGUCCAACGCUAGUUGUGGCUCAUUGUCUCGUUUUUCACUAGUCCAACGCUAGUAGGAAUUCAUAGAUAUGGGCUAGUCCAACGCUAGACCCUUAGGGAUCUAUCUCGUUAGUACAUACUUGCAUGUCUCACUACAUUUCAUGCAUUUUUUUUAGUUUUUUUUAGCAUUUGGCAUGUCCCUCCAACCCUUUCCCUUUCAUUUUAGGUUUUUGCAUCCUCAUGCUAGUUAUAGGGUACAUUUGCUUGAGAGUCCCCUUUCGGUAAGGGAAACGAGCGAGUGUGGCUACAAAAUAGCCUUAGCACGCUAGUUCUUCCUUCUAAUCAAAGGGAAAAUUAAAAUCACAAAGUUAGGAGUCAUUCCCGUACCCGACUUGAUGCAUUCCUCUAGGUUCAUACACUCUCAUUUUUAUCAUAUCACUUCCUCACCUUCUUUAUCCACAUUCUCUUACUACUUAUAUUUUUCUCAAUCCACAUGCCAUGUUUGCACAUUUUUCUUCUUUCCCUAUCACUUAUUUAUUUUCUACCUCACAAAUUGCACCCAAUUGCACUACCGUUAUACCUUAUUUUCAUCCACUUGCACACAAACACCUUUAUUUUCUCAAUGGGCACACGUGCACUUUUCUUACAUUUGCACACAUGCACUUUCCUUAAAUUUGCACACUUGUACUUACAUUUGUAUUUUUAUUUUAUUUUGCAUUCUUUUUACAUUUUCACACUUGCACUCAUAUUUGGGUCUUUAUUUGUAUUAUCCGUGACCUCUAUGAGAGUUUUUCUUAUUGGCCAUCACAACUCAUGUGGUUGGGACCAAAAAGCCUCAUAAGAGACAUUUUAGAUUUAGGAUUGCAUUUUUUUCAUAUCCAUUAGUCACAACCAACAUGCAACACAUAUUUUGGGUAGAAGAAAUAGGAAAAGUGGGGCUAAGUCACGCAACUAUCUUUGGCUAGGGUAAGGGAGUGCCUUAGGCUUUGCCUUUGCCUUCUCCCUUAUCAAAUGUGACCACCGAUCCCUUUCUUAGGUUACGUAGACCUAAAAAUUCUUUAAAAAGGGUUUGUUUACUUUUCUUUUCCAAAAAAUCACUUUUGGGUGACUUGGUACACCCUAACUCUAUACCAAGUGGCGACUCCUUUUCCAUCUAAAACCCUUUGUUUGGCCAAACCGUCGCAUUUCACAAUCCCACGCCCAUUUAUUUUCACUUUCACACACGUUCACCCACAUAUCCUACACACUACUUUCACACCAUCAAAAAGUGGGGCACGACAGCAGCCCAAAUUAACACCUUCAGCGAUGCAGUGGAGAAGGCGCAGCGAGUAGAGAAUGCUAGGCAACAGGUGAGAAACUUCCAGGCGAAAAAGCGAGGAUUUCCUGGGAGUAGUUCAGGGCAGGGGGAUGAGGGUACUCCUCCUAAGUUUGGGCGGGGAAUGGGAGGAGAAAGGAUGCUGAAAGUGUCACGAGAGGGCCCGUCACGAGGCGGCCAAGUGGGGAGAGGCCAGAGAGGAGGCUCGGCUUCUGCAGCACGCGGACCCUACGGGUAUUGCGGAAAGUCAAACCACGCGGAGGACAAUUGCUGGAAGAAAGAGGAAAAAUGUUUGCGCUGUGGAAGUGCAAACCAUCAGCUCGCCACUUGUCCAGUCCUAUCACGAGAUGGAAAGGGGAGUCAGCAAUCGACGAAGACUAAUUCCGAACCGGCCAAGGUGGAAGGGACCAAACCUAAGGUAGCGGCUCGAGUGUAUUCACUGGAGCCACAACAGGUCCCCGAUUCUUCUGAAAUUGAGGAAGGUAAGAUUCUGGUAUUCCACCGUUUGCUCACUAUUUGCUAUUUGGGAAGGAAGGAUUCAAUGAGCCUGGCUAGUGAAGGGGUACAGAUUGGUUAGUUAAGCAUGAUACUCAACUCGACUGUGAGACGGAAGAAGUAAAAUUUUUGUAUCCCGAAGAAGACGAUGAUAAGGAAUUUCGAGGAUGAAAUUCUUUUUCAGGGGGAGAGAGUGUGAGAACCCGUAAAUUUCUUAAUUUCUAGGCCUUAUUUUAUUUAUUUGCACACCUUUUAUGCAUUUUCUUUAUUAGAAAAAUUUUUUAAAUAAUUUUUAUGAGUAAAUAUAGUUUUUAGAUGAUUUUUCUAGUAUCGGUUAGUUUUUGAGAAAUUAAGAGCGUAUACCGGACGUGGGACCCGCUAGUGCGGAAAGUUCGGAAAAAUUCGGCCAACUAGGUUAAGUUUCGGAUACUGGGUUUAAAUUAUCGGGUGCUAAGAGAUAAUUAGAAGUUACUAAGUGGAUUGAUGUGAGAGGGAACAAAGAGAUAUGUAUGCAUGAAAUAGGGUGACAAGUGUCACCAUAAGAUUAAUUCUUAAGUUUGACUACUAUUCAUAACUUUACCAUUUAAUUAAAAUUGGCCAAAAAUCAUCUUCAUUUCUUACCUCUCUUGGCCAAACCUCUUGCUCAAAGAAAGAAAAAAAUCCUCCAACUUCCUACUUCAUAAUCUUGCUUCAAUCUUCAAUUUCCACCAGUUAAUUUUGGGUUUGCUCCAUAAAACCUCUCCACUUAGUGUUUGUAAGGUGUUUGGUGAAGUUGUUUGGAAAGCUAAGGUGACUAGUUGCUCUCUCUCUUGUGUUGCUAAGGUGAGUUGUGAAGGAACCUCUCUCCUCCACCUAAUGAUGUUUAAUCCAUGAUUUGUGGUAGUCUAAGAUGUAAAAUUGUGGAUUAUAUCUUGAUUUUUGGUUGAAUUGGUGAAGUUUUAUAAUUAUUGGUGACUUUUCUGUUUUCAUAUGAUUAUUAUGAUGUGGUCAUGUAUGAUGAUUGGGAAUGAUAUUUAAGGAAGCUAGAAGGUGGAAAAAGUGGUUAAUUGCAGGAAAUUUCUGUUUUGGAAAAAAAAUUGGAAAGUUAGGGUUUCAUUUUCCUUCAUUCUGCCUGAUACUGUUCAUCAUAGUUAGAAGCCGAAUUAGCCUUGGGUUAAAACAUGAAAGUUGUAGGGAAUGAUAUUUUAGAGUUGUCUACAAAAUUUCAGGCCAAUCGGAGUAGUGUAACCUCUGAAAAGACUGAAAUACCCUGCUGCCCUGGUUUCACCCGAACUUGAGAAUUGCUUCUGUAAUUGGUUUUUUUGGCUGGGAAUACUUCCGAACUGGUUGUUGAGGUCUUCUGAGGAAAUGUAUCUUGAUGUCUUAGCUUUUGGAUGGCUUUGGAAUCACUUGAUUUGGACUUAGGUAGCCUGAAUUACAGUUCGCUAACCAGAAUACAGUUUGUUCACCCGUUUUUGCGGUUCUGUUUUAGUAUCCUGUAUUUUUGACCUAGUUUCACUAUGAACUGGACUGAGUGACCUUCUGUAACAUUGUAGCCCUAUUUGUUAGCUUUGAAACGGUUUAUCUUGCACCUCCAUCCGAUAAUCGUAGUGCCAAUGGUGCCAAAACCGCAAAAUGAUGUCAAAAACUGGUUUUAGGGUUUAAAGUUUAAUUCCAUUUCCAGAUUUCCCUGGUUUACUCUAGUGCUUAUACAUUCUUAUGGAGCCCUAUUUUGGUAGUAUGCGGAACUGGUUUAUGACUUGUAAUCGAGUCUUAUUGUGCUUGUUUGAAUAUUUUAGGGCGUGACGGUGAUUAAAGACGAUCUUUGGGCGAAAGUUUAUGAAAUUUCACUUGCUUGCCUGGUGAGUGUACUACUCACUUGUUUGUUUAUAAUGUGGCUUUGCUAUUCUUUAACUUGAUGCCUUGAGGGUCUAUUUGCCAUUGAAACUGAUUAAAGUGAAGGUGUACUUGAUCGUCCUCACCUCUUUUGGUACUGUAUACGACUGUUUACUGUUUCACUGUGGUAUUUAAAUGAUACCUGAUAUACUGGAUUUGGUGUCGUUUGGACCAGUAUCCAACGGCCAUUACUGUUACUACUGAGCUCAACCCCAUUGGUAGUCAAUUGAAUCGAGCCGGCGAGGGCUUGGUCGUGAAAAUUGACGAGCCAUGGGGACUGUUAUAUGGAAUCUUGUAGUAGUGAGACUCUUGAUUCCGGUAUACUCGAGUAUUACCAAAUUUCUACUGUUUGCAGUUCGGGCCCGGUAGGGGUAUGUUGGGUGGAAGGAAUGGAAGUAAAGUGGAGCCUACGGUUGGUUACUCUUAAACAUUGACAGAGGGUCAAUGAGAUCCGAUCAAGAAUGUAAGCGAGGAACGGGACUCUUGAAAGCCGUCCGUAUCCUUUUAUCAACUCUAUUAAUGUGUGCUCUUGGUUUACUUUUGAUGAUUUGAAAUGAAAAGCUUUAUGCUUAUAUGAACUUGGUUGCUUGAGUGAUAGUAUCACACUGGGCGUAAGCUCACUCUAUUCCGUUUGUUUUCCUUACAGGAAAUUGAAUACUUUUGGAAAGGCGAUGAAUAUGGAUUGCCGAGUUGAGCUUAUGUAUAUAUAUAUUUUGAAUAGCUCCUUUUGGGCAAAACCCUAAACUCAUUUUGACCCAACCCAUCGUUGAAUUGUAAUUUGCAACCGUACAUGUAUAAACUUAUGGGAUAAGUUUGUAUGCCAUUUUGGUAUGUAAAUAUUGAAUUUCAAGAUGUGUAUGUUUGCGUGAUGCUUGGCCGGAUUUUGACGUGGCCGGUACUAUUCAUAGCCGGCUCCCUUUUUUUCAUUUUUUUUUCUUUUGUGAUUGUGACUUAUUUAAGCACGCUUGUAUGUUCCGGAACGUCUUAGAUCGUGUUUGCCUGCACUGUUAGUCCUGGCGAGAGUUGGGCAGGCAGUCCGCUAACCUCUUUGGUUCACCUUAGGGGAAAGGUGGGACUGUCACAUCAUGCACAUACUUAUCACCAAUAUCCAACAAGAAUUUGUCUAUGCAAAGAUCCCAACCACUGGGGACCAACAGAAAUGAAUUAGGCCAAAACACAAAAACAGAAAACAUUACAAAGAGAGCCCUAUCAUAAAAACUUGAAACACCUAACUAAAACGUGCAAGGAAUCAUUCUAAAUUCUAAACUAUGAAACAAACAAGAUGCUAGGCAUCUGUACAAGAAGAUUUGAGGCCAACAUAGACAAGAUAACACAAAGUGAAUAACUAGGAGCCUAAUACUCAUUUGACUCCAUAAAACCCUCAUAAACACAUGACUAAAUGCAGAGGAGAUUUAAGGUUGGGGGGUCAAAACAUGGAUCUAGGAACAAACAAAUUCUAAGUGAAACUAUCCAAGAGCAACCAUCAAAACAUGAAAAUCAAAGAAAACAGACCAUAAAACAGCAAAGAUAAAAAAGUAAACAACAAAGGAAUCAACUUGGACCUUAGAUGAAAGCAAAGAGGAAGAUCACAGUAGGUGGCUUGUUGUAGAACCAUGCCUUUCAACGAUGGUUGAAGCCGAUGGUAGAGGCAUUGUUUCUUCCUUCUGUUUGCUACCUUUCCUUUUCUUUUGCUGAGAUUCAGUCUCGCUCAACCUCACCAGCCUUUUCUCUAGCUCACUUUUCGUUUUGCCGCUCACCAGAUUCUCUCCUUUUUCCUAUCCCUUUCGAUGUUUUUCUUUUUCCGCCAUCAUAUACUUGGAUCUUGGCUGCGUUUCUUUUCCCAGCUUCCUUCUUUCUUGCCCUCAGCCCCGAACUCCUAUUUGUCAUCAACCGUCACCAUCCUCUCUUCAGCCGUCUAAACACUCUCCGCCGUCCCUUGCCAAGGUUUUUUUUUUUCUCUAUUCUUUUUCUCAUCUAGCCCCGCCGUCAACUCUCCUCUUACUUCAUCAGCAGUCAUCCCUCCCCUUUACCUUUCAGCCGUCACCCCACCUUCAGUCAUCACCAGAUUUUCCUUUCCCUUUUAGCCGUCACACUCCCUAUUCUCCCCCUCCAGCCGUCACUCUAUCUGUUUUCUAUUCUCUCUUGCCGCCACCCUGAUUCUCUUUCACUCCCUCGGCUCUUAACUCUCUCCCCAAACCCUUUUCUUUUUCCUCUGUUUUUUCCAUUCAGCCCAACCGUCAACUAGAGCCUCCCCCCUCUCUUGGCCUGUAUUUUGAUCCUUUUAUAGCUAUAGAAUCCCCCAAAACCUAGAACUAAGGGAGGAGAUUGGAGCUGCAUUUUUGGCAAGAAUUUGAGCCCUUAGAUGGGCAGUGAUUCUGGACUUUACCACUAAGAUGCGUUGGUAUUGUACUGAAGGGUUUAAAGGGAAAACAAAGUGAGAAAAUGGGUGGAAAAAAAAUGGGAUCGAAACGGGCAUCUCCAAAAUUUUCGUACUAUGCAUAUAUGGUUUCUGAUAUGAAACAUGAAGAAGGGUUUGGAUCGUGUGUGGCUCAAGGUGCGUGAGCUUGCUCUUUUUUUUUAAUCAAUUUUUAACUUAAUUAACAACAAAUAAUGAAAUAAUUGUAACAACAAAAAAAAAACAAGAUUAACCAAAUCAAAUGAAAUGCUAAGAAAUUUGUUUAUUUUGAUUGAUGAUUUUUCCUUUUAUUUUACUAAUUUAAUGCAAAAUAUACCUUAAAAAUAAAAAUGACAAUAAAAAAUAAAAAUAAGUAUUAACUAUGCUCUUAAUUAAUAAAAAUAAAAAAUAAAAAAUAAAUAUUAAAUGUUAAAAUAAAAAUUUGGUGUCUACAGCUUGCCCCUCUUUGUCUGAGUUUCGAAGAAACUCGAGACAAAGACGUAGACACCAAAUGCUUACCUGUGAAUUGCAACAUAUAAAAUCAAUGGGAUGAAAACCCAAGUUUGUCUUCACUUGGUCAGUGGGAUGUAUACCCAAGCCUGCCUUCAAUUGUUUAAUUGGUCAGUGGGAUCAACACCCGAACCUGCCUUGAAUUGGUCAGUGAGAUAAUAUCUGAACCAACCGUACUAUUGAUCAGUGAGAUAAUACCCGAAUCUGCCAUAGCAUCGGCCAGUGGAUAAUAUCUGAACCUGCCUUCAAUUGGUCAGUAGGAUCCACACCCGAGCCUGCCUUCAAUUGUUUAAUUGGUCAGUGUGAUCAACCCGACCCUGCCUUGAAUUGGUCAGUGAGAUAAUAUCUGAACCAACCGUACUAUUGAUCAGUGGGAUAACAACCCGAGCCUGCCAUAACAUCGGCCAGUGGAUAAUAUCCGAACUGCCAUUCCAUUGGUUAGUGGGAUCCAUACCCGAGCCUACCAUCCAUUGGUCAGUGGGAUCAACACCCGAACCUGCCUUCAAUUGGUCAGUGAGAUAAUAUCUAAACCAACUGUACUAUUGAUUAGUGGGAUAACAACCCGAGCCUGCCAUAGCAUCGGCCAGUGGAUAAUAUCCGAACUGCCAUUCCAUUGGUUAGUGGGAUCCAUACCCGAGCCUACCAUCCAUUGGUCAGUGGGAUCCAUACCCGGGUUUAAUUGGUCAGUGGGAUCAACACCCAAACCUGCCUUCAAUUGGUUAGUGGGAUCCAUACCCGAGCUUGCAUUUCAAUUGGUCAAGAAAUUAAAUGUGAUUUUCAAGAAGGGGGAAUAAAAGGGUGCGCGGCUGAUGCUGAGACAUAACCAACAAGAAUUAAAUUUGAUUUUUCAAAAAACAAGAAAUUGAAUUUGAUUUUUUGAUUUUUGAUUUUUUUGAUUCUUUUUUUUGAUUUUUUUUUCUAUUUUUUUUUCGAGAGAAUCCUUUUAAAAAUUGUGAUAGCCCCACCUUCCCCUAAGGCGAACCAAAGGGGUUAGCGGACUGCCUGCCCAACUCUCGCCAGGACUAACGAUUUAGUUCACCUCGAUCUAAGACGUGCCGGAACAUACUAACGCGCGUAAACGAGUCACAAUGUCCAAAUAAAAAAAAUGAAACCGGAGUCGGCCAUGAAUAGUAACCGACACGUCAAAAUCCAACCGAACAUCAAGCAAAUAUUUACAUGUUGAAAUUAAGCAUAUACAAUCUAAAGUGGCAUACAAAAAUUAUUCCAAAGUGGAUACAUGUACGGUUUGCCAAAUCAAAAGAGAAACGGAUCCAAAAGUACAUUUAGGGUUUCAAUCAAGGAGCUAUACAAAAGAUAUGUCCAACUAGCUCAAUUCGGCAACCAACUAUCAAAAGUCAUUCCAAAAGUGUUUAUUUCCUGUAAGGAAAACAAAAGGAAUAGGGUGAGCUUACGCCCAGUGAGAUAAUACCACUCAAGCAACCAAGUUCAUAUAAGCAUGAGAUUUGCAUUCCACAAGAAAGUAAGCCAUGAUCAUAUGUCAAUAACUUGAUAAAAGGAUACGGACGGCUCUCAAGAGCCCCUUUCCUCGUUUGUAUACUUGAUCGGGCUUCAUUGACCCUCCGUCAAUGUUUAAGAGUAACUAACCGUAGGCUCCACUUUACUUCCAUUCCGCCCACCUAACAUUCUCCUACCGGGCCCGAACUCCAAAUACUUGCAAUGUGGUAUUACUCGAGUAUACCGGAAUCGAGAGUCUCUCAUACUACAAGAUUCCAUAUAACAGUCCCCAAGGUUCAUUAAUUGGCACGACCAAGCCCUCACCGGCUCGAUUCAAUCAACUACCAAUGGGAUUGAGCUCAAUGGUAACAAUCAUGGUCGUUGGAUACUUGUCCAAACGACACCAAGUCAAGUACUUUCAUUUCAUGUAACAUUCCAAUAACAUGAUAAAAAAAAUGAUAUAAGGCAUAAAAGGGAGAGUGAUCAAGUACACCCUCACUUAAGUCAAUAUCGAAGGUGCAAUAAACAUUCAACACAUCCAGUUCAAAUAUCAAAGCCAUAGAGUAACACACAAGUGAGUAGUACAUUCACCAAGCUUGAAAAUGAUAUUUCAUGCACCUCCGUCAAAGGAGCGUCGUGAACCACCGUCACGCCCUAAAACAUGCAAACAAGUACACUGAGACUCGAUAAUGAAUCAUAAACCAAUGCCAAAUACUCCCAAAAUAGGGUUCCAUAAGCAUACAUAAGCAUUAGAAGAAACCAGAAAAAUCCGGAAAUGGAAUUGCUUCAAUUCAAAGAAACAGUUUUUGAUGUCAUUAUGCGGUUUUGGCACCAUAGGUACUACGAUUAUCGGAUGGAGGUGUAAGAUACACCGUUUCGAAGCUAAGAGAUAGGGCUACAAAGUUUCAGAAGGCUACUCUAUCCAGUUUCGAGUGUAACCAGGUCAAAUAUGCGAUAUACUACACCAGAACCGCAAAACAGGUUCACAAACCGCAUUCUGGUUCAAACAUCAUAAGUCAGGCUACCUAAGUCCAAAUCUAGUGAUUCCAAAGCCAUCCAAAAGCUAAUAUACAAGGCUACAUUUCAUCAGAAGACCUCAACAACCAAUUCUGAAGCAUUCCCAACCAAAUUAACCAAUUACAUAUGCAACUAUCAAAUUCGGGUAAAACCAGGGCAGCAAGGGUAUUUCCAUCUUUUCUCAAGCUACGCUACUCCGAUUGACCUGAAAUUUUACCGGCAUCUCUAAAAUAGUAUUCCCUACAACUUUUAUGUUUUAACCCAAAGCCAAUUCAGCCUCUAACUAUGUGCUACAGUGCCAGGCAGAAUGUACAAUCAUAAAACCCUAACUUUCCAAAUUUCUUCCAAAACUAAAAUUGCUUGCAAUUAACCACUUUUUCCACCUUCUAGAUUCCUUAAAUACCAUUUCCAAUCAUCACACAUGACCACAUAAUCAUAUUCAUAUGAAAACAGAAAAAUCACCAAUAAGUAUAAGACAUCACCAAUUCAACCAAAAAUCAAGAUAUAAUCCAUAAAAUUGCAUCUUAUACUACCCCCAAUCAUGAAUUAAGCUUCAUUAGAGGGAGGAGAGGGAUUCUUCACAACUCACCUUAGCAACACAAGAGAGAGAGCAACUAGUCACCUUAGCUUUCCAAACAACUUCACCAAUCACCUCACCAACACUAAGUGAUGAGGUUUUAUGGAACAAAAGCAAGUUUAAGUGGUUGUUUUGAUGGAUUUGAGCUAAAUGGAAGCAAGAACCUGGAGAGUUUUCUUUCUUUCUUUCUUGAAGUUGGCCGGCCAAGAUGAAGAGGAAAUGGUGAAUUUUUGGUAAAUUUUUGAAUUUAUUUGGUCAAUUGGUAAGACAAUGAAUAGUAGUCAUAAAGUACCACUAAUCAUUUGCUGACACUUGUCACUAUAAUUAAUGCAUCUCUAUCUCUUUGUUUUCUCUCACAACAAUCCAACCAGCAACCUCUAACUAUCUCUUAGCACCCGAUAAUUUAAACCCAGUAUCCAAAACUUAACCUAGUUGGCCGAAUUUUUCCGAAUUUUUUGACCUAGUGGGUCCUACGUUCGGUAUGUGCUCUUAAUUUCUCAAAAACUAUUCGAUACUAGAAAAAUCAUCUAAAAACUAUAUUUACGCAUAAAAAUUAUUGGAAAAAAAAUUUCCUAAUAAAGAAAAUGCGGAAAACAUGCCAAUAACGAUAAUAAACCCUAGAAAAAUGAGAAAAUUACAGGUUCUCAGACUCUCUCCCCCUUAAAAGAAUUUCGCCCUCGAAAUUUCUCACCUUAACUCACGAAAAGUUUAGGGUAUUUCUUUUGUAUCUCUUCUUCCACCUCCCAGGUAGCUUCCUCUACCCCAUGGUUUCUCCAUAGUAUCUUAACCAACGGAAUCUGCUUGUUCCUUAGCUCUUUGACUUUCUGAUCAAGCACUUGGAUAGGUUUCUCUUCAUAAGCAAGCGACUCGUCUACGUCGAUCUCCUCUGGUUGUAAGAUAUGGGAUGGGUCGGGAUAGUAUUUCUUGAGCAUCGAGACGUGGAAGACGUCGUGAAUUCGAGAGAGACUGGACGGCAACUCCAGUCGAUAUGCUAUCGUUCCUACCCUCUGGAGGAUCUUGUAGGGUCCAACAAACCUCGGUUGGAGCUUCUUUCCUUUGCCUGCUGUGAUGCUCCGUAAGGGUGUGAUCUUGAGAAAUACGUGGUCUCUAACUUCGAACUCCAAGUCUUUUCUUCGAUUGUCGGCGUAACUCUUCUGUCGGCUUUGAGCUGUUUGGAGUCGUUGCCGUAUCAACUUGACCUUUUCUCGAGCCUCUUCUAUCCAUGGAAUAGUUGCCGGGUCUAGUGCCUUUCUUUCACCAACUUCAUCCCAGUAGAUCGGUGACCGGCAUUUUGGUCCAUAUAGUGCCUCGUAUGGAGCCAUUUGAAUCGACGAAUGGUAGCUGUUGUUAUACGCAAACUCUACUAAGGUCAUGUGUUGACCCCAGUUGCCUCCAAAAUCCAGAAUGCAAGUCCGUAGCAUGUCCUCGAGAGUUUGGAUCAUCCGCUCCGAUCGUCCAUCCGUCUGAGGGUGAUAAGUCGUGCUCAAGUUGAGUUUAGUCCCCAGGUUUUCUUGGAACUUCUGCCAAAACCGAGAUACGAACCGGGGAUCUCUAUCAGAAACGAUGCUCACAGGAACGCCGUGUAGCCUUACAAUCUCAUCCAUGUAUAGUUGGGCCAACUUGUCCAUGGAGUACUUUAUGUUUACUGGCAAGAAAUGGGCCGAUUUGGUUAAUUGAUCGACGAUCACCCAAACGGCAUCGUGCCCUCUCUGCGUCCGCGGCAAACCUGAAACGAAGUCCAUGGUGAUGUUUUCCCACUUCCACUCGGGUAUCUCAAGGGGCUGUAACAAGCCCGAUGGUUUUUGAUGCUCUGCUUUCACCUGUUGGCAAACGAGAUGAUGUGAGACGGAUCUAGACGAACACCAAGUUGAGUGGAUUUGCGGAACUUUGACCCUGCUAGAAUCAUGAGCCACGAACUAAGGAGAAUCCUUAACCCAAGACUAGCCAGUUUAGUGAACCAAAGUAUAUUUAGAAGAACGCCACAAUCAAGGAGACUACUUGAUUGAUAAGUUCGAUGAACAACUUGAGAUUAAUUCUCAAGUAUUCAAAGGAAAUUCCCUUGAAGCAAGAGAGAGUGAAUAAACUCACAAUUAUGUUAUAAAAUCUGAAUUCUGUCCUCAAUGAAUGAAAACCUAGGCUAUAUAUAGCCUUACAUGACUCAAACCCUAGAAGAUCCAAUGGACGACCUUGCCCUUCAUUAAGGGUGAAAAUAUCUAACAACUAAUUAACUAAUCUAAGACUCAGAAUUCGGCCAAAGGUAAAGUGUUAUUGACCGAAAUUAUUUAAUGCUAACAAACAACUAAUAAUGAUAACUAAAAACCUAAUUAACAAGCUAGUACUCCGCGAACUAGUCUUUACUUGAAUUUUCCAAUUCCCCAUGUGCUUGAAUGGAAUGGGCCUUGGUCUCUAUAUUCUCAUCAUUCCCCUCCUCUUAAUGGCGAUUUGUCCCCAAAUCAGGACUCUUCUUACAAAACAAAAGUGAUGAGAGCAUGUGUAUAGUCACCAAGCAGCCUGCAUGUCGCCUCCUCAAGCGAAGAAAGAUCAGGACACCCUUGUGGGACACCAGGAAAACUCGUGGUGGUGGUAGAUACAUGUUGCGGACAGCAAGAGUUCCAUGAUAAUGGGCACACAAGUGACGUCUCAAGUCUAUGGGUGGACCGUGAGCGGACGCCCGGUGAACCAAGGUUUGGUUGGGCUGCGCGUUGUACGCAUCAAGACGUGCAAAAACGGCAUCUAAAGCCAUUGUAACCCGACUAGUGCUGGUUGGAGCAAGUAGAACUGGUACAGCAUAAGGGCUUAGACUCUCUUUAAUCCAACCCUUACUAAGUAAUUCCUCCACUUGUCGUUGUUGCUCCUUGGUUUCCUCAGGAUUGGUCCUAUAUGGUGCCUUGUUGGGAAGGGAAGAUCCAGGAAUGAAAUCAAUUUGAUGUUCAAUUCCCCUUAAUGGAGGCAAACCAGUAGGUAUAUCCUCAGGAAAGACGUCUUGAUACUCCUGCAAAAGGUUAGUAAUACUACUAGGCAAGGAAGCAUCAGGAGCAUCAGUGAAUAAGGACCCUUUGCAAAAUAAAAUAAAUAAAAUCUGGUGAGAGUGCAAGGCCUUUCUCACAUCUUUUACCUUGGCAAGCAUGCUGGAUUUUCUCUCCUGUGUGGGCUCUAAGGCCGAAUGAGAGUGAUCCAACUUACUUGAAGAAGGGUCGGCCAACACUAAUUUCUUAGCUUUGGCGUUGUCCUUCUUGGUGGUAGCAUGCAGGUCAUACUCUUUUUGUAGACUAACUUGAUCCUCAUGCACUUGUUGAGGUGUAAGAGGUGCAAGUGUAAUCUUUUUACAAUUAUGCAUAAAAGAGUAUUUGUUCAAAAAACCAUCAAAAGUGACUCUUUUGUCAAAUUGCCAAGGACGCCCUAAGAGUAUAUGUGCAGCUUGCAUUGGUACUACAUCACACAUAACAUCAUCUUCAUACCUACCAAUGCGAAAAGUAACCAAAACUUGUUUAAGAACACGUACCUCUCCACUGUUGUUUAACCACUGAAGCUUGUAGGGACGAGGGUGCUCACUAGUCGGCAAGUUUAGUUUCUCCACCAUCAAUGCACUAGCAACAUUAGUACAACUUCCGGGAUCGAUCACCAAACUGCAUACCUUGUUGGUCACAUGGCACCUAGUGUAAAAAAUGUUGUCACGUUGAAGCUCAUCUUUACUAGCUUGAGUAGCUAGUGCUCUUCUUGCUACCAAUCCAACCUUGUCUUGAGUUGGAACUUCUUCUAUCUCAUCUUCCUCUUCAACCAAGGGAGGCAUGUCUGUGUAUUCCUCUUCUUCAUCAUCAGUGACAAUGUCUCCAUUUGGUAGGACAAGCAUGGCCCUUGGGUUUGGACAUUGGCUUGCAAUAUGCCCAACUCCUUGACACCUCCAACAUUUGGUGUCACGACUCCUAGGUUUUGAAGUUUCGAUUGGUGGCUUGGAAAUAACCUUGGAGUCUGGUUUGGCAAAAGACGGCCGUGAGCUUGGACCUUGAUCAUGCUUCGGCCUUGGAGGGUUCCAAGUAUUCGAACCUCUCUCUUCCCUUCUAGGCUGGAAUGGACGAGUAAAUGUUUGUGGAGGAGGGUUAUAGUUUCUGGUUGCACCCCUCCUCUUGAGUCUUUGCUCAAUCUUGAUAGCCUUGUCAACCAUAUCAUCUAUCUCCACAUAGUAUUGAAGCUCAAGUUGAUCGGCUAUCUCAACCCUUAGACCACUGAGAAAUCUUGCCAUUGUAGCUUCUCGAUCUUCUUGAAUAUCAGCUCUCAACAUGGAGAUUUCCAUGUCCUUGUAGUAGUCCUCAACUGAGCGUUGGCCUUGCGUCAAGGUUUGAAGUUUUUUGUACAAGUCUCUAUGAUAGUGACUUGGUACAAAUCGCUUCUUCAUAAGUCUCUUGAGCUCAGUCCACGUGGUUAUAGGUGGUUCACCACACCUUCUCCUGCUGGUAACCACUUGCUCCCACCAAACUAUGGCAUAGUCGGUGAAUUCUACUAUGGCAAGUUUCAAUUUUUGGGCAUCGGUGUAGUCAUUACAAUCAAAUACUAGCUCUACCCGACUUUCCCAUUCAAGGUAUGUAUCCGGAUCGGAUUUGCCUUGGAAUGGAGGAAUCUUCAUCUUAAUCCCUUGGAUUGCAUCACCAAUUGCUCUUGUGUUCCUCUUCGGUCUCCCUUGUCUGUAGGUCUCACGGUCCGAAUCGGCGUUGGAGUCACUAGAUUCCUCCAGGGCGGAUUUUCCUUUAGAUUUCCUAGAUGAAGCCCUAGAUGAACUUAGGUGAUCAAUCUGCUCAUGGAUCGUUUCCAGUCGUUGGUCCAGUCUCCUCUGCAUUUCCUUCCACAUAGCAUCCAUUUUAAGUGAUAACUGAGCAAUGGUAAGUUCAUUUUCCUGAGACAUGGUGAACCUGCAAAACUUGACAAAUUGUUAGUAGAAAAGGUCUCACUUGCUCCCUUAAGUGUUUCACUCCUCUCGUGUUUUCACUCAAGUGUUUAUGUCCCUCUAAUGCUCUCACCAAUUCACUUCUCAAGCCACUUGAUAGGUACCUUUGAAGAAAUCAGAAAUUUUCUCAAGGAAAUUCAAUCAAACUUUAAUCAAAUAGCUCCCAAUUGUACUAAAGUAACAAGGAACAAAAGUAGAAACGGAAUGAAAUGAAGAAUGAAAUGAUAAGGAAUGAAACGAAGAAUGUCCAAAUACAAUGAUGGAGUUUCCCAAGUGUUUCCUUAAUUUUCCUAAUUGAUUUUUCUGGAAAACAAAUUAGGUGUUGUACUUUUUGGAAAGUUCCUUAAGGUCGGCUAAAUGGAAAUAGGAUUGGUUCCCAAAACAUUCCAGAUUUUGUACCCCCUUAACCUUCCUCAAAAUCAGCUAUACCAAAACAGAAUUGUUUCCAAAAAUUUUCCAGAUUUCCUUCUCCUUGUUCCUUUCCUAAAGUCGGCUGGUCAACCAAGUGCAAAACAGAAUUUGGUAGUUUCCUAUUCCAACCGAAACUAAUCUCAGAAAAUUCCAGAAUUCCCUCUUCUUAAAUCCCUCUCAUAGUUGGCUAGAACUUCCUGAAAAAUUUUCCAGAUUUGGUAACUUCCUAACCUCUAAAAUUUUCCAGAAUUUUGCUUCUAAAAACCUUCCAUAAAACUCGGCUAUACUCCCCUUCAAAGAACAAGCAAUUCAGCCCUCCCCUCUUUGCUCCACACAAGGACAGUUUUGACGCUUGGUGCUAAACAAUGGCUUCACAAGAUGACACAAGCAACGUCACCCAAGAAUACCCCAAGCGGCCUGCUCAAGAAACUCCCAAGAGGUUUACUCCUAAGCCAAGAAAGCCCCGUAUGGAUGCAAGGACGUACAAGAAACUGUUUAUACGUAGGGAGGUGCAAAUCUUCAAGAAUCAAGAUGGUCAAGAUCCUCAAAAAACUCAAUGGGUGAUACAAGUGAUCAAGGCUCAAGGUGUGCAAGAUUUUCAAGAGGAGGUUGGUCAAAACUUUUGAGUAGUCUUUUCUUGAUGCAAUUUUCUGGUUUGUUGGAACAAGUGCAACAAGACAGAAUUUGGCAAAUAAAAGUGCGGCUUCCUUCUUUGUUGUUUGCUACCCGAAUGCCUUUUCUCUUUUCCUUUUUCUGUUUGUUUUUUUUUUUGACUCUAAGAACACACAAUUACUCGGCUGUUUUUUUUGGGUAGAAUUCCAGAAUUUAAUGUCAAUCCAAUGUUCUCCUUCAAUCCUCCAAUUCUAGUCAAUUUUAUUUUGCAAUUCUGGUCGUGUCUUCCUUUGUGUCAAGUCCGAUUGUGUGUCUUCCGUCAAGGUUAAAAAAAAAAAAAAAAAAAAAAAAAGUACUGUAGCAUCGUACUGUUCAUCGCUACUGUAGCGAUACUGUUCACCGUGCCGCACUGUAGCGAUACUGUUCACCGCUACUGUAGCGACACUGUUCAUCCCGAAAAAAAAAAACUUUUGUUCAUAACUUGUGUUUCUUUUCUUAUUUUGGUGUCUUGUUAUAUUGUUCUUGAAGUUUUGUGUUGGUUUAGAGUAAAAAAAAAAAAAAAAUCCAACCACUAGGGUUUCCUUGGGCGCAAGUUUCUUGCCAAAUCUGUCCAAACUUUAGUUUAUUCCACCAAGUUGUUUUAAUUAAUUUCCUAAACUGAUUUUGUGGUUGAACUUGUUUGGGGUUGGAAUCUUGGAGAGGGACUACCAUAAUCUAGGGUUUCUUGAGUUUCUUGAAACUAAUCUUGAAGUCUUGAAACUUUGAUACAUGUCUUGAUAAUUUCUUGAAGUUCUUGGAUUACAUAUAACAUUCUCCGAGUUACUCCUUUGUAAACAAGCCCUCGAUUUGAGGACAAAUCGUCUUUCAAGAGGAGGGGAAUGAUGAGAACAUGAAGAUUUGCAUGGAUUCCUUUCAUUUUACAAGUCUGCACAUUCUAAUGAUGGUUGAUGGUGCAAUCGGGCUCGAGAAUCAUUGAAGAUCCAAAUUUUCCAAAUUUUAAUUGGCUUCCAAAUCUUGAUUGGUAUCUUGAUUGAUAUCUUGAUUGAUUUCCAAAUUGAGAGUUAAGUAAGUUGUUUGAAUUAGGGAAUAAAGGCUAAAGUCAUGUUGACCAUAGUUAAGCCAAUUUGAAUUAGUUAGUUUCCUAUUCUAGUUGAAUUAGAGUUUUAGGAAAGCAGUUAAUUGCUUCCAAAUUUGUUUAGGAAGUUAUGUCAAGUUUAGAAGUCAAGUCAAAUAAGGAAACUUGUAUUGUUUCCAAUUUAGAUUAGGGUUUUGAGUCUUGCAAGGCUAUAAAUAGCCAACUUUAUUUAACUAUUGAAAAACACAAUUAUGAGAUGAAUAAAAAUUGAGAGUUUUCUCUUUCUUGUUCCUUUGGGAGCGUUCCUUGAUACAAAGUGAGUUGUAUCUCCUUUGUUCAAGUUUCGGCUUAUCAAUUCAAGACCAUGUUGAAUUGUGGCGCCUUCUACACUUGCCUGAGGUUCACUAAUUCGUUUGGUUACGGGUUGAGAUAAUAUCAACAAGUUCGUAGUCACGGGGAUUAGAGGGGUCGUAAGGUCUUUCCAUCUUUGUAUCCAUAACCUGGUCAAGAUAGAUCCUUCCGCUGCCUGAUCGAUUCGGUUCUUCAAGACAGGUUCUUGUUGGGUCGAAUUCGUAUCACGAGACAUUUUUGCACGUACAAAGCGAUUUCAUUCUUCAUAUUAUCCCACCAAUAGGUUCCUUUUAGGUCUUGAUACAUCUUGCUACUACCCGGAUGGAUUGUAUACUUGGACCGAUGAGCUUCUUCUAGAAUCUUCAUUUUUAAUGAUUCAUCCUUCGGCACCACUAUUCGGUUCCAGUAUUUCAAAAUACCCUCAGGACUAAAAUUGAAAUCCAUUGUUUCUCCUUUCUCCACUUUCUCUCCCCACUUCCUUACUAUCAAAUCUUCUUUUUGCGCCCCUUUAAUGCGUUCCAGUAGAGUGGAGGUUACUUUAACAUUGCUAAAACUCACCUUAUGACUCCCAAGACAGGGUUUCCACUCACAUACGGAUUCUAAUAAAUCCCACUCUUUGAUCAUCAAUCAUGCUACUUGCACCUUACGACUUAAGGCAUCGGCUACCACAUUUGCCUUUCCCGGAUGGUAGUUAAUUGUGCAGUCGUAAUCUUCUAGAAAUUCCAUCCACUGUCGUUGCCUCAUGUUCAAUUCCUUCUAGGAGAAGAGGUACCUAAGACUCUUGUGGUCCGAGUAAACCUCAAAGGUAACCCCAUAUAGGUAGUGUCUCCAUUUCUUUAGAGCAAAAACAACUGCGGCUAACUCCAGAUCGUGGGUUGGGUAGUUCUGCUCGUGAGGUUUUAAUUUUCUCGAGGCAAAAGAUAUCACAUUACGGUCUUGCAUUAAAACGCAACCCAGGCCUUCUCGUGAUGCGUCAGUAUACACAGCAAAUCUGUCCACUCCAUUUGGCAAGACUAGCACUGGAGCUAUGGUCAAUCUUCUCUUUAGUUCCUGAAAACUUGUCUCGCAUCGGGCGUUCCAUACGAACCGACCAUGUUUCUUUGUCAAGUCGGUUAGGGGACCAGCCAACUUGGAAAAGUCCUUGAUGAAACGCCGGUAAUACCCAGCCAGCCCUAGAAAGCUGUGGAUCUCGGUGGGAUUUUUUGGUCUCUUCAAAUUAGUCACCGCCUCUACUUUCGCCGGGUCAACCGAGAUGCUUUCGUGGGAGAUUACGUGCCCUAGGAAAGCGAUUUUCUCCAACCAAAACUCGCACUUACUGAACUUGGUGUGCAACUGAUGCUCCCUUAGGGUCUGCAACACCACCCUCAAGUGCUGCUCAUGCUCCUCGCGAGUUUUGGAGUAGACCAAGAUGUCAUCAAUAAAAACAACGACAAAUUGGUCUAAAUAGGGCUUAAAAACCCUAUGCAUAAGGUCCAUGAAGGCGGCAAGAGCAUUGGUUAGUCCGAAGGGCAUAACUGCGAACUCAUAAUGCCCAUAUCUCGAGUUGAAAGUGGUUUUUGGAAUAUCCUCCUUCCUGAUUAAUAACUGGUAAUACCCUUGGCGGAGAUCCAGUUUCGAGAAAACCACCGCUCCCUGUAACUGAUCAAACAACUCAUCUAUGUGGGGCAGUGGAUACUUAUUUCUUACCCUAAUAUUAUUCAGGCCCCGAUAAUCGAUACACAUCCUCAACCCACCAUCCUUUUUCUUCACAAACAGCACAGGGACUCCCCAAGGAGACCCACUCUCUUGAAUGAAUCCCCGCUCUAAAAGAUCCUGUAAUUACAACUUUAGCUCCUUGAGCUCCGCAGGAGCCAUUCGGUAUGGUGUUUUCGAGAUAGGAGAGGUUCCCGGUAGCAGGUCUAUUUUGAAUUCAAUCUCUCUUUCCGGAGGUAGAGCUACUAACUCAUCAGCAAACACGUCCGGAAAUUCCUUCACUAUGGGCACGUCCUCCACUUUCAACUUAUCCGUGGGGGUGUUAAUCAAAAAGGCCAAAAAUCCUUGCGCCCCUCUACUUAGCAGUUUCCUAGCCCGAAUGCCCGAAAUCAAAGCAGAUGAGGCUAACCUGCCCCUUAUGUCCAACCUUAAGGUUGCCUCACCAGGAAUGCGGAAUUCUACCACUUUCGUUUUACAAUGCAGUUGGGCAUUAUAUUUGGCUAGCCAGUCCAUACCCAAGAUCACAUCAUACCCUUUAAUGGACAAGCUUAUCAAGUCUCCUAAAAAUCUCUUUUCUCCUACCCACACUUCACAAUCCCGAUAAACCAUACUAGUAACCAAACGUUGACUCCCCGUAGGUGUACUAACUUCUAGAUCAUAUGGUAAACUAGCAGGUUUUAUAUCGAUGCCACACAUGAAAUCAGGGUUAACAAAAGAAUGAGUGGCACCAGGAUCAAUUAAAACUUUGGCAAAGCGGUGGAAAAUAGGGAUCGUACCUUCUACGACCUCUGAGGAAUCUGGGACAUGAUGGGGCUCUAAGGAAUACACUCUAGCUGGCACCUUAGGUUUCAUCCCAUUCCCCUUAUCCAGUCCCGUAUUGGUCUUUGGCGCGGUUUGAGUUCCCUUUCCGUCUUGUUUUAAGAAUGGACAGGUAGCAAGCUUGUGGUCUGCGCUUCCGCAACGCAGACAUUUACCCCCUUUCUUCCAGCAAUUAUCUUCAAAAUGAUUCGGCUUUCCGCAGUACCCACAAGACCCAUGGAACGCCGAACCGGAACCCUUCUGGAAGUUUCCGCCUUGGUCUCUUCCGGCUGAGCCACCCUUGGACUGAGCCCCCUUGCCGGAACCCGACAGUCAUCCACCUCCAGCUCCUCGUCCGAACUUGGAGGAGGUACCUUUAUCUUCUUGCCUAGAGUUGCUUCCAGGAAAACCCCGCUUCUUCGCCUGGAAGUUCCGUACUUGGACCCUGGCGCUCUCUACUCGUUGGGCUUUCUCAACGACCUCGCUAAAAGCGUUAAUCUGGGCCACCACGAGGUCCUUCUGAAUUUCCACAUUCAGGCCCUGAAUAAAACGCCUGAUCCGCCGUUGUUCCGUCACAAUUAACUGAGGGGCAAACUUAGAUAAGCGCGUGAACUGGCUUUCAUACACCGCUACAGACUGAGCCCCUUGGCGGAGUCGAAUAAACUCAUCUUCCUUCCUCUCCUGAACUAGAGGAGGGAAAAAUUUCGCGUUAAACUCUCUCAUAAAAUUUACCCAAGUCCUGGGCGUUUGUUCCCGUUCCCAUUUUUGCCGAAUGACAUUCCACCAGGAACGGGCCGCCCCUUCCAGCUGAAAAACGGCAAAAGUCACCUGUCGUUCUUCGGUAUAGUGCAGGGCAGCGAAAGUUUCUAUCAUCUUCUCAAGCCACCUUUCGGCGACAUCCGGGUCGGGCCCCCCAAUAAACUUGGGUGGAGCAAACUUUUGAAAUCAUUCGAGAGCUCUGUCUUCGCUCUCGAUGUGGUUGCCAGGGUUUCCAGGAUUAGGGUGUGGGUUUUGGCCCUGUUGCUGCACCACUUGUGCUAGCAAGUUGGUCAUUUGCUGCAUAGCGGUAGCGAUUUGCAAGUUGGGGUCAGGAUUAGGUCCAAAAGAGGUUUCCUCAGUACCCCUGUCCGGUGUGGGUUGUCUAUUUCCGCGCCCACGUGCCCGUCCACUCCGUGUACCUUCCAUGAGUUCUACUUGGUCUAGGCAAAAGUACUAAACCAAAAUAAUAACAAUGCAUGUAAAUAAAACCCAAAAACUUUAACAAACAUAUAUAUACAUGCCAAACAAGGCACACAACACACAUAUCAACAACCAGUCAAGUCAAGUACAGUCAAGCCAAGUACACACAUGGACAAUCCCCAAGGGAAUGGUCUCAACAAAAGAAAUAUACACGUAGCUAAUCCUAACGUACAAAAUGAUUAGCUAAAGCUCUUUCCCCUAACCGCCUAUAUACAAAACAAAACUAUCCCAAAAGACACUAAGCGUCAUGACCUAGUUCGUCGACAGGCUAGUAGAUCCACCCGACGGGGUGGAUCCAACUCCAGCCUCAGGCUCCGCACAUGAGUCCUCGUCACUCACGCCCUCGACCACGUCGGCGCAGAGGUUCAGGAUCGAUGCGGCUCGAACCUUCACCUUUCGCGCUCGCUUAGUCUCGCGCUCACGGGUUUCCCUAAGCUGGGUGCACAGGUCAUCCACCCGAUCCUCAACCUCAAGUACAUCAUACUCCAGCCCCUUAAUGCGCUCGGCUUGUUUCUCAUUGGCCGCCCUAAGCUGGGUCACCUCGGCCUUCAACCUAGCGUUAUCUCGAGCUAAUUCCUUACGCUCAUCCGCCACGGCCAAUACUAAUGCGUUAGGAUAGGCAUACGUGUGUCGACACUCGCAACGUCGGAGGCGGUUAGCCGGGCUCCAACGAACAUCGACCCCUCCUAGCCGAAUCUGGUAUGGGAUCACUGGGAGCGCUCCACGAGGUUGCUCUCUAGCCGGGGGACUACUAGGCUCACCAUGACCGUCCAUCCUACGCCAAAAAAGUAAAUAAGCAUAAAUAAUCUUAAAGGACGUAAUCAAAAGAAUCCUCAAAUCAAGCAUUUCUAAUACAUCCAGGCCAAUUCAAACCUGGGCUCUGAUACCACCUGUGACAGCCCCACCUUCCCCUAAGGCGAACCAAAGGGGUUAGCGGACUGCCUGCCCAACUCUCGCCAGGACUAACGGUUCAGUUCACAUCGAUCUAAGACGUGCCGAAACAUACUAACGCGCGUAAACGAGUCACAAUGUCCAAAUAAAAAAAAAUGAAACCGGAGUCGGCCAUGAAUAGUAACCGACACGUCAAAAUCCAACCGAACAUCAAGCAAAUAUUUACAUGUUGAAAUUAAGCAUAUACAAUCCAAAGUGGCAUACAAAAAUUAUUCCAAAGUGGAUACAUGUACGGUUUGCCAAAUCAAAAGAGAAACGGACCCAAAAGUACAUUUAGGGUUUCAAUCAAGGACCUAUACAAAAGAUAUGCCCAACUAGCUCAAUUCGGCAGCCAAAUAUCAAAAGUCAUUCCAAAAGUGUUUAUUUCCUGUAAGGAAAACAAAAAGAAUAGGGUGAGCUUAUGCCCAGUGAGAUAAUACCACUCAAGCAACCAAGUUCAUAUAAGCAUGAGAUUUGCAUUCCACAAGAAAGUAAGCCAUGAUCAUAUUUCAAUAAAUUGAUAAAAGGAUACGGACGGCUUUCAAGAGCCCCUUUCCUCAUUUGUAUACUUGAUCGGACUUCAUUGACCCUCUGUCAAUGUUUAAGAGUAACCAACCGUAGGUUCCACUUUACUUCCAUUCCGUCCACCUAACAUUCCCCUACCGGGCCCGAACUCCAAACACUUGCAAUGUGGUAUUACUCGAGUAUACCGGAAUCGAGAGUCUCUCAUACUACAAGAUUCCAUAUAGCAGUCCCCAAGGUUCAUUAAUUGGCACGACCAAGCCCUCGUCGGCUCGAUUCAAUCAACUACCAAUGGGGUUGAGCUCAAUGGUAACAAUCAUGGUCGUUGGAUACUUGUCCAAACGACACCAGGUCAAGUACUUUCAUUUCAUGUAACAUUCCAUGUAACAUUCCAAUAACAUGAUAAAAAAAUGAUAUAAGGCAUAAAACGGAGAGUGAUCAAGUACACCCUCACUUAAGUCAAUAUCGAAGUUGCAAUAAACAUUCAACACAUCCAGUUCAAAUAUCAAAGCCAUAGAGUAACACACAAGUGAGUAGUACACUCACCAAGCUUGAAAAUGAUAUUUCAUGCACCUCCGUCAAAGGAGCAUCGUAAACCACCGUCACGCCCUAAAACAUGCAAACAAGUACACUGAGACUCGAUAAUGAAUCAUAAACCAAUGCCAAAUACUCCCAAAAUAGGGUUGCAUAAGCAUACAUAGGCAUUAGAAGAAACCAGAAAAAUCCGGAAAUGGAAUUGAACUUCAAUUCAAAGAAAUAGUUUUUGACGUCAUUAUGCGGUUUUGGCACCAUAGGCACUACGAUUAUCGGAUGGAGGUGUAGGAUACACCGUUUCGAAGCUAAGAGAUAGGGAUACAAAGUUACAGAAGGCUACUUUGUUCAGUUUCGAGUGUAACCAGGUCAAACAUGCGAUAUACUACACCAGAACCGCAAAAACAGGUUCACAAACCGCAUUUUGGUUCAAACAUCAUAAGUCAGGCUACCUAAGUCCAAAUCAGGUGAUUACAAGGCUACAUUUCAUCAGAAGACCUCAACAACCAAUUCUGAAGCAUUCCCAACCUAAUUAACCAAUUACAGACGCAACUAUCAAAUUCGGGUAAAACCAGGGCAGCAAGGGUAUUUCCAUCUUUUCUCGAGUUACGCUACUCCGAUUGACAUGAAAUUUUACAGGGAUCUCUAAAAUAGUAUUCCCUACAACUUUCAUGUUUUAACCCAAAACCAAUUCGGCCUCUAACUAUGUGCUACAGUACCGGGCAGAAUGUACAAUCAUAAAACCCUAACUUUCCAAAUUUCUUCCGAAACAGAAAUUGCUUGCAAUUAACCACUUUUUCCACCUUCUAGAUUCCUUAAAUACCAUUUCCAAUCAUCAUACAUGACCACAUAAUCAUAUUCAUAUGAAAACAGAAAAAUCACCAAUAAGUAUAAGACUUCACCAAUUCAACCAAAAAUCAAGAUAUAAUCCAUAAAAUUGCUUCUUAUACUACCACCAAUCAUGAAUUAAGCUUCGUUAGAGGGAGGAGACGGGUUCUUCACAACUCACCUUAGUAACACAAGAGAGAGAGCAACUAGUCACCUUAGCUUUCCAAACAACUUCACCAAUCACCUCACCAACACUAAGUGAAGAGGUUUUAUGGAACAAAAGCAAGUUUAAGUGGUUGUUUUGAUGGAUUUGAGCUAAAUGGAAGCAAGAAAUUGGAGAGUUUUCUUUCUUUCUUUCUUGAAGUUGGCUGGCCAAGAUGAAGAGAAAAUGGUGAAUUUUUGGUAAAUUUUUGGAUUUAUUUGGUCAAUUAGUAAGACAAUGAAUAGUAGUCAUAAAGUACCACUAAUCAUUUGGUAACACUUGUCACUAUAAUUAAUGCAUCUCUAUCUCUUUGUUUCCUCUCACAACAAUCCAACCAGCAACCUCCAAUUAUCUCUUAGCACCCGAUAGUAACUGACCCGUCAGAACCCAACCAAAUACCAAGCAAACAUUCACAUCUUGAAACUUAGCAUUUACAAGCCAAAGUGGCAUACAAAAGUAUUCAAAAGUGGAUACAUGUCUAGUUUGCCAAAUCAAAAGGAAACAGUCCCCAAAAGUACAUUUAGGAUUUUAAUACAUGAGCUAUACAAAAGAUAUGUUCAACUAGCUCAAUUUCGCAGCCAUUUGUCAAAUCCAGACCAAAAGUGUUUAUUUUCCUGUAAGGAAAACAAAAGGAACAGAAAGGGGUGAGCUUGCGCUCAAUGAGGUACCAAACAGAUAGCAAUAAAAUCAUGGCAUUUUACGUUUAGCAACUCAAGUACACAUGCCAGAUGUAAAGCAAUGGAACCAAUGAUUCAAAUCAGAAGGAUACGGGUGGCUCUCAGGAGCCAAAUUUCCAGCGCAGUACUUGAUCCAAACCGGUUGACUCUCCGUCAACGUAUAUAGAACCAACGCGUCCGUAGACCCCUCUUUACACCGAAUUCCGUCCACCAAACACCCCUUUACCGGGCCUGCUCACCGUAACCGAACAGAAAUGGUAAUACUCGAAUAUACCGGAAUCAAGGGUCUCAAUACCCAGAGAUCCCAAAACAGACUACCGUGAUUCGUUAUCUAAUCGUCCAGGCCCUUGCCGGCCCGACUCGAAUAACUUAGCUACAGGAUUUGAGCUCAUAGGUCACAGAAAGGUCGUUGGUUACAAGUUUCCAAACGACGUCCGAAUAGAUACAGAUACAGAUAUCAAAUACAGAUACAGAUUCAGAUUGACACCAAAAUUGGCAUAUGAACAGACAAGAGAACGAGUGUGAUAAAAUACACUCUCGUCUCAAACAAAUUAAACAGAUUGCAAAGCAGAAAUCAAGUUAAACAACAAUGGAGAGGAGUGGUACACUCACCGGCUCAACUUCAAAAGUUUUUACUUCAGAUUGGCCUUAAUCGCCAAGAAACCCUAAAAUAACCAAAAUAAACCAAUUGAAGGUUUCACAUCCAUAAUCGAGUAAACAAAAUGCACAUGAGGCUCAACUACUAGUCGUAUGCCUCGCCAAAUAAUUACUAAUGCAAGGGUACAAAACAUGAUUUUUGGGAACAAAAAGAUAGCAUAAAGACCUAGGUUCAACAACCCAAAAGCCCUUUUAUUUCUACCAAAAGGCAAAUCCAACUUAAAAGAACCAAACGGCCUAGAAAUCGGGCAGCACUUCCCCUAAAUUUCUUACUUUUCCAGCCAUUAAGGCUUCAUUAUUUCCUCGAAUCAGUCCCAACAUCUCACACAAAAUUCACCUCAUUUCCAAAAGCCAUUCACUAGGCUCAAAGUAAAGGUUAACUAGGAAAUGACCGGAAUAAAAGUAAGCCUUAAAACAUACAAACAAGUACAAUGAGACUCGAUAACUAAUCAUAAAUAAAUGCCAAAUAUGACCCUAAUAGGGUUCCAUAAGCAUAUACAAUCAUUAGAGAAAACCAGAAAAUUCGGAAAUGCAAUUAGCUUUGGCCCUGAAAAAACAGUUUUUGACUUCUUUUUGCGGUAAUGGCACCAAAUGCCCUAUGAUUAUCGGAUGAAGGUGUAAGACCCACCAUUUCGAAGCUAAAAGACAGGGCUACAACAUCACAGUCACUCAACCCAGUUUUGAGUGCAAAUAGGUCAAAAAUGCAAGAUACUACAUCAAAACGUAAAACAGAUUCACCAAAACGCAUUCUAGCGGAAAUAUCAUAACUCAGGCUCUACAAGUCCAAAUCCAGAAAUUCCAAAACUAGUUGAAAGCUAAGAAACAGGGAUAAAUUUCAUCAGAAGGCCUCAACAACUCAUUCGGAAGCAAUCCAGACCAAAACAACCAAUUACAGAAGCAAAUCCCAAUUUCGGGUAAAACCAGAACAACAAUAGUAAUUUCGACUUAUCUCAUUCUACACUACUCCGAUUGACCUGAAAUUUUGUAGGCACCUAUAAAAUAUCAUUCCCUUAAACUUUCAUGUUUUGAGCUAAGACCAAUUCGGCCUCUAUCUAUGACCUAAAAUUUCGGACAGAAUGAAGAACCAAGGAACCCUAAUUUUCCAGAUUUCUUCCAAAACAGAAAUUACUUGCAAUCUUCCACUUUUUCCACCUUCUAGAAUCAUUAUAUACCAUUUCCAAUCAUCAUAUAUAGCCACACAAUCAUGUUCAUAUUAAAACAGAAAAAACUCCAAAAUAAUAAAACUUCAUCACUACAACCACAAAUCAAGAAUUAAUCCAUAAACUUGCAUCUCAUACUACCACUAAGCAUGAUUUAAGCAUCAAUUAAGGGAGGAGGGUGGUUCUUUAUAACUUACCUUAGAAACAAGAGAGAGAGAGCUAUUGUUCACCUUAACUUUCCAAGAAACUCCACCAAACAACUCACAAACACUAAGUGAAGAGGUUUUAUGGAGUAAUUGCAAGAUCAAAUGGUUAGAUGGUUCACCUUGAGCAAGAUUGGAGCUAAAACUUGAAGAGUUUCUUGCUUCCUUUUGGAGAGAGAGGGCCGGCCACAUGAGGAGAGAAAAUGGAGAUAUUUUGGUGGUUUUUUUUGGAUUUAUUUCAUCAAUUAGUAAGACCAUGAAUAGUGGUCUUAAGGUUCAACCACUCAAAUGGUGACACUUGUCACCUUAUUUAAUGACUUGCCUAACUUUUUUGUCUCUCUUACACCUACGCACUUGGUACCUCUAAAUAUCUCAUAACACCCGAUAAAUUAAUUUCAGUAUCCAAAACUUAACCUAGUUGGCCGAAUUUUUCCGAACUUUUCGCACUAGUGGGUCCUACGUCCGGUAUAUGCUCUUAAUUUCUCAAAAUCCAUUCAAUACUAGAAAAAUCAUCUAAAAACUAUAUCUGCUCCUUAAAAUUAUAUAAAAAAAAUUUUCUAAUCACGAAAAUGCAGAAAACAAGCCAUGAAAAAUUCUAAAACCUAGAAAAUGAAAAUUACGGGUUCUCACAGAGUGAAAGCAGACAUUUGUCCUAAAAAAUGAGGACGAAGUCCGAAUGGAUUGCCUGCUUUGAUCAACACACAAAAUGAUGUGUAAAAGAGAUUGCAAUGUCUCGAUUAAUUUAUUCAGUGAACCUUAGACUUAAACUCUAAAGGGGAAAAAGCGGGUCCAAUGGAUAGGAUGAAAUUGAUGAUUUAUUCAAAAUCGACCGAAUUGCACUAAAAAUAGGUAGACUGGUCAACUAAAUUGAAUGAAAUUGAUGAUCUCUUCAAAAUCGACUCGAUUGCCUUAAAAAUGGGUAAAUUGGCCAAAUGAAUGAAAUGGAGUUAAUGAUUUAUUAAAAAAUGAUUAGAUUGUCCUAAAAUUGAAUGAAUUGACAAAAAAAAAUUGGAUGAAAUUAAUGGUUUAUUCAAAAAUCGAUUGAAUUAUCUACCCAUUGGUAGUUUCAAAAAAUCAUUGCAAUACAUUAGUCUAUGAGCCUUCUAAAAUCAAUAUUUGACCUCAAUCUAUUAAUCGUCUCAACGAUGAGGAAUUAUUUGUGAAUUUCUUCAAAUUAAUGUCCUUUACGCAAGGGAUUUUUACCAAUUUUUUAUAAAAUGACCAAAAAGUGAUUAUUAGCUGCUCAUAUUCCAAAGAUCACUCUAUGAAAAUGAUCGGAUCCUACCUUACCUUGUGCACUACACCUUUGGAUGGUACAGGAAAUACAAACGUGUAAGCCUCAUUGGAUUGUAUAUUCGAGACACAGGGCGGUUUGUUUAUAACACGGGAUUCCCUAAAUGGCACUCCCGUCUAAGGUGGAUGCAUGAUGCCAGUUUAUCAAAGCGACUAAACAUGCAGUACACCAAUGAAAUGUGUCCUAAAAGAACCCCUUUUUGUAUGCCGGGAUGAGCCUAAAAUGAAAUGUAUUUAUGCUGCCAAUGCGAAGCAUUGAAUUUAAACGUGUCAUAUCAAAUAGGGUAGGCUCCUAGAGAGUACCGUGCCAGGACUCUUAUUUCCUAGGGCUUAUGAAUGCAAUGGAGACAAAACCAAAAAAAGUUAGUUCAAUCAGACAAAUACACAUAACACAUUUGUAGCAAGGCAAUACAAAGAGAUAAAACAAUAAAAGGAAUAGAGGGGUUGGAUCCCUCCCCUCGUGAAUGGUGCCCCUAAUAAGGUAAGACAGACUCUACCCUAGGUAAACUACCAUGGAUGCAUGAGGUAUUAGCUCACUAAUGCAUUUAGACUCGACAGGUUUUAGGUCCCUGAGCCUUCAGACUUGGAAACCAAGGGUCAUCAAUCCCAAGGUUCUUUGUCGGUGGCUCGAGCGAUUCCCCAAACACCAUUAUGCACACAUCAUGUCACGGCUACAUGUUUGAGUGAAUCUAUCAAAAAUCCUCAAUCUUCAACUAAAAGCUAAAGGCUAUCAACCCAAAGCUUAAAGCGGAAGAUUGAGUGACCCCUUGGAUCAUGCUACGCACACAUCGUGUCGCGAUCUCACGUCCAAGUGGGUCGCCUAAUCCUAAUAGGGUGGAGUGGCGUGACAAGCCACUAAAACAAAAAUAAAUGAGGGAUAAAAAAUAAUAAAAGCGUAUGCACGUAUGCAAGUGCUUCGUUUGGAGAGGAGGGAUCAAGAACCAACGCGAGACUCUAGAGUAAUAUCCUCCCACCCAAAUGCAAUGCAAAGCUCGGGAUCACACAAAUGAAACCAUCCAUCCAUCAAAUCAAUCGUACGCAAAUAGGUGAGGGCGCGAAAUGCAAAAAAAUCCCAAAAAGAAAAAUGCAACUCUAAGCAUCCAAAUGCGAUACAUGAAACGGGUAGAAAAGGAAAAGAAUAACUAAAUCAAGUGCUCGGAUCCACUUAGGAAGUCCCCAGUGGAGUCACCAAGCUGUCGUGUCCCAUUUUUGAAAUAAAGAAAAAAGAAGUAAAGUUGUUUGAAAUCAUAAUGUGUAGUGUGCGUGAAAUAUGUGAAGUAUGUGAAUGUGAGAAAUAAAGGAAAAGGCCAUGGGACUUUUAAAUGCGACGAUUUGGCCAAAAUGAUAAUCUAAAAAGGUUUUUAAACAGAAAAGUAGGAGUCGCCAUUUGGUAUUGAGUUGGGGUGUGUCAAGUUACCCAAAAAGUAGUUUUUGGAAAAAUGAAGUAAAAACCUUUUUAGAUGACUCCUAGUCUACGAAAAUCUAAGAGACGAGUUCGAGGGUCACGGUUGAUAAAAGGGAAGGCAAAGACGAAGUCUAAGGCACCCUUUUACCCUAACCUAAGUUAGUUGUGUGAUUGAGUGAUAAUUUUUCUAAUUUCUACCAAAAAAUGUAUUGCAUUUUGGAUGUGUCUAACAUGAAUGCAAACCUAAAUCUAAUGAUUGGUUCGAAAGGAACAAAAUGUCUCUUUUGAGGCUCGAUUGGUCCUAAUCACAUGAAUUGUGAUAGCCAAUGGUGAAUCCUAAAAGAGGUCACGAAUAAAUGCAAAUGAAUGCUUGAGUAACAAUGAAAAAAAAUGAAAGUGUGCGAAAAUGUCUUUAAAUGUAAAAACGAGUGUCAGGUGCAAAUGUGCAAAGUGCAAAUGUGAAAUUGGGUUUGUAAAGUGCAAGGGUGCAAAUGAGUAUAAAAAAGUGCACGUGUGCAAAUGAGGGAGUGUAAAGUAAAGUGAGAGUAUGUGAAGUGAUAAUGGAUAAAGUGGUAGUGUGUAUAAAGUGAGAUAGUGUGUGAAGUGAUAGUGGGUUGAAAUGCAUGAACCCUAGAGGAAUGCAAGCAAGACGGGUACGGGAAGACCCUAAAUCAUGACUUUUGCUUUUCCUUUUGGUUAGAAAGAAAACAAGCGUGCUAAGGCUAUGUGUAGCCAAACUCGUCUGUUUCCCUUACCAGAAGGGUGACUCCUUAACCUAAUCAAGCAGAUGACCCUAAUAAGUAGAAUGAAAUGCAAAGUCCUAAAGAUUGUGUUUCAAAUGCAGGAAAAGGGUGAAGGUUCAUGCAAAAAUGUAAAAUUACUAAAAGGAAAAAUGAAUGGAAAUGUAGUGAAGGCAUGCAAGUAUGUACUAGCGAGGGGGUGGCCCUAUUGGGUCUAGCAUUGGACUAGCCCUUUACUAACGCUCUCUCACAAGCAUUGGACUUGUGAGCUCAAGGGGAAGACCAUGACUAGCAUUGGACUAGCCACGGUAACGUGCAUUCAUCCACAUAAUCAAAUAUAAUACUAAGGCAAAUAGACAAGCAAAACAUAUAGUUUCACAUAGCACGUAACACAUAAGCAUGCUUAUCUAGAUGCAAAAGUCUAGGGAAAGCAAUUAAACACAUAGACAUAUAGGCACACACAAACACAUAGCACAUAAGCCCUAUCUAUUACACUUGGGGGAAGCCUACUACAAUCUAAGAGGGGAAACGGAAUAAAAUAAAUAAAAUAAUAACCUAGCUAUUACAACUUUGGCAUUCAAGUGCCUUUCAAAUGAUCAAAAUUGAACUAAAAAUAAAUAUACAAACUAAAGCUAACAAAGAAAAUAAAUGAAAUAAAUAAUAAUAAAACAUUUAAGAGGCAUGCAAUUAAACACGUAAAAUCACAUAGGGCACGUAGGGUCAAAUAAAGUAAGAAAUAAGGGAUAGAGUGUACCUCCCUAGAGAUGGAGCCCUAAUGGAGUGAAAUCACUUAUUUAUUCUCCAAAAUAAUAAAAGAGUCAAGGCAUCACUUUAAUCAAGAAAUAAUCACAUGAAAUGGGGAUGAGCAUGAAAUUGAAUCAAUCCAAGGCGUUUAAAGGAAGGUGAACAAACCAUGUAAAAAUUAAAACAAGUAGUGACUUGAUUGCAAAAACUAAAGAAAUUUGAGGGGUCAAUUUGGUUGAUUUUUCCAAUUGUUUUGGGCCAUAGUGAAACGGGGGAACUUGGGGGGCCAAAGUGCAAUUUUUGAAAGUUUUUCAUGCAAGUUCAUGCAAAGUUAUGAAGCUUAUGCUUCUACAAUUCUUUCUGCAAUCUUUAACCAUUCAUUCGCUCAUGACUUCUUGCACAACUGCAGAAAUGGAGGAAAAAAUAGCAUGUCAUUUUGACAAAAAGAUACAAUCCAUCUCUCUAGCAUCAAGAACAUGAGCUAAACUUCCCAACUGUGAUAAACCAAGCUUCCAGGACAAGAGCAUGCAAGGCAGGAAAGAACAAAAGGAAAAACAAACAUGCAUAACUGAUAAGACAACCCCAACGAUUUGAGUUGAUAGGAUCCAAGAACAUAACAAAACAUCCAAACCUUGGGCGCGAAAUGCAGCAAGGUAACAUGAACUUGGAGCUAAUGCUUCAACAUGGUUAAAUUAUAGAAAAUGACUAACUAACUAACACUAGCACGCGCUUUGUAUGAUGAAAAAGAAGAGCAACCAUUAAAAUUUCAAUUCAUAGUAAAACCGAAAUCUCUUAAACCAGAUUCUGGGGAGAUCAACAAACUCCACAAAACGUAAGAAAACAGCUGCUGGGGCAAAUGAACAAAUAAGAGAAAGAACAAUGGAUCCAGUAUAACAAAAACCAGUGGGCAUGCAUAACCAAGGGAACCCCAAAUCCUAUCCAUUUUUCUUAUACAAACAUCGCAUACACUUUCUGCACUUUUAACCAUAGCUGCUCACAAUCCCAUUCCAACAUCAGGUCAUGCACAUACUUAUCACCAAUAUCCAACAAGAAUUUGUCUAUGCAAAGAUCCCAACCACUGGGGAUCCCAACAGAAAUGAAUCAGGCCAAAACACAAAAACAGAAAACAUUACAAAGAGAGCCCUAUCAUAAAAACUUGAAACACCUAACUAAAACCUGCGAGGAAUCGUUCUAAAUUCUGAACUAUGAAACAAACGAGAUGCUGGGCAUUUGUACAAGAAGAUUUGAGGCCAACAUAGACAAGAUAACACAAAGUGAAUAAUUAGGAGCCUAAUACUCAUUUGACUCCAUAAAACCCUCAUAAACACACGACUAAAUAUUCUGCAGAGGAGAUUUAAGGUUGGGGGUCAAAACAUGGAUCUAGGAACAGAAAUAUUCUAAGUGAAACCAUCCAAGAGCAACCUUCAAAACAUGAAAAUCAAAGAAAACAAACCAUAAAACAGCAAAGAUCAAACAAUUAAACAGCAAAGGAAUCAACUUGGACCUUAGGUGAAAGCAAAGAGGAAGAUCACAGCAGGUGGCUUGUUGUAGAACUGUGCCUUUCAACGAUGGUUGAAGCCGAUGGUAGAGGCAUUGUUUCUUCCUUCCGUUUGCUACCUUUCCUUUUCUUUUGCUGAGAUUUAGUCUCGCUCAGCCUCACUCAGCCUUUUCUCUAGCUCACUUUUUGUUUUGCCGCUCACCAGAUGCUCUUCUUUUUCCCAUCCCUUUCGAUGUUUUUCUUUUUCCACUGUCAUAUACUUGCAUCUUGGCUGCGUUUCUUUUCCCAACUUCCUUCUUUCUUGCCCUCAGCCCCAAACUCCUAUUUCUCAUCAGCCGUCACCAUCCUCUCUUCAGCCGUCUAAAAACUCUCUGCCGUUUUCUUUUUCUUCGCCAUCCAUUGCCUAGGUUUUUUUUCUUUUCUCUAUUCUUUUUCUCAUCUAGCCCCGCCGUCAACUCUCCUCUUGCUUCAUUAGUCGUCAUCCCCCCCUUUACCUUUCAGCCGUCACCCCACCUUCAGUCGUCACCAGAUUCUCCUUUCCCUUUUAGCCGUCACACUCCCUAUUCUCCCCCUCCAGCCGUCACUCUAUCUGUUUACUUUUCUCUCUCGCCGCCACCCUGAUUCUCUUUCACUCCCUCGGCUCUCAACUCUCUCCCCAAACCCUUUUCUUUUUCCUCUAUUUUUUCCAUUCAGCCCAACCGUCAACUAGAGCCUCCCCCCUCUCUUGGCCUGUCUUUUGAUCCUUUUAUAGCUAUAGAAUCCCCCAAAACCUAGAACUAAGGAAGGAGUUGGAGCUGCAUUUUUGGCAAGAAUUUGAGCCCUUAGAUGGGUAUUGAUUCUAGACUUUACCACUAAGAUGCGUCGGUAUUGUACUGAAGGGUAAUAAAUUGAGAAAAUGGGUGGAAAAAAAAUGGGAUCGAAACGGGCAUCUCCAAAAUUUUCGUACUUUGCGUAUAUGGUUUCUGAUAUGAAACAUGAAGAAGGGUUUGGAUCGUGUGUGGCUCAAGGUGCGUGAGCUUGCUCUUUCUUUUUUAAUCAAUUUUUAACUUAAUUAACAACAAAUAAUGAAAUAAUUUUAACAAAAAAAAACAAGAUUAACCAAAUCAAAUGAAAUACUAAGAAAAUUGUUGAUUUUGAUUGAUGAUUUUUCCUUUUAUUUUACUAAUUUAAUGCAAAAUAUACCUUAAGAAUAAAAAUGAGUAUUAACUAUGUUCUUAAUUAAUAAAAAUAAAAAAAACAAAUAUUAAAUGUUAAAAUAAAAAAUUGGUGUCUACAACCUUGUAGUCUGGUGGAGUCCGGCCAACGUCCCGAAGGGCGUGAAAUAAAAUGAAUGAACGAAUGAUAUUGUAAACAAGGGGUUUUUGCUUACAAAAAUGCAUUUUCAAAUGAUUGGAUUAAUAAGGGAAUGAAAGGAGAAUGAAUGAAUGGCUCCCUGUGAGCACGUAUCCUUUUAAUGAAUGUGUUAUUAUCGCUUUAUAUUAUAAAUGUUUCUUGACUGAUUGUUUGACAUAUUGUUUGAUUAUCGCUUUCAAUGGACUUAUUGUUUGAUUAUGUAUUCGGAACCUCACUGAGCUUUUAGCUCAUUUCUUUAGUUUUGUUUUCCUUAACAGGAGAAGGCGAGCAAGGACGAGAGCUCUGUAUAGACUAGCCUAGACUAGUUUCUUGAAUUUUGUAAUGGUUCUCACCCUAGCGCUUCGCUCAGGCUGGAUGUAUGAAGAAUUGAGAACCUUUGUAUAUUGAGUCUGUACUCCCUUUCGAGAUAGAAAUGUAUAUAAGUUUUGCUUUAAAUUUUGAUGUUUCUUUCUUGUGGUUAUAUUUCGAUUUUGCUUGAGAUAUGACUAAGUCCCGGCGAGAGCUGGGCAGGCGGUCCACCGAACCCUUUGGUUCACCUUAGGGUGAGGUGGGUCAGUCACAGGUGGUAUCAAAACCUGUUUCGCGUGGUCUCUGCGCAGAGUGAGCUUGGGCCAAGUGGUGAAUAAGUAUGAAGGGCUAAGUGCUCUUUUAAGCAUAAGCUAUGAAUCAUAAAGGUUAUAGGCCUUAAAUCUUUCUCAUGGUAUCUGAGGACCAUAGAUAGGUACGUCUGGUAGGAAUUUCGAUUGUAGUUAGUUUACUCUUGGGACUGGCCAACUCGAGAUGUGAAUUAUCUUAUUUCGGAUUCUCGUGCCCAAGUACUCCAGAGUUGAGACGAUACUAAGUACUUGAGACUUGCAUUUUGGGAACAUGAACAGGCUUUGUUUGGCUAGAAUGAGUACAAGAGGUCAAGAGACGUCUAGUUUGGAUAGAAAGUGACGUGAGAGACCGGACAAGGUUAUCUUAACUGAGACUUGGAUGACAUAUCGCCUUUUCUUUUGAUUUGCCCUUGUAUUGUUACUACAUGACUUUUGUUUGUGGUAUGUUAAUACCUAUAUGUGUAAUAUUGGCUGCUUUUGUUUAUCUGUCAAACUUGAUAUGUCUCUUUGUGUAUAUGGUGUGUUAUGUCAUGCAUAUGCCUCUUUGUGUAUUUGGUGUGUUAGAUCUUGUUAUUUUAGUCAAUUUACUUCAUUUAUUUAUUACAUUACCUUUUGGAAAAGAAAAGAAAAGAGAAAAAAAUGGAGAGGAGACGUAGUCGUGGACGUGGUCGUGGUCGUGGUUGUGGAACUAAGCGAGCCCAAGAACCAAGAGAAGAAAGGGAAACAUCAGCCGAGCAAUAACAUGGACCGAGGGUCGAAGCCGGAGACCAAAUGGCAAUAGUGAUACAACAAAGGACAAAUAUCUUGGCAUGACUGGUAGAUCAACAAGGCCAAAUGCUAGUGAAUCAACCCCAGAAUCCUGAGAUAGGCGAGGAUAGGGCUCUUGAGAGGUUUCAAAAAUUUGUACCUCUGAAAUUCAUUGGAGGGCCUGAUCUGGACACAGUUGAACAGUGGUUAGAGGCCAUAAUAAAUAUUUUCACAGCUUUGAACUAUACUGAGUAAAGACAAGUGAACUUUGCGAUGUUCCAAUUUGAAGGACCUGCCCGAGCAUGGUAGAAUGUUAUUAAAGUAAAGUGGGAAAGAGAAUAGACUGCAUGGACCUGGGCGAAUUUCAUAAGAGAAUUUAACGAGAAGUACCUCCCCCCUUUAGUCCAAGAAAAGAGAGAGGAGGAGUUUAUUGGGUUACGCCAGGGAACUCAAAGUGUGGCCGAAUAAGAAACAAAAUUCACAAAACUAUCCAAGUUUGCUUCUGAAUUGGUAGCCACGGAACGGCGAAGGGUAAGACAGUUCAUACAGGGAUUGGAUUUGGAAAUCUAGGAGGCAUUAGCGGCGGUGCAAGUGAAUACUUUUACAGAGGCUCUUGAGAAAGCUCAAAGAAUUGAGGAUCCAAAGGCACAGGUAAAUGCCUCCCAAACCCGGAAAAGGGGUGCAUCGGGUAGUGUAUUGGAGGAAUUUAGUGAAAUGAUAGCACCUUCUAAAGUGCAAAAAGUGAACCCUGUACCCCGCCUACCAUGGACAUUAGGGGCGUUAGAUGAAAAGUCUACAAAAGGAAGUCGAAUCGAACAUGGGGAGAUUUCUCAAGAAAUCCAAAGGGUGGCUUCUCACUUGGUCUGUGGAUACUGUGGAAAGGCAAAUCACAGCAAAAGCGAUUGUUGGAGGAAAGGGCGGAAGUGUUUGAUCUGUGGAAAUGGUGACCAUCAAGUUAGUAAUUGCCCAAGGAAACAGUCACGAGAGAGUAGUACUCAACAACUGUAUGGAACCAAAUCGAAACAAACUAAUGAAAGAAGAAACCGAAUAAAAGUACCCGCACAAGUAUAUGCCGUAGACUAGCAAUAAACUUCGAGGUCAUCUGAGGCAACGGAAGGUAAAAAUUUCGAGGACGAAAUUUCUUAAGGGGGAGAGAGUGUGAGAACCCGAAAAUUUUCACAUUUUCUAGGCAUUAUUUUAUUUUUGCCUACAUUUUUAUACUUGCCUUUAAAAUAUUAAAGUUUCUAUGCAUUUUUAUAAGCAAGUACAGUUUUAAAUCAUUUUCCUAGUAUAAGUUAGUGUACAUUAAAUUUGAAGUGCGUUAUAGACGUGGAACCCGCUAAUGCGAUAAAAUUUUGGUGAUUAAGAGAUUUUUGUGCUAAGUAUUAUUAUUUUACAAGGUGUUAGGAGAUUAUUAGAGGUUAGCUAAAUAGACUAACCAUUGGGAGUGAGAAGAUAAGCAUUAAACAUUCAAAGUGCCAAGUGUUACAAACCCAUUGGAAGGUGGACUUUGACCUAACUUUCACCUUUACUAAAAACUAAUGUUGACCCAAUUUUCUUCCAUUUUUCUUGGUCUUGGCCGACCCAUUUGAGGAGUAAAACAAGAGAGGAAAGUUCUUCAUUUUCUAGCCUCAAAUUUUGCUCAAAUCUUGAGUUUCAACCUCUCAAAUCACAAACUACACUAUACAAGUGCUCAACUAGGAAGGUUAAAGAUUUUGGUGGAGUUGUUUUGGAGGAGGAAAGUCUAAGCUACCAUUUUUUCUUGAGUUUCCAAGGUAUUUUGCCAAUAACUUCCUCUUUACUUCAAUCAAUUGCUAAUUAGUGGCUUAUAGUUGUUAUAGAUGUUGUUUUGUGGAAGAUUUCAUGAGUUGAGCUAGAGUUAUGUUAAAUUUCAGCUUUAAGGUUUUCAUCUUAUCCUGUUCUGCCCGGUUCUGUUCGUCCUUGGAGGAGGCUGAAUCAGCCUUUGUCCAAAACAUGAAAGUUGUUUGUAAUUGAGUUACCUAGUUACCUGUAAAAUUUUAGCUCAAUCAGAGCACUGUAUCAUGUUACAUGACCGAAAUACCCUUGACUGGCCAUGAGCCCUGUUUCGCGAACAGAUUUCUGUUUUCAUGGAGAUUUUCAUUUUUGACCCUGAAAAUGCAUGAUUUGGCUUUGGAGGUCUUCAUAAGAAAUGUAGGUAUAUGUCUUGGCUUUGAAACGCCAUAAGAUUCAUUUCAAUCUGAUAAGUGUAGCUUCAGUUGUGGUUGGUAUGCUGAAAGGUGUAUUUUAUCGCCUAUGAUUUGUAUGUGAAAUUGUGGUUGUUUUGGAAUGUCAGUUGGUGUUUGAUUGUAGGAUGGAAAGUAAAGAAAUUAAGGAGAAAUGCUAUCCAUUUAUUUUCUUGUAGUUUGUGUGCAUAAAAGUGAGAUUUGAAAUGUGAUUUGGUGAUGCGUUGGACUUACUUUGUUUGGACAUACUUAGGUCCACUAUAAUGGUGUUAUUCGAGCUAUAUUUAAUUUGAACUUCUACAUUUUCGCAUGGUGAAUGAGACAACCAUUUUAAGCAUGAUACUUAGCUACAAAUGUCAAGUUUUGAACUUCAAAUGGUUACUCAUUUCUUUCUGAAACAAAGAAGAAUUGCCUAGGGUUUCUCGGCUAUAAAACCUAAUUUUAUCAAGCGAGGCUUUAGGUGUGAAUUUAGGGUUUAUUUAUUUUCCUUUUCUCGGCCAUAAAAUCUAAAUGUACACUUUUUACUUUAAAAUUCACAUUUAUAUAUUGUACUAGUAAGUAUUCAAAUUUUCUUUGAAUCACUUAAACCUUUGAUGGUUGAAGCAUAAUGUGUUCUCUUGAUUAUAUUAGGCUUCCAUGGUGAUUGAAAGUGUUAUCCAGAAGGAUACUUUGGACGUUAUUUUGCGUAAAUAGGUGAGUGUUUCUUGUUUGUUAUGUUUUCUUGAUUAUAUGGCUUGUUAUGAAUGAUUGAUAACAUGUUAAAUGCGUUCUAUGAUUGCCAAAACGAGUUUUCUAGGCGAGUGUGUACUUUAUCGCACUCGACCUAAAUGAAUGUGAAAUUGCUAAUGAUUGAAUGAUUACAUGUGCAUGAAUGUAAGCCUGUUGGUUGAACUGGGCCUGCCCUUCAUUACCGAUCGACUCGAGCCAAAAGCAGACUCGGUCGAGCGAUUUGGUGACCCUGGGUGAAUGUUUGGUAUACUCGAGUAUUACCUUGUAGUCUGGUGGAGUCUGGCCAACGUCCAGAAGGGGGUGAAAUGAAAUGAAUGAACGAGUGAUAAUGUAAACGAGGGGUUUUUGCUUACAAAUAUGCAUUUUCAAAUGAUUGGAGGAAUAAGGGAAUGAAAGGAGAAUGAAUGAAUGAAUGGCUCCCUGUGAGCACGUAUCCUUUUAAUGAAUGUGUUAUUAUCGCUUUAUAUUAUAAAUGUUUCUUGACUGAUUGUUUGACUUAUUGUUUGAUUAUCACUUUCAAUGGACUUAUUGUUUGAUUAUGUGUUCGGAAUCUCACUGAGCUUUUAGCUCAUUCCUUUAGUUUUGUUUUCCUUAACAGGGGAAGGCGAGUAAGGACGAGAGCUCUGUAUAGACUAGCCUAGACUAGUUUCUUGAAUUUUGUAAUGGUUCUCACCCUAGCGCUUGGUUCGGACUGGAUGUAUGAAGAAUUGAGAACCUUUGUAUAUUGAGUCUGUACUCCCUUUCGAGAUAGAAAUGUAUAUAAGUUUUGCUUUAAGUUUUGAUGUUUCUUUCUUGUGGCUAUAUUUCGAUUUUGCUUGAGGUAUGACUGAGUCCCGGUGAGAGCUGGGUAGCCGGUCCGCCGAACCCUUUGGUUCGCCUUAGGGUGAGGUGGGGCUGUUACACAUUUGGCUGUGUAGCUCAUUCUGUGAGAACCCGUAAAUUUUCUCAUUUUCUAGGUUUUAUUCUAUUUAAUGGCUUGUUUUUCUGCAUUCUCUUUAUUAGGAAAAUUUUCUAGAUUGUGGACACCAAAUUUUUACUCUUUUAUUUAUUUACUAUUUUUGUUUUCAAUUAUCUCAAAAUUUUAUCUUAGACAUUUUUUAAGCAUUUUUGAACAUCAAAUCUUUUAAUUUAGUUUUAUUUGUUAAUUUUAUUCAUUUUUUGCUUACUUUAUUUUAUUUUAAGAUUUUUCGAAAAAAAAGAGAAUUGCUCACAAAAAAAUAUUCUUUAAAUUUUUAUAUUCAGAUUAGGAAGGUUUUGUUGUUUAUUUUGUAAAAAAAAAAAAAAAAGAGAUCUCAUGCACCCUCCUGCACUAGAUCCAAGCCCUUCCUCAACUUCAUAUCAGAAACCAAAUACGUGUACAGGACAGAAAAAUUGCAGCUGGCUUUUUCUUCCCAUUUCAUUCGUUCCUCUGAGCGAUUCUCAGGAUAAGUCCAACUCACUCCAUUCAUGAAUGGGAUCAAAGGGGCAAGAGCAGGCCACAAAAACGGAUUUUUGGGAUUUGAGAUCUCAGCCUUCCAUCGUAGGUUUAGGUUCGAGGCUCCUUUAAAUGCUUGAAAAGGCAGCUAGCAAAAGAAAAAAGGAAUCUGGGGAGGUGACGGCUAGGUUUUAGAAAAGGAACAAAAGGAAAAGGGGGAGGCUUAUGACGGCUGAGGUGUAGACACCAAAUUUUUGGUGUAAUUUCAUUUACUGUUUAUUUUUAGUUUUUUAUUUGUCGUGUUAGUUUUAUUCGAUUUUUAGUUUUUAGUUUAUAGUUUUAUUUUUAUUUGUAAGUUUUUAGCAUAGAAUUUCUUGAAAUGAAAAAAGAGAAAAAGGAAAAAUCAUGAAAAAAGAGAAAAAAAGAAAAAUCAUAAAAAAAGGAAAAAAAGGAAAAAGAAAAGAAAAAUAGCAAUUUUGUUUUAUUUAGCUUUAUUUUAGUCAUUUCUACUUAAUUUAUCUUUUAUUGUUGUUUGAUUCAUUUAGAAAAAAAAAAAAGAAAAGGUGAAAAAUGAAAAAAAGCUAUGAAAAAGAAAAAUGUAGAAAAAAGAUGGAAAAAUGGCCAUUUUUGUUGUUUCUAGUUGUUUAGUUUUUAAAUUAUUUUCAUUAUUAUUAUUAUUACCUGGUUUUUGUCAAUUUAUUAUUUUUAUUUUUAUUUUAUCAUUUUUGUAAUUAUCAAGUUGUUUUUAAAAAAAAAAAAAAAAAAGAAAAAAAAGGGGAAGGAUAGCCGCGGCAAGCUGCAUUUGUAGCAGCUUGCAAGGAAAGUUUCGUGCAGGCCCUUGGCUGCAAAAUACAGCAGAGAUUGCUGGGUUUUUAGGGUUGGUUGGGCUCCCAUAUAAAGAAAAAAAAACAAGCAGCCGCAAGGGGGAAAAAAAGAUUAGAAGGGAAGAUGACGGGAGGAGAGUUACGGGGAGAGUAACGAAGAAAGCAAAUGGACGACAAAGAAAUCAGAGGAGAGUUGGCUAAGAGGGAGAUAUGAGUGAAGGAGGUCGAGAGGGUACUGGAUAGAGAGGUUUUAGCAAAAACAACAAGCAAAAGAAAAUAGGGAGGAUACGGAUAGAGAGGCAACGGCAAGAAGGAAGAAACCAGAAAAGGGAGGCGCGGCUGUGAGGGUCUGAAAAAAACUUUUUGAGAGGCGAUAGCAAAAGGAAAAUAGAGAGGAACAGAGGAGAGGCUGAGAGAGACUGGAAUCCUAACAAAAAGAAAAGGAAGGGCAACAAACGGGAGGAGGAAACAAUGCUUCUGCCAUCAGCUUCAACCAUCAUUGAAAGGCAGUUCUACGGCAAGUCACUGGAUGCGAUUUCCUUCUUGUUUGUCAGCUAAGGUCCAAGUUAAUUCUUUUGUUUGUUUUACUUGUUUGGUUUAUUUCUUUGAUCUUUCAUGUUUUGAUGGCUGUUUUUUUUUUUUUUUUUUUUUGGAUGGUUUCACGUGAAUUCCUCUGUUCCUGGUUUUUUGUUUUGACCCCCCCAACCAUAGAUUUCUAGCUUUACUUGCUUUAUUUUGAUUUUUCUUGGUGCCUGAACCCAAAGGCUUUAUGUUGAAGAAUAAGAAGGGUAUUUGGGUAAGCCGUUUGUUUGAUUUCAAGUUGUGUUUGGCUGGGUUUGGUGCACGAAAAUCGGAUGAAACAAUCAACAAGCUCGAAGCUUCUGAUUUGUUACAAUGACUAGACAAAACUGAUUUUUCUUUGGAAACUGAAUUUCUGGUGUGGAUUGUUUGCUCCUUUGGGCCUGUGCGCUGUGUUAUUGACGCUUUAUAUAUGCUUGCUGCAUUUUAGAUCAACAAAGUGUAGUACCACAGCAAGCUAUAACAUAAACAGUGCUUGGUAAAUAGGUAAAGGCUCUCGGCUGUUAUGGCAGUUUGAGCAGAUUCGUUUUUUUUUCUUUCCUUUGCUGUUUCAAGUUCAUCAUGCUUGGAGCUUAUGAUUUCCUUGAUGUUCAGUUAGUAUGUUGUGAACACAAGCUUUGCAAGCUUACUCGGCCAUCUGCUAUUAUUUUGCUUCGUUGUCGUCGUAGAGCUGUCAAUGCUUAUAGUGACUUCUUGAUGUAUGUAGCUCUUUGCAUUUCUUGUUGUGUUCCUCCAUUUUCCCUUGUUGCUGGACAAUUUAAAUGUUUGGUUUCAAUUCUGCAACAAGAAUCUGCAUUUCAUUUAGUCAGUAGUUGGAGCUUUGAUAUUUGUUGAGCUCGUUUGGUAAGGAGAAAUGAAAAGAAAGCUGCGGCUACGGUCUUGGGUUACGGAAAGCCUUCAUCCAAGUGCAUCAGUUUCUUUUGGUAGCCGAAAUUUGCAGCAUGAAAUCUGAUUAUAUGGCCACUUUCUGCUUUGUUUCAUUUCAUUUUUGUGCAUGGUGAUUGACCUUGAAGAAACUAAUAAAUGUUGAACUUGAAGCCUUGCUUAAGCUUCUUGGGUUGCUAAUAAGAUACGCUUGCAGAAAACCAGCAACUAGAAAUGCAGAAGAAGGUUUCUUUGUAAGCAUCGUGCAUGAAAUUUUGCAUGAAAAAAAUAAUUUCUAAAAAUUUCACUUUGACCCCUCAAGUCCCUUCUCAUUUUACUAUGGCCCAAAUAAUGGAAAAUGGUAAUCGAAUUGAUCCUUCAAAUUUCUUUUCCAUUUCAAUUGGGAUUUUCAUUUAGUGAAUGUGGACUUGUUUGAUUAUUUGAAGGGCUCCAAUGGUUCAAUUUCAUAUCAAUUAGUGGUUCUUUGACUUUUGUUUUUGUGCUAUUUGAUUUACUAUUAAAUUGGUGCAUUAAUCCUCUGUUUAAUGGUUUUAGCCCAAAUUAGAACCUUUUCCAUUUAUUAGCUUCACAAGCGGGGGAAGGUAUGACUUUCUUUUAUCCUUUUUUGCCUCUCUCCUACGUGCUCCUACGUGUUACGUGAAUAUGCAUGUCUACUUUGCUUUCUUACUUCCUUGCAUUUAUUCCAUUUACUUUAACUUUUAUUUAAGUUAUUCUUUAUGGGGGUAUGUGUACACCUCUUGGCUUGUAAUAGAUAGGGCGUAGCAAGUAAUUUGGUCCAUUUCCCCUUUCCCCUUUGUUUUAGUUAGCAAAUGUAAUGGUUGCAUGCCUACGUGUUAAGUGUUUAAUCGCUUUAUUAGGCCCUUGCAUCUAGUCAAGCAUGCUAAGUGUUAUGUGCUACGUGUUUAUAAGUGAUUCGCAUGUCUACUCGCUUUUUAUAGUGUGGAUGAAUGGAAUGAAUGAAUGUACGUCACCACACUAGUCCAACGCUAGUUGUGGCUUCUUUUAUCGUUUCCACUAGUCCAACGCUAGUCGGAAUUCAUAGAAUGGGUUAGUCCAAUGCUAGACCCAAUAGGUUCUUUUUUCCUUUUUUUCAUUAAGUGCAUGAUCACCACAUAUCACGCAUUUUUCCUUAGUUUAUCAUUUGGUAUGUUCCUCAAACCCCUUCCCCUUCACUUUAGGACUUGCAUCCCAUACUAGCUAUAGGGUUCAUUUUGCUUGAGUGUCCCCUUCCGAUAAGGAAAACGAGCGAGUGUGGCUACUCGAUAGCCUUAGCACGCUAGUUUUGCCUUCUAAUCAAAGGGAAAAUAGAAGUCGGAAAGUUAGGAGUCAACCCCCGUACCCGACUUGUUGCAUUCCACUAGGUCAUACUUUCAUUUUUAUCACCUACAUACUCUUUUAACCACAUUUUUUCACAUUUCUCAAACCAUACUUUCCCACUACAUUUUUCCUAUCACGUGCUCAUUUUCACCUCACAAAUGGAAUUCUACUUUACCUUAUAUAUCUAUUAUAUUUUCACACACUUGCACACAAAAAACACUUGAAUUUUAUACAAUUUCACACGUGCACUUUCUUUACACACUCACACACUAAUACUUUGAUUUUUCACUCAAAUUCACACGUGCACUUUCUUUACACACUCACACACUAAUACUUUGAUUUUUCACUCAAAUUCACAUGUGCACUUUCUUUACACAUACGCACACAAAUACUUUGUUGUUUAUACCAUUUCAUACAUGAAUCUUUUCAUACACUUGCACACUGGCACUUGAGUCACCAUUUGCAUCAAUCGACCUCUAUGAGGUUUCCCUUUAUUGGCCGCCACAAUUCAUGUGGUUUGGGACCAAAAACCUCACGAGAGACAUCGUAGAAUUUAGGAUUGCAUUUUUUCGUUUUCGCAUUCAUAUAGGCAUAAUCCAACAUGCAAUACAUACCCUGGGUAGAAAGUCAGGAAAGUUAGGGUUAAGUUACGCAACUAGCCUUGGCUAGGUCAAAGGGGUGCCUUGGAGUCUAUCCUUGCCUUCCCCUUUGUCAAACGUGACUCCCGAACCUUUUUCUUUGUUUUACGUAGACUAGGAUUCGUUUUAAAAAGGGUUUAUUAUUACUUAAUUCAUUUUUAGGUGACUUGGUACACCUUAAAUCAUUACCAAGUGGCGACUCCAAACUUUUCAUUUCAAAACCCUUUUUAAAACUAUUUUUUGGGUCAAAUCGUCGCUUUCCAAAGUCCCAUUGAGACCCAUGUCUUUUCAACUCACAAAAAUCAUUUUCCAAUCAAAAUUGAAACAAUACAUCUUUCUCAAACAAAUUAUUUUUCUUAUCAAAAAAUGGGGCGCGACAGUUGGCGACUCCACUGGGGACUUCCUAAGUGGGUCCAAGCAUUUUUGACUUAACCAUUCGUUUCCUUUUUCUACCCUUUCUAUGCAUGGCAUGUGGAUAUUAGGAUUGCAUUUUUCAUUUUUUUUAGGACCUUUUGUCUUAUAUACGUAAUCAAACCAAUCCUUCGACUCACGAAUGUAUGUUUGAAUGAAUGUUUAUUUGUUAUCUCGCGCUUGCAUUGCAUUUUGGGCGGUAUGGGUCACCCUAGGGCCCCGCGUUGGUUCUUGAUCCCUCCCCUCCAAAACGUGCACUAUCAUACGCGCAUACGCUUUAUUAUUCAUCCCUCUCUUAUUUUUCUUUUAGUGGCUUGUCACGCCACUCCACCUUUUUAGGAUUAGGUGACCUAUUUGGACAUGUGAUCACGACACGAUGUGUGUGUAGCAUGAUCCAAUGGGUCACUCAAUCUUCCGCUUUAAGCUAUGGGUUGAGAGCCUUUUAGCUUUUAGUCGAAGGUUGAGCUUUUUUAUAGAUUCACUCAAACACGUAGCCGUGACACGAUGUGUGCGUAGCGGUGUUUGGGGAAUCGCUCGAGCCACCGACGAAGGGCCUUGGGAUUGAUGACCCUUGGCCACGAGUCUGAAGGCUUGAGGACCUGAGCUUAUCGAGUUAGAUGCAUUAGUGAACCCCAACCUCAUGCAUCCAUGUAGUUUACCUAAGGGUAGAGUCGGUCUUACCCUAUUAGGGACACCGUUCACGAGGGGAGGGAUCCCACCCUCUAUUGUUUUUCUGAUUAUACCUUUGUUGUGCAAAUGUGUUAUGUGUUUUAUCUGUUUGAACUAACUUUUCUUGAUUUUUUGCCUCCAUUUGCAUUCAUAUGCCUUAGCAAUAAGAGGCCUUUUGGCACUCUUCUAGUGACUUACCCACUAGAUAACUCACAUGUUUAAAUUUCAGUCAUUACACUUAAUAAAUAAAUUUCAUUUUAGACCUUUUCCCCCCGAUGCAUUGUUUAUAUCCUUUAGGCCAUUCUUGUCACAUGUUUACAUCGCUUUAAUAAAUGGCAUCAUGCAUAAACCCUAGAAGGGAAUGCCAUUUAGGCGAUCCCGUGCUAGGGGAUAAGCCACCUUGUGUCUCGGAUACUUAAUCCAAUGAGACUUGCACGUUUACAUUUUGUACCAUCCAAAGGGGUAGUGCACAAGGUAAGGUAGGAUCCAAUCAUUUUCAUAGAGUGAUUUUUGGAAUAUGAACGUCUAAUAAUCACUUUUUGGCCAUUUUAUCAAAGUUGGUAAAAAUCCCUUGCGUAAAGGACAUUAAUUUGAAGAAAUUCACAAAUGAUUCCUUAUCAUUGAGACAGUUAAUAAACUGAGGCCAAAUCGUGAUUUUAGAAGGCUCAUAGACUAUUUUUUUGAAACCAUCAAUGGCCGGACAAUUCAACCAAUCCAUUUUGUCAAUUCAUAAUCAAUUUUGAAUAAACCAUCUUUUGACCAAUUUACCCUUUUUAGGGUCAUUUGACCAAUUUACCCUUUUUAGGGUCGUUUGACCAAUUUACCCUUUUUAGGGUCAUCCGGUCGAUUUUGAAUAAAUCAUCAAUUCAUUUGACCAAAUUACCCUUUUUAGGGUCGUUUGACCAAUUUACCCUUAUUAGGGUCAUUCGGCCGAUUUUUGAAUAAAUCACUAAUUCAAUUGCAUUCAUUUGGCCAAUUUACCCAUUUUUAGGGCAAUCGAGCCGAUUUUGAAUAAAUCAAGUUGCGUUCAAUCUAUUUGAUCAAUUUACCCUUUUUAGGGUGAUCUGAUUAAUUUUGGAUAAGUUAAAUUUCAUUCAAUUCAUUUGACCUGUUUCCCUUUUUAGGGUAAUCCGGUCGAUUUUUAAUAAAUGGUCAAUUUCAUUCAACCCAUUUGACUAAUCAGGGUUUCAAUGUCAAUUUCAAAUUGGGAAAUUUAGCCGAUUUUUGAGAAAACCAUCCAUUGUAUCCAGCCAUUUGAUCAGUUGGAGUUUUGGCCCAUGCUCCACUAAGAAAAGUUGUCAAAACGAAUUCCAAUUUCUUCGAUAGGAAGUUCGUCAAGGUCAAACCCGUGCGUUUUCGCAAAUAUCGAUCAAAGGUGAUCAAUCCCUUCGGACGAGGUCCUCUUUUUGACAAAGUGUCUUUCGUCUCUCCAAUUGACCAAAUUCUUCAAAAUUAUUUUUCGCUCAAUUGAUCAGAUCCAUCAGGUAUUGUAUAGUGCCUACCCUAGAGGAUUGCAUCUUCAUUCUAGGCCUACCCUUGGCACAAAAAGGGUUCCCCCAUAGGACAUGCAUCCGAAUUUUCUGGAUAUCUACUAACUCUUGUCUUUUUCUUUUCCCUUUCUUUAUUUUCUUUGGAAUAACUAAGCGAGGAUUGAAUCUAAAGGCAAUUUUUCAAAAAUUCUCAGGUAAUAUUUAAACAUAGCUUCUCGUCGAAGCCCCAUCAUAACGUGAUCCCGUAGUCAAGUCCAAAGGAAUCGUGUAAACAUGAGUUCACAACCGGAACAGUCAGAUAGGUCUGCUACUACCGCUCAACCCGAGACUGUAAGUUUGGGGAUUCAGUUGACUGAGAUGCUUACCAAAUUCGGAGAGAUGGCGUCUGAGAUGGCCGCCCAAGGGAAGUUGAAUGAUGAGCUAAUUAGCAGCGGAAUUCAACCCGAACCUGUACCCGCCAGACAGCCUGAACAAGAGCCAUUUGUCCUACCUUCGGCCCAUGCCACUGUUACUCCAUCAUUUCCUAUUGCACUCGAAGAAACUUUCACCUAUCCCACCACAAAUUUGCCAUACACUUACCCUCCUCAUCCUUCAUCUUUUCUUACUCACAUGCGAGGUCCACAACCCCAACUUACUUCAAACAUACCACCAGAGCUACAUACUUUUUAUUACCCUGCUGCUGAGCCAUUCCUGCCGGACCAUACUUUUCAAACCAAGCCAGAAAUGGGGGAAUCUUCCGCUCCCGUUGAUCUGAAGUUGCUUAAGCGCCUUGAUCGUUUUGAUGAAUUUAUAAGGAAGAGUCAGGGGUUGAACAAGCAAGGAGUCCUGGAUUACGAUGAGCUUUGCCUUUUCCCGAAUGUGCAAUUGCCUGAGGGGUUCAAAACUCCGAAGUUUAACAAGUAUGAUGGGACGGGCAAUCCCAAGACACACCUCCGACUGUUCGCCAACAAGUUGGGUAGGCCAACAGAUGAUGAAAAUCUGCCUUUGAGGCUAUUCCCAGAAAGUCUGGAGGGGGAUGCACUCGACUGGUAUUCCAAGCUGAAACCUGAAGAAGCAAAGACCUGGCUGGACCUGUCCAAUGCGUUUGUAAAGCAGUACGAGUAUAAUUGCGAGCUGGCUCCAACACGAACCACGUUGGAAGGGACAAAGAGGAAGCCAUCUGAAGAUCACAAGACUUAUGCCAAGAGGUGGAGGAAAAUAGCUGCAAAAGUCGAGCCACCAAUGACGGAAGACGAAAUCAUACGUACUUUCAUUAAGGCACAUGAUCCGCCGUACUUUGAAGAAAUUUUUCGCAUGACUGGAUGCUCAUUUGCUGCAAUUGUUAAUAAGCUUGAGGAAUUUGAUGAUUUCGUGAAGGCUGGAAAAAUUGUUAAUGUGUCUGCCCUAAAAACUCAAGUGGAAGCUUUGCAAAGCCAAGGAGGUAAUGGGAAGAAGCAACAAUUCAAAAAGCAAGAGGGGGAAACUACCUUCACCUGGAGUCAAAACCCUGUCCCAAGACCCAGACCUCGACAAUACCCUACCUACUCAAACCCUUACCCUUACUCUUACUAUUUAAGCCCUCAUCCUGUUUAUCACACCAAUAUCACCCAUCCUCGACCUCGCCCAAAUUAUGCCAAUCCGCCUACAACCCCUUUCCAAAUAUUUCAACCUAGCUUUCAACAAACUCGUCCUCGACCCCCUUACCACCAAAGAUUUUCCCCACCAAAUAGACCCACCUACAACUAUCACCGACCCACUGAAACCUACAAUCAAAGCCGUACCCGAACCUUCGCCAACCUAGACAGGCCUUUGGACCAAUUGUAUGAGCAAUUGAAGGCUGCCAACAAAAUAGGCGUGAUUCCCCCUCCAACUUACCUUCAUGGCAUGCCGCUGGGUACAAUCCACAUGCUAUUUGUGCCUAUCAUUCGGGAGUACCUGGUCACUCAACCGUCGAUUGCAGGGCACUCAAGCACAAAGUCCAAGACAUGAUCGAGGCAGGGGAAAUAAUGCUAAGGAAAAGAGAUGAACAAGGGCCGAGCAUAAGUACAAAUCCUUUCCCUGAACACAAGGACACCUUCGAAGCAUCCACCUCCAAUGACAGAAUUUGAAAAUCCUGAAGGAGCUUUGCAUAAUUUGAAUGGCCGAGUAUCUUCCCUCUCGAAGGGAAUUUCGGUAAAUCUAGGGGUUGUUAUUUACUAAGGUUCACGAAAACCAUUUCUUGCAUAUGUGAAUAGCUUAAUGAAAAAAUCUUUUGCAACUAAGUUUUUGUCUUAUUUCCGUUUUGAUUAGUUUUUCCAUCAAAUGCAUAAUUUGUUUUUUCUGUUUAUUUGAUUAUUGUCCCGAAUUUUUUAAUUCUUUUAGAUGGCCAAAGAUGGAAUUAUUUGACCAUUUGAAUAUCACUGUUCUGGAUUCCGAUAAUACCAUUCAUUCAAAAAUUUCUUCGUGAAAAAUUCCUUUGUUGAAAAGGCCAAAAAUCCCUUCGUUUGAAAAGGCCACAAAUCCCUUCGUUGAAAAAUCCCUUCUUUGAGAAGGACAAAAAUCUCUUCUUUAAGAGACCCCUUCAUGAAAAAUCCCUUCAUUGAGAAAGCCUUCAUUGAGAAAUCCCUUUAUUAAGAAUUCGUUCAUUGAGGAAGCCUUCAUUGAAAAAUCUCUUCAUUGAGAAAAUCCCUUCUUUGCCAAGUUCGAAGCUGAUUGAUUAAAGCAGCGUCACCGACAAUUGAUUUUGAUGGAUGAAAAGCAGCUGAACGCCAUGUGCCAUGGCUAAUGUUAUCAAAGUGCGUGGCCUGUGUUCAUAACAAAAAGGUCUGCCUCCGAGCCUUUAGAGAAGGAGGACAAAGAGUUAAAGCGAGUUUUGCCAAUGCAAGAUGAAGUCAAAAAUGAACUUGAUCUAAACUGGUAAGGACAUUUGUCAUUAAAAAAGGUGCCACCGAGUAGAGCCCUUAUCCUUGAAGAAAUAGAUGGACAGACAUUCCUGCAACCUAUCAACUCAGAUAUGUGUAAGAAGUUUUAUUUUUGAUUAUGCAAAUUUCUUUUGGAAAUCAUGCAAGGGACGAGGUAAAAGUCAGGCCAUCUUCCUUUCCAAUCAAAACAUUUCAUCCCUAGUUAUCCCUUUUGAGCCAUCAGAGCAGUAAUUUUCGUUUGGCAGCCCCUGAGAGUUGCAAACCCCACACUGGGGCCAAGUUAUUUUGGAAAAGAGAUGAUCAAAAGAAAAGAAAACCCUACAUUGGGGCAAAUUUAUUUUGAAAGAGAAAGAAAAAGCAGAAAACCCUACACUGGGGCAAAUUUUUGAAAAAGUUCAAAAGAAGGGCAAAAGGCCAAAAGACAAAUCAAUCAAAAAAAGAUGAAAAGGAAAAGAGAACCCCAUACUGGGGCAAAUUUAGCUUUGAAGAAAAAUGCAAAAGUGAGGAAGAUGCAAUGGAAAAAGCAAAGAAAGAAAAUUCAAUCAAACUGGGGCAAAUUUCCCUCAAUUUCGUUCGAAAUUGAAGAUGAUUUCAAAUGAUGUAAUCUCAGGUUAUUUCACCUCUCAUAAGAACAAAUUGAGUUCAAGCCUUAACUUUUCUUGAAACACCCCACCUGACCUCAUUACAAAAGCCCAAAAGUCCUGGCCUUCGUUCUUUGCUGUAUUUCUAUCAAGAAAAUUUGCUAAUCAACUGGCAGGUGAUGUCCGUAAUGUUUUCGCCUAAUCUCAUAAGGGAAGUACAUUCUACUGAUGCCAGAAAUCUUCAAAUCAUGUUUCUAAGUCGAUCAUGGUCGAGAUAUUUCUUUGUUCUUUAGAAAAAAAAAAAAAAAAGGUGAGGGCAACCUUGGUGAAAACCCGAAAGGGCGCCAAGGUAGGUUUUGGCAGCAAGCAAGCAUGAAAAGGAACAGCUGAUGACUUGGUUCAUUUGGAUUUUCUCCUUAUUUUUGUCAUACCUCAGCCAACAUUGAAUUCCAGAACAAAGAUGUCCAGAGAAUCGAAUAUGACAUCCGUUGGCUAAAGCUGUGUCAUUUUGUAAAAAAUAUUCUUUUGUAAAUACAUUCUUAGGAAACUCGUUUUUUCCAAAUUACUUGCAUUCAUGGCAUUUUUUGUAGAAUUUAAGCACAAAUGGUUAUGUGUGCAUUCUGGUGCAUAUUCUUUCUUACAUGACAUGUGAAUUUUCUUGCAUACCCCAUUCUUUAUCAUUGAAUUUUGGUGAAUAACAAUCCCAGUGAUUUAUUUCAAAAGUAUGCUUGGAUUCAGUCAUCUUUUGGGAAUAGUUGAAAUUCAGCAAAGUCAGUUACGCAGACUUCACAGUAUGGCAAAGCACAUACCUGAUCAGUUUGUAAAUCGGAAAAGCCUUAGGGUGAGAAAUCCAACUCAAUCGACUGCCGCAGCAAAAGUUGAUAAAGGCGUCCAAAGACUCAUGUUUACACGAUUCUCAAAGGAAAACGGAUCAAAUGAUGGUGGCAAUUUCUUUGUUUUUCUCUCUUUUGCAGAAAAAUUGCAUACACAGAUGAAAAUAAGCACACCUCGCACUGGAACCGGUGUCGGAAAGAGUCCUCCGGUGAACAAAGGAAGAUUGAAAAUGUCGCAAGCAAAUUUCAUCAAAAAUGCAACAGCAUGGCGAUACAGAAUCAACUCUGGACUCACAUUGCAAAAAUUCAUCAUACUGGGGCAAAUUAAUUUUUUGGAAAGAUUUUCAAAAGUCAAAAAGAAGAGCAAAGGAAAAAUCAUCAAUCAAAAAUCAACACAAAUUUUAUCACGGCAGGCUCGGGUUUAAUCCCACUGACCGAUUGUCAGAGCUUAUCCGGGUCAGUCCCAUGGUCAAAAGCAUUUUCGGGUCAGUCCCAUGAUCAAAAGUUUAUCCGGGUCAGUCCCAUGGUCAAAAGCAUUUUCGGGUCAGUCCCAUGAUCAAAAGCUUAUUCGGGUCAGUCCCACGAUCAAAAGCAUUUUCGGGUCAGUCCCACGAUCAAAAGCAUUUUCGGGUCAGUCCCAUGAUCAAAAGCAUUUUCGGGUCAGUCCCAUGAUCAAAAGUUUUCCGGGUCAGUCCCAUGGUCAAAAGCAUUUCCGGGUCAGUCCCAUGAUCAAGAGCUUAUUCGGGUCAGUCCCAUGAUCAAAAGCAUUUUCGGGUCAGUCCCACGAUCAAAAGCCUGUUCGGGUCAGUCCUGCGAUUAAAAUCUUAUUCGGGUCAGUCCCACGAUCAAAAUCUUAUUCGGGUCAGUCCCACGAUUCAAAGCAUUUUCGGGUCAGUCCCACGAUUCAAAGCUUAUUCGGGUCAGUCCCGCGAUUCAAAGCCUGUUCGGGUCAGUCCCGCGAUUAAAAUCUUAUUCGGGUCAGUCCCACGAUUCAAAGCUUAUUCGGGUCAGUUCCACGAUUCAAAGUUUAUUCGGGUCAGUCCCGCGAUUCAAAGCCUGUUCGGGUCAGUCCCGCGAUUAAAAUCUUAUUCGGGUCAGUCCCACGAUCAAAAGCAUUUUCGGGUCAGUCCCACGAUUCAAAGCAUUUUUGGGUCAGUCCCGUGAUCAAAAGCAUUUUCGGGUCAGUCCCAUGAUCAAAAGCAUUUUCGGAUCAGUCCCAUGAUCAAAAGCUUAUUCGGGUCAGUCCCACGAUUCAAAGCUUAUUCGGGUCAGUCCCGCGAUUCAAAGAUUAUUCGGGUCAGUCCCGCGAUUAAAGCUUGUUCGGGCCCGUCCCAUGAUUUGAAUUUCCUUCUCUAGUCAGUCCCAAUUUUAAUUUUUCUGUUCGGAUCAGUCCCGUUUUACGUUUCUGUCUGGGUCUAUCCCAUUUAAAUUUCUGUCCAUGAUUUUACAUUUCUAUCCCGUGGGUCUAUCCCAUGAUUUUUAAAUUUUUGUUCGGGUCAGUCCCGCUUUAAUUUCCCGUCUAAGCCAAUUUCAUUUUAAACUUCGUCAAAAGGGGUCAGUCCCCAUUUUUAAAACGUCCACCGUUCGUGACGUUCGCCGCCGAAUAAAGCAGGUAAGUAUUUGGUGUCUACUUCUUUGUCUCAAGUUUUUCCAAAACUCAGACAAAGAGGGGCAAACUGUAGACACCAAAUUUUUGGUGUAAUUUCAUUUACUGUUUAUUUUUAGUUUUUUAUUUGUCGUGUUAGUUUUAUUCGAUUUUUAGUUUUUAGUUUAUAGUUUUAUUUUUAUUUGUAAGUUUUUAGCAUAGAAUUUCUUGAAAUGAAAAAAAAGAGAAAAAGGAAAAAUCAUGAAAAAAGAGAAAAAAAGAAAAAUCAUAAAAAGGAAAAAAAAGGAAAAAGAAAAGAAAAAUAGCAAUUUUGUUUUAUUUAGCUUUAUUUUAGUCAUUUCUACUUAAUUUAUCUUUUAUUGUUGUUUGAUUCAUUUAGAAAAAAGAGAAAAGGUGAAAAAUGAAAAAACUAUGAAAAAGAAAAAUGUAGAAAAAAGAUGGAAAAAUGGCCAUUUUUGUUGUUUCUAGUUGUUUAGUUUUUAAAUUAUUUUCAUUAUUAUUAUUAUUACCUGGUUUUUGUCAAUUUAUUAUUUUUAUUUUUAUUUUAUCAUUUUUGUAAUUAUCAAGUUGUUUUUAAAAAAAAAAAAAAAAAAGAAAAAAAAGGGGAAGGAUAGCCGCGGCAAGCUGCAUUUGUAGCAGCUUGCAAGGAAAGUUUCGUGCAGGCCCUUGGCUGCAAAAUACAGCAGAGAUUGCUGGGUUUUUAGGGUUGGUUGGGCUCCCAUAUAAAGAAAAAAAAACAAGCAGCCGCAAGGGGGAAAAAAAGAUUAGAAGGGAAGAUGACGGGAGGAGAGUUACGGGGAGAGUAACGAAGAAAGCAAAUGGACGACAAAGAAAUCAGAGGAGAGUUGGCUAAGAGGGAGAUAUGAGUGAAGGAGGUCGAGAGGGUACUGGAUAGAGAGGUUUUAGCAAAAACAACAAGCAAAAGAAAAUAGGGAGGAUACGGAUAGAGAGGCAACGGCAAGAAGGAAGAAACCAGAAAAGGGAGGCGCGGCUGUGAGGGUCUGAAAAAAACUUUUUGAGAGGCGAUAGCAAAAGGAAAAUAGAGAGGAACAGAGGAGAGGCUGAGAGAGACUGGAAUCCUAACAAAAAGAAAAGGAAGGGCAACAAACGGGAGGAGGAAACAAUGCUUCUGCCAUCAGCUUCAACCAUCAUUGAAAGGCAGUUCUACGGCAAGUCACUGGAUGCGAUUUCCUUCUUGUUUGUCAGCUAAGGUCCAAGUUAAUUCUUUUGUUUGUUUUACUUGUUUGGUUUAUUUCUUUGAUCUUUCAUGUUUUGAUGGCUGUUUUUUUUUUUUUUUUUUUUUGGAUGGUUUCACGUGAAUUCCUCUGUUCCUGGUUUUUUGUUUUGACCCCCCCAACCAUAGAUUUCUAGCUUUACUUGCUUUAUUUUGAUUUUUCUUGGUGCCUGAACCCAAAGGCUUUAUGUUGAAGAAUAAGAAGGGUAUUUGGGUAAGCCGUUUGUUUGAUUUCAAGUUGUGUUUGGCUGGGUUUGGUGCACGAAAAUCGGAUGAAACAAUCAACAAGCUCGAAGCUUCUGAUUUGUUACAAUGACUAGACAAAACUGAUUUUUCUUUGGAAACUGAAUUUCUGGUGUGGAUUGUUUGCUCCUUUGGGCCUGUGCGCUGUGUUAUUGACGCUUUAUAUAUGCUUGCUGCAUUUUAGAUCAACAAAGUGUAGUACCACAGCAAGCUAUAACAUAAACAGUGCUUGGUAAAUAGGUAAAGGCUCUCGGCUGUUAUGGCAGUUUGAGCAUAUUCGUUUUUUUUUCUUUCCUUUGCUGUUUCAAGUUCAUCAUGCUUGGAGCUUAUGAUUUCCUUGAUGUUCAGUUAGUAUGUUGUGAACACAAGCUUUGCAAGCUUACUCGGCCAUCUGCUAUUAUUUUGCUUCGUUGUCGUCGUAGAGCUGUCAAUGCUUAUAGUGACUUCUUGAUGUAUGUAGCUCUUUGCAUUUCUUGUUGUGUUCCUCCAUUUUCCCUUGCUGCUGGACAAUUUAAAUGUUUGGUUUCAAUUCUGCAACAAGAAUCUGCAUUUCAUUUAGUCAGUAGUUGGAGCUUUGAUAUUUGUUGAGCUCGUUUGGUAAGGAGAAAUGAAAAGAAAGCUGCGGCUACGGUCUUGGGUUACGGAAAGCCUUCAUCCAAGUGCAUCAGUUUCUUUUGGUAGCCGAAAUUUGCAGCAUGAAAUCUGAUUAUAUGGCCACUUUCUGCUUUGUUUCAUUUCAUUUUUGUGCAUGGUGAUUGACCUUGAAGAAACUAAUAAAUGUUGAACUUGAAGCCUUGCUUAAGCUUCUUGGGUUGCUAAUAAGAUACGCUUGCAGAAAACCAGCAACUAGAAAUGCAGAAGAAGGUUUCUUUGUAAGCAUCGUGCAUGAAAUUUUGCAUGAAAAAAAUAAUUUCUAAAAAUUUCACUUUGACCCCUCAAGUCCCUUCUCAUUUUACUAUGGCCCAAAUAAUGGAAAAUGGUAAUCGAAUUGAUCCUUCAAAUUUCUUUUCCAUUUCAAUUGGGAUUUUCAUUUAGUGAAUGUGGACUUGUUUGAUUAUUUGAAGGGCUCCAAUGGUUCAAUUUCAUAUCAAUUAGUGGUUCUUUGACUUUUGUUUUUGUGCUAUUUGAUUUACUAUUAAAUUGGUGCAUUAAUCCUCUGUUUAAUGGUUUUAGCCCAAAUUAGAACCUUUUCCAUUUAUUAGCUUCACAAGCGGGGGAAGGUAUGACUUUCUUUUAUCCUUUUUUGCCUCUCUCCUACGUGCUCCUACGUGUUACGUGAAUAUGCAUGUCUACUUUGCUUUCUUACUUCCUUGCAUUUAUUCCAUUUACUUUUACUUUUAUUUAAGUUAUUCUUUAUGGGGGUAUGUGUACACCUCUUGGCUUGUAAUAGAUAGGGCGUAGCAAGUAAUUUGGUCCAUUUCCCCUUUCCCCUUUGUUUUAGUUAGCAAAUGUAAUGGUUGCAUGCCUACGUGUUAAGUGUUUAAUCGCUUUAUUAGGCCCUUGCAUCUAGUCAAGUAUGCUAAGUGUUAUGUGCUACGUGUUUAUAAGUGAUUCGCAUGUCUACUCGCUUUUUAUAGUGUGGAUGAAUGGAAUGAAUGAAUGUACGUCACCACACUAGUCCAACGCUAGUUGUGGCUUCUUUUAUCGUUUCCACUAGUCCAACGCUAGUCGGAAUUCAUAGAAUGGGUUAGUCCAAUGCUAGACCCAAUAGGUUCUUUUUUCCUUUUUUUCAUUAAGUGCAUGAUCACCACAUAUCACGCAUUUUUCCUUAGUUUAUCAUUUGGUAUGUUCCUCAAACCCCUUCCCCUUCACUUUAGGACUUGCAUCCCAUACUAGCUAUAGGGUUCAUUUUGCUUGAGUGUCCCCUUCCGAUAAGGAAAACGAGCGAGUGUGGCUACUCGAUAGCCUUAGCACGCUAGUUUUGCCUUCUAAUCAAAGGGAAAAUAGAAGUCGGAAAGUUAGGAGUCAACCCCCGUACCCGACUUGUUGCAUUCCACUAGGUCAUACUUUCAUUUUUAUCACCUACAUACUCUUUUAACCACAUUUUUUCACAUUUCUCAAACCAUACUUUCCCACUACAUUUUUCCUAUCACGUGCUCAUUUUCACCUCACAAAUGGAAUUCUACUUUACCUUAUAUAUCUAUUAUAUUUUCACACACUUGCACACAAAAAACACUUGAAUUUUAUACAAUUUCACACGUGCACUUUCUUUACACACUCACACACUAAUACUUUGAUUUUUCACUCAAAUUCACACGUGCACUUUCUUUACACACUCACACACUAAUACUUUGAUUUUUCACUCAAAUUCACACGUGCACUUUCUUUACACAUACGCACACAAAUACUUUGUUGUUUAUACCAUUUCAUACAUGAAUCUUUUCAUACACUUGCACACUGGCACUUGAGUCACCAUUUGCAUCAAUCGACCUCUAUGAGGUUUCCCUUUAUUGGCCGCCACAAUUCAUGUGGUUUGGGACCAAAAACCUCACGAGAGACAUCGUAGAAUUUAGGAUUGCAUUUUUUCGUUUUCGCAUUCAUAUAGGCAUAAUCCAACAUGCAAUACAUACCCUGGGUAGAAAGUCAGGAAAGUUAGGGUUAAGUUACGCAACUAGCCUUGGCUAGGUCAAAGGGGUGCCUUGGAGUCUAUCCUUGCCUUCCCCUUUGUCAAACGUGACUCCCGAACCUUUUUCUUUGUUUUACGUAGACUAGGAGUCGUUUUAAAAAGGGUUUAUUAUUACUUAAUUCAUUUUUAGGUGACUUGGUACACCUUAAAUCAUUACCAAGUGGCGACUCCAAACUUUUCAUUUCAAAACCCUUUUUAAAACUAUUUUUUGGGUCAAAUCGUCGCUUUCCAAAGUCCCAUUGAGACCUAUGUCUUUUCAACUCACAAAAAUCAUUUUCCAAUCAAAAUUGAAACAAUACAUCUUUCUCAAACAAAUUAUUUUUCUUAUCAAAAAAUGGGGCGCGACAUGAGGGAGAGUAGGGAGUAAAAUCUGAGGGCUGACAGCUAGGGGGACCGGAGAGAAACAGAAAGGGAGGACCGAGAGGGGUUAAGUAAAAAAAGAGGACGGCGGAGUGAGAAAGAAAAAGAAACAAUCUGAAGGCCUCUGACGGCUGGAUUGAUGAAAAAUUGGAAAAAACCAGAGAAACCAGAGAGGCUAAGGGCGGCUGGGAGAGUUUUACGGCUAGGAGAAAAUCUGGAACAAAAGAAAUGGGGUGACGGCUGAGAGCAGAGGGUCUUGAGGGCCGAUGAAAGAAAGAGUGGACGGCUAUGCUGGAUAGAAAAGUGAGUGACGGCUGAAACAGAGGGCAGAGGGAGAGUGAAAAGGGUGAGUGAGAGAGCCGAGGGGAAAAACCAAGAGGUUCUGGGGAGAACUUGAGGGAUUUUGGUCCAAGCCAAACCAAAGUAAAGAACCACCAAGAAUUGAAGGUCUCGGCGAUGGGUUGCUGAUGCCGCUGCUGCCAUCAGAAUCCACCACCACCACCUGCAAACCCUCACCGCAAAAGGCUUGAAAGAAAGCAUUGUGAGCUACCCUUUCCCUUUAAAUUCAAGUUUCCUUUUAAAAGUUCAGAUUUUUGAAGCUUUCUAAGCGUGGAUUCCCUGAAUCUGUUUCAGAAGUUUGUUUUCGUUACUUAGUAUCUCGUCACUUCUGUUUUAUGUUCAUGGGAAAUCUAUUUUUUGUUGUUGUUUUUGUUUGGUGAAAAACCUAGGAACUAAAAGCUAUGUUUUGGAAUCUGUAUGGCCGAAAACCUGUGAACCAAAAGCUGUUAACUUUCGUGUGGUUUUUCCUGUCAUGAAUUGAAUGUGUAUGAUUCGUGCGCGGUGAAUUGUGUUCUGAAUAGCUUAGCAGUCUCAUGGUUUGAAUUUAGUUGCAUGUUCCAUUAAAUGGUAGCGUUCAUGGCUGUCUUCCUGCACAUAUGGAAGCUGAAACUGUACAGAAAGGAACCCAUGAGUGAGUUCAAGUUGCUGGUUUCAUAGCUUUCUUUCGUUUGCAUGUUUGAAGCAAUCAGAGGCUGGGGUAGGUUGCAUGAGAUAUUUUGGUUGUCAAAGUUUCUGAUUUGCAUCCUUGAAGAUCUUGUUGCUUGGGUUAAGAUUGUGUUGGGUUGAGAUAAUGUGCAUAAAAAUCUGUUACAAUAAUUUCGAAACUCUCGGUUUGUUGCGGCUAUGUUAUUAAAUUGAUUUUCGGGUAGCUGGGGUUUUGGUUUGGCUUGAUUAUGCUUUUGGGUCUGUUUGUUGUUGGAUGGUGAUGCCAUUGUGUGCGUUUGCUGCAAUUUAUUGUAGCAAAGUGUGGUAUCACAGCAGGCCAUAACACUGCCAUUGUUUUGCAAGCUUGAAGUUUUAGUUACUUCAGCUCUGUGUUGUUUGAGCCGCAAGGUUGCAGCAGAAAUGGUAGAAGAUAGCUUCAGCUUUGGCCGAAAGCUUUCAAUUGCAUGCAUGCAAAUCUUUCAAAAAUUGUGCUCCAACCUCACAUUUUUUCUCCUCAUGCUACAAAGGCCCAUUUAUGUUCUAAUGUCUUGCAAUUAGGUCCUAAAGUAAUUUCAAUUUGAACCAUUACUUGACCCUUUCUUUGCUCUUGGACCCUUGAAGUUCCCAAAAUGUGUUAAUUGGGCUUGGGUGAUUGGUUAAUAUUUGCAAUUGGGUCCUUGGUAGUUUUUCCAUUUUAGAAAUUUGAUCAAUGAUUUACUUUUCUUGGAAAUUAUGCAUUAUUUGAUUUCAUUUAAGUCGCAAUUGGGAGGGAUUUGGUGAUUUGUUUAUACUUUACUAUUUAAUUGGUGCCUUGACCCUUUUAUUGUUUUGAAGCUAAUAUUUUCUUCAUUUCAUUACCAUUGCAAGGGAGGUAACCUCUAUCCUCUUGAUUUUAUUUCUCCUACGUGCCACUAAGUGCUAUGUGUGAAUAUGCAUGCUUUAAUUCGCCUUUUUAAUGUUUAAUUGCAUGUUUCACUUUCUUUUUAUUUAGCCUUCUUUAAUCGGCAAGUCAUUUGAGGGCAUUUGAACCCCAAUUUGUAAUAGUUAGGUUUUGGCGCCUCUCUUGAAGAUAUGUCUUAGCUAGUCAAUGUAAUAGUUAGGAUUUGCUUUUAUAAGUCCUUUUCCCCCUUUUAGAUUGUAGUAGGGUUCCCCGAAUGUAAUAGUUAGGGCUUUAUUUGCUUUAUUUGCCUUGUGUGUUUUUACAUGCCUAUGUGUUAUGUGUUACUCGCUUUCCUAGGGUCUUGCAUCUAGACACCAUGCUUAUGUGUUAUGUGCUAUAUGUGAUUUAUGUGUUUAUUUGCUUUAUUAGGCUUUACAUGAUUUAUUUGAUUGUAAUGAAUGUGUGACGUUACCACACUAGUCCAACGCUAGUCGUGGCCCCCUUUCCCGUCACCACACUAGUCCAAUGCUAGUUGUGGCCCUUCAUUCCGUUUUUUCCACUAGUCCAAUGCUAGUAGGAAUUCAUAGAUAUGGGCUAGUCCAACGCUAGACCCUUAGGGGCCUCCUACGCUAGAUCAUGUUUGUGUGAAUCACUACAUUUCAUGCAUGUUUUUCACCUUUUAGGGUUUUUACCAUAUUGCAUGACACUUUCUUAUGUACAUCCUUUAUCCCAUAUCCCUCCCUAUAUGUAUAUCUCUUUCCCCAUAUUUUCCCUUAUAUGUAUAUUACUUACCCCUUUGUAUGAAACAUGACAUUAGACUUGUAUUUCAUCUAAGCAUUAGACCUAGGCUAGUACAUUUGCUUGAUUAGACUAGGAAAAACCCCUUGGAUAUGGGAUAUGGAUGAGUUUGGCUUUCUCAUCUUAGCACGCUUGUAUUCCCUCUAUUAAAGGGAACAUUGAAAGUCACAAGUGUAAGUCCCCGCACCCAUUAUGAUGCAUUCCUUUUGGUCAUACGCAUUUGUAUAUUAUUAUAUUCUUCACUUUUCCUUUCUUUCGAGUCUCAUGACUUGCAUUAUUCGUGACUUCUUCGAAGAGUCUUUAUUGGGCGUCACAAUUAAUGUGAUUGGUGCCAAAUAAGAUUUGAAGAUACAUUUUGACCCCCGAUACCCUCAUAGGUCUAGGGUUUGUAUUCAUAUAGAACAUCCAAAUGUGAUAAAUCUUUAGGUUAAAAUAAGAAAAUCUUUGACUAAAUCGCGCAACUAGCCUUGGCUAGGUUGAAAGGGUGCCUUGGAUUCUUAUCCUUGCCUUCCCUUUCUUCAAAUGUGACUCCCGAAUCUUUUUCUCUGAUUUUGUAGACUUGGAGUCGUUUGAAAAGGGUUUUCUACUUUUUUCCUUUAAAAUUCAUUUUUAGGUGACUUGGUACACCUGAACUCUAUACCAAGUGGCAACUCCAUUUUUCAUUCAAAAAACCCUUUUUAAACUACAUGUUGGGUCAAAUCGUCGCAUUUUCAAGUCCCAUUUAGACCCAUGCUUUUCCAUAAUCAAAAAUUCAUUUUCCAAUCAAAAAUCAAAUCAAAAGUCAUUUUUCCUAAACUCGUCUUUUAUUUAAAAAAUGGGGCGCGACAUAGAUAAUUUUUAUGAGUAAAUAUAGUUUUUAAAUUUUUCUAGUAUCGGGUAGGUUUUGAGAAAUUAAGAGCGUAUACCAGACGUGGGACCCGCUAGUGCGGAAAGUUUGGAAAAAUUCGGCCAGUUAGGUUAAGUUUUGGAUACUAGGUUUAAUUUACCGGGUGCUAUGAGAUAAUUAGAGGUUACCAAGUGGAUUGGUGUGAGAGGAACAAAGAGAUAGCUAUGCAUUAAAUGAAAGUGACAAGUGUCACUUAGAGGUUAAUUCUUACUUUUGACUACUGUUCACCCUUUUACCAUUUUACUAAAUAAACCAAAAAUUGGUCAAAAAUUCUCUUCAUUUCAAGCUAUUGUGGCCGGCUCUCUUCAAGCAAAAAGAAAGGAAAAGCUCUCAAUUUUCUAGUCUCCAAUCUUGCUCAAUCUUCAAUUCCAACCGUUUAAUCUUGUAUUUGCUCCAUAAAAACCCUUAAGUGAGUGGUUGUGAGGUGAUUAGUGAAGUGAUUUGGAGGAUUAAGGUGCUAAGUUGCUCCUUUUCUUCGGUUGUUAAGGUGAGUAACUAAGGGACGUUUCUUUCUUCUCAAUAAUGUUUGAUUAUUGACUUAUGAGAGAUGAAGUGAUGGAUUAAGGUGUUGUUUCAUGACUUUUGGUGGAAUUUGGUGCAUUUUUCUAUUUAAUUAUGAUUUUUCUGUUUUCAUAUGAUUAUUAUGGUGUGGCCUUAGAUGAUGGUUGGAAAUGAUCUAAAACGAAGCUAGAGGGUGUAAGUUGUGGCUAAUUGCGGAAAAUUUCCGCAUUUAAAGGAAAUUUCGGAAGUUAGGGUUUCAAUUAACCUCAUUCUGCCUGGUACUAUUACUCCUAGUUAGAGCCUGAAUUAGCCUUGGGUUAAAACAUGAAAGUUGUAGAGGAUGGUAUUUUAUAGUUGCCUGUAAAAGAUUAGGCUAAUCUGAGCAGCAUAGCCUAUAAAAAGACUGAAAUACCCCUACUGCUCUGUUUCUGUCCGAAACUGAAAAUCAGCUUUGGUAAUUGGUUAAUUUGAUUGGGAAGACUACGGAUUUAGUUGUUGAUGUCUUCUUAAGAAAUAUAUCCUGGUAUCUUAGCUUUCGGAUGGCUUUGAAAUCACUUUAAUUGGACUUGGGUAGCCUGAAUUAUGGUUAUUUAACCAGAAUGCGGUUUGUUAACCUGUUUUUACGGUUCUAGUAUAGUACAUUGAACUUUUGACCUAGUUGCACUACAAACUGGAUUGAGUGGCCUUCUUCAACAUUGUAUCCCUUUCUUUUAGAUUCGAAACGGUGUAUAUUGUACAUCCAUCCGAUAAUCAUAGUGUUAGUGGUGCCAAAACCGCUAAAUGAUGUUAAAAAAACUGUUUUAGGGGUUUAGAUCUAAACUUCCAUUUCCGGACUUCCCUAGUUUACUCUCGUACUUAUACGUUCUAAUGGAGCCUUCUUUUGGUAGUAUGUGGAAUUGGUUUAUGACUUGUAAUCGAGGUUUAUUGUGCUUAUUUGAAUGUUUUAGGACAUGACGGUGGUUCAAGACGCUCUUUGGGCGGAAGUGUAUGAAAUUUCACUUGCUUGCUUGGUGAGUGUACUACUCACUUGUUUGUUACUAUGUGGCUUUACUACUUGAAAUCGAUGAUUUGAUGGCUUAAUUGCAUUGUUGACCUAGAUUGAAGUGAGGGUGUACUUAAUCACUCUCACCCUUUUAUCGUAUAUGACUGUUUACUAUGUAAUUGAGUGAUACAUGCAAAUACUUGAUGUGGUGUCGUUUGGACGUGUGACGGCCCCACCCCCCCUAAGGCGAACCAGAGGGUUCGGCGGGCCGCCUGCCCAGCUCUCGCCGGGACUCAGUCGAUCACUACAUUCCUCAAAUAAAUUACAAGAUAAAUCUCAUAUAUACAUCAAAUGUUCCAACAUUUACAUAUCAAAAGUGAAGCGUCCACGCUUCCACUGCGCCACUCUGAUCCAUGAUCCCAAUUCUUAUACAAGAGGAAUUCCACAACAAUAAAAUCACAACAAGCCUUCCUUCGCCACGAGCCCUGUGGAGGGGAAUAAAAUAUUUUUUGGGUGAGCUAGAAGCUCAGCGAGUAACCAGAAAAAUCAGUAAUCAAAUAUAUUUCACAAUAAUGCAUUUCGAUCAUUUCGAUGAUGUCAUGAUUCAAAGAACAAAUGUCCGUUUAUUGCUCUCGUGAGCCAGUGAAAUCAUAGUACUUGAACACCCAACGCUCAAAUCGAUCAUUUAACAUUAACAUUAACAUUAAGAGGGAGCCCCUUUUUGAGCUACGGAGCCAUUUGCUCCAAGUAAACAGAGGUGGAGACGUUGGUGUCCAGCACAAGACUCCCCAAGAAUUCAUUAAAGCCAAAAUCAUAUCAUGAAUUCACAUGCAAGCACGCAUGAUAUGCAAUCGAAUAAAUAAUGCAAGAAGCAUUUAACAAGUACUUUGGAAAUAGUUUAGGGUCACUUACCUCCAUGGCUCAGAAAUCAUCCAUCAUAUAACAUUGCCUUGCUCAAAUCCAAGUCUUAGAUCACAAACUCAAUGCAAACAAGUCCCUUCAAAGUUCGGACAGCACUUCCCCUGAAUUUGCUAACUUUUCCAGCCAUCAUGGCUUUAUUAUUUCCUCAGCCAGUCCCAAAGGUACACACACAACAACAAGUUCAUCCAAUAGUCAUUCAGCAAGCUCCAAGUAGUACUAGUACAAGUCAAACUAGGGAAAAGUCCGGAAAUGAAAGUUAAGUUCUAAACCAUAAAAACAGUUUUGACAUCAGUUUGCGGUUUUGGCACCACUGGCACUACGAUUAUCGGAUGGAGGUGUAAGAUACACCGUUUUGAAUCUAAGAGAUAGGGCUACAAUGUUCCAGAAGGCAACUUUGUCCAGUUUUGAGUGUAACAAGGUCAAAAAUGCAAGAUACUAUACCAGAACCGGAAAAACAGAUUCACAAAACGCAUUCUGCUGCAAACAGCAUAACUCAGCCUACUUAAGUCCAAAUCCAGAAAUUCCAAAGCCAUCCGAAAGCUUAGAAACAGGGUUACAUUUCAUCAGAAGACCUCAACAACCAAUUCCGAAGCAAUUCCAGCCAAAAAAACCAAUUACAGACGCAAUUAUCAAAUUCGGGUAGAAACAGGGCAGCAGGGGUAAUUCAGUCUUUUCACAAGCUACGUUGCUCCGAUUGACCUGAAAUUUUCUAGGCAUCUCUAAAAUAUCAUUCCAUACAACUUUAAUGUUUUAACACAAGGCCAAAUCAUGCAUUUUCAUGGUCAAAAAUGGAAAACUACACGAAAACAGAAAUCUGGGCGCGAAACAGGUUUCAUGGAUAGUCAAAGGUAUUUUGGUCAUUUCACAAGCUACAGUGCUAGGAUAGAGCUGAAAUUUUGUAGGUAACUAUUUUACAUCAUUGGCUACAACUUUCAUGUUUUGGCUAAAAUCUAAUUCGGUAAGGAGCAUGGUGAAAAUUCACAGUCAGAUUGGGUGAAAUGACAACCCUGUUCGCUGAACUCCUACCUAGACCAGUCUGGGUAUUUCCGACUUUUCACAAGCUACCGAGCUCAGAUUGAGAUGAAAUUUUACAGGCAACUAUAAAAUAUCAUUCUCUACAACUUUCAUGUUUUAAUCUAAGGCUAAUUCGGCCCUAGCAUGCUCAAAAAAAUUCAGACAGAACAGGCCUGUUUGGAACCCUAAUCUGGAAUUCAUGUAUUCAAGUGCUAAUCUUCCACAAAACAACAUCUAAAACAACUAAAAACCACUAAUAAGCAAUGAAUUGAAGUAAAGAGGAUGUUUUAGGCAAAAUACCUUAAAACCACAAGAAAGGUAGUAGCUUGGAGCUUGCCCUUCAAAAUCACUCCACUCAAUCUUUUAAUCUACCUUAGUAAACAACUUUGAUGGAGGGUUUUGCAAAAAUUCUGGUUAGAAUUCAAGAUUGGGCAAGAAAUUGAAGAACAAAUGAAGUUUCUCUCUUGCUCACUCUCUCUCUUGUGUUUAGCCAACAAGCUAAAAAAAAUGGAGAAGAAUGAAGCUCCAAGAUGGCUUUAAGAUGACUUAGUCUUCACUUGGGUCAAAUGUCACUUUUCCUCCACCAAUCAAAUUUAAGCUUAGGAAGACCUUAGAAGAUUCAAGGUUACUAAUAUCUUACUUUGCUAAGUCUCACACUAUGGCCCCAAUAACAUUUAAUCUUUGCAAUUAACUUCAUGGUUCACCAACUAGUUGAAAAAAAACAAUCGCAUUUACCGCACUAGCGGGUCCCACGUUCAUAAUACACUUCAAAAUUAACGUGGACUAACUUGGAUCAAGAAAAUGAUUUGAAAACUAUAUUUCCUUAUAAAAAUGUAUAGAAAAUUAAUAUAUUGAAGAAAACAAACUUAUAGACAAGAAAACAAAAUAAUGUCGAGAAAAUAUAUAAAAAUUUUCGGUUUCUCACACUAAUACUUUUCGGGGCAUCACAGGACGAGUAUCCAACGGCCAUUACUGUUACUACUGAACUCAACCCCAUUGGUAGUCGAUUGAAUCGAGCCGGCGAGGGCUUGGUCAUAAAAAUUGACGAGCCAUGGGGACUGUUAUAUGGAAUCUUGUAGUAUGAGACUCUUGAUUCCGGUAUACUCGAGUAUUACCAAAUUUCUACUAUUUGGAGUUCGGGCCCGAUAGGGGUAUGUUGGGUGGAAGGAAUGGAAGUAAAGUGGAGCCUACGGUUGGUUACUCUUAAUCAUUGACGGAGGGUCAAUGAAAUCCGAUCAAGAUUGCAAUCGAGGAAAGGGGCUCUUGAGAGCCGUCCGUAUCCUUUUAUCAACUCUAUUGAUGUGUGCUUGGCUUACUUUUGAUGUAUUGGAAUGAAAAGCUUUAUGCUUAUAUGAAUUUUGCUGUUUGAGUGAUAGUAUCUCACUGGGCGUAAGCUUACCCAAUUCCUUUUGUUUUCCUUACAGGAAUUUGAAUACUUUUGGAAUGGCUUUGAUAGUUGGUUGCCGAGUUGAGCUAGUUGUGAAUACAUUUUGCAUAGCUCCUCGAAGAAUGAAACCUAGAUGUAUUUUGACCGUUCCCUCUUUUGAAUUGUAAGAUUGAAACCGUACAUGUGUAAUUGGGAUUGAAAACUUUUGUAUGCUAUUUUGGUAUGUAAAUGCUAAAUUUCAAGUGGUAUGGGUUUGAUUGAUGUUUGGUUGGAUUUUGGACAGGUUCGGAUUUCAAACGGUGAAAGAAAAAAAUUUGGCGGAAAAAAAACAGGGUCGAAUCCGGCCAGAAAUUGGCCGGAUUAGCGGCCGGAUUGCCCUGGGAUUUUUGGGAAAUCCGGCCUUGCUCUCCGGCUAGCAUCCGGCCGGAUUCUGACGUGUCGGUUACUGUUCAUGGCCGGCUCCGAUUUUCAUUUUUUUUAUUUGUAAUUUUGACUUGUUUAAGCGCGAUUGUAUGUUCCGGAAUGUUUUAGAUCGCUUUAAACUGUCCUGUUAGUCCUGGCGAGAGCUAGGCAGGCAGUCCGCUAACCCCUUUGGUUCGCCUUAGGAGAAGAUGUGGCUGUCACAGGUGGUAUCAGAACCUAGGUUUGAAUUGGCCUGGGCGUGUUAGAAAUGCUCGACUUGAGGAUUAUUUUGCUUAUGUCCCUUAAGGUUAUUUACAUUUAUUUACCCUUUUGGUGUAGGAUGGACGGGCAUAGCGGGCCUAGUGGUAGCCCUACUGGGGAGCGACCGCAUGGGGUGCUUCCGGUGAUUCUGUACCAGAUCCGGCCAAAAGGGGCCGUCGUUCGUUAGAGCCCGGCUAACCGCCUCCGACGUUGCGAGUGUCGUCACACGUACGCCUACCCUAACACCUUGGUGUUGGCUGUGACCGAGGAACGGAAGGAGUUGGCCAAAGAUAAUGCUAGGCUUGAGGCCGACGUGAAUCAGUUGAGGGCGGCCAACGAGAAACAAGCCAAGCGAAUUAAGGAUCUGGAGUACGAUGUGAUCGAGUGUGAAGAUAGAGUGGACGACCUCUGCGCUCAACUUAGGGAGGCACGUGAGCGUUCGACUACUCGAGCUCGAAAGGUUAGGGUUCGAGCCGAGUCAAUUCUGCACCUCUGUGAUGAUUUGCUCGAUGACGAGAGCAACGAGGCCUCGUGUGCGGGGCCCAAGACUGGGGUUGAAUCCACCCUGUUGGGUGGGUCUACUAGCCCGACGACGGACUAGGUUAUGACUCUUAGGGUCUUUAGGGCCUUUUGGAUGGUUUUGUUUUCUGUAUAUAGGGCGGAUAAGGGAAAAGAGCCUUAGCUAGUCAUUUUGUACAUUUGGAUUAGCUACAUGUAUAUUUUUUUUGAUGAGGCCAUUUUCUCGUGGAUUGUCUAUGUUUGUACUUGACUUGACUGGCUGUUCAUAUGUGUGUUGUUUGACUUUGUUUGGAAUGUAUAUAUAUGUUAUUGUCAAAGCUUUUGGGAUUUUACUUACACGUAUUCUUAUUGUAUGUUCUAGUACGUUUGCCUAGAUCAAGUAGAUUUCACGGAAGGUACGCGUAGUGGACGGGGACAUGGGCGCGGGAGUAGGCAACCCACGUCGGACAGGGGUGGUGGGAAACCUCCUCUGGACCUAAUCCUGAACCGAGGGUUGACCUCAAUGUACAAAUAGCUGCCGCUAUGCAGCAAAUGACCAACCUGCUGGCACAAGUGGUGCAGCAACAGGGUCAGAACCCUAAUCCUAACCCUGGAAACCCUGGCAAUCACGUCGAGAGCGACGAUAGGGCACUUGAAAGAUUCCAGAAGUUUGCCCCACCGAAAUUCGUUGGGUGUCGCCGAAAGGUGGCUCGAGAAAAUGGUAGACAUUUUCGUUGCCCUGCACUACACCGAAGAACGGCCGGUUCCUGGUGGAAUGUCAUUCGGCAAAAAUGGGAACGGGAACAAACGCCCAGGACUUGGGUAAAUUUUAUGAGAGAAUUCAACGCGAAAUUCUUCCCUCCUCUAGUUCAGGAGAGGAAGGAAGAUGAGUUUAUCCGACUCCGCCAAGGGGCUCAGUCUGUGGCGGAGUACGAGAGCCAAUUUACCCGCCUAUCCAAAUUUGCUCCUGAGCUGAUCAUGACCGAGCAACGACGGAUCAGGUGUUUUAUCCAGGGCUUGAAUGUCGAAAUCCAGAAGGACCUCACAGUGGCUCAAAUCAAUGCUUUUAGCGAGGUCGUGGAGAAGGCCCAACGGGUUGAGAGUGCUAGGUGGCAAGUAAGGAACUUCCAAGCAAAGAAGCGCUGCUUUCCUGGAAGCAGUUUGGGACAAGGGGAUAAAGGUACCCCCUCCAAGUUUGGACGAGGAAUAGAAGGUGGACGACAGUCAGGUUUCGGCAGAGGGGCUCAGUCCAGGGGUGGCUCAGCCGGGAGAGGCCAAGGCGGAAACUUCCAGAAGGGUUCAGGUUCGGCGUUCCGUAGGCCUUGUGGAUACUGCGGGAAGCCGAAUCACUCCAAGGAUAACUGCUGGAAGAAGGAGGACAAAUGUCUGCAUUGCGGAAGCGCAGACCACCAGUUGGCCACUUGCCCGGUCCUAAAACAAGAUGGAAAGGGAGCCAACCACCGCCGAGGACCAAUGCUGGACCAGCUAAGGGGGAUGGGUCCAAACCUAAGAUGCCAGCUCGAGUGUAUUCGUUAGAACCCCAACAGGUCCCAGAUUCCUCAGAGGUCGUAGAAGGUACUAUCCCUAUCUUCCACCGUUUUGCCAAAGUUUUAAUAGAUCCUGGUGCCACUCAUUCCUUUGUUAACCCUGAUUUCAUGUGUAGCAUCGAUAUAAAACCUGCUAGUUUACCAUACGACCUAGAAGUUAGUACACCUACGGGGAAUCAACAUUUGGUUACUAGUAUGGUUUAUAGGGAUUGUGAAGUGUGGGUAGGAGAAAAGAGAUUGUUAGGAGAUUUGAUAAGUCUAUCCAUUAUGGGGUAUGAUGUGGUUUUAGAUAUGAACUGGCUAGCCAGGUAUAAUGCCCAACUGCAUUGUAAAACGAAAGUGGUAGAAUUCCGCAUCCCUAGUGAAGCAAUCUUAAGGUUGGGCAUAAGGGGUAGGUUAGCCUCAUCUGCUUUGAUUUCGGGCAUUCGAGCUAGAAAACUGCUAAGUAGAGAGGCGCAAGGAUUGUUAGCCUUUCUAAUCAAUACCCCCACGAAUAAGUUAAAGAUACAGAACGUAGCCAUUGUAAGGGAAUUUUCGGACGUAUUCCCUGAUGAGUUAGUAGCCCUACCUCCGGAAAGAGAGAUAGAAUUUAAGAUAGAUCUGCUACCUGGAACCUCACCUAUCUCAAAAACCCCAUACCGAAUGGCCCCUGCAGAGCUCAAGGAGCUAAAGUUGCAAUUACAAGAUCUUCUGGAGCGUAGAUUCAUUCAAGAGAGCGGGUCUCCUUGGGGAGCUCCUAUCCUGUUUGUAAAGAAAAAGGACGGUAGUUUGAGGAUAUGUAUCGACUACCGGGGCCCGAACAACGUCACGGUUAAGAAUAAGUAUCCACUGCCCCACAUUGAUGAGUUGUUCGGCCAGUUGCAAGGAGCAGUGGUCUUCUCAAAACUGGACCUCCGACAGGGGUAUUACCAGUUGUUGAUUAGGAGAGAGGAUAUUCCAAAAACCGCUUUCAACUCGAGAUAUGGGCAUUACGAAUUGGCAGUUAUGCCCUUUGGACUGACCAAUGUUCCUGCCGCCUUCAUGGACUUAAUGCAUAGGGUUUUUAAGCCCUAUUUGGACCGAUUUGUCGUUGUUUUUAUUGAUGACAUCUUGGUCUACUCCAAAACUCGCGAGGAGCAUAAGCAGCAUUUGAGAGUUGUUUUGCAGACCCUAAGGGAGCAUCAGUUGUACGCCAAGUUCAGUAAGUGCGAGUUUUGGCUGGAGAAAAUCUCUUUCCUGGGGCACGUAAUUUCCCAAGAAGGCAUCUCAGUUGACCCGGCGAAAGUAGAGGCCGUGACCAAUUGGAAGAGGCCAGAAAACCCUACAGAGAUCCGCAGUUUUCUAGGGCUGGUUGGGUAUUACCGACGUUUCAUAAAAGACUUCUCCAAAUUAGCAGGUCCUUUAACCGACCUGACAAAGAAACAUGGUCGGUUCGUAUGGAAUGCUCGAUGUGAGACAAGUUUUCAAGAGUUAAAGAAAAUAUUGGCCAUGGCUCCAGUUCUAGUCUUGCCUAACGGAGUAGACGGAUUUGCUGUGUAUACUGAUGCGUCGCGAGAAGGCCUGGGAUGCGUCUUAAUGUAGAACCUUAAUGUGAUCUCUUUUGCUUCUAGGAAGUUGAAACUCCACGAGCAGAAUUACCCGACCCACGAUCUAGAGCUAGCCGCAGUUGUUUUCGCGCUGAAAAAGUGGAGGCACUACCUAAAUGGGGUGACCUUUGAGAUUUACUCAGACCACAAGAGUCUUAGUGUGAGAACCCGAGAAAAUUAUAUGUAUGCCUUGAAUUUAUUUCAUUUUAUUUACUUUGAUAUUAGAAACUAUCCUAGGAUGGCAUGAGAAAUUCUUAUAGGUGUAUGCAAUUGGAACAAACUAAAGUUUGAGGCAAUAUUUGAAGAUGAUAAAAUUUCAACUCCUUAGCAAGUAAAUAAAUUAAUUCAAAAGACCAUUUUAACCUCAACACUUGAGCAAUUAACUAUGCGACCGAAUUGACCAUUCUCGGCUAAGCAUAAGACUGAACAAAGGAUUAAAAUUUGGUGGAUUCCAUUUGGUAUCAAUUUACUAAGAGCAAAAGAGGAACAACCGAGAGCUAAGCUAUCUUUUCUCCAACCCCAAAACUGAGAGUAGAAGUGGGAGUGAGGGAAAGAAAUUUUGCUAGCUUCAACACUUGCUAACCACAACCGAGAGAGAGUAAAGCAAGGAGAACUGGAGCGAGAAUCUAGUGCAAGAAAUUUGAGGAACCGAAGCAGAGAAUUAGGGCAGACUGCAAUUAUCGAAUUCUAGGGGAAAAGAGGUAAGAUUCUGCAAUAACUUCCUGCCUAUUUAGUAUAAUUGAAUAUAUACAAGCUGCUUGUUGAACUUAGCUGGGAAAAUGAGCUCUUGGCUGAAGGAAAUUCUGUGUAGCACCAGAAAAGCUGUAGGAAAGGAAAAUUGCAGAAACCGAGAGUGAAAAUCUAAAUCUGCAACUUGUUAUCAAUAUUUCUUUGGAGAAUAAUGUUAAGAAAUGCAUGCAAUAUAUUUAUCUUAAGUUUAUAAGAGGUUUAGCUGGGAAAACUUGUGAAAAGUUGGAAGUUGAGCUAGAAAUUGCUAAAGGAAAGUUACUGGAAAUUUUCCAGCUUUAGCGGAGAGAGGGAAUAGAGUUUUAUCUAACUUUUCUUUUCGAAUCCCUGGUUAUAAAUUCUAUACUGCUGCUUAAGUUAUCUUGUAACAUAACAACAACCCCUAUAUGUUAAGUUGGGAGUGAGAGAAUGCAUAAACUUGAGAAAGGCAGUUUCAUACUUACACUGUUAACAUUUGCUAAAGGUUAUAUGUUGCUGAUGACAGGAUUAUUUGAGGCUAAUUGGUGGAAUUGCUGCUGGAAUUGUAUGCAAGUUUGUUUUAGAUUAGAUUGGACAGAAAAUAUACUAAGUGUUUAGUGUUUUAAGCAAGUGAAAGAUAGAACUUUGUUGAAAAUUCUGAGAUAAUGUAGCUGGAAACAUGUGUGCUGGCCGAGGGAGUUAGGAGGUAGAGUUCUUGUGUUAUUUUGAAAUUUCCAAGACAAUUGGUUAUAAAUUUUGUAUAAAACAUCUUAUAACAUCUUGUCCUAGUUUUCAUGUGCAUCUUAUUGAUUGUUUUUAACACUUAAAAAGCUGGUGUAGGGGAACAAAACCCAAACUACAAACAACUUAGAAUCUGGUUUAACUUAAAUGGAACAAAUGAAGAGUUCAUUUGCCUUAAUCUUUGAAUAUUGGAUAGAAAAUGAUUUAAUCUUAGACUAAACAUCUCACAAGACUUUAAACUUGGAAUAUAUGUAUAUUUCUUUGGCUUUUGUUAAAAUUUGAUGCUUAAAUUAUGUUAGAAUUGCUGGUAUGAAUGUCAUACUUAAGUGUAUGGGUGGUUUGAAUAAAAGUCUUGUGGUUUUAAAAGAGAAAAAAAAGAGUUUUUCACAAGUGAAAAAUGAGUUUCUAGAUUUUCGGAUUUCACUGACCAGUCUCAGUAAAAUGCUUAUAUCUUGUUGUAGAAAAAUCCGAUUGAGGUGCCGUCAGCGGCAUUUGAAACUAGACUCAUGGACCUUUGUUCUGUACAAAUUUCAUAUUUUUCCUCCAUGUGUACUGCUGUCCGUGAGUCCUCAAAGUAGGCUGUCCUGUUUCUUCAGGAAAAUGAAUUUUUGACUUGGAUCAAAUAUUUGGCCUAUUUGCGAUUUGAAUCUCUAAAAAGUGUCUUCUGGGAUGGGGUAGUACUAAAAAUCCAUUUUACAACGGUAUAACUUUCAUAAUUUUUCGACUUGUGGAACUCGAGUUAUGAAUUUUUAAAGUUUACUGUACUGUUCAUCUCAGUAGAUUCCUGAAGCAUAGAAACGGGCUUCUUGACUUUAAAACCUCGGACGGCCUACUUCCAAUCUCUUACCUUGAUUUUUUCACUUCCUUGACUUCAAAUGUAUCCCUAUUGAACUUCUCUCGCUAAUGUAUCUCUCCUUUCCUCAAACUUUUACGCUCUUAACAAGUUACCUUAAUUAAAGCGGUCAAGACUUGUACUUAGCUUUUAGCCACCAUUUCCGAAUUUCCAAGUGAAGCUUACAUGCUAAAAUUGCCUUGUGUGUGGAUGACACUGAGCCUAGUUGAAAGGCUAUUGUGUUAAGAUUGCUUAUGUGUGACUUUGGGACUGAGUUGAGGUUUCUCUUGAAAGCAUCUUUGGCAAGGUUAAGGCUGUUUUUCAUUUUCACUCGCUUAAUCUUGUUUAAUUUUGUACAGCAACUCAUAUUCUUGGCUAAUGAUAGUUAUUUACAUAGUUUUGAUGGUUAUGGUAGAUUUUUGAGUUAGGGUUUGACUCGUUCAGUUGUAUUUCUUGUUGUUUAGAUAGCAUAUGAUGUCUAUAAGCUUGGAUAGGGAGUUGGGAUAGUAGUUUAAGACAUGAAUGAGAAUAUAAACCUUGAAUUCAUCAAAAUUUCCAGCUUUAAAAAUUGAACUGCCCUGCUUCUAACCAGCUUCAUUCGUCCAUGUUAGAGGCCAAAUUAGGCUUAGGUCAAAACCUGAAAGUUGUAACAAACGGUAUAAUGUGUACCCCAAUCCGAUAAACAUAGCUCUAGUUGUGACCAAAAUGCUAUAAGAUGUCAAAUCUGUUGUUAACUUUUUGUUCUCAAAACCGAUUUCUGAUUGUUUUAUUAGAUUUGUGUUGUAACUAGUUGAUUUUGGAGCCUAAUUGAAGGGCUAUGUUGAUAACAUUGCUUGUGUGUGUUUUGGGGCUGAAUUGAGAAAAAAUAAUGAAGCCAUAAAUGGCUGGAAAAUAGGUAAACACAAAGGGCAUGCUGCCCAAAUUUUCACUCGAGAGUUAGGUAUAGGUACUCGUGACUUGAGUAAGGAUUCGGGAACAAAUCUCACUUGGACCAUCUAGGGUAUUCAAGUCUUCUUUCAUAGAGCUAUAUAAGUUAGAAUUCGGCCGAAACUUGUACCCUUGGAAAAAUGAAAGUAACGACUAAUAGAAAUAUAUUUUCUCGUCACUUCGACUCAAACGGAGAUUUCAAGGUUAAUCACUUUAAAGUUUCAAUGUUUUAAGUGCGAGUAUGAGUUUACAGAUAUUUUCCAAAUAAGUUUUAAUUACGUGAUUCUCGUUAAACGAAACGUUUAAGUUUUGAACUUUUGUCGAUUUUCAAAGCUCUUAAACGAUGUUUUAUCGCAGAUUUGGACUCCAAAUCAGGAGUACUACCUGAGCGUGAUCUGUAAAAGCACUACAUCUUUGGUGAGUGCUUCCAAAUAUCCGAUUGAACUUGACAUUUGUGUUUAAUACUUGACCAAUGUAAUCACAUGAUAUAGAAGUGAAUUAAUAGGGCAAGAGUGUACUUUAUCGCACUUGCCCUAAUGUGAUUUGUUCUUGUUCAUCGAUUGCAAUUAACUUGCUAUACAUGCAUAUGAAUUGUAUCUUGCCUGGAAUUCCAGAAACCAUGUGGCUAGUUAGUCGAGUCGAGCCGGCAAGGGCCUAGUCGAUUAGAUAACGAACCCUGGGUAGUUAGUGAUAUCGAGUGGAGUGUUAUCUCCUCGACAAAUCGGUAUACUCGAGUAUUACCACCAGUGUUUAUUGUGGAGUUCGGGCCCGGUAGGGGGUUUGAUCGGUGGAUGGAGAUUGGAGUUAAGUGGUGUUCUACUGGACUAGUUUCUCACUUGAAAGUUGACGGAGUGUCAACUACUAAUCGAUCAAGCUAUGGUGGAGCUAAUAUAGGAGCAACUAUAUCCUUACAUGUGAAAUGCGGAAUAUUUAUUCUUUGACUAUAUGAAGUGUUAUUACUUCAUUCUUGACUUGUUUUGCCCGCUAUUUCACUAUCAUGCUACUUUUACUUUAUUUGAUGGACAAUUUGAUAUUUGGAACAUCACUGAGCUUUAGCUCACUCCAUUAGUUUUGUUUUCCUUACAGGGGUACGAGCAAGGCGUGUGACGUGUACAAACUAGCGUAGUCUAGCUAUUUUGAAUUUUGACUUAUACUCGCGCUAUCACUCGAUUAGGAUGAUUUGUACUUGUACUUAUGUGAGAAUUGAGGGCCUUUGUCUUAUUCGGAAAAUUGGUAUUGUUUGUAUCUCUUGUGGUUUAGUUUGAAGUACAAUUAGAUUUACAGAUCUUUGGAUGUAAUAUUUGAGAUUUAUAUUGUACUUCAAUUGAGAACUGAAGCGAACGACUGAGUCCCGGCGAGAGCUGGGCAGGCGGUCCGCCGAGCCCUUUGAUUCGCCUUAGGGGGAGGUGGGAUCGUCGCACUUAGGUACCUCUUCUCACAGAAGGAAUUGAACAUGAGGCAACGACAGUGGAUGGAAUUUCUGGAAGAUUACGAUUGCACAAUCAACUACCAUCCAGGGAAGGCAAACGUGGUAGUCGAUGCCUUAAGUAGUGAUAUUUAUUGGAGAGGAAUGACUUCAUACGUGUUGAUCGCUAGUUUUUUGAAUUUUUCCCCUCGAACAAAAAGGGGUGUUUUGUACGUUCUGGAUCCGUAGUCUUGGUGAGAGCUGAGCAGGCGGUCCGUCGAACCCUUUGGUUCGCUUUAGAGAGAGAUGGGGCUGUCACAGUUGGUAUCAGAGCCCAGGUUUGAGUUAAUCUGGGCAAAUUCGGACUUGAUUUUGAGAUUUGGUGAAUAUUGUGUUAGAAAAUGCGUUAGUUCUAUUGUAUUGUUUGAGUGAUCACUCAUGACUCUCUUAUAGGUUUGGACGGAGCUAGUGGGAGCAGAGGUGAGCUGCCGCAAAGACGAUAUCAUUUUAUCGACUACUAGGAGAGACCUGGAGGUUCGAUUCGGUUAUGGUAUACCGCAAGCCGCACCCGAAGUUGUGUUCGUUGUCAGAGGUACUCCUAUGCCGAUCAUGUGGUCGUGGUGGUGCUUCAGGAGAGAAGGAGGCUUCGAUGCGCGGCUGCCCAGGAUCACACUGAGAUCCUUAGACUGAGAGGCGUCCUUAGGAUGCAAGCCGACCGAAUUGCGGAGCUCCAAGACGAUUUAGUCAUGGAGCAAGAGCGAGUGAAUGCUCUUCGAGAGCAGUUGCAUGUAGUGGAGGCUUCGGGUGUUGGGGCACCUGGAGAAGGAGUCACGCCCAGUCCUAGUCAUGGGGGUGAAUCCGUAGGCUCAGUUGGGAACUAGGUUAAGUUCCUUGAGCCGUGUUUUGACCCUGGGUGUAGGGGACCUGGGAAGAUAGGUCGUUGUUAUCUGUUUGGCCUUUUCCUAGGGUGUAUAGUGACUUUUGGAAAAUCCGGCUUUGUUUGAGGGGAUUUUUUUGUACCUGUUUGACUGAACUACUGUAUAACUGCUCUGUGUUAUAUGAAUAUAUGUUCUAUGUGUUUCUAUCCUUUAUGUGGUAUUUGAUUGUGUGAGAGCCCGUAAAACCCUAAUAUUUUUCCUACGGUUAUUUCUCCUUUAAUUGCAUAAUUUUGCAUUUUCUGGCUUAGAAAUAUUUUUUUGAGAGGAUUUUAUGAGCAGUUAUAGUUUUAAGAUGAUUUUUCUAGCAUUGGAGAGAUUUUUGAAAAUUAAGAGUAAAUAGUGGACGUGGGACCCACUAGUGCGAUAAGUUCGGAAAAAUUCGGCCAAUAAGGUUAAGUUUCGAAUACUGUGUAAAAUUUAUCGGGUGUUAAGUGAUAAGUAGUGUGUGUGAAGUGAUUGAUGUGAGAGAGAAAAGAAUGAUAAGAUUGCAUUUAAUAGGGUGACACAUGUCACUUUCUUAUUGGAUACCUUUUAUGAAUCACUAUUCACCUUUUGACAUUUUUUUGACUUUUGACCCAACUAAAUAAAUAUCCAAAAAUUCACCAAAAAUCAUCAUUUUUCUUCUCUUGUUGGCCGGCUCUCCUUAGCUCAAGAAGGAAGGGAACUUCUCCAUUUUGCAAGCUUCCACUUGGUCCAAUCUACCACAAACCAAAGCCUAGAGUUGAUUUCACUCCAUAAAAACUUUCCUUCUAGUGUUAGUAAGUAGUUUGGUGAGAUUUGUUUGAAGGCCUAAGGUGCUCCACAUCAUCCUCUCUCUUGUUUCUUGGUAAGUGAAGCUUGAAACACCCUACUACCUUUAAUGAUGGUUAUAUGAUGCUUAGAAGUGGCAUGAGUGUGUGAAAAUGUGAUUUAUUUCUUGAUUUGAAGAGUUUUGGUGAAGUUUUUAUUUUAUUGGGAUUUUUUUCUGGUUUAAUAUGAUCUUGAUGUUGGGGGCUUGUAUGAUGAAUUGUAAUGGUUGGAAAUGACUCUAGUGAGUGUGAAUUGUGGUUAAAUGCAAUCAAUUUUGGAUUUGGUGUGAAAUUUGAAAAGUUAGGGUUCUUGAAGCCCCAAUUCUGUCCGGUUUUAGAUCACUGUGUUAGAGGCCGAAUUUGACUUUGCUCAAAACAUGAAAGUUGUAGGUAUUGAUGAGGUUGAUGUGCCUGUAAAAUUUCAGGUCAUUCGGAUUAAUGUAGAAUGAGUUAUGACGAAAUUACUGUAGCUGUUCUGCUUUGAGCAGAAUGCGAAAACUGCGAUAGUAAUUGGCCAUUUUGACUGGAAUUGGUUUGGAUUUUGGAGUUUGUGUCUUCUGAUGAAAUGUAGCUGAGUGUCUUAGCUAAUAUAUGCCUUUGGAAUUUCGGCAUUUGGACUUGUAUGGACUGAGAUAUACUGAUUACAGUUUUUUGUGUUUUGCGAACCUGUUUUAGGAAUUCUGGGUUAGUAUUUGGCAUUUUCGACCUAGUUAAGCUAGGAACUGGAUUGAGUGGUCUUCUAUAUUAUUGUAGCCCUGUUCCAUAGCUUCGAAACGGUGGGUCUUACACCCCCAACUGAUAUUUGUAGUGAGAGUUGUACCAUUACCGCAUAAUGAGUGUAAAACAGUUUUCUAUUUGGGGCCAAGACUAAAGCCCUUUCUUAAUUUCUGGUUUGCUAUCAUGCUUGUAUAUGUUUAUAGAACCCUAUUGGGGUUGUGAAUUGGUGUUGUUUAUGGCUCGGCAUGGAGUCUUAUUGUAUGUGUUGCAUGAUUCUAGGGCGUGAAGGUAGUGCACGACGGCUUGGUGAUCGUGGUACAUGAAAUACCACUUACUUGCUUGGUGAGUAUACUACUCACUUACUUGUUAUAAUGUGGCUUUGUGCUAUGUGUAUUUGAUGCCUUGAAGGCUUAUUUGGUUAUUGGAAAUGAUUGAGGUGAGGGUGUACUUGAUCGCCCUCACCCCUCAUGACUUUAUUCGUGGCUAUUGAUUGUUUUACUGAAAUACUGCACUGGAUAUAUGAAAUACUGCAUUCCAUUCAUGGAAACUGAUUUGGUGUCAUUGGACGAGUAUCCAAUGGCUUUACUGCAUUUAUGAGCUCAACCCCGUAUGGUAGUUAAUUGGAUCGAGCCGGCGAGGACUUGGUCGUGAAAAUUAUCAUGCCACGGGGACUGUACUGGGGAACCUUGUGGUAAUGAGACCCUUGGUUCCGGUAAACUCGAGUAUUACCAAAACUAUUACUGAAUGGAGUGCGGGCCCGGUUGGGGUAUGAUAGGUGGAAGGAAUGGGAGUAAAGUGUGGUCUACGGUUUGGUACUUUUAACAUUGACGGAGGGUCAAUGGGGUUGGAUCAAGAUUACAAGCGUGGAAUUGGGCUCUUGAGAGCCGACCGUAUCCUUUUACCGUUUUGCUUCAUUACUUAUUUGUGCACUUUAAAUGAAGGUUCAUUCUUAUAUGACUUUGAUUGCUUAUUGGAUGGUAUACCACUGGGCUUUGGCUCAUUCCGUGUUAUUUGUUUUCCUUACAGGGAUAUAAUUGCUUUUGAAAAUGGACUGGAUAGUCAAUUGCCAUACUGAGCUUGUAAAUGUCUUUUGUAUAGCUCUUGAAGUGAAACCCUAAUGUGUAACGGGUUCAUUUCCUUUUGAUAGGCAAAUCGAAUGUGUACUCCUUAAUGAAUAGUUUUGGCAUGCCAUUAUGGUUGUAAAUGUUGAUUUCCAUUGUAUAUAUAUGCUUGGCUAUGGUUUAGAUAAAUUUCGGCUUCGGUUUUCGUUUUAUUUUAUUUUAUGUUAUUUUGUGUUUUGACUUGUUUGCGCGCAAUGGUAUGUUCCGGAACGUUUUAGAUUGACGUAAACCGUACCGUUAGUCCUGGCGAGAGCUGGGCAGGCAGUCCGCCAACCCCUUUGGUUCGCCUUAGGGGAAGGUGGGGCUGUCACAGGUGGUAUCAGAGCCAGGUUUGAAUUAGCCUGGGUGUAAUAGAAGUGCUCGACUUGAGGGUUUUAUUGAUUAUGGUUUUUAAGGUUAUUCAUGUUGUUUAUUCCUUUGCUAUAGGAUGGAUGCCAGUGGUGACCCGAGUGACCGUCCGGCAGGAGAUCGUCCUCAUAGCACGUUGCCGCCGAUUAAGUAUCAACUUAGGCAGAAGGGGGCCGUGGUCCGUUGGAGCCCGGCCAGCCGCGUUCGACAGUGUGGGUGUCGUAGCAAUUUUGCCUACCCAAAUACACUAGUUUUGUCGGUGGCAAAGGAACGCGAGGAGUUUGCUAAGGAAAAUACUAAGCUUGAAGCUGUGGUUGCUGCAUUGGAAGCUGAGGUGACUCAGGCUAAGGCGACCAAUGAGAAGCAAGCCUCGCGUAUUAAAGAGCUAGAAUAUGACGUGCAAGAGGUCGAGGAAAGAGUUGAUGAUCUAUGUGAUCAGUUGAGAGAUGCACGCGAGCGCGAGACUAAGCGAGCUCGUAAGGUCAGGGGUCGUGCUGAGGCGAUCCUUAACCUAUGCGACGACGGACUCGAGGAGUCUAGUGACGAGGCCUCGUAUGCUGGGGCCGAGGCUGGGGAGGAGUCUACCCCAUCGCCUGGGUCUCAGACCCCGGCGACUGAUUAGGCCUUGAUCUUAGAGGCUUCUUUUGGCUAGUGGUGGCUCUUGUAUGUAUAUAGGGAUAGGGAUAGUGCCUUAGCUAACCGUUUUGGAUGUAGAGUUAGCUAUGUGUAAAUCUCUUUUGAUAGGCCUAUCCUUAGGUGGAUCUUUUGUGUACGUACGUGCUUUGGCCGUACCUGACUGACUGCUUGUAUAUAUGUGUUUGGCAUGUAUAUAUGUGUGAUUGUGUUUAUGCUUGGACUGUAUAAAUGUGUUUUUGUGCAAAACUUAAGUGUUACUUAUAUGCUUUGUUAUUGCUUUGGUUUAGUACUUUUGCCUAGACCAAGUAUACCUUAUGGAAGGAACACGGAGUGGACGGGGACGUGGGCGUGGUAGGCAACCCACACCAGUUAGGGAAACGGGGGAAGCUUCUACUGGACCAAAUCCUGAACCCCAGAUAGACCCCAACGUUCAAAUAGCUGCUGCUAUGCAGCAAAUGACCAACCUACUUGCACGGGUAGUGCAACAACAGGGCCAAAACCCAAACCCUAACCCCGGAAAUCCUGGUAACCACGUUGAGAGCGAGGAUAGAGCUCUUGAGCGUUUUCAAAAGUUUUCCCCACCAAAGUUUAUUGGGGGACCCGACCCUGACGUCGCCGAGAAAUGGCUGGAGAAGAUGGUUGAUAUAUUCGCGGCUUUACACUACCCGGACGAACGGCGGUCACUUUUGCCGUGUUUCAACUGGAAGGAGCUGCCCGUUCCUGGUGGAACGUAAUUAGGCAGAAAUGGGAGCGAGAGCAGACACCGAGGACAUGGGUGAACUUUAUACGAGAGUUUAAUGCCAAGUUUUCCCUCCUCUAGUCCAGGAGAGGAAGGAAGACGAGUUUAUCCGGCUCCGGCAAGGGGCUCAGACUGUGGCGGAGUAUGAGAGCCAGUUUACCCGCCUGUCCAAAUUUGCGCCUGAAUUAAUCAUGACUGAGCAAAGACGAGUGAGGCGCUUCAUUCAGGGCUUGAACGUUGAGAUCCAGAAGGACCUCGCGGCGGCUCAAAUUACCACGUUUAGCGAGGCUAUGGAAAAAGCCCAACGCGUUGAGAGUGCACGGCUUCAGGUCCGAAACUUCCAGGCUAAGAAGCGUGGAUUUCCUGGGAGUACGUCUGGACAAGGUGAGAAGAGCACUCCCUCCAAGUUUGGACGAGGAACUGGAGGUGGUCGUCAUUCUGGACCAGGCAAAGGGACUCCGUUCAGGGGCGGCCAAGCUGGGCGAGGGCAAAGGGGAAACAUCCAGAGUGGCUCGGCUUCGGCACCUCGUGGACCCUGUGGGCACUGCGGAAAGACAAACCACACCGAGGACAAUUGCUGGAGGAAACUGGGGAAAUGUCUGCGGUGUGGAAGUGCGGACCAUCAACUGGCUACAUGUCCGGUCCUGAAACAAGACGAAAAUGGGAGCCAACUACCGUCGAGAACCAAUACUGGAUCGGCCAAGGGAGACGGAUCCAAACCAAAAGUUCCGGCUAGGGUAUAUUCCUUAGAGCCUCACCAGAUCCCAGAGUCUUUCGAGGUGGUGGAAGGUACGAUCCCUAUUUUCCACCGCUUUGCCAAAGUUUUAAUUGAUCCUGGUGCCACUCAUUCGUUUGUUAACCCUGAUUUCAUGUGUGGCAUCGAUAUAAAACCUGCUAGUUUACCAUAUGACUUAGAGGUUAGUACACCUACGGGGAACCAACGUUUGGUGACUAGUAUGGUUUAUAGGGAUUGCGACGUAUGGAUAGGUGAAAGGAGGUUUUUAGGGGACUUGAUUAGCUUAUCCAUUAAGGGGUACGACAUGAUUCUGGGUAUGGACUGGUUAGCCAAAUAUAACGCCCAACUGGAUUGUAAAACGAAAAUAGUAGAAUUUCGCAUUCCUGGCGAGGCAACCCUAAGGUUAGAUAUAAGGGGUAGGUUAGCCUCAUCUGCUCUCAUUUCGGGCAUUCGAGCUAGGAAACUGAUAAGUAGAGGGGCGCAAGGAUUUUUGGCCUUCUUAAUUAACACCCCUACGGAUAAGUUAAAAGUGGAAGACGUGGCCGUAGUGAGGGAAUUUCCGGAUGUGUUUCCUGAUGAGUUAGUGGCCUUACCUCCGGAAAGGGAGAUAGAAUUCCGAAUAGAUCUUUUACCUGGAACCGCACCUAUCUCCAAAACCCCUUACCGAAUGGCGCCUGCAGAACUUAAAGAGCUUAAGUUGCAAUUACAAGACCUUUUAGAGCGGGGAUUCAUCCACGAGAGUGAGUCUUCUUGGGGAGCUCCGGUCCUAUUCGUGAAGAAAAAGGAUGGAACGUUGAGGAUGUGUAUUGAUUAUAGGGGGUUGAACAACGUUACGAUCAAGAACAAGUAUCCACUGCCCCACAUUGACGAGUUGUUUGACCAGCUGCAAGGAGCAGUGGUCUUCUCGAAGUUGGACCUCCGACAGGGAUACUAUCAGUUAUUGAUAAAAAAGGAGGACAUUCCGAAAACUGCCUUCAACUCGAGAUACGGGCAUUACGAGUUCGCCGUUAUGCCCUUUGGAUUGACUAAUGCUCCCGCCGCCUUCAUGGACCUAAUGCAUAGGGUUUUUAAACCCUAUCUAGACCAGUUUGUCGUGGUGUUUAUUGACGACAUUUUGGUCUACUCUAAGUCACGUGAGGAGCAUGAGGAACAUUUGAGAGUGGUGUUGCAGACCUUGAGGGAACAUCAGCUAUACGCCAAGUUUAGCAAAUGCGAGUUCUGGUUGGAGAAAGUGGCAUUUCUAGGGCACGUGAUCUCUCAUGAAGGUAUUUCGGUGGACCCGGCAAAGGUUGAGGCCGUGACAAAUUGGAAGAGGCCAGAAACCCCCACGGAAAUUCGUAGCUUUCUAGGGCUAGCUGGGUACUACCGAAGGUUCAUUAAGGAUUUUUCCAAACUGGCAGGACCUCUAACUGACUUGACAAAGAAACAUGGCCAGUUUAUCUGGAACGGCCGAUGCGAAACGAAUUUUCAGGAAUUAAAGAAAAGAUUGACCAUGGCUCCAGUACUGGUCUUGCCAAAUGGAGUGGACGGGUUUUCAGUAUAUGCAGACGCGUCGCGAGAAGGAUUAGGGUGUGUUUUGAUGCAGAACCGGAAUGUUUAUUGUUUUCCUUAACAGGUUCUGGAAACUGAAAGCUGGAUGCUUACUUAUGUUUUCCUUUUGGAUUGUAAUUGAAUACUAUAACUUAUUCUGUGGGCUGUAAUGUGUUAUUUGGGAUAAUGUACUUUCUUUUGGAUUGCCACUUGAAGCUGGAAAAUGUGUAACCCUAAUUCGAUUACUUGGCUUGUAAGUUUGUAAUAGAGAUUUAUGUAUUUAUCUAUCCGGAUUGGUACGACUUUACACUUUGGUACGUAGUACGUGGGAAGUUUAAGAGCCUCGACGGGCUAAUUUUAUCAUUGCUAUCUCUGAAGUUAAUGUGGAUUUAAGGAUGAUCCUUUUUGGAAAAAAUUGUUUUAUCAUAGAUUAAGUUAUCCUUCGGAAGGAUUUGGGUUAGAAUGCUUGCGUGAGUCCUGGCGAAAGCUAGGCAGACGGCCUACCAACCCUUUGGUUCGCCUUAGGAGGAAGUGGGGUCGCCACAGGUGGUAUCAGAGCCUAGGUUAGACAAGUUAUUCAAGAGAUAUAGUAGAUGUGUUAGAAACCUUAAUCCUUUCUAAGAAUAAGAAUUGAGACCCUUAGAGAUACUUUAAGUGAUAUUCGAUCUAAUUAGUUAUCUAAGUUCUAACCUUUAAGUUUUAAUUAUUUUGCAGAUAUGGAGAAUGGAAACGGACAUGCUAACAGUAGUAGCGCGGCCAAUGGACACGUAGAGCCCCUUAGGUCUAUCUCCUACAGGCCACGAGGCGGAGAAGCCCAUAUACGCUACUCACAUGCUGAUAGGCACCCUAGGUGCCAGUGCAGAGCCAUGUACGCAUAUCCCAACGAGCUGGUGUUAUCCUUAGACGAUGAGCGUCGCCAGUUGAGGGAUGCUAACUUCACCAUGACUCAGGAUGUAGAGGAGCUGAGUAUCAUGGUAGAUACCCAGUUUGACCGUAUAGCCGAUUUGGAGAUCAGGCUAACUGCUGAGCAUCAUUUGCUGGAGGCUGCUCGUUUGGAGAUAGAGCGGCAGAAGUCUAGGGCGACUCGAUUAGCCGAGAGGAUGCGUGAUAGGAGUGCAGGCAUCAGGGCUGAUGCCACGAUGAUGAUAGAUAAGGCCACUAGCUUUAUCCAGGGUGGUGAGCAGGCAGGUGUAGAGGAGGAUCCAGAGGAGGACCCGGAGGAGGAUCCGGAGGAGGACGUUGCUCCUGAUAGCCCUGCUCAGGGUUAGAUUAGGACUCACCUGUUUACACUAGAUAUAGAUGGUUAGGCAAGGGACACUAGCUAAGUCAUCAAAUUUUGUCUAGGUGGAUGACUUACCUUUGAGGCACCAUAUCCCUAAUUUUGUAUAAGGGAUUAUCUGUAUGUAUUUUUGCUAGUCUAUGUGCCUUACUUUUGGAAAUGUCCCAACUUGUUAUUUGUAUGACUUUCACGUAGAAAUAUAUGUUAAGUGUUUUAUUUACCUUUUCUCCAUUUCCAUAUUGAUUUUAUUUACCAAAAAGAAUAGUAAUAAUCAUAAAUAAAUAAUACUUUUGCCUAAUUGACAUAUCCUUCCGAAAUAGGCAUAUUUAGAAUAUGGAUCGCCAAGUGAUAGGAAGGAGCCGUGGAAGACCCACUAGACAACACCCGGAAGCGGGUGGUGAUAGGGAACCCGAGGUCAAUCAAGACCAAGGGCAAGAGGGUGUGGCCGGAGACCGGGUGGCCACCGCAAUUGACCGUAUCACUGACGUCCUCGAGCGCUUGACUGAACGCCAAGCCGCUGGACCAGUGCAUCACCCAGGAGGCCCAGCUGACUCCGAUGAUCGGGCACUGGAAAGGUUUCUGAAGUUUGGACCUCCCAAAUUCUAUGGAGGACCCGAGCCGGAAUUGGCUGAAGGCUGGUGGGAGAGAAUCACUGAGAUCUUCACCGCCUUAAACUAUACGGAGGAGCGAAAGGUGACUUUUGCCACUUUCCAGUUUGAGGGAGCUACUCGCUCCUGGUGGAACCUAGUAAGGGUUACUUGGGAGACUAACCAUACACCAAGGACUUGGGUGAACUUCACAAGGGAGUUCAAUGCCAAAUUCCUUCCACCUCUCAUUCAAGAGAAGAGAGAGGACGAUUUCAUUAGAUGCAAACAGGGAGCGAUGAGUGUCGCCGAAUAUGAAGUCCAAUUCACAAAGCUAUCCCGCUUUGCACCUGAGUUGAUAGCCACUGAGCAAAGGUGUGUUCGGAGGUUUGUACAAGGUUUGAAUGUGGAAAUACAGGAAAGCUUAGCCGCCGUGAGGAUAGAUACUUUCGCAGAUGCUGUCGAGAGAGCCCAGAGAGUUGAAGUAGCUAGAGCCCAAGUGAAAUCUUUCCAGUCUAAGAAAAGAUUUGCUCCUAGUAGUAGUCGGGAGCCGACUUAUGGAAAUGCUCCACCGGCCAAAAUGGGCAGAGGAACCAGUGGAGUGACUAAUCUUGGAGCACCACGAGGCACUCUCGCAAGAGGAACCGGGACAAGGAAUGCAGGGGGAAGAAACAAUGGAGCUAGAGAGGGAUCGAAUGGAAGAGGACAACCUAGGAAUAGCUCGCAAGGGGGUCGAGCAAUAAUUCCUCAAGUGACCUGUGCUUAUUGCAAGAAACCUGGUCAUUCUAUGGAUAGUUGCUGGAAGAAGCAAGGAAGGUGCUUGAAAUGCGGAAGUAGUGAGCACCAAAUUUCUGGAUGUCCAAAGGUGCAGGAAGGGACUACUCCGAACGCUAGACCAAACACUUCUGGAGGGAGCCGGCCAACAGUUAUUGCCAGAGUGUAUGCUAUAGAUGAUCAACCUGUACCUGAUUCCUCGGAAGUUGUGGAAGGUACACUUCCAAUUUUUCAUCGAUUAGCUAAAGUGUUAAUUGACCCUGGUGCAACGCAUUCAUUCGUAGAUCCAUCUUUUAUGUUUGGAAUAGAUGUGCAAACCGUUAGAUUACCCUUUGACCUUGAAAUUAGGACACCAAUGGUAAUAAGAAGGUAAUCACUAGCUUAGUUUAUAAGAAUUGCGAAUUCUGGGUUGGAGAGCGAAAAAUGUUAGUGGAUCUGAUUAGUUUGGACAUAAAAGGUUAUGAUGUUAUAUUAGGAAUGGAUUUCCUAGGUCACCAUCAUGCUAAGCUUGAUUGCCGAGCGAAAGUGGUGGAGUUUUGUAUACCUGGAGAAGCGACCCUGAGAUUAGAUGUUAAGGGUAGGUUAGCAUCUUCUGCUAUGGUCUCGGGAAUACGGGCAAGGAAAAUGCUAUCUAAAGGAGCUCAAGGUUUCAUAGCCUUCUUGAUCAAUACUCCCAGUGAUCAAGCAAAGUUAGAGGAUGUACCAGUGGUACGGGAAUUUCUGGAUGUCUUUCCCGAAGAAUUAAAGACUUUUCCACCAGAAAGAGAUGUGGAGUUCAAGAUUGACUUGGUGCCUGGAAUGGCUCCAAUUUCUAAGACUCCGUAUCGAAUGGCUCCUGCCGAGCUUAAGGAGUUGAAAAUCCAAUUACAAGACCUAUUGGAAAAAGGUUUUGUGAAGGAAAGUGACUCACCUUGGGGAGCACCCGUCUUAUUUGUGAAGAAAAAGGACGGAAGCUUGAGGUUGUGCAUUGAUUACCGAGGGUUAAAUGAGGUUACCAUUAAGAAUAAAUACCCUCUACCGUUGAUUGAUAGCUUGUUCGACCAACUACAAGGAUCAGUGGUCUUCUCUAAGCUUGACUUAAGACAAGGGUAUUACCAGUUGAAAAUUAGGAAGGAAGAUAUACCCAAGACUGCUUUUAGUACAAGAUAUGGGCAUUUCGAGUUCGCAGUCAUGCCUUUUGGAUUAACUAAUGCACCAGCUGCAUUCAUGGACCUAAUGCAGAGAGUCUUUAAGAAAUACCUGGACCAGUUUGUAGUGGUUUUUAUAGAUGAUAUCUUGAUAUACUCCAAGACUCAGGAGGAACACGUUAAGCACUCGGAGAUAGUGUUGCAGAUACUAAGAGAGCAUAAGUUGUAUGCAAAAUUCAGCAAGUGCGAGUUUUGGGUAGAGGAGAUUUCCUUUCUAGGGCACAAGGUUUCUAAAGAUGGAACUGCCGUGGAUCCGGCAAAAGUUGAAGCCGUUAUGAAUUGGAAGCAGCCAGAAACUCCAACUGAAGUUAGAAGUUUCUUGGGAUUAGCAGGUUAUUAUAGGCGAUUUAUCAAGGAUUUUUCAAAGAUUGCAGGAUCCAUGACCGAGCUAACCAAGAAAGGUAAUAAGUUUAUUUGGACUCCAAAAUGCGAGUCAAGUUUUCAGGAGUUAAAGAGACGUUUAACAUCCGCUCCUGUUUUGGUGUUACCUGACGGAGGCGAAGGUUAUGCCGUGUACUCCGAUGCUUCUAGGGAAGGUUUAGGAUGUGUUUUAAUGCAAAAUGGUAAAGUGAUUGCCUAUGCUUCCAGGAGACUGAAGCCUCACGAACAAAACUACCCAACUCAUGACCUAGAGUUAGCAGCAGUGAUUUUCGCCUUAAAGAAAUGGAGACACUACUUGUAUGGCGUGACUUUUGAGGUUUUUACGGAUCAUAAGAGUCUCAAGUAUUUGUGUGACGCCCCGAAAAGUAUGAGUGUAAGAACCCAUAAAAAUCUUAAUCUUUUCCGAGGGUUUUACUUCCUUUAAUAGCAUGUUUUCUGCGUUUUCUGGCUUAGGAAAUUUUCAUGAGGAAUUUUUAUGAGUAAUUGAAGUUUUUAGAUAAUUUUUCUAGUAUUGUAGAGUUUUUAGAAAAUUAAGAACGUAUAUCGGACGUGGGACCCACUAGUGCGAAAAGUUCGAAAAAAUUCGGCCAAUUAGGUUAAAUUCCGGAUACUGUGUAAAAUUUAUCGAGUGUUAAUAGAUAAGUAGAGUGUGUGAAAUGAUUGAUGUGAGAGAAGAAAGAAAGGAUAGGAAUGCAUUUAAUGAGGUGACAAGUGUCACAUUCUCAUUGGUUGGACUUUAAGAAUUACUAUUCACUUUCUUGACUUUUUUUGACCAAAGGAUUUAAAUAUCAAAAAUUGCACAAAAUUCACCAUUUUCACCUCUUGUUGGCCGGCUCUCUCUCUUGCAAGAAGGAAGAAGAUUUCUUCAACUUUCAAGCUUCCAUUUGGUUCAAUCUCUCACAAACAAACACCUAAACUAGAUUCCACUCCAUAAAAUUCUUCCCUUGGGUGCUAGUAAGUGGUUUAGUGAAGUUUUUUGGAAGAGCUAAGGUGUCCAACAUCUUCCCCUCUCUUGUUUACUUGGUAAGUGAAGCUUAAACUUCCACCUACACCUAUUGAUGCUUAAGAUAUGAUUAGUAGUGAUUAAAGUGCUGAAAUUUCUGGUUUUAUCUUGGUUUGAAGUGAUUUGGUGAAGUUUUAAUUUUAUUGAUGAUUUUUCUGGUUUAAUUGGAUUAUGGUGUUGUGGUUGUUUAUGAUGAUUGAUAAUGAGGGGUUAUGACUCUAGUGGAUGGAAAUGAUUGAUAUUUGCAACCAAUUUUGGAUUUGGAAUAAAUUUUGGAAAGUUAGGGUUCAUGAAGCUACAUUCUGCCCGAAUUUAUUGCACCAUGUUAGAGGCCGAAUUGGCCUUGGCUUAAAACAUGAAAGUUGUAGGUAUUGAUGUGUUUGAAGUGCCUGUAAAAUUUCAGGUCAUUUGGACUAGUGUAGAGUGAGAUAUGUCGAUUUUACUGUUGCUGUUCUGGGUUGAUCAGAAUGCGAAAACUGCACUUGUAAUUGGCCAUUUUGACUGGAAUUGCUUUGGAUUUGGAUGUUGGUGUCUUCUGAUGAAAUGUAGCUGGAUGUCUUAGCUUCCAUAUGCCUUUGGAAUCAAUGCAUUUGGACCUGUACAGACCGAGUUAUACCAAUUACAGCAUUGUGUGAUUUGUGAACCUGUUUUAGUGGUUCUGGUUUGGUAUUUUUGGCAUAUUUGACCUAGUUGUGCUAGGAACUGGACUGAGUGACCUUCUACAUUGUUGUAGCCCUGGUUCUUAGCUUCGAAACGGUGGGUCUUACACCCCCAUCCGACGAUCGUAGCGCCUUUGGUACCAUUACCGCAAAAUGACGUCAAAACUGUUUUUCUGGUUUUGAGCUUAACCUUCAUUUCCGGACUUUUUCCUAGCUUGACUUGUACUAGUACUACUUGGAGCUUGCUGAAUGGAUAUUAGAUGAACUUAAUUGUGUGACUUUGGGACUGGCUGAAGAAAUAAUGAAGCCAUGAUGGCUGGGAAAGUAGCAAAUUCAGGGGAAGUGCUGUCCGAACUUUUAAAGGACUUGUUUGCAUUGAGUUUGUGAUCCAAGACUUGGAUUUGAGCAAGGCAAUGAUACAUGAUGGAUGGUUUCUGAGCCGUGGAAGUGAGUGACUCUAAACUGUUUCCAAAGUUACUUAUGAACCGUUUAUUGCACUAUUUACUUGAUUGCAUAUCAUGAGUGCUUGCAUGUGGCCCAUGACAUGUUUUGGCUUAAAUGAGUGCUUGGAAUUCGUGUGCUGAACACCAACGUCUCCACCUCUGUGUACUGUUCAUCUGGAGCAAAUGGCUCCCCACUGACUGUUUACUGUUUAAUGUUUAUUUGGAGCGUUGGGUGUUUAAGUACAACGAUUUCACUGGCUCACGAGAGCAAUAAGUGUACAUUUGAUUUUGAAAUCAUGACAUCACUGAAAUGAACGACUGUGAAACUGAAUUGAUUACUGAUUUUAAUGGUUACUCGCUGAGCUUCUAGCUCACCCCAAAAAUAUUUUAUUCCCCCCCCCCACAGGGCUCAAGGCGAAGAAAAGCUUGGAGUGCUUAUUCACGUGACUGGAUGGCUUAUAUCGUGUACAGUUUAAGUUUGGAUCUAUUUUAUGUACGAGUUGGUCUUGUAUAAAUAUUUGGAAUUGAUAUGGAUGUAAGUAUACGUUCCACGAUUGGAAUCAGUUUUCCGCUGCAUUUGUAAUAUGUAAUCAUUGAAGAAUUUGAUGAAAUUUUGAGAUUUAUAUUGUAAUAUAUUUGAGGAUUGUAGUGAACGACUGAGUCCCGGCGAGAGCUGGGCAGGCGGCCCGUCGAACCCUCUGGUUCGCCUUAGGGGGAGGUGGGGCCGUCACAAUUUGUUCUCCCAGAAGGAACUAAAUUUGAGACAAAGGCGAUGGGUAGAAUUUUUGGAAGAUUAUGAUUGUUCAAUUAACUACCACCCAGGAAAAGCCAACGUGGUAGCUGACGCUCCAAGUAGAAAGGCCCAAAUAGCAGGGCUAAUGGUUAAAGAGUGGGACAUGUUAGAAGAAGUUACUAGUUGGAACCCACGCUUGGAAAAAUUGAAGAUAUUAUUUGGAAAUUUGUCUUUAAAAUCACCAUUACUAGAGCGUAUUAAGGAGGCCCAGAAAACGGACCCUACAACUCAAAAGAACUUGGAGAAAGUGCAAAAAGGAGAAAACCAAGAUUUCAAGUUAGGGCCUGAAAGGGUAUUGAGGUUCCGAGAUCGAAUUGUGAUUCCGGCAGAUAAAGAGAUAAGGAAAGAGAUUUUAGAAGAAUCACAUCGAUCGAAGUAUACCAUACAUCCAGGAGUGACCAAGAUGUAUCACGAUGUGAAAGGAUUAUACUGGUGGGAAGGUUUGAAAAAAGGAUGUGGCAGAGUAUGUGCAGAAAUGUUUGACUUGCCAACAAGUAAAAGCUGAGCAUCAGAAGCCCUCUGGUUUAUUGCAACCGUUAGAAAUCCAUGAAUGGAAAUGGGAACAUAUAACAAUGGAUUUUGUAACGGGACUGCCUAAAAGUCAAAAAGGAUUUGAUGCCAUUUGGAUAAUAGUCGAUCGACUCACUAAGUCUGCACAUUUCCUACCUGUAAGCAUGAGUUUUUCAUUGGAGAAAUUGGUCAAAUUGUACACAGAAGAGAUCCUAAGGUUACAUGGUAUUCCAGUGAGUAUCGUAUCUGAUCGAGAUCCAAGGUUUGUCUUGCGUUUUUGGCAGAAAUUUCAAGAGUCUUUGGGGACCAAGUUGAAUUUAGUACUGCGUAUCAUCCCCAAACCGACGGGCAGUCGGAAAGGACAAUUCAAACUUUGGAGGACCUGCUGAGGUCGUGUAUAUUGGAUUUUGGAGGUAAAUGGAAUAAAUAUAUAACCUUGGUAGAAUUUGCAUAUAAUAAUAGCUAUCAGGCUUCGAUUCAAAUGGCACCUUAUGAAGCUUUAUAUGGGAGAAGGUGUCGAUCUCCGAUUCAUUGGGAUGAAGUUGGAGAAAAGAAAAUUUUAGAUCCUACAGCCAUACCUUGGAUAGAAGAAGCCCAGGGAAAAGUGAAACUGAUUAGAGAAAGGCUUCAGGCUGCCCAAAGUAGACAAAAGAGCUACGCCGGCACAAGGAGAAAAGAUUUGGAGUUUGAAGUAGGAGACAAGGUUUUCCUAAGAAUUAAACCCUUGAAGAGCGGAGUAGUAUCUAAGAAAGGUAAGAAGCUAAAGCCAAGGUAUAUCGGACCUUUUGAAAUUUUGAAACGAGUCGGGAAUGUAGCUUAUCAAUUAAGGUUGCCCGCGAGCAUGGCCAAGGUUCACGAUGUAUUUCACGUCUCCAUGCUUAGGAAAUAUUACCCCGACCCAAGCCAUGUGCUGCAACUAGAAGGAAUUGAAGUGGAUGAGACGUUAACGUAUGAAGAAGGGCCAGUCAAGAUUUUGGAAAGAGAAGUAAAGGAGCUAAGGAACAAGAAAAUUCCUCUGGUAAAGAUGUUAUCGAGAAAUCAUGGACUGGAGGAAGCGACUUGGGAAUUAGAAGAAGAAAUGCAGAACAAGUACCCUGAUUUAUUUCUCUAGUAAGCUUGAAUUUUGAGGACAAAAUUCUUUGUAAGGAGGGGAGGAUGUGAGAACCCUGAAAAUGCAUAUAUAAAUAACAUUUCAUAUGUCAUUUGCACUUCUUUUAUUCCUUAAUAAUUCCUAGCAUUACUUUUACUUGUUUGCAAUUAAGUACGUAAAAACAGGUUUAUGUGAAAAAUAAUAUAAGUUUCCUAAGUUAUGAAAUUUCUUGGUUUUGCUAGACUAAGUUAAUAUCUUUUAGAGCUAGAUUAAAUUUUUCGUAUUAACAUAAAAUGUUAGAUUUAUAUAUAUUGAUCAAACUUGAUGUUAAUAGUUUAAUUAAUCAAACAAGAAUGUUAAGCGUUAAAAGGAACCUUAAUACUAAUUUGUAAUUAAUAAAUUUUAGACAAAAACGAUAUAAGUAUCUUAAGUAUACUUAGGACAAAAGAAUUUCGAUAAUUAAAGCCUUGCAAGAUUAGCAUGUCAUUAGGCGAUCAAAUUAUAUUUGGGAUUAAUUUUUGGAAUCAAACUAGAAUCAAGGACUUAAGUGUUCGUUAGGAGGAAUGUGAAAAGACUAAACUACCUUCCACUACUCCACAACCAUUCCAUGCACAGCCAAACAACUCCUCGGACAGCAUGAUCAGCCACCACCCCAGCCGGCCAACCGCAUCCUUCACCACUUCAACACACCACCACCCUAGCUGACCAACCGGCAUCUUCACCACUGCAGUACACAAUCUCUGCUAACACUCAACCUCUUCUCCUAAACCAGCACCAUACACCUUUCUCUCCCAUUCAUAUCUCAAGCCACAAUCUCAUUUCCUCUCCACAAACACAUUCCCUCUCUGUCUCGCUAUCAUUGACAAAGAAGAACGCGAACUGCAAUCUUCUUUCUAUUUUGUUCUAUCCGUAAGCUGGAGUGAAGGCAGAGAGAAACCGUGAGCAAGCUCCACACAUUCUGCACCUCCAUUGCACCCAACUUCACGACUGCGACACCACCAGCUCCAUCGACGACCACAACCCCAAUCACUGUCGCGUGCGUGAGAGCCGAGAGGAAGAAAAAAUUUUCCAGAUUUUCGUGUGAAAGCUUAGCUUGCUGUGAGGUAAAAUUCUGGAUCAUUUUAGGACUAAUCAGAGGUAGUUUGAGCUAUCUUGAGGCAUGCAUGUAUUGUGGUACAGUCGGAUGAUGAAAUCAAGCUAUUAGAAAAAUUUCUGUUUUGGUUAAAUGUCCCUGCCGAGUAGCUGAGAUGGAAAUGCAGCUUUAAUGUGUUUUCCUGAAGUGAUUUGAGCAUGCAAUGGUGAUUAACUAACUGAAUCUUGGAUGAUUAUUAUGAUUAGGGCCAUGCAUGAUAAUUUUAUGUGAUUGGAUGAUGAAAUCAGGAACCUGGGAAAAAUUCUGAUGUAGUGAACUGGAAUUGAUGUGAACCAGAAAUCUGAAAUGCAGUUGUAAUCUAUUUAAAUCUAAUAAUCUGAGCAUAAAUGCAAUUAGCUACGUGAAAAUAUGAUGUUUAAGCUAACUACUGGUAGAUGAAGAUAUACCAGUGCUUGCAUGCACUGAUUGUGCAUUCGGAUGAUGAAUCAAAGCCUAGCCUACGAGUCUGCCGAGAACUUGACUGGGUUAAUGCAUCUUGAUUUGGUUUAAUUCUGUUGUUUUGAGCCUAUAAUCAUAAUUAACUAGCUAAUAACAAGAAAUUUUAGCUUUGCAUGUAGUUAAGUAGUUGAGUUAGAACAGAAAAUAAAAACAAAAUGCAACCAGAUUUUGUGCAUCUCAAACCGAGGCUAGCUGGAGAAUUUCUUGGAAAUCCGAUGACUUGUGUUGUUAAUCACACCUGAUUUUUUUGAACUGGAAAUGUUACUCAGUUAAUUAAGUAUCCGUAUGCCGAAUUUGAGUAUUUAAAUCCCUGAAUAAGCCAAGGAAGAAUUUUAUACAAGAUAAAUGGGUGCUGGAAAAUUUAGCUAACCAAACGUUUGAGCAGAAAAUAUUGAAUUGUUUCCAGAUUUCACUAGUUGAUGUUUGAAUAUUUUCCUUGGCAUAAAAUGGUUUCAAAACACAGGAAAAAGGUGUAUUUUAAGAUAUACAUGUUGUUUAGCAAUUAAACAUUUGAUAUCGCGAAUGAUUUAACCAAAAACGUGGGUAUACGAAUGCUGGAAAUUUUCCUUGUAGUUGCCAAAGUGAGUAAGAAUUUCCAGCUUGAAAGUGAAAUUAUUCUUUGAAAUCAUAAUGGUUGAAAUAUCUGGAACAAGUUGUUUUAAAGUUUAUAAGAUAUAUGGAUGUGAAACUCUCGAUAUCUUGGGAGAAUAAAUUGGAGAUAGUGAAGUGUGGCUGUGGAACAAUUACUUGAGUAUGAAGUUGUUGAAAAUUUGGUUCUUGACUUUAAAUACCUGUUAGUAAAUUUAAACAUUUGAAAUGUUAGCCUUGUUGCUACAAGAAUUACUUGUUGGGUGCUAGGGGCUAAUGAUUGACGAAGCCCUUGGCCAUGUGAAUGAUUUUUAUAUAAGUGUUAAAGUGAUGAACUUAAAUUGCUAGAAUUGCUUAAAGGCCUUACGUUAUUUUAAUUAAAUGAGAUGUGAUUUGAGAUUUGCCAAAAACCAAGAGCUAAUGUUUGACGAAGCCUUGGUCACUUGCUUUAUUUUCCUUUUGGAAAUGAAUUUAUCGAAACCUAGGGCCAAUGAUUUAUAAAGCCUAGUGAUUCGCUAUUUAAAACGUGAUUUCUUCAAGUCGACAAAAAUUGAGCUAUAAUGUGAUUUCGAUUUGGAAUCGAAGCUGUGAAAGUUAUUUCGAUCUUACGAACUCGAGUAAUUUUUAUCAAGCUAAUCAAAAAUAUUUUUCCUAGUAUUAGAUGAUAAAACUCAAUAUCUAGUGUUUUGCCUAAACUUUUUCCAAAACCGACAAAUUUCCUUUAGCUCCAACUAUCCUUGAUAGGUAUAGAAAAAUAAUUUCUCUAGUUUCUGAAAACCCUAAGUCUUACUCCUUUCUCUUUCUUUAAGAUUUGCCUUGGAUAGUGGUCGGUAGGAAAAGCUCCAAAAUAAUAGUUUUAAUAAUUUUAAUAACUUGCUCGGCAAGAGACUUUAUCUUAGAUAAAAUAGUCUUAGUGACAAUUUUUGCAAGAAAUGUAGAUUUAAAGAAAUUUUCAAAGUAUCUUUCUAGCUUUGAUGUUCAGAGGUUUGUCGACUUAUUUCAAGAAAAUAAUACUAAUUAUUUUUAGGAAAAGUACCUCAAAGAAAACUAUAAGAAACAUUUUUACUACUUUGGUUAAGUUUCAACCUAAGUAGAUUUUUGAAAUUUUCUAUGGGAAAGUAAACUAGUAUUAUAUUAAACCUCGAUUUGUAUAAGCUUAAAAACUUAUAAUUUCAAUAUUUGAUAUUCUAGGAUAUUGCGAGGACGUGGAAUUCGAUUCCCAAUUUGACAUUUGAACUUCACUCUUGGUGAGUGUCCUUGCUUGUUUUAUGCUUAUGUGGUUAAGCGCUUUAUCAACUCGCUAUGUGAUAAUUGCCAAAAUGCAAUAAAUGGUUUCUGAUCCAUCGAAGUGAGCAGUGUGUACUUUAUCGCACUAGCCGUUCGAGUGGUGACGUGUGUGAAACAUUUUCUAAUGAAUCCGUGAAUCUAAAUGUAGUUGCGUCGUUGGGUGAAUCCCUCGACUCGUGAAUCCAACUACCAAACAUAUGAAUCCGUGAAUCUAAAUGUAGUUGCGUCGUUGGGUGAAUCCCUCGACUCAUGAAUCCAACUACCAUAACGUCGUUGGGUGAAUCCCUCGACUAAUUUUAUACGGGGUAUAUCUCGAGUAUACUGCGUCGGUAGACGAAGUUCGGGCCCGAAGCAGAGGUAUGAAUGGUGACGGGUUAGGAUUAAAAUAAGUGGAUCUACAUGGACUAUAAGUAGUGAAAGUUGACGGAGGGUCAACUACGAUGGUAUCUGAUCAAGUGUGGAAAAUGGCUCCUGAGAGCCCCUGUAUCCUACCUUGUGCUGUUACAUGCUUUCCUAACUGUUCAAUUUGAUUAAAUUAUUACUCGCUGUUUGAUUGAUGUGAUUGCAUGUUUUGGGGCACCACUGAGCAUUAGCUCACCCCAUGUUUAUUGUUUUCCUUAACAGGUUCUGGAAACUGAAAGCUGGAUGCUUACUUAUGUUUUCCUUUUGGAUUGUAAUUGAAUACUAUAACUUAUUCUGUGGGCUGUAAUGUGUUAUUUGGGAUAAUGUACUUUCUUUUGGAUUGCCACUUGAAGCUGGAAAAUGUGUAACCCUAAUUCGAUUACUUGGCUUGUAAGUUUGUAAUAGAGAUUUAUGUAUUUAUCUAUCCGGAUUGGUACGACUUUACACUUUGGUACGUAGUACGUGGGAAGUUUAAGAGCCUCGACGGGCUAAUUUAUCAUUGCUAUCUCUGAAGUUAAUGUGGAUUUAAGGAUGAUCCUUUUUGGGAAAAAUUGUUUUAUCAUAGAUUAAGUUAUCCUUCGGAAGGAUUUGGGUUAGAAUGCUUGCGUGAGUCCUGGCGAGAGCUGGGCAGACGGCCUGCCAACCCUUUGGUUCGCCUUAGGGGGAAGUGGGGUCGCCACAAACAUGGCAUGUGGAUUGGGAAAAAAUAUAAGUAGUGAGAGAAUGUGGAUAAAGAAGGUGAGGAAGUGAUAUGAUAAGAAUGAGAGUGUAUGAACCUAGAGGAAUGCAUCAAGUCGGGUACGGGAAUGACUCCUAACUUCACGACUCUAAUUUUCCCUUUAAUUAGAAGGAAGAACUAGCGUGCUAAGGCUAUUUUGUUGCCAUACUCGCUCGUUUCCCUUAUCGAAAGAGGACUUUCAAGCAAAUGUACCCUAUAACUAGCAUGAGGAUGCAAAAACCUAAGAUGAAGGGGAAAGGAUUGGAGAAGCAUGCCAAAUGCUAGAAAACUAAGAAAAAGGUAUGAAAUGUAGUGAGACAUGCAAGUAUGUACCAACAGGAGGGGACAGCCUAUUGGGUCUAGCAUUGGACUAACCCUUUUCUAAAAUUCUCUCACAAGCAUUGGACUUGCGAGCGCUCGAGGGGAAAGACCAUGGCCAGCGUUGGACUAGCCACGGUGACGCAUUCAUCCAUCACAUUCAUCUAUAACUAUAGAAAGCAAGUAAACAUGUCAAUCACCUAUAAACACGUAGCACAUAACACUUAGCAUGCUCGACUAAAUGCAAGAAGCUAAUAAAGCAAAUUAACACGUAGCAACAAAAACAAGCAAUCAAGCUAAUGAACCUAUUACAUUUGCUAACUAAAACAAAUGGGGAAGAAGAAAAAUGAAUAAAAAUGCUCUCCAAGCCCUAUCUAUUACAAGCCAAGAGGUGUACACAUACCCCAUAAAAGAAUAACUUAAUAAAAGCAAAAGUAAAAGAAAUAAAUGAAGGGAAUUAAGGAAAGGCAAGGAAAGCAAAGUAGGUAUGCAAUUCUCAUUUAGCACGUUGGAUCACACAGAGGAGAGACAAGAAAGGAUAAAAGAAGUUAUACCUCCCCGUUUGUGAUGUUAGUAAAGUGAACAAGACUUAACUUGGGCUAGAGUCACCAAAGAAAGAGAUAACUUGGGCUAAAACCAUCAAAGUAAAAUAUUAAUGCACCACUUUAAAGAUAAGUAGAAUAAAAGGCAAAAAGGAAAUUCAGAACACCUUAGAAACUUCAAAAGGAGUACUUACAAACCACCAAAUCCUUCCCUAAUUGCGACUUAAAUGUAGUCAAAAGAUGCUUAAUCUCAAAGGAGGUAGAUUAUUGACCAAACUUCUAAGAUAGAAGAACUUCUAAGGACCCAAUUGCAAACAUUAAUCAAUCAUUCGAGUCCAAUCGAAACAUUUAAGAACUUCACAGGUCCCAAAAAUAAUAAAAGACCAAAUAACGGUUCAAAUUGCAAUCAACUUAGGACUUAAUUGUGUGACGACCCCACUUCUCCCAAGGGCGAACCCAAGGGUAUCGGUGGGCCGCCUGCCUAGCUCGCGCCAGGACUCAAAACUUAAAGCAAUAAAAGCCAGAAAAUCCAAAAGAGUACUAUACAUACUAUAUACAAUCCCAAAAGAGUUAUAAUUACAUUCUCCAAAAGUACCUGCUCUUACUAUUACAUCCGUAUAAUUACAACAAAAACCAAAAGGGAGACCCUAAGAAGGGUCCUAAUACAAACCACCAGAAUAAAAACAAACAUCCUAAAAGUUCAACUAUUACAAGCCAAUCUACUAAACUAGUGUAUGAGCCCCAAACGUACCCGCGUCGGCCCCUGCUAAGGAAAACAAACGGAAUGGGGUAAGCUAAAAGCUUAGUAAGUAAACAGGGGCAAAAGCGUAAAUUUCACGUAGCAACAUUUACGCAGAAAGAGUAAAGCAAAAGCAGAAAAGUAACAUCACAUAAUAAGGAUACGGGUGGCUCCAAAGCCAAUUCAUUUGCCAUGCUUGAUCUCUUGUCGACACUCCGUCGAUCAUAAAUAAGGUCCGUAGAACUUCACUUGUACACCCACCGACACCUUAUCACCCUCACUGGCCAGUCACCUCACAAACUUGCUCAGGCGAACGAAAUCACAAACUUGAGCUUUAAUCAUAAGCUCGGGUCACAAACUUGGUGACCUCAAACCAAGUUGGACUGACUUCGACCAAGCCCUAACCGGCUCGAAUAGUCCAUCUAGGUAUUGAGUUCAACCGCAAACUCACAAAAUUCACAAAAUUAUUCAAAAGUCACCCCGAGCCACAAGCUCAAGGGUUUUUGUUCCAAAAUUUCUCACAUACAUAUGUCAUGUACAAAUUGGUGCGUAAAUUAGGGUCUAGAUCGAGUGCGAUAAAGUACACCCUCGCCUAGGUACCCUUUUUACACAUAACGAAACACAUAAACAACUAACACAUAAGAGCGGCCUGAAUACUUACUCAAAAUACCAAAAGUAGUAUAAAGGCGGAAUUCACUUUGUGUGUUGGCUAGUAGUGGGCCCCACCGGCACCGCCUAGCUCACCACUGUCUGAAAUCGAAGAUUAUGUCACAAUAUAUCAUAAACGGCAACUAACGUACUUAAAACAAGCAAAACGGCAAAAUUGGCACGCGCAAGUGCGGGAACGGCAAAACGGCCGCACACGUCCGCGCGGAACGGCAAACGGAAAUGGCCAAGUCGGCCAUCUCAAACCGUUUUGGUCAAAAAUUAGGCUAGGAAUAUCGGAUCAAGGUACAUGAGGUACCGUUACGAAGCUAAGAGGAAGGGCUACAAUGUUCAUGAAGACAUCGCAACCCAGAUCUCAAUGGGUAUAGGUGAAAAUUGCGUGAAACAGUUCCAGCUGUUUCAUUGCGAGUUACCAAACAGGCCCUGUUUGCAAGGCCGUAACUCACGGCUCAGAAAUCGAAAUUAAGAAAUUCCAAAGGCAUUAGAAAGCUGAGACAUAAGGCUAAAACUUUCAUGUUUUGGCCAAGACCUGAAUCUAUUCAGAACAAAACAAAAUUCGAGUGCCAAAGUACCCGUCAGAACUGUCCAAAUACAAGGCAGUUCUGACGAGCGAUAUUGUUUUGAUCAUAACCGGAGCUACGGAACUCGGUUUUCGACGUACUUUAUACCGUUUCGAAGCUGAGAUCAAGAUCUAAACUUCUUAUGAAGGAGUCGGCACCCAGAUCGAACUCUAUAAAAAUCGAAAAGUCAUGGGCAGAAACAAAAUCAGAAAACGCGCAGAACCAGAGGGUCAAAACAGGCUUGAGCAUUUCGUCGAUAACUCAGGCUAUGCUAAUCCGAUUGACCUGAAAUUUUGCAGGCAUACUCAGGACUCAAGGGGCUACGACUUUCAUGUUGUGAGGAAUUCCUAAAUCCGUACAUAGCAUUAAGAAAAAUGAAGCCGAAGUUCAGUCGUUAAACUGUCCUGUUUUCCCAGUUUUGCCGUUAUCGCACACCGAAGUCGCACGGUCCGUUCCUACGAUUUUUAUACCAGAUUUCCAUCCAUUUUGAUACCAAAUAACCUUAUGUAACUUAGUUCUUAAUUGGUCCGAAAUUCCCUUCCCAAAACAGUCCAAAUUUAACAAUCAUCAACCACAAUCCCUAACCAAAUUUCAUUUGCACCAAUGAACUUAAUCCAACCUCUCACUAACCAAACUCUAUCUCACUAACCAUAAGCUAAGCUAAAUUAGUCUAAUAGAGUCUAGGGUUUCUUAACCCAAAUCAGAUUUUUUACAAGUAACCAACCAAUCACAUGAGGCAAUUCAUCAAACACCACCACUACAAGUCCACUUCUCAACUAAAACAAGUAAGGAAAGCAUUACAAUAAAAAGCCCUAAUUCUCUUUCUCUUGACCGAAAUUUCCAGCAGCAUAAAUCACCAAAAAUUAACCAAAGUACUCCAUAAAAACAAGUGAUAGGCAUAAGAGGUACCACAAUCAAGCACAACUAAGGUCCUAUGCCAAAAUAACCACUAGUUCAUCAAACAAUAAUCAACUUAAGUCUUCAAAUAGACUUUCUUACCUUUGAUUCAAGCUUUGUAGAUGAUCACCCACAACAAUCAAGUGCUCAAGUUGUUUCUCCAAGAUCCAAACUCAAGAUUGAAGAGCAAAAAUGAUGCACCAAAGCAAGCUUUCCUUUUCUUUUUUUCUUUCUCUUCUCACGGCUCUCACUCUCUCUUAUUCUCUUAGUUUUUGUUUUGUUUUAUUUCUCUUGUCUCUCUUAUAGUUGUAAGACAACAUAUUAGUCAAAGCUUUGGAAGAUAUUUCUUAUGGCUAGCCAAUCACAUAAAUGCUUUAUUUGUUGUUUUCACCCUUGCACUUCAACUUUCUCUUUCAUAUACAUUUUCCCUCAAACAUUUGAUAACCUUUCAAUUUACUCCAUAAGUCAUAACUUAAUCUAAUCUAAAACAUAUAAUCACGCUUAAUUAUUUCACUAAUCACUUUCUCAUCUUAAUCACUUACACUUAAGCAUACUUUAUCCCACAUAAAAGUAGUUAAACAAUAACCUUUUUGUCAAGGGCAAAAUUAGGUUUAAACCCACUUAAAACUUCUAAUAAAUCAUAACAUUAGGGAUUUUGCUCACUUAGGGUUUCUAACCUUCUUAAACUUAAUUAAUCUAUACAAAAUGGAUUAAACCUAUUCUUACCCACACUAAGACACACAUUAACCUUACUAACUUUAAUCACCACUCGAACUUGUAACCAAUACAUAACUAGGGUUUAAAUCUUAAAUCCCUACUUAGGGUUUUCGAAAUACUCCCGAAACCAAACGUUACCGCCCAACUAAUGAAUAUAUUAACAUAGAACGGACUGGGGCCUCACAAAUUGCAAGAGAUUAGAAUGUAAUUGGGUCUUUGUAGCAUUACUAGAGACUAAAGGGAGCAAAGUAUAAUUUUUUGGAACAUUUCCAUGCAACUUCAUGCAAUUUACGUGAAUGAUAGGCUUCUGCAAUUCCAUUUCCCAUACAACACAAUUUCUGUAACUCUUUGGCAACUUUCAACCAUGCAAGUCAUUUGCACAAACAAAAAAGGAAUAUGGCGUUUUAACAAGAAAACCAUCUCGACAAUCCGACAUGAUGGAGCAAGAAUCAAAAGAGUUCAAGUUACUCCAGAAAAUUCAACAACCAAAGAAAGGAAAAGCUGCUACAACAAGCCAUGGGUUCGGACUUAUUGCAGCAGAUUUUUAUGCCCACAUAUCAGCCAUUUACAAUCUAGAAGCUAAGCAAGAGUACCAUCCAGCAUUUUGUGACGCCUCGAAAAAAAAUGAGUUUGAGAACUCGGAAAUUUUCUAAAUUUCUAUGGUUUAUUUUAUUUAAUCGCCCGCCUUUUCUACAGUUUCUUUAUUAGAAAAAUUUUUCAGAUAAAGUUUAUGAGCAAAGAUAGUUUUAAAAUGAUUUUUCUAGUAUCGGUUAGUUUUUGAGAAAUUAAGAGCGUAUUUUGAACGUGGGACCCGCAAGUGCGGUAAAUGCAUUAUAUUUUUGACAACUUGUUGGAAUUUUGUAUUAAGUGAUAUUAUUUUACAAGGUGUUAAGAUAUUUGUAUUGGAGAGACAAAAAGAUAAGUUUUGAACCAAAAGGUGACAAGUGUCACCUUGUGAUUUAAUCUUGGACUUUGACCAUUUAACUUUACCUUUACCUUUACCAAAUAAAUACCAAAAAAAAUUGCCAAAAAUCAUCCUAUUUCUAUGCUUCAUGGCCGGCUCUCUCUCAAAGGAAAAGAAGAAAAAUCUCUCAACUUUCUAGCUUCUCAUCUCACUCAAUCUUCAAUUCCAACCGAUUAAACUUGAAAGUUUUCCAUAAAACCUCUUAGUUUGGUGGAGUUGAGCUUGGUUGUGAAGUUGUUUGGAAAACUAAGGUGACUAGUUGCUCUAUCUCUUGUAUUGCUAAGGUGAGUUGUGAAGGACCCCUCUCCUUCCUCUAAUGAUGUUCAAUUCAUGACUGGUGGUGGUAUAAGAUGCACUUUGAUGGAUUAUAUCUUGAUUUUGGUUGAAUUGGUGAAGUUUUAUAAUUAUUGGGGAUUUUUAUGUUUUCAUAUGGAUAUGAUUAUGUGGCUAUCUAUGAUGAUUGGAAAUGGUAUAUAAUGAUUCUAGAAGGUGGAAAAAAUGGACAAUUGCAAUCAAUUUUUGUUUUGGAAGAAAUUUCAGAAAAUUAGGUUUUGUGAAGGAACAUUCUGUCCGAGUUUUUAGCUCCUAGUUAGAGGCCGAAUUGGCCUUAGUUUAAAACAUAAAAGUUGUAGGGAAUGACAUUUUAGAGGUUCCUACAAAAUUUCAGAUUAAUCGGAGUAGUGUAGAAUGAGAAAAGUCGAAAUUACUAUUGCUGUCCUGGUUUUACCCGAAUGCUAGAAUUGCGCCUGUAAUUGGUUGUUUUGGUCAGGAAUGCUUCCGAAUUGGUUGUUGAGGUCUUCUGAUGAAUUGAAGCCGUGUUUCUUAGCUUUCAGCUGGUUUUGGAAUUUCUGGAUUUGGACUUGUAGAGCUUGUGUUAUGAUGUUUCCGCUAGAAUGCGUUUUGGUGAAUCUGUUUUACGUUUUUGAUGUGGUAUCUUGCAUUUUUUACCUGUUUGCACUCAAAACUGGGUUGAGUAACCUUCUGUGAUAUUGUAUCCCUAUCUCUUAGUUUCGAAACGGUGUAUCUUGGACCUUCAUCCGACAAUCGUAGUGCCUUUGGUCCCAUUACCGCAAAAGGAUGUCAAAAGCUAUUUUUCUGGUUUUGAGCUUAACUUUCAUUUCCGGACUUUUCCCUAGCUUGACUUGUACUAGUACUACUUAGAGCUUGCUGAAUGACUAUUGGAUGAACUUGUUGUCGUGUGUGUACCUUUGGGACUGGCUGAGGAAAUAAUGAAGCCAUGAUGGCUGGAAAAGUUAGCAAAUUCAGGGGAAGUGCUGUCCGAACUUUGAAGGGACUUGUUUGCAUUGAGUUUGUGAUCUAAGACUUGGAUUUGAGCAAGGCAAUGUUAUAUGAUGGAUGAUUUCUGAGCCAUUGAGGUGAGUGACCCCAAACUAUUGUUAAAGCUUCUUAUGAAAUGUUUCUUGCAUUAUUUACUCGAUUGCAUCUCAUGCGUGCUUGCAUGUGAAUUCAUGAUAUGAUUUUGGCUUCAAUGAGUUCUUGGGGAGUCUUGUGCUGGACACCAACGUCUCCACCUCUGUUUACUAGGAGCAAAUGGCUUCGGAGCUAAAAAAGGGGCUCCCUCUUAAUGUUAAUGUUAAUGUUAAAUGAUCGAUUUGAGCGUUGGGUGUUCAAGUACUAUGAUUUCACUGGCUCACGAGAGCAAUAAACGGAUAUUUGUUCUUUGAAUCAUGACAUCAUCGAAAGCAUCGAAAUGCAAUAUGGUGAAAUAUAUUUGAUUACUGAUUUUUCUGGUUACUCACUGAGCUUUUAGCUCACCCCAAAAAUAUUUUUAUUCCCCUCCAUAGGGCUCGGGACGAAGGAAAGGCUUGUAGUACUUACUCAUGCGACUGGAUGGCUUAUAUUUUGUACAGUUUUGAUUUGGAAUUUCCUCUGUAUAAUAGUUGGUAUCAAGGAUCAGAGUGGCGCAGCGAAAGCGUGGUCGCUUCGCUUUUGAUAUGUAAUUCUUGGAUAAUUGAUGUAUAUUUGAGAUUUUAUUCGAUUUUAAUUAAGGACUGAAGUGAAAGACUGAGUCCCGGCGAGAGCUGGGCAGGCGGUCCGCCGAACCCUUUGGUUCGUCUUAGGGAGAGGUGGGGCCGUCACAAAUUCGAAUGGCCCUCAAAUGAAAAUUCAAACAGACACAUUCGGUAAGACUACUGUAAUUAACGUGUGGUAAUUUCUGAUGCAACUCAACGUUAUGUGCAAGGUAAAACUAGACACAAGUUUCUGCAACAAAUUGCUGUAUUUUCACUUUUCGGAUACAUAUUUCCGACCCAACAUGCAAGCAUUUGAUCCAAAUUUUUCAACCAACAUCACAACUUUAAACCAAACCACAACACCAUAACUUCAAACUCCAAACAAGCAAGAAACAAUAAAGGAACUGAUGCAAAAAUUCUGGACAAAACAUUCAUGUAAAAUGGUUUGGCAGCCUGAAAUUCACUCUUUCGGUAGGCAUUCGAGCAUGAUUCCGGCAUUAUAGCCCCAAAAAAUGCAAACCCAACACCCCAUAUCUAAUUCCUCUUUCCAACAUAAGGUCAACCAGCAAACUGGAUGGCCGAAACUUUGCUGAGCAAGUGCAGGUAAGAAAACAACAAAGAGAAUGCGAAAGCUUUUUGUUCUGCUGCAAAUUUUGCAGCUUCAACUCAUUGUCAUUUAACAUCCCCAAGCAUAAUCAUCUAACCCCCAUAAACUGAUUGAAACAGCCAAGCAUAAAAUGCAGCAAAAGAAAAAAGUGGAAACUUGCUGCCAAUCAUGGAGAAACCAUCGCAGUCAAACAAAAUGAGCAUUUCAAGCAAGCCGAAACUUAGGCACAAAAGCCUUUAGACAUUUAGCUAAAUGUGUUCGUGUGUGGAAAAUGCCAAGAAAACAAGAAAAAUCAGGAGGCGCAGCUAUGAUACAAGAGGAUGAAACGGGGUUUGACAUAUCAACUAAACAACAAAUCUCAUAUUUCAAUCAAGUUAAAGCUUUAGCAACAACUCCAGAAUAAAACUCCAAUGUCCGAACAAGCCCAAAACAAAUUCGAUUGGAAUGGAUCUUCACCAUCUAUGCGACAUUACAAGAGGACAGGCUAUGUAAAUGUCUUUUCUUUUCUAAGAUAGGAUCUUGCUACUAAACUACAGCCUAUGGACGAAAUGUAAUCAACGCCAAACAAGUUUCAGACCCUAACAUACCCAUCAUACACAAUAACAGUAAGAAGGUCGCACCUUUGAGCUAUAACCAUGAACCUACAUCGCAACUCUUGACCACAUUCACUUGACUCGAGAUCCAGCAUAGUUUCCAUGAUUUAUUGAUAAAAAUUAUCUAUAGGAAAGGGAAAAGAACCUUACCGUGCUGUUUUCCGAUGGGGUUUUAGCAGCGACAAGAAAACUUGAGUAGCAGUCCCCUUCAUUCUUUUUGGUUUGACCAGAUAUCUCCAGGCUCUCGCCCCAGCCGUGACUCCUUCUUGGUUGUCCUAUUGAGUCGCCCUUUUCUUCCUUCCAAAGCUCUCGGUCUCUCCCUCACGUUCUUUCCUUUCCCAGUUUUUCUUUUCUCUCCUGUCACUCACUCUCAAAACCCCUGCUCUUUCAGCCGUCACCCCUUUUUUUUAUUUAUCCGUUCUUUUCCAAAACCCUUCAUCCGACGCUGCUCCACAUCUCACAUCUCAACUCUUUCCUCUUUCAUUUCCACCCUCCACCUAUCCUCUUCUAGAAUUCUCUAGGGCCUGAGGUGUCCAAGACACCUGGCCAUUCAUCGCUUAAAUUGCCCUCAAGGGCCUUGCUGCAACUCUUCUUUGCAAGCUGCGGACGAACGCAACUUGCAUGUAAUAAAUUAUUAUUAUUAUUAUUAUUUUAUUAUUAUUAUUAUUAUUAUUUUAUUAUUAUUAUUAUUAUUAUUUUAUUAUUAUUUUAUUAUUAUUAUUAUUAUUAUUUUUUUAUUAUUUUAUUAUUAUUAUUAUUAUUAUUUUUUUAUUAUUAUUAUUUUAUUAUUAUUAUUAUUAUUUUAUUAUUUUAUUAUUUUUAUUUUAUUAUUUUUAUUAUUUUUUCUCUUUUUUUAUAUAAACAAUAAACUUGCAUAAAAAUGAAAUUUAACAGAGAUAAGGCAUAUUUUUUAGAUCAUUUUCCGGCAACUCUUAACACUUAAAAAAACCUUAAAAUAUAAGUAAAAUAAACACAAAUGCGGAAGCGUUCAAGCAUAAAAUCAUCCAUUACCCCACCCAUAGAUAGGGCGUUCAAGAUACAACUUAAAUCCGAAAUAUACGUCAGGCCCAAAAGUUACACUUCAAUUCCAAAAGUACAAUCCCAACAAAGGACAUAGUCACAAAUAAUAGAAACCUUAAAACAAAAGUAUAGCGAAGGGUUUCUCCAAACUUCUCCGAGAUUCGGUCCUGUUAAGGAAAACAAACUAUAGGGUGAGCUAAACGCUCGUGAGGCGAAGAACACACAUGCAAGCACAAUGUUCAAAUAGCAAUCCAAAAUUUAUUAAACCAAACCGUGAUAUUUCAAUAAUCAACCAUUCGAGCAAGAAAAGAAAUCAGAAACAAUUCAAGGAUAUGGUAGCUCUCAGGAGCUAAGUUCCACUCGCUCUGCGAUGUCAUUCGUAUACCUUCCGCGCGAUGACCCUCCGUCAACCGGGUCGGUAUUUCCAUUUCCGUAGAUCACCACUUACUUCCCUCCAUCCACCGUACACCUCAAGGGCCCACAAGUCAUUUAUACGGCGAUACUUCACGAGUAUGCCAAACAAGACCUCUCAUUAGGUCGAGCUUAUAUAUAUCUCAUGGCUCGCCCAAGUUCACGACCAAGCCCAUUGCCGGCUCGAGUUCAAGGUCGGCCUAUGAGUUUGGGCGUCCCCAUUCAUUUGAAAGUCGAGGAGGUUCACUCCAACGACAUAUGUAAUCAUAACAUAACAUUGCAUUUCAUUCAUUCAUUCAAUACAUUUCAUUCAUUCAAUACACUUCAAUCAUUCAUUUGAAAUUAGAACGAGUGCGAUAAAGUACGCACCGCGCCCUUAUUUUUAAAAUUCCCAACAAUUACCACAAUUAAGCAAGUAUCAAGGAUUCACACACUUGACACUCACCGAGCAAUUCAAUAGGAAUUUUCUCUGGAGGUUCAAGUGUCCACUGUAAGAUCGCUUUUGGAGGUCUCCUUGUGUGCCUGGUAAAUAAUAGUGGAUAAUCACUCAAGUAUCCCACUUAUUAAGGAAGAUUGUACACUAGUACAAUCUAAAAAAUAUUUUCACAAGAAUGAACCUCAAUUACUCGUAAAUUGAGGUUCAACUUGCGUUUUAUUAAGUACAAUAUUAUCUGAGUUUUUAUCAUGAAAAUCGAGGGCAAAACGCUUGAAUAAUACUAGGAGAAUUAAGAGUUUUGAAAAAACUCCUUUGGCCCAGAAAAUUGAGAAAUUUCAGUUUUAUCAUAAAUUUUUGGAAAUUCGUAUCUCUCUCGAUAUAAGCCCAAAAUUGGAAAACUUUAUACCGUUGGAAACCUUUUGGAAAGUGUUAAAAGUUCUUAGGAGACAUUUUUCCAUGAAUCGAAGUGGAAAGUGCUCAAAAAUGAGCAUGAAGGGGCAGACUCAGCUUACAAGGCAGAAUUAAGUUGAUUUUUGGCCAAAUUUGAAAUUCGGCACGAUUUACACGUUGCAAACCGGCCUCUGAAAUUUGUAGCUCAAUUAGAGUUGCAAGUGAGGUUUAUAGCAAAAUAAGCAGAUCAAGAAUUGGAGUUUCCAGUACCGAGAUACGGUAGCUCAAAGUUGGGGAAAUUCAAGACUGGGAAGAAUUUCCAGAUUUGAACCUCCAACUUUAGUAAUUUAAUUAGGUAUCAAACGAAUUUGGAUUGGUACCAAAAUUGGCAGUAUUUCACUCCUAUGUGAAAGGUAUCUCUCUAUCAAAUUUCAGGGAAAAAUUACCCUCGGAAAGGUAGUUAACUAGUGGUCCAAAUUUCCGGAAAAUUUCUAAGGCAAUCUGCCUUUUGACUUUCAUUUCCCAAUUCAAAUCGUUCAACCAAGAAAGUUAUCCAACCAUGGUUAAUUUGUGAAAUAAAGGUCUAAGGUACAUCCAUGAUACCUUUGGUAAUGGUUUAGCAUCAAAAUCUCAAUUAAUAAGGUCACUCCCGGUUUUGUUCCAAAUCAGUCCAAAUAUUUCGUUUUUUCCAAAACAGGGCAGACCUCUUGUUUUGGUCACAACUCAGUCAAUUUAACUCGGAAUUGGGUGUGGUUUAUGGCGUUCGAAAAUAAAUUCAGAGGACUAAACGCUCAUAGAAGGAAACAUUUUGAAAUUUGGCAAGCAACCAGCUCGAAAUUGAGCCUCAAGUUGCUGCCUCUACAAACCAUUGCAGCAGAUCCGAAAGACAGGACAGCUAUCUUAAAACGAAUGGUUCGGCUCACUCACAAGGAAUCAGAAUGUGCAUUUUAUCUCAAAUUAAAGCCUGGAAUGUCUAGUUUCAAACGCCACUGACGGCACAUAAUUUCGACAUCCAAGGACAUAGUUAUGGUCAAAAUGCUAGCCGCUGGACAGGGUUAUCCGAAAAUAAUUUUCCAGCUUGCCUAGUUCACGAAUAAAUCCAUUUGCCCAUCUAAACAUUUAUGUUUUCAAAUGAAAAUUUUUACACAUAUAACAUAUCAUAUAAGCAUCAGGUUCAAGCCAAUAAAUCACCAAAAUUUGGCCUUAUCAUGGCCGAACAAGACAAGGGCAGUUUCGGAAAUUUUUUCUUCUUGCACCAAUGAAGUUUCUAUCAAUUACACACCAUUAAUCUAUCAUUUUAACCACUAAACCAACAAUAUAUCCACCAUCAAUCAUCAAAUCAGCAACAACUCAAGUGUGGGAAUUCCUAGAGCCCACUUUUCAAAUUUCCAACAAUAUCAAGUCACCCAUACACAUGCAAUAGCUUAAAGAUGUAUUUCUACCAUCAUAAUCCAAGUUUAAGGUGUAGGAUGAGGUUAUACCUCCUUAGUGCUUUGAACCAGAAAUUUUCGGUCCUCAAGAGCUCCAAGAAACCGUGAAUUGUAGCCUUUUAGCUAGCUAGAUCCAACCUCCAAGUAGUUUGCUAGAUGGCAUUCAAGUUUGGUGAAGAUUGGUUGAAGUUUUGGGUUGAUUUGAUGAAGGAAUUUGUGAAGCAAGAGACUGAGAGAGAGGGAAGGCUGGCCGGCUGUUGGAGAGAGAAGAAAGAGUGAAAUUUGAUCUAAGUUUAGCUUCCAAGAGAAGAUUAAAAUGAGUGGUGUAAAUUUACUCCAAAGUCAACCCUCCUUAGGAGGCGUUUGGUGCGAUUAUGGCUCGAUUUUCUCGCGCGUUUGGUUCACUAGUGCACUAAACCUCCAAUGCAUAUAUAUUCAUGUAAAUAUUAUUCACUCUUAAUUAUCCCGAAAUAAGGGUCUAAAGUCCCUCAAAUAAAGUCGCGCGUGUGAAAACGCAUACCGUUAAUUUUAACGCUAUAACGCGAAACUUCCGAGAAUUUCUUAUAACGAUUGUACUACUAACUAUCACUUGAGUAUUUAUUCAUAAGAUUACCUAUUUUAGGACCGUAGUACAAGUCUCUAAUAUUCCAAGUUUAUUGUGCUCCUACGCGGAUAAAAUCUCCAAGCACUAUUCACUAUUUUUACUAAACGCACUCCAGGAAAUUAAUUUUUGAAACGAGUCACUUUAAAAAUAUAACGAAGUUAUAUUAUCGUGUAUUUAGGUCUAAUAAGACUAGAAAAUAUUUCUCGUGGCAAAAAUCCAAUUAAAUAAUUUAUUAAGCCAUAAAUUAGGCUUUAAAGAUAAUAGUUUUUACAAGUCUUCACAUCCUCUCCCCCUUAAGAAAAUUUCGUCCUCGAAAUUUACCUUGGUUGCUGAACAAGUCUGGAUACUUCUCUCUGAUUGUCUCUUCGACUUCCCAUGUUGCUUCCUCUACUCCGUGGUUCUUCCACAGAACUUUCACUAGUGGUAUCUGCUUGUUCCUAAAUUCUUUCACCUUUCGAUCCAGAAGUUUUACCGGUCUCUCCUCAUAGGUCAAGGUUUCAUCGAUCUCAACACUCUCCGGUUGUAAAACAUGAGAAGGAUCUGGAUGAUACUUCUUAAAGCAUGGACACGUGGAACACGUUAUGAAUUCGAGAUAAGUUCGGUGGUAAUUCCAGCUUAUAGGCUACAUUCCCAACUCGUUGGAUAACCUUGUAAGGUCCUACAAACCUUGGUUGUAGUUUCUUCCUUUUUUCGGACAUCAAACUUGCUUUAAAGGCGUAAUCUUAAGAAAUACCAUAUCUCCAAUAGUGAACUCCAAAUCCUUUUUUCGAUUAUCGACAUAACUUUUUUGUCUACUUUGAGCAGUUUGAAUCCUUUGUCGUACUAACUUUACCUUUUAUUAGCUUCCUCAAUCCAAGACACGGUAGUCGGGUCUAAAAUUUUUCGUUCACCUACUUUCAUCCCAACAAAUCGCGGGAUCUACACCUUCGACCAUAAAGUGCUUCAUAUGGAGCCAUCUGAAUAGAAGAGUGGAAACUGUUGUUAUAGGAAAAUUCCACUAAAGUCAAAAAUUUACUCCAACUCCCUCCAAAAUCCAGCACACACAGUCCUUAACAUGUCUCAAGGGUCUGAAAUUGUUCUUUCAGAUUGUCCAUCAGUCUGAGGAUGAUAGGUGGGUACUAAAGUUUAAUUUAGUCCCCAACACUUCUUGCAUCUUUUUGCCAAAACCUCGAAACAAAUCUUGAUCCCUAUCUGACACAAUACUCAUAGGUAUACCAUGUAGUCUAAUGAUCUCAUUCAAAUAUAACCUGGCCAACCUUUCCAAUGGAUACUUCAUGUUAAUCGGUAGAAAAUGAGCCGAUUUAGUCAAUCUAUCCACUAUCACCCAAAUGGCAUCACGGCCUUUCUGUGUCCUUGUAAGCCUGAUACAAAAUCCAUGGUAAUAUUUUCCCAUUUCCACUCAGGUAUUUCUAGAGGUUGCAAAAGUCCUGAUGGUCUUUGAUGCUCGGUUUUAACCUGUUGACAAACCAAGCAUGUCUGAACAAAUUGGACAAUUUCCUUCUUCAUAUUUUUCCACCAAUAUAAACUUUUCAAGUCUUGGUACAUUUUAUUCCCUCCAGGGUGUACCGUAAACUUUGAUCGGUGUGCUUCCUCCAAAACUUCCUUCUUAAGUGUUUCAUCCUUUGGUACUACUAUCUGAUUUCGAAAUCUCAAUAUUCCAUCGGGUCCCAAAUUGAAAUCCGUCUUGUCUCCCAUCUUAGCUUUUUCCACCAACUUUUGCACUUCAGGGUCCUUUUCCUGAGAUUCCCUGAUACAUUCCAUCAAAGGAGAGUUCAAUACAAUAUUCCCUAGAAUUACUUUUCUUGGUUCCAACCGAGGAUUCCACUGACUAACUUCUUCCAACAAUUCAAAUUCCUUAAUCAUCAAUCCAGCCAUCUGUACUUGACGGCUCAAAGCAUCGGCCACUACAUUGGCCCUUCCAGGAUGGUACUUAAUCGUGCAAUCAUAAUCUUCCAGAAAUUCCAUCCAUCUACGUUGCCUCAAAUUCAGCUCUUUGUGAGAAAAUAAGUAUUUAAGACUUUUGUGAUCUGUAAAAACCUCAAAUGUUACUCCAUACAAAUAAUGCCUCCAUUUCUUCAAAGCAAAGACCACCGCCGCUAACUCCAAAUCAUGAGUCGGGUAAUUCCCUUCAUGCGGUUUCAAUUUCCUAGAGGCAUAUGCUAUUACUUUGCCAUCUUGCAUUAAAACACAUCCCAGUCCUUCCUUAGAAGCAUCUGUGUAAACCACAAAACUAUCUUUUCCGUUUGGCAGAGCCAGCACAGGUGCCCUAGUUAACCGUCUUUUCAAUUCCUGAAAACUUUCCUCGCACUUAGGACUCCAUAUAAACUUUCCAUUUUUCCUGGUCAAUUCAGUCAUGGGUCCAGCGAUUUUCGAAAAAUCCUGAAUGAAUCUCCGGUAAUACCCUGCUAAUCCAAUAAAACUCCGAACCUCGGUAGGGUUUUCCGGUCGUUUCCAUUUUGAAACAGCUUCAACUUUAGCUGGAUCCACUUUAAUCCCAUUCUCAGAAAUUAUGUGUCCCAAAAAGUCACUUCUUUUAACCAGAAUUCACACUUGCUAAACUUAACGUAUACUUGAUGUUCCCUUAAAAUUUGUAAAACAAUUCUCAAAUGUUUCUCAUGAUCCCUCACAUUCUUAGAAUACACCUAAAUAUCAUCAAUGAAGAUCACCACAAAUUGAUCCAAGUAAGGCUUAAAAACCCUAUGCAUUAAAUCCAUGAAAGCGGAAGGUGCAUUGGUUAACCCAAAAGGCAUCACUGCAAACUCGAAGUGCCCAUACCUCGAGUUAAAAGCAGUUUUAGGUAUGUCCUUCUCCAAAAUUCUCAAUUGAUAAUAACCCUGCCUGAGAUCCAACUUUGAAAACACUACCGCCCCCUGCAAUUGGUCAAACAGCUCAUCAAUGUGGGUAGUGGGUAUUUAUUCUUAGUUGUAACAUCAUUUAAACCUCGAUAAUUUAUACAUAACCUCAAACUCCCAUCUUUCUUCUUUACGAACAAAACUGGGGCUCCCCACGGGGAAUCACUCUCUCGUACAAAACCCCGUUCCAACAAAUCCUGUAAUUGUAACUUCAACUCCUUUCAUUCAGCUGGAGCCAUCCUAUAUGGUGUCCUUGAGAUAGGUGCUGUUCCCGGGGCUACAUCAAUUUUAAAAGCUAUUUCCCGUUCCGGGGGUAAAUACUCCAAUUCUUCAGGAAAAACAUCUGAAAAAUCCUUUACCACUGGUGUGUCUUCCAAAUUCACCUUAUCACUAGGAGUGUUAAUAAGAAAAGCCAAAUACCCUUGAGCUCCUUUACUUAAUAAUUUUCUAGCCCGGAUUCCCAAAAUAAGUGCAGACGAGGCUAACUUACCCCUCACAUCCAAUUUUAGGGUUAUUUCCCCUGGAAUACACAAUUCUACAAUUUUCGUCCUACAAUUCAGUUGGGCAUUAUAACGUGCUAACCAAUCCAUCCCGAGAAUCACAUCAUACUCUUUAAUCGCUAAGCCUAUCAAAUCGGCCAGCAAUUUUCGUUCCCUUACGCAGAUUUCACUAUUCUAAUACACCAGAUUAGCAAUUAAACUUUUGUCUCCAGUAGGUGUUUUAACCUCCAAGUCAUAUGGUAGCUUAAUAGGCUUCAAGUCUAUUCCACUCAUAAAAUCAGGGUUUACAAAAGAGUGCGUUGCACCCGGAUCAAUUAAAACCCUAGCUAGGCGGUGAAAGAUUGGAAUUGUACCUUCUGCCACCUCAGUUGCCUCAGGAACUUGUUGAUAAUCCAGUGCGUAGACCCUAGCCGGUACUUUCGGUCGACUCCCUCCGGCACUGGUCUGCUUAGAGGUUGAUUUUUCAGGCCUUUGCAGGUUUCCCCCUGUCUUCGAUGAUUUCGGACAAUUUGCAAUUUGAUGCUCAGUGCUCCUACACAGUAAGCAUUUUCCCAACUUUCUCCAGCAAUCGUUCUCAGAGUGGUUGGAUUUACCACAAUACCCACAUGUAACUUAAGGGGUCACAGUCGAUCCAACAGAAGGUGCCCCCUAACUUGAGUCGUCCCGCUACGACCUCCUCUAGAUGGAGCUCCCCUGGAAGCUCCAGCAGUUCUCGUUCCUCCUUCUCCUCUUCCCAUUUUAGAAGGGUGUACAUUCUUACUGGUCUGCCCAGAAGUACGACUAGGAAAAUUCCUUUUUCUGUUGUGAAAAUCCUUCACUUGAGAUCUCGCAUUCUCAACCCUUUGCGCUUUCUCUAGAGCCUCAGCAAAUGUAGAGAUUUGGGCUGCAGCCAGGCCCUCCUGAAGUUCCACAUUAAGUCCCUGUACAAACCUUCUAAUCCUCCUCCGUUCAUUGGCUACUAAAUCGAGAGCGUAUUUGGAAAGUUUAGUGAACUUCCCCUCAUACUCUGCUACGGUAAGGGUCCCUUGUUUUAGCUUAAUAAAUUCGUCCUCCCUCUUCUCUUGAAUCAAGGGUGGAAGAAACUUUUCAUUAAACUCCCUUGUGAAAUUCUCCCAAGUCCAAGGGGUUCGAGCCCUUUCCCAUUUUCCUUUUAUCAAAUCCCACCAAGCACGGGCUACUCCCUCAAAUUGGAACGCAGCAAAGUUCACUCGCCUCUCCUCAGUGUAAUCUAGAGCGGCGAAUAUAUUGGUCAUCCUCUCUAACCAAUUUUCCGCUACUUCGGGGUCAGGUUCACCCAUAAACUUAGGCGGGUUAAACUUUAAAAAUCUUUCCAGGGCUCUAUCCUCUCCUCUAUCCUGGGCCCCAGGUUGGUUAAAUGGUCCAGGACCCUGUCUCUCCGCUAGACGUUCUAGGAUAUCAGUCAUCCUAUUGAUGGCAGUAGCCACCUGGUUACCCUCAAUGUUCUCCUGUCCCUGGGUCGGUCCAGUUGCCGAUCCCUGGUCAUCCCCCUGAGGUUGGGCCUGUCUAAACGUUCACCCACGACCUCGACCACUCCUUAGUCCUUCCAUUAGUCUAAAUGUGCCUAGUGCAAGAAAUAGAUUAAUUUAAGCGAAAAGAAGAAAUAUAUCAAAAUGAGAACCAACCAAGAAAGCAUUGAAAUUAACCAUAAUUUACAUUCAUAAACAUGUCAAGUUCGUACAAUUAGCAAGUUAGGGACAAUUCACAAAAAUAUAGCACACAGGUGCUCAAAAGUAUACUUUUAGCCACAGAAGACUAAAGUAAGAACAAGUGUCCAAAAGUAGGCCACACAAGCAUGCAAAAUAAAAUGGCCUCAGCACUCGCGUGGCCUGUCUAAACGCUCGCCCACGACCUCGACCACUCCUUAGUCCUUCCAUUAGUCUAAAUGUGCCUAGUGCAAGAAAUAGAUUAAUUUAAGCGAAAAGAAGAAAUAUAUCAAAAUGAGAAACCAACCAAGAAAGCAUUGAAAUUAACCAUAAUUUACAUUCAUAAACAUGUCAAGUUCGUACAAUUAGCAAGUUAGGGACAAUUCACAAAAAUAUAGCACACAGGUGCUCAAAAGUAUACUUUUAGCCACAGAAGACUAAAGUAAGAACAAGUGUCCAAAAGUAGGCCACACAAGCAUGCAAAAUAAAAUGGCCUCAGCACUCGCGUCACCCUAACUAGUCAUAGCUGUACCAGUCAAAAGUCAAAAGGAGUCAACUACUAAGAUCCUAAUCCACAGCAGGGCUAUCAGGAGGAACCUCCUCCUCGGGAUCCUCCUACUCAGCAUCAGGAAUCACCUCAGUAGCGUCCUCAACCAAUCUAGCAGCAUCAGCCAGGAUCUCGAAAGCCCGGUUACGGACAUCCCGUCCUAACCUAGUAAGUCGAGCCCUAGUAUCCCGAAGCUCCUCAUUAACCACUGCAGAUGUAGCUACCUCACCCUCAAUCACCUCCUCGAGCUUGGCAAUCUGCUCACCCUGAGCGCUAACCAUCUGCCUAAGCUCGUCUACCUCAGCCUGUACAUCGCGGUUGGCAUCCACCAACUGACGACGCUCGUCAUCCAGAGCAAGCACUAGAUAGUUCGGGUAGGCGAAAGUCAACCUACACGAACAUCGAGGGUAUCUGUCAUAUGGGGAGUAGCGUGCUCGAGCUCCUCCCGCUACAGCUCGGUAGAAGAUAGUCCUAAGAGGCUCAUAAUGACCAUUCGCAUGGCCAUUCCCGUUAGCUGUCUGGGCUCCAUUUCCGUCAUCCAUACCUGCAAAAAGAAAAAAAUAAUAAUACUUUUCGGUUAGAGACUUAAAUCACUACCUAGUUCUAAUAUCCUGCAAUGCAUGCCUAACUUAAUCGUUGGUUCAUCCCAAUUGUCGCUUGAGGUAGGACUAACUUAGUCGCUAGCUCGCCUCAAGUAUCACUUAGGGUAUGAUUAAGUCAUCCCAUAUCGAGUCUUAAAGGUAGAGUACCUGAUAUGUCUCCCAUAUAGACCUCUAACCUAGGGCUCUGAUACCAACUGUGACGCCCCCACUUCUCCCUAAAGCGAACUAAAGGGUAUCCGCGGAACGCCUACCUAACUCUCGCCAGGACUCAAGCAAAUUCAUUCAAGCUUAAUGCCAGACCGAACGUCAUAACCAGAUAGAAUACAUAAACACAAAAUGUGGAAGCGUUCAAGCAUAAAAUCAUCCAUUACCCCACCCAUAGAUAGGGCGUUCAAGAUACAACUUAAAUUCGAAAUAUACGUCAGGCCCAAAAGUUACACUUCAAUUCCAAAAGUACAAUCCCAACAAAGGACAUAGUCACAAAUAAUAGAAACCUUAAAACAAAAGUACAGCGAAGGGUUUCUCCAAACUUCUCCGAGAUUCGGUCCUGUUAAGGAAAACAAACUAUAGGGUGAGCUAAACGCUCGUGAGGCCAAGAACACACAUGCAAGCACAUUGUUCAAAUAGCAAUUCAAAAUUUAUUAAACCAAACCGUGAUAUUUCAAUAAUCAACCAUUCGAGCAAGAAAAGAAAUCAGAAACAAUUCAAGGAUAUGGUAGCUCUCAGGAGCUAAGUUCCACUCGCUCUGCCGAUGUCAUUCGUAUACCUUCCCGCGAUGACCCUCCGUCAACCGGGUCGGUAUUUCCAUUUCCGUAGAUCACCACUUACUUCCCUCCGUCCACCGUACACCUCAAGGGCCCACAAGUCAUUUAUACGGCGAUACUUCACGAGUAUGUCAAGCAAGACCUCUCAUUAGGUCGAGCUUAUAUAUAUCUCAUGGCUCGCCCAAGUUCCCGACCAAGCCCAUUGCCGGCUCGAGUUCAAGGUCGGUCUAUGAGUUUGGGCGUCCCCAUUCAUUUGAAAGUCGAGGAGGUUCACUCCAACGACAUAUGUAAUCAUAACAUAACAUUGCAUUUCAUUCAUUCAUUCAAUACACUUCAAUCAUUCAUUUGAAAUUAGAACGAGUGCGAUAAAGUACGCACCCGCCCUUAUUUUUAAAAUUCCCAACAAUUACCACAAUUAAGCAAGUAUCAAGGAUUCACACACUUGACACUCACCGAGCAAUUCAAUAGGAAUUUUCUCUGGAGGUUCAAGUGUCCACUGUAAGAUCCUCUUGGAGGUCUCCUUGUGUGCCUGGCAAAUAAUAGUGGAUAAUCACUCAAGUAUCCCACUUAUUAAGGAAGAUUGUACACUAGUACAAUCUAAAGAAUAUUUUCACAAGAAUGAACCUCAAUUACUCGUAAAUCGAGAUUCAACUUGCAUUUUAUUAAGUACAAUAUUAUCUGAGUUUUUAUCAUGAAAAUCGAGGGCAAAACGAUUGAAUAAUACUAGGAGAAUUAAGAGUUUUGAAAAAACUCCUUUGCCCAGAAAAUUGAGAAAUUUUAGUUUUAUCAUAAAUCUUUGGAAAUUCGUAUCUCUCUCGAUAUAAGCCCAAAAUUGGAAAACUUUAUACCGUUGGAAACCUUUUGGAAAGUGUUAAAAGUUCUUAGGAGACAUUUUUCCAUGAAUCGAAGUGGAAAGUGCUCAAAAAUGAGCAUGAAGGGGCAGACUCAGCUUACAAGGCAGAAUUAAGUUGAUUUUUGGCCAACUUUGAAAAUUCGGCACGAUUUACACGUUGCAAACCGGCCUCUGAAAUUUGUAGCUCAAUUAGAGUUGCAAGUGAGGUUUAUAGCAAAAUAAGCAGAUCAAGAAUUGGAGUUUCGAGUACCGAGAUACGGUAGCUCAAAGUUGGGGAAAUUCAAGACUGGGGAAGAAUUUCCAGAUUUGAACCUCCAACUUUAGUAAUUUAAUUAGGUAUCAAAACGAACUUGGAUUGGUACCAAAAUUGGCAGUAUUUCACUCCUAUGUGAAAGGUAUCUCUCUAUCAAAUUUCAGGGAAAAAUUACCCUCGGAAAGGUAGUUAACUAGUGGUCCAAAGUUCCGGAAAAUUUCUAAGGCAAUCUGCCUUUUGACUUUCAUUUCCCAAUUCAAAUCGUUCAACCAAGAAAGUUAUCCAACCAUGGUUAAUUUCUGAAAUAAAGGUCUAAGGUACAUCCAUGAUACCUUUGGUAAUGGUUUAGCAUCAAAAUCUCAAUUAAUAAGGUCACUCCCGGGUUUUGUUCCAAAUCAGUCCAAAUAUUUCGUUUUUUCCAAAACAGGGCAGACCUCUUGUUUUGGUCACAACUCAGUUAAUUUAACUCGGAAUUGGGUGUGGCUUUAUGGCGUUGGAAAAUAAAUUCAGAGGACUAAAAGUUCACAGAAGGAAACAUUUUGAAAUUUGGCAAGCAACCAGCUCGAAAUUGAGCCUCAAGUUGCUGCCUCUACAAACCAUUCCAGCAGAUCCGAAAGACAGGACAGCUAUCUUAAAACGAAUGGUUCGGCUCACUCACAGGGAAUCAGAAUGUACAUUUUAUCUCAAAUUAAAGCCUGGAAUGUCUAGUUUCAAAUGCCACCAACGGUACAUGAUUUCGACAUCCGAGGACAGAGUUAUCCGAAAAUAAUUUUCCAGCUUGCCUAGUUCACGAAUAAAUCCAUUUGCCCAUCUAAACGUUAAUGUUUUCAAAUGAAAAUUUUUACACAUAUAACAUAUCAUAUAAGCAUCAGGUUCAAGCCAAUAAAUCACCAAAAUUUGGCCUUAUCAUGGCCGAACAAGACAAGGGCAGUUUCGGAAAUUUUUGCUUCUUGCACCCAAUGAAGUUUCUAUCAAUUACACACCAUUAAUCCAUCAUUUUAACCACUAAACCAACAAUAUAUCCACCAUCAAUCAUCAAAUCAGCAACAACCCAAGUGUGGGAAUUCCUAGAGCCCACUUUUCAAAUUUCCAACAAUAUCAAGUCACUCAUACACAUGCAAUAGCUUAAAGAUGUAUUUCUACCAUCAUAAUCCAAGUUUAAGGUGUAGGAUGAGGUUAUACCUCCUUAGUGCUUUGAACCAGAAAUUUUCAGUCCUCAAGAGCUCCAAGAAACCGUGAAUUGCAGCCUUUUAGCUAGCUAGAUCCAACCUCCAAGUAGUUUGCUAGAUGGCAUUCAAGUUUGGUGAAGAUUGGUUGAAGUUUUGGGUUGAUUUGAUGAAGGAAUUUGUGAAGCAAGAGAGUGAGAGAGAGGGAAGGCUAGCCGGCUGUUGGAGAGAGAAGAAAGAGUGAAAUUUGAUCUAAGUUUAGCUUCCAAGAGAAGAUUAAAAUGAGUGGUGUAAAUUCACUCCAAAGUCAACUCUCCUUAGGAGGCGUUCGGCGCGAUUAUGGCUCGAUUUUCUCGCGCGUUUGGUUCACUAGUGCACUAAACUUCCAAUGCAUAUAUAUUCAUGUAAAUAUUAUUCACUCUUAAUUGUCCCGAAAUAAGGGUCUAAAGUCCCUCAAAUAAUGUCGCGCGUGUGAAAACGCGUACCGUCAAUUUUAACGCUAUAACGCGAAACUUCCGAGAAUUUCUUAUAACGAUUGUACUACUAACUAUCACUUGAGUAUUUAUUCAUAAGAUUACCUAUUUUAGGACCGUAGUACAAGUCUCCAAUAUUCCAAGCUUAUUGUGCUCCUACGCGGAUAAAAUCUCCAAGCACUAUUCACUAUUUUUACUAAACGCACUCCAGAAAAUUAAUUUUUGAAACGAGUCACUUUAAAAAUAUAACGAAGUUAUAUUAUCGUGUAUUUUGGUCUAAUAAGACUAGAAAAUAUUCCUCGUGGCAAAAAUCCAAUUAAAUAAUUUAUUAAGCCAUAAAUUAGGUUUUAAAAAUAAUAGUUUUUACGAGUCUUCACAGGAGGUAUUUCUCGUUAAAUUCUCUUACAAAAUUCGCCCAUGUCCAGACAGUCUGUUCUCUUUCCCACUUUGUUCUAAUUACGUUCCACCAUGCCUGGGCCGAUCCCUCAAAUUGAAACACUGCGAAGUUCACCUGCCUCUGUUCAGUGUAAUUCAAAGCUGUGAAUAUAUUCACCAUGGCGUCUAGCCAUUGUUCAGCGAUGUCCGGAUCAGGCCCUCCAGCGAAUUUUGGAGGUGCAAACUUCUGAAACAGCUCCAGAUCCUUAUCCUCACCCGUCUCAGGGUUCCGGGGUUGAUUUACGGGUAUUUGACCUUAUUGAUCUACUAAUCUUGCCAAGAUAUCCGUCAUUUGUUGCAUUGCCGUCGCCAUUUGGUCUCCGGUUGCAACUCUCGGUCCUUGUUCUUGUUCGGCGGACGUUUCCCUUUCUGCUCUAGGUUCUGGGGUCCGUUUAGUUCCACGGCCUCGACCACGUCCCUGACUACGUCUCCCGUCCAUAUUUUUCCUUCCCUCUCUUUUUUUCCAAAAGUAGUUUAAUGAAUAAAUGCAAUAAGGUGACUCAAAAGUAACCAAAAUUGAGGGCACCAAAUACACAAGUAAACAUAUAUACACAAGGAAAUAGCUGAUCAAUUAUGCAAGUACGGAUCAAGUCAGGCACAAAUGCAUAUACACACAUAUACAAAUUGACGUCAUGUAGUAAGAGUGUACGAGCGAAUCGAAAGAAAAGGUUAUGUGUCGGUCCAGUCUUAGCUAAGGUAACCUCGUCCGAUCCCUCACAUCACUUUACUAUUCACACCAGAUAUCCCUUAACCUCUUGUACUCAUUCCAGUCGAACAAAGCCUGUUCAUGUUCCCACAAUACAAUUCUCAAAUACUUAGCACUACCUCAACUCUGGAGUACUCGGGUACGAGAAUUCGAAAUAAGAUAAUUCACCUCUCGAGCUGGCCAGUCCUAAGAGUAAACCAUCUACAAUCGGAAUUCCUCCCAGACGUACCUAUCUAUGGUCCUCAGAUUCCACAAGAAAAUUUAAGGCCUAUAAUGUUCACAACUCAUAGCUUAUGCUCGAACGAGCACUUAAUCCUUCAUACCCAUUCACUACUCAGUCCAGGCUCACUCCGCGCAGAGACCACGCGAAGCAGGCUCUGAUACCAACUGUGACAGCCCCACCUCCCCCUAAGGCGAACCAAAGGGUUUUGGCGGACCGCCUGCCCAACUCUCACCGGGACUCAGUCGUUCACUCACACAAAUCAGAAAAAGAACCACAAGAGAAAAAAAAAACAAAACAAGGAUCCAAACUUAAAACAAAACUUAUAUACAUAGAUAUCUCAGAAGGAAGUACAACCGUCAAAUAUACAGAGUUCUCAAUCACCAGACAACCAGCCCGUGCCAAGCACUAGGGCGAGAACCAUAACAAAAGAAAACCAAGAGUUAGACCCAGCUAGUCUAUACAGGCUCUCGUCCUUGCACGCCUUCCCCUGUUAAGGAAAACAAAACUAAAGGGAUGAGCUGGAAAGCUCAGUGAGGUUCCAAACACAUAGGCACACAAGAAGUUCAUUGCAUUCAUUACAUGUUACCAAUAAUUCAAAUACGACAGAAACGAUAAACACCUUCAUUAAAAGGAUACGUGCUCACAAGGAGCCAUUCGUUCAUUCAUUCGUUCAUUCAUUCUCCAUUCGUUCCCUUAUACCUUCAAUCAUUUGAAAAUGCAUUUGUAUAUAAGUAAAACCCUCAUUCAUUCAUUCGUUCAUUCAUUCAUUCACCUGGCUCCACCAACCUCCACCAACCUACAAGGUAAUACUCGAGUAUACCAAAACGUUCACCCAGGUCCCUAAUCGCCCGACCAAGUCCGCUUCUGGCUCGAGACGACCGGUAACAAGGGGCAAUGGCCAGUUCAGCCAAAAGGCUUACAUUCAUGUACAAAUAACAUUUCAAUCAUUCAAUCAUUGAAAAUUUCACAAUCGUUUAGGCCGAGUACGAUAAAGUACACACUUGCCUAGAAAACUCGUUUUAACAAUCAUUGAAAGCAUAUAACAAGUUAUCAAUCAUUCAUACCAGCCAUAUAAUCAUGAAAAAUAUCAAACAGGGAACACUCACCUAUACAUGCAAAAUAACGUCCACUUUUCAAUCACCAAUGAAACCUAAAAGUAAACAAAGAACACAUUACAAUCCAUCUAGCAUGAUUUGAAUGAAAUCAAGGAUUACCCGACUACUCGCGAGUAAAAGUAUAAAAUGAUUUUUAAAGUGUCAAUAGAGCGUAUGGAUCCGUGGACGGAAAUUACUAGGGUUCAUAAACCAACCUAAAGAGGUAUUAGGUUUUAGAAUGGUAAAAUGAUCAUUUUAUUUGCCAAGCGGAAAUAUACAGGUUGUGACAGCCCCACCUUCCCCUAAGGCGAACCAAAGGGGUUAGCGGACUGCCUGCCCAGCUCUCGCCAGGACUAACGGUACGUUUACGUCGGUCUAUUACGUUCUGGAACAUAACAAUGCGCGCAAACGACAAAAUCGCAAAUAAAAAAAACGAAACUCGAAGCCGAAAUGAAUAGAAAAAUGCCCGCCAGAAUCCGGCCAGAACCGGCCGGAUUCUCGGCCGGAUACUGGGCCGAGAGCAACCCAAAAACUCUUUUUUUUCCUUCCAUCACAAUCCGGCCAAGAUCCGGCCGGAUUGUUGGCCGGAUACCGGCCGAGAGCAACUGGCCGGGUUCCAUUUUCCCAGGCAAUCCGGCCUGCAAUCGGCCAGUUUCUGGCCGGAUUCCUGGCCGGAUUCGCCACUGUUCAUCCUCGGCAAAUUUUCCUUUUCCGUUUGAAGUCGUAUCGAUCCGAAAUCAAUCCAAACACCAACCAAACAUAUAUAUAUACAUUGGAAAUCAACAUUUACAAGCAAACGGCCUACCAAAGUAUCCAUUUAGUUCAUACAUAUCCAAGUGGCCAAUUACACACCAAACAUUGGUGGAAUCAAAGUACUUAGGGUUUUCACCCUCAAGGAGCUAAUCAAAAUACAUUGUACAAGAGCUCAACUUGCAUUCAACUAUCAUAACCUUUCCAAAAGUGUUCAUUUUGCCUGUAAGGAAAACAAUAACACGGAUGAGCUAAAGCCCAGUGGUAUACCACCCAAUAAGCAUCAAAGUCAUAUAAGAAUGAACUUUCAUUUAAAGUGCACAAAUAAGCAAUGAACAGAACGGUAAAAGGAUACGGUCGCUCUCAAGAGCCCAUUUCCACUCUUGCAAUCUUGAUCCAACCUCAUUGACCCUCCGUCAAUGUUAAAGUACCAAACCGUAGACCACACUUUACUUCCAUUCCUUCCACCCAACAUACCCCAACCGGCCCGCACUCCAUUCAGUAAUAUUUUUGGUAAUACUCGAGUUUACCGGAACCAAGGGUCUCAUUACCACAAAGGUUCCCCAGUACAGUCCCCGUGGCAUGAUAAUUUUCACGACCAAGCCCUCGCCGGCUCGAUCCAAUUAACUACCAUACGGGGUUGAGCUCAUAAAUGCAGUAAAGCCAUUGGAUACUCGUCCAAUGACACCAAAUCAGUUUCCAUGAAUGGAAUGCAGUAUCUCAUAUAUCCAGUGCAGUAUUUCAGUAAAACAAUCAGUAGCCAUAACUAAAAUCACAAGGGUGAGGGCGAUCAAGUACACCCUCACCUCAAUCAUUUCCAAUAACCAAGUAAGCCUUUAAGGCAUCAAAUACACAUAGCACAAAGCCACAUUAUAACAAGUAAGUGAGUAGUUACUCACCAAGUAAGAAAAUGGUGUUUCAUACACCGCGGUCACCAAGGCGUCGUGAGCUACCGUCACGCCCUAGAAUCAAGCAACAAUGCAAUGAGACUCGAUAACGAGUCAUAUAGCAAUGCUAAACACAACCCCAGUAGGGUUUCAUAUACAUAAAUGAGCAUAAUAGCAAACCAGAAAUUAGAAAAUGGCCUUAGUCUUGGCCUCGAAUAGAAAACUGUUUUACACUCAUUAUGCGGUAAUGGCACAACUCUCACUACAAUUAUCGUUGGGGGUGUAAGACCCACCGUUUCGAAGCUAUGAAACAGGGCUAAUAAUGUAGAAGACCACUCAAUCCAGUUCCUAGCUUAAAGUUAAUAUUAUCCAAAUACAACCAGUCCUAAAUUUAACUGUUCGGUAUAUCUCAGUCCUUACAAGUCCAAAUGCCGAAAUUCCAAAGGCAUAAGUUAGCUAAGACACCAGCUACAUUUCAUAAGAAGACACCAACUCCAAAAUCCAAACCAAUCCAGUCAAAAACCAAUUACUAUCGCAGUUUUCGCAUUCUGCUCAAAGCAGAACAGCUACAGUAAUUUCGUCAUAACUCAUUCUACAUUAAUCCAAAUGACCUGAAAUUUUGCAGGCACAUCAACCUCAUCAAUACCUACAACUUUCAUGUUUUGAGCAAAGUCAAAUUCGGCCUCUAACACAGUGAUCUAAAACCGGACAGAAUUGGGGCUUCAAGAACCCUAACUUUCCAAUUUUCCAUCCAAAUCCAAAAUUAGUUGCAUUUUCCUAUCCAAUACACCUCAUAGAGUCAUUAUCAACCAUUACAAUUCAUCAUACAAGCCCCCAACAUCAAGAUCAUAUUAAACCAGAAAAAUUCUCAAUAAAAUAAAAACUUCACCAAAAACAAGCCAAAUCAAGAAAUAAAUCACAUUUUCACACACUCAUGCCACUUCUAAGCAUCAUGACCAUUAUUAGAGGUAAGGGUGUUCAAGCAACACUUACCAAGAAAUCAAGAGAGAGAGGGAUUGAACACCUUUGCUCUUCAAACAAAGUUCACCAACACACUUACUAUCACUAGAAGCAAAGUUUUUAUGGAGUAGAAUCUAGUCUAAGCCUUUGUUUAUGGAAGAUUGAAGCUUAUGGAAGCUUGAGAGUUGAGGAAUUUUCUUCUUCUUUGAGAGAGAGAGGGCCGGCCAACACAAGGAGAAAAAUGGUGAUUUUUGGUGAAUUUUUGGAUAUUUAAUCUUUGGUCAAAAAGUCAAAAUUGUGAAUAGUGUCUCUUAAGUCCAUCCAAUGAGAGGUGACACUUGUCACCUCCAUAAAUGCAUUCUUAUCUUUCUUUUCUCUCUCACAUCAAUCACUUCACACACACUACUUAUCUCUUAACACCCGAUAAAUUUAUAACAGUAUCCGAAACUUAACCUUAUUGGCCGAAUUUUUCCGAACUUUUCGCACUAGUGGGUCCCACGUCCAUUAUUUAUCCUUAAUUUUCUAAAAACUCGCCAAUGCUAGAAAAAUCAUCUUAAAACUAUAAUUGCUCAUAAAAUCCUCUCAGAAAAUAUUUCUAAGCCAGAAAAUGCAAAAUUAUGCAAUUAAAGGGGAAAUAAACCCUAGGAAAAUAAUUAGGGUUUUACGGGCUCUCACACUCUCCCCCCUUAAAAGAAUUUCGUCCUCGAAAUUUCUCACCUUAAUUCCCGAAAAGGUUUGGGUAUUUCUUUCGCAUUUCCUCUUCCAUCUCCCAAGUAGCUUCCUCCACUCCGUGGUUUCUCCAUAGCACUUUCACUAGCGGAAUCUUCUUGUUUCUGAGCUCUUUGACUUUUCGAUCGAGUACUUGAACCGGUUUCUCUUCGUAGGCCAGUGAUUCAUCUACUUCGAUAUCCUCCGGUUGUAAAACAUGAGAUGGGUCAGGAUGGUACUUCUUUAGCAUCGAGACGUGAAAUACAUCGUGGAUUCGAGAUAGACUGGAUGGCAGUUCCAAUCGAUACGCGACCGCUCCAACCCUCUGAAGGAUCUUGUAGGGUCCGACGUACCGUGGUUGGAGUUUCUUUCCUUUCCCCAUUGUAAGACUUCGUAAGGGUGUGAUCUUAAGAAAUACUUGAUCUCCAACUUCAAAUUCUAAAUCCUUCCUUCGGUUAUCCGCGUAGCUCUUCUGGCGACUCUGGGCGGUUUGAAGCCGUUGCCUUAUCAACUUGACCUUCUCGUGAGCCUCUUCCAUCCAUGGAAUAGUUGUCGGGUCCAGUGCCUUCUUUUCACCAACUUCGUCCCAGUAAAUCGGUGAGCGACACUUGCGUCCGUAAAGAGCUUCGUACGGAGCCAUUUGAAUCGACGAAUGAAAGCUAUUGUUGUACGCGAACUCCACCAAGGUCAUGUGCUGACCCCAACUGCCUCCAAAAUCCAAGAUGCACGUUCGCAGCAUGUCCUCGAGAGUUUGAAUUGUCCGUUCUGACUGGCCAUCCGUCUGAGGAUGAUAAGUAGUGCUCAAGUUGAGUUUCGUCCCCAGGGUUUCUUGGAACUUCUGCCAAAAUCCGACACAAACCGUGGAUCCCGAUCGGAAACGAUGCUCACAGGAACACCGUGUAGUCUUACUACUUCGUCCAUGUACAGUCGGGCCAACUGAUCCAUUGAGUACUUCAUGUUCACCGGCAAGAAAUGGGCCGACUUGGUUAAUCGAUCAACGAUCACCCAAACGGCAUCGUGUCCCCUUUGCGUCCUUGGUAAACCUGAAACGAAGUCCAUAGUGAUGUUUUCCCAUUUCCACUCGGGUAUCUCCAAGGGUUGUAACAAACCCGAUGGUUUUUGAUGCUCCGCCUUCACUUGCUGGCAAAUGAGACAUUUCUGCACGUAUUGAGCUAUUUCCCUCUUCAUAUUAUCCCACCAAUAGGUCCCUUUCAGGUCUUGAUACAUCUUGCUGCUACCCGGAUGGAUUGUAUACUUGGACCGAUGAGCUUCCUCCAGAAUUUUUUAAGACUCGUCCUUUGGUACUACAUUCGGUCCGAUACUUCAAAAUACCCUCAGGACUCAAAUUAAAGUCCGUAGUUUCUCCCUUCCAAUUUCUCUCUCCACUUCCGAACCAUCAAAUCCUGCCUUGCGCCUCUUUUAUACGUUCCAGUAGAGUGGAUGUAACCCUUACAUUGCUAAAUAUACCUUAUGGCUCCCAAGACAGGGUUUCCACUCGCACACGGAUUCUAGCAAAUCCCAUUCCUUGAUCAUUAGCCCUGCCACUUGCACUUUACGACUCAAGGCAUCCGCUACUACAUUUGCCUUUCCCGGAUGGUAGUUGAUUGUACAAUCGUAGUCCUCCAGAAAUUCCAUCCAUCGCCGUUGUCUCAUAUUCAGUUCCUUCUGGGAGAAAAGAUAUCUAAGACUCUUGUGAUCCGAAAACACUUCGAAGGUCACCCCAUAUAGGUAAUGCCUCCACUUUUUCAGAGCAAAUACAACAGCGGCUAAUUCCAGGUCAUGGUGGAUAGUUCUGCUCGUGAAGCUUCAAUUUCCUAGAGGCAAAAGCAAUCACAUUCCGGUUCUGCAUCAAAACACAUCCCAAUCCCUCUCGCGACGCGUCCGCAUAUACUGCAAACCCGUCCACUCCAUUUGGCAAGACCAUACCGGAGCCAUGGUCAAUCUUUUCUUUAAUUCCUGAAAACUUGUUUCGCAUCGACCGCUCCAGAUAAACUGGCCAUGCUUCUUCGUCAAAUCAGUUAAUGGUCCGGCCAACUUGGAAAAAUCUUUAAUAAACCUUCGGUAAUACCCAGCUAGCCCUAGAAAGCUACGAAUCUCCGUGGGGGUUUCUGGCCUCUUCCAAUUGGUCACAGCUUCAACCUUCGCCGGGUCCACUGCAAUACCUUCGUGGAGAUCACGUGCCCUAGAAACGCCACUUUCUCCAACCAAAACUCGCAUUUGCUAAACUUGGCGUAUAGCUGAUGUUCCCUCAAUGUCUGCAACACCACUCUCAAAUGCUCCUCGUGCUCCUCGCGUGACUUAGAGUAGACCAAAAUGUCGUCAAUAAACACCACGACAAAUCGGUCCAGGUAGGGUUUAAAAACCCUAUGCAUUAAGUCCAUGAAGGCGGCGGGAGCAUUAGUCAAUCCAAAGGGCAUAACGGCGAACUCGUAAUGCCCGUAUCUCGAGUUGAAAGCAGUUUUCGGAAUGUCCUCCUUCUUUAUCAAUAACUGAUAGUAUCCCUGUCGGAGGUCCAACUUCGAGAAGACCACUGCUCCUUGCAGCUGGUCAAACAACUCGUCAAUGUGAGGCAGUGGAUACUUGUUCUUGAUCGUCACGUUGUUCACCCCCUAUAGUCAAUACACAUCCUCAACGUUCCAUCCUUUUUCUUCACGAAUAGAACCGGAGCUCCCCAAGGAGACUCACUCUCGUGGAUGAACCCCCGCUCCAAAAGGUCUUGCAAUUGCAACUUAAGCUCCUUUAGUUCUGCGGGUGCCAUUCGGUAAGGGGUUUUGGAGAUAGGUGCGGUUCCAGGUAAAAGAUCUAUUCGGAAUUCUAUCUCUCUUCCGGAGGUAGGGCUACUAACUCGUCAGGAAACACAUCCGGAAAUUCCCUCACUACAGCCACGUCUUCCACUUUUAACUUAUCCGUAGGGGUAUUAAUUAGAAAGGCCAAAUAGCCUUGCGCCCCUCUACUUAUCAGUUUCCUAGCUCGAAUGCCCGAAAUGAGAGCAGAUGAGGCUAACCUACCCUUAUAUCUAACCUUAAGGUUGCCUCCCGGAAUGCGAAAUUCAACUAUUUUCGUUUUACAGUCCAGUUGGGCGUUAUAUUUGGCUAACCAGUCCAUUCCCAAAAUCACGUCGUACCCUUAAUGGACAAGCUAAUCAGGUCUCCUAAAAACCUCGCUCACCUACCCAUACAUCACAAUCCUUAUAAACCAUACUAGUCACCAAACGUUGAUUCCCCGUAGGUGUACUAACCUCUAAGUCAUAUGGUAAGCUAGCAGGUUUUAUAUCGAUGCCACACAUGAAAUCAGGGUUAACAAACGAAUGAGUGGCACCAGGAUCAAUUAAAACUUUGGCAAAGCGGUGGAAAAUAGGGAUCGUACCUUCCACCACCUCGGAAGACUCUGGGAUCUGGUGAGGCUCUAAGGAAUAUACCCUAGCCGGAACUUUUGGUUUGGAUCCGUCUCCCUUGGCCGUCCAGUAUUGGUCCUCGACGGUAGUUGGCUCCCCUUUCCGUCUUGUUUCAGGACCGGACAUGUAGCCAGCUGAUGGUCUGCACUUCCACACCGCAGACAUUUCCCCAAUUUCCUCCAGCAAUUGUCCUCUGUGUGGUUUGUCUUCCCACAGUGCCCACAGGGACCACGAGGUGCAGAAGCCGAGCCACUCUGAACGUUUCCCCUCGGUCCUCGCCCAGCUUGACCACCUCUAAACGGAGUCCCUCUGCCUGAUCCGGACUGUCGACCACCUCCCGUGCCUCGUCCAAACUUAGAGGGAGUGCUCUUCUCACCCUGUCCAGAUGUACUCCCAGGAAAACCACGCUUUUUAGCCUGGAAGUUUCGGACCUGAAGCCGUGCACUCUCGACCCGUUGGGCUUUUUCCAUAGCCUCGCUAAACGUGGUAAUUUGAGCCGCCGCGAGGUCCUUCUGGAUCUCAACGUUCAAGCCCUGAAUGAAGCGCCUCACUCGUCGUUGCUCGGUCAUGAUUAACUCUGGCGCGAAUUUGGACAGGCGGGUAAACUGGCUCUCAUACUCCGCCACCGUCUGAGCCCCUUGCCGGAGCCGGAUAAACUCGUCCUCCUUCCUCUCCUGAACUAGAGGAGGGAAAAACUUGGCAUUAAAUUCCCGGAUGAAGUUCACCCACGUUCUCGGAGUCUGCUCUCGCUCCCAUUUUUGUCUAAUCACGUUCCACCAGGAACGGGCAGCCCCUUCAAGUUGAAACACGGCAAAAGUGACCUGCCGUUCGUCCGGGUAGUGUAGGGCCGCGAAUAUAUCAACCAUUUUCUCCAGCCAUUUCUCGGCGACGUCAGGGUCGGGUCCCCCAAUAAACUUUGGUGGGGAAAACUUUUGAAAACGCUCAAGCGCUCUAUCUUCACUCUCGACAUGAUGGCCAGGGUUUCCAGGGUUAGGGUUUGGGUUCUGGCCCUGUUGUUGCACAACUUGUGCGAGUAGGUUGGUCAUUUGCUGCAUAGCAGCAGCUAUUUGAACAUUGGGGUUUAUCUGGGGUUCAGGAUUCGGUUCAGUAGAAGCUUCCCCCGUUUCCUAACUGGUGUGGGUUGCCUAAUACCGCGCCCACGUCCCCGACCACUCCGUGUUCCUUCCAUACGGUAUACUUGGUCUAGGCAAAAUUACUAAACCAAAGCAGUAACAAAGCAUGUAAGUAACAAAUAAACUUUCACUUAACACAUAACGAUGCAUUUCAAACAAGAUCACAAGCACACAUAUAUACAAGCCAAACAUAUAUACAAGCAGUCAGUCAAGUACGGCCAAAGCACGUACGUACACAAAAGAUCCUCCGAGGAUAGGCCUAUCAAAAGAGAUUUACACGUAGCUAACUCUACAUCCAAAACGGUUAGCUAAGGCUCUAUCCCUAUCCCUAUGUACAUUCCAAAAACCACCACUAGCCCAUAAGGUGCCUAGAUAUCAUAGCUUAGUCGGUUGCCGGGGUCUGAGACCCAGGCGAUGGGGUAGAUUCCUCCCCAGCCUCGGCCCCAGCAUACGAGGCCUCAUCGCUAGACUCCUCGAGUCCAUCGUCGCAUAGGUUAAGGAUCGCUUCAGCACGACCCCUCACUUUGCGAGCUCGCUUGACCUCACGCUCGCGACCAUCCCUCAGUUGAUCACAUAAGUCAUUAACUCGGUCCUCCGCCUCAUUCACAUCAUACUCAAGCUCCAUGAUACGGGCGGCUUGCUUGUCAUUGGUCGCCUUCGCCUGAGCCACCUCAACCUCCAAGGUAGCAACCGCAGCUUCAAGCUUAGUAUUUUCCUUAGCAAACUCCUCGCGUUCCUUUGCCACUGACAAAACUAGUGUAUUCGGGUAGGCAAAGUCGCUACGACACUCACACUGUCGAACGCGGCUGGCCGGGCUCCAACGGACCACGGCUCCCUUCUGCCUAAGAUGGUACUUAAUCGGCGGCAACGUGCUACGAGGACGAUCUCCCGCCGGACGGUCACUCGGGUCACCACUGGCAUCCAUCCUAUAGCAAAGGAAUAAAUAGCAUGAAUAACCUUAAAAACCAUAAUCAAUAAAACCCUCAAGUCGAGCACUUCUAUUACACCCAGGCUAAUUCAAACCUAGGCUCUGAUACCACCUGUGACAGCCCCACCUUCCCCUAAGGCGAACCAAAGGGGUUAGCGGACUGCCUGCCCAGCUCUCGCCAGGACUAACGGUACAGUUUACGUCGGUCUAUUACGUUCUGGAACAUAACAAUGCGCGCAAACGAGACAAAAUCGCAAAUAAAAAAAAAACGAAAACUCGAAGCCGAAAUGAAUAGAAAAAUGCCCGCCAUAAUCCGGCCAGAACCUGGCCGGAUACUGGGCCGAGAGCAACCCCAAAAACUCUUUUUUUUUUUUCCUUCCAUCACAAUCCGGCCAAGAUCCGGCCGGAUUGUUUGGCCGGAUACCCGGCCGAGAGCAACUGGCCGGGUUCCAUUUUUCCCCAGGCAAUCCGGCCUGCAAUCCGGCCAGUUUCUGGCCGGAUUCCUGGCCGGAUUCGCCACUGUUCAUCCUCGGCAAAAAUUUUCCUUUUCCGUUUGAAGUCGUAUCGAUCCGAAAUCAAUCCAAACACCAACCAAACAUAUAUAUAUACAUUGGAAAUCAACAUUUACAAGCCAAACGGCCUACCAAAGUAUCCAUUUAGUUCAUACAUAUCCAAGUGGCCAAUUACACACCAAACAUUGGUGGAAUCAAAGUACUUAGGGUUUUCACCCUCAAGGAGCUAAUCAAAAUACAUGUACAAGAGCUCAACUUGCAUUCAACUAUCAUAACCUUUCCAAAAGUGUUCAUUUGCCUGUAAGGAAAACAAAUAACACGGAAUGAGCUAAAGCCCAGUGGUAUACCACCCAAUAAGCAAUCAAAGUCAUAUAAGAAUGAACUUUCAUUUAAAGUGCACAAAUAAGCAAUGAAACAGAACGGUAAAAGGAUACGGUCGGCUCUCAAGAGCCCAUUUCCACUCUUGCAAUCUUGAUCCAACCUCAUUGACCCUCCGUCAAUGUUAAAAGUACCAAACCGUCGACCACACUUUACUUCCAUUCCUUCCACCCAACAUACCCCAACCGGGCCCGCACUCCAUUCAGUAAUAUUUUUGGUAAUACUCGAGUUUACCGGAACCAAGGGUCUCAUUACCACAAGGUUCCCCAGUACAGUCCCCGUGGCAUGAUAAUUUUCACGACCAAGCCCUCGCCGGCUCGAUCCAAUUAACUACCAUACGGGGUUGAGCUCAUAAAUGCAGUAAAGCCAUUGGAUACUCGUCCAAUGACACCAAAUCAGUUUCCAUGAAUGGAAUGCAGUAUCUCAUAUAUCCAGUGCAGUAUUUCAGUAAAACAAUCAGUAGCCAUAACUAAAAUCACAAGGGGUGAGGGCGAUCAAGUACACCCUCACCUCAAUCAUUUCCAAUAACCAAGUAAGCCUUUAAGGCAUCAAAUACACAUAGCACAAAGCCACAUUAUAACAAGUAAGUGAGUAGUAUACUCACCAAGUAAGAAAAUGGUGUUUCAUACACCGCGGUCACCAAGGCGUCGUGAGCUACCGUCACGCCCUAGAAUCAAGCAACAAAUGCAAUGAGACUCGAUAACGAGUCAUAUAGCAAUGCUAAACACAACCCCAGUAGGGUUUCAUAUACAUAAAUGAGCAUAAUAGCAAACCAGAAAUUAGAAAAUGGCCUUAGUCUUGGCCUCGAAUAGAAAACUGUUUUACACUCAUUAUGCGGUAAUGGCACAACUCUCACUACAAUUAUCGGUUGGGGGUGUAAGACCCACCGUUUCGAAGCUAUGAAACAGGGCUAAAAUAAUGUAGAAGACCACUCAAUCCAGUUCCUAGCUUAACUAGGUCGAAAAUGCCAAAUACUAACCCAGAAUUCCUAAAACAGGUUCGCAAAACACAAAAAAACUGUAAUCGGUAUAUCUCAGUCCUUACAAGUCCAAAUGCCGAAAUUCCAAAGGCAUAAGUUAGCUAAGUCAUCCAGCUACAUUUCAUAAGAAGACACCAACUCCAAAAUCCAAACCAAUACCAGUCAAAAAAACCAAUUACUAUCGCAGUUUUCGCAUUCUGCUCAAAGCAGAACAGCUACAGUAAUUUCGUCAUAACUCAUUCUACAUUAAUCCAAAUGACCUGAAAUUUUGCAGGCACAUCAACCUCAUCAAUACCUACAACUUGCAUGUUUUGAGCAAAGUCAAAUUCGGCCUCUAACACAGUGAUCUAAAACCGGACAGAAUUGGGGCUUCAAGAACCCUAACUUUCAAAUUUUCCAUCCAAAUCCAAAAUUAGUUGCAUUUUCCUAUCCAAUACACCUCAUAGAGUCAUUAUCAACCAUUACAAUUCAUCAUACAAGCCCCCAACAUCAAGAUCAUAUUAAACCAGAAAAAUUCUCAAUAAAAUGAAAACUUCACCAUAACAAGCCAAAUCAAGAAAUAAAUCACAUUUUCACACACUCAUGCCACUUCUAAGCAUCAUAUGACCAUUAUUAGAGGUAGAAGGGUGUUCAAGCAACACUUACCAAGAAAUCAAGAGAGAGAGGGAGGUUGAACACCUUUGCUAUUCAAACAAAGUUCACCAACACACUUACUAUCACUAGAAGCAAAGUUUUUAUGGAGUAGAAUCUAGUCUAAGCCUUUGUUUAUGGAAGAUUGAAGCUUAUGGAAGCUUGAGAGUUGAGGAAUUUUCUUCUUCUUUGAGAGAGAGAGGGCCGGCCAACACAAGGAGAAAAAUGGUGAUUUUUGGUGAAUUUUUGGAUAUUUAAUCUUUGGUCAAAAAAAGUCAAAAUUGUGAAUAGUGUCUCUUAAGGUCCAUCCAAUGAGGAGGUGACACUUGUCACCUCCAUAAAUGCAUUCUUAUCUUUCUUUUCUCUCUCACAUCAAUCAUUUCACACACACUACUUAUCUCUUAACACCCGAUAAAUUUAUAACAGUAUCCGAAACUUAACCUUAUUGGCCGAAUUUUUCCGAACUUUUCGCACUAGUGGGUCCCACGUCCAUUAUUUAUCCUUAAUUUUCUAAAACCUCGCCAAUGCUAGAAAAAUCAUCUUAAAACUAUAAUUGCUCAUAAAAUCCUCUCAAAAAAUAUUUCUAAGGCAGAAAAUGCAAAAUUAUGCAAUUAAAGGGGAAUAAACCCUAGGAAAAUAAUUAGGGUUUUACGGGCUCUCACACAGGUUCAAAUAGAAAUUUAGCUCUCGGCCACCUUUUUAAAGAGUCGGUAACAUUUUCAGUAAAUACGUCCAAUUCGUCACAAAAUACAUUCGCAAAAUCACUUUAACUUGCUCACAUUACAAGAGGAUAAACGGACGGCAUGUCCCUGUGUUUACCUAUUUUCCAGCCAUUAAUGGCUUCAUUAUUUUCCUCAAAACAGUCCCAACAUCUCAUAUAGAAUAAUCUCAUGUCCAAAAGCCGUUCACUAGGCUUAAAGUCAUAUAAAUACAAAAAUAAAUACAAAAAUCAAGCUAAAAAACAUUUCUGGAUAAAAACAGUUUUUGACACCAUUUUGCGGUUUUGGCACUAUUGGCGUUACGAUUAUCGGAUGAAGGUACAAGACACACCGUUUCGAAGCUAACAAAUAGACCUAAAAUGUUGAAGAAGGCCACUCAGUCCAAUUUGUAGUGCAACUAGGUCAAAUUGACAUAUAUUAAACCAGAAACUCACAAACAGGUUGGCUAACCGCACAAUUGUUAAACAGCAAUAAUUCAGGCUACCGAAGUCCGAUUGAAGUGUAUCUUAUGGCGUUUCGAAGCUAAGACACAACCCUAAAUUUCUUAUGAAGACCUCCAUGGCCAAAUCCUGCGUUUUCAUGAUCAAAAAUGGAAAACUACACAAAAACAGAAUUCUGGCUGCGAAACAGGUUUCAUGGACAGUCAAUGGUAUUUCGGUCAUUUCACAUGCUACAGCGGUUGGAUGAAGCUGAAAUUUUGUAGGCUACUAUUUUAUACCAUUGGGUACAACUUUCAUGUUUUGGCCAAAAUCUGAUUCGGUACGGAUCAUGGUGAAAUGUCACGGUCAGAUUGGGUGAAAAGACAACCCUAUUCACUGAAUUCCUACCUAGACCAGUCUGGGUAUUUCCGUCUGAUCUCAGGCUACCGAGCUCGGAUUGGGGGUGAAAAUUUAUAGGAAACUAGAAAACAUCAUUCUCUACAACUUUCAUGUUUUGUGAUAAGGCCAAUUCGGCUCUAACAUGCUGAAAUAAACAGGCUUGUGUGAAACCCUAACCUGGAAAUUUUGCCCCAAACCAGAAUUUUUGCACAAUCAAUCACAUCCAACAUAUAUCAACUUCAUUUUGCACUAUAACAAACCCUUCAUCCAUGGUUAACCCACACUAAUCAUAUGAAAUCAGAAAAAUUAUGAAUAAAAGAAAAAUCCAUCAAUCUCAACCAUAGGUCAUGAAAUCAUCCAUAAAAUCACUUAUUCAACCACUACAAAUCACUAAUUGAACAUUAUCAAGAUUAAAGGAAAGGUUCCUUAGCCACUUACCUUGCAAACCCAAGAAAAGACCCAACUUAGCACCUUGCCUUCUCAAACCACUUCACCAAUCACCUUAAUCCUACAAGAGAAAGGUUUUUAUGGAACAAAUCCAAGUUUUAACGGUUGGUUUGUGAGAUUCAAGCAAGAAAUUGAAUGAAGAAAUUGGAAGCUUUUCUUUCUUUUGCUUGCUAGAGGAAUUCGGCCAAGAGAGGUAGAAGAUGAAGACUAUUUGGGUCAAAUUUGGACUUUUAGUAAAGAUAAAGAAAGUUAGGCAAAGUUAGGUAAGUUUACUCCAAUAAGGAAUGGACACUUGUCACUUUAAUUAAUGCAUAUCUAUCCUUUUGUCACUCCAUCAUUAACCAUCUAAGCAACCUCUAAUUAUCUCAUAACAUCUAGCAAAUUAAUCCCAGUACACAAAAUUUAACCUAAUUUGCCGAAUUUUACCGAACUUUCCGCACUAGCGGGUCCCACGUCCGAUGUACACUCUUAAUUUCCCGAAAACUAACCGAUACUAGAAAAAUCAUUUAAAAACUAUAUUUACUCAUAAAAUUGAUGUAGAAAAAUUUUCUAAUAAAGAAAAUGCAGAAAACGUGCAAUUAAAAAAAAAUACGGGUCCUCACAUUGUACUUAAACACCCAACGCUCAAAUAAAUUACUUAAUGUUAAACUGUAGACACCAAAUUUUUAAGGUAUUUUGUUUACUAUUUUUUUAUUUUUUUGAUUAGUUUCAUUUACUUUUAGUCUUUUAUUUUUAAGUCAUUUUAAGUCGUUUAAUUAAACUUUAAUCAUUUAACCAUUUAAUUGUUAUUUUGUUUGUUUCGAUUCUAGGUUUUUGAAAAAGAAAAGAAAAAAAAAAGAAAAAAAAGAAAAUCAAUCGAAGGGACAAAAAUAAGACACAUAAGCCUACUUUGGGGUUUGAAAUCUUGGCCUUUCAUAUUAGGUUUAGUUUUGGGGUGCCCUAAAAGAUGAAAGGGCCGCAAGCUAAAAGGUGGUGCCAAUUAGAGAGGAGAGCUACGGGGGGUUUCUGAAAAGGGCUGACGGCUGAAAAAAAAUAGAGUGAAAAAGGGAGGAGCGGCGGAAGACUAAGGGAGCUGGGAUGGAAAAAGAAAAACAGCACAAGGGAAGAGUCUUCGUCUAGGCAAAGGAAAAAGAAAAACAGAGAGUCGAGAAAAGAGGCAAGAAAGAAACUUCAUGGGUGGCUAGGUUUGGAAGGAACAAAAACAGCAGGAAUUGAAGCAAAAGAAACCGAAAGGGAGCUGGAACGGAGAGAAAAAGGAAAGGCUAAGAUGCAAAAGAAACAGAGGAGAGCCGAGGGAGAGUGAAGAGGGGCUAGCGGCUAAAGGAGCUUGUGACUGAGAAAAUAGGGCAGCCGGAACUGCCGUUCGCGGGAAGCUACUGCCACCCUCACUCCCACUCCCAGAUGUUUAGACGAAGGUUUCGGAGGCAAAACUCUCAAAUGUAUGAGGUCCCUCCGCAUCCAGCGGAAGCAUUAGCAUCAUGACCACUCCGCCACCGCAGCCACGGAUGACAUGGAGGAUUCUGAGGCGGAUGAGGAUACAAUAACCUUUCGUCCAACAAGAAGCAAGCGGUGACCUCAUCGGACAAUCCGAACAAGCUGGUGGGUCUGCUCCCUGCUCCGGCAGCCGGAACGUGUCGGGGAGGAAUUAGAAGCAGGGGAGGACGCUCAAGGUGUCGGCGAGGAACGCGAGCGGGAGAUAGAGCACGACGGCGAAUAAAUUGCAUAUUGUUGAUAGCUACGGAAUUUUUCACAGCCACUGCCACCACCGGAAGCCACCACCACCUCGUCUGAAUCCAGCACUGCCGCUUGCAGAUGCCGUAAGUCAUCCUUUUCAUUUGCAUUUCAGUUUUCCCUAAAGCGCAGGCUCUUUGGAAAUUUUCAAAAAACAUGGCUGCCGUGCCUUUGUUCAGUGCUAUUUUCUUGUUGAUUGUUCAUGGAUUUCAGAAUAUACAUGCUUUGUGUGUCGAUUGGGUUGAAUUACUUGUUGUUUCUGAUGAUUUUUGGGCUGAUCAUUACACCAUUUGAGCAGAGAAAUUGCUGAAUUUAUAAUGCCCAGUAGCUGUUCGAUUAAGUGCCUAAUUGAAAGUUCUAUUUGAAAGACGAUUCAUCUGCAAUUUAACGUGUGAAGGAAAAUGAACAUUCAGUUUGCUCAGUUGCUCAUCCGAACUUAAUAACCAAUUUUUUCAUGGGAAAAGAUAGUGUUGGUCCGUUUGUACCUUUUCUGUUUUUUUUUAUAUUUCCUUAUGCUUGAAUCCGAAUUGAUGUGAUAAGAGGAAGUGUUAUGAGUUUCAAUGUUUUGUUGGGAAUGAUGUGAUUUGAAACCAAUUUCUGGUGCUGCUAACCGAAGAGGGAGUUGAAAUGGCAGCGAACGUUGAGCCAAUUUGGAGAAGAAGAUUACUUGAUUAAAUUCAUGAUUCCAGUCCCUCAAUUUCCCUUUCCAUUAUGAUUUAACCCCAGAAUUUUAGGACUUCAUAAUUUUGCCUCCAACACCUUCAUAAGUCCUUCAAUUAGGUCCCUGCUCUUGUUGCAUUUGAACCCUCAAGCUUCCCCAAAUUCACCGUGGCCCAAAAUCUGGAAAAAUCGAACUAAUUUCACCCUUUUAAGCUUAAUCCUCUAUUUGCGUAUUUUCCGUGACUUUUUGGAUAGAUUAAUUCUGGAAUUUAGUUCAUAGUUGUGGCUUAAUAUUUUUUGUUGAUUUGUUUAUGUUGUUGGGUUUAGUAUUAUGGUUUAAGCUUUUGGGUAAUUAUAUUUGGUUGGGUUUGUCAAUGUGGAUUUGGUUUAUAUUCUUUUGGGGUUUUGGUUUGGGUUAUAAAGUCAAGGCCCAUCAGUUUGGUUGGCAAAUUUUGGAUUAAAAAACAAUCAGGCUAGCCCAUCUGUUUUCUUGGGUUUCGAUUGGGCUGGGGAAGGUCUUGGCCCAAGUAAAUAAAUAAAAUAGCCCAGUGGCUUGAUCCAUUAAGAAAUCAGAGAACGAAUUCGCAGAUCAGUCCCUGCACUUUUCUUUAAUUUCACUGUGGCCCUACAAACUUUCAAUGCUUUCAAUUGGGUCCCUAGUUUAAUUGUAAAUAGGUCCCUCAACUUUGUUUUUCUUUAUUUUUGACCUUGAAUCUUUGUGAUAAUUGUAAUUGAACCCCAAAGCUUUGAUUAAUUCUUGCAAUCAAGUCCUUCAUUGUUUUAAUUUCUUGAAUGUAGGUUGUUUAUAUGAUUUAAUCGAUUCAAUUUCAUGAUUCAUUUUUAUCUUUAUGAUUGUUUUGUUAAUUAAAGUGGUGCCUUGACCUUUCCUUCGUAUUUUGGAGGGCAAAUAAGUGAUUUCAUUUCAUUGGGGACCAAUUGCAAGGGAGGUAACCUCCAUCUCCUUGAUUUUCAUUGCUCCUAUGUGUUCCAACGUGCUAAGUGAGAAUUGCAUGGCUACUUUGCUUUCCUUGCCUUUCCUUAAUUCCUUUCAUUUAUUUCAUUUACUUUUACUUUUUAUUUAAGUUAUUCUUUAUGCUGUAUGUGUACACCUCUUGGCUUGUAAUAGAUAGGGCUUGGAGAGCAUUUUUGUCCAUUUUUCCCCUUCCCCUUUUGUUUUAGUUAGCAAAUGUAAUAGGUUCAUUAGCUUGGUUGUUUGCUUUUGUUGCUACGUGUUAAUUUGCUUUAUUAGGCUCUUGCAUCUAGUCGAGCAUGCUAAGUGUUACGUGAUAUGUGUUUAUAGGUGAUUGGCAUGUCUACUUGCUUUCUAUAGUCAUAGAUGAAUGUGAUGGAUGAAUGCACGUCACCACACUAGUCCAACGCUAGUUGUGGCUCAUUGUCCCGUUUUCCAUUAGUCCAAUGCUAGUAGGAAUUCAUAGAUAUGGGCUAGUCCAACGCUAGACCCUUAGGGAUUUCCCUCGCUAGUUAACACUUGCAUGUUUCACUACAUUUCAUGCAUUUUUCUUAGUUUUCUAGCAUUUGGCAUGCUCCUCCAACCCUUUUCCCUCAUUUUAGAUUUUGCAUCCUCAUGCUAGUUAUAGGGUACAUUUGCUUGAGAGUCUCCUUUCGAUAAGGGAAACGAGCGAGUGUGGCUACAAAAUAGCCUUAGCACGUUAGUUCUCCCUUCUAAUCAAAGGAAAAAUCAAAGUCGUGAAAUUAGGAGUCAUUCCCGUACCCGACUUGAUGCAUUCCUCUAGGUUCAUACAUUCUCAUUUUUAUCAUAUCACUUUUCUCACUUUCUUUAUCCACAUUCUUUCACUACUUAUAUUUUUCUCAAUCCACAUGCCAUGUUUGCAUAUUUUUCUUCUUUUAUCAUUUAGUUCUAUCUCACAAAUUGCACCCAAUUGCACUUAUAUGCAUUUACUACUAUUGUACAUAUUUUCAUCCCACUUGCACACAAGCACCUUCAUUUUCUCAAUUUGCACACAUGCACUUUUCUUACACUUGCACACUUGUACUUUUCUAACAUUCUCACACUUGCACUCACAUUUGAGUCUUCAUUUGCAUCAUUCGCGACCUCUAUGAGGACUUUCCUUAUUGGCCACCACAACUCAUGUGGUUGGGACCAAAAAGCCUCGUAAGAGAUUUUAGAUUUAGGAUUGCAUUUCUUUUUCAUACCAUUAGUCAUAUCCAACAUGCAACACAUACUUUGGGUAGAAAAAUUAGGAAAAGUAGGGCUAAGUCACGCAACUAGCUUUGGCUAGGGUAAGGAGUGCCUUAGGCUUGGCCUUUGCCUUCUCCCUUAUCAAAUGUGACCCCGAUCCCUUUCUUUGGUUACGUAGACCUAAAAAAUUCUUUAAAAAAGGGUUUGUUUACUUUUCUUUCCAAAAAAUCACUUUUUUUUAGGGUGACUUGGUACACCCUAACUCUAUACCAAGUGGCGACUCCAUUUUCCAUUAAAAAACCCUUUUUGAACUAUAUUUUUAGCCAAACCGUCGCAUUUCACAAUCCCACGGCCUUUUAUUUUCACUUUCACACACGUUCACAUACAUAUCUCACACACUACUUUCACCCAUUUCAAAAAGUGGGGCGCGAAGUUGGUGACUCCACUGGGGACAUCCUAAGUGGGUCCAAGCAUUUGAUUUAGCCAUUCUUUUUUGUUUUUUACCCUUGUUAUGCGUAGCAUUUGGAUAUUAGGGUUGCAUUUUCCAUUUUAGGACCUUUUGCUCGCGGCGUAUCAAACUACUCCCUCACUCACGUAUGUAUGAUUGGUUGCUUGGAUGUAUGUUUUACUUGUUUUAUCUCGCGCUUUGCAUUGCAUUUGGGUGGAGGGGCAUUACCCUAGAGCCUCGCGUUGGUCCUCGAUCCCUCCCCUCCAAACGAGCACUAGCAUACGUGCAUACGCUUUAUUUUUUCCCCCCAUUUAUUUUUUCUUUUAGUGGCUUGCCACGCCACUCCGCCCUGUUAGGAUUUUAGGCGACCCACUUGGAUGUGUGAUCGUGACAUGACAUGUGCAUAGCACGAUCCGAGGGGUCACUUAAUCUUCCGCUUUAAGCUUUGGGUUAAUAGCCUUUAGCUUUUAGUCGAAGAUUGAGGAUUUUUGAUAGAUUCACUCAGACAUGUGGCCGUGACACGACGUGCGCGUAGCAAUGUCUGGGGAAUCGCUCGAGCCACCGACAAGGAACCUUGGGAGUGAUGACCUUUGGUUUCCAAGUCUGAAGGCUCAGGGACCUGAGCUUAUCGAGUCUAGAUGCAUUAGCGAACCAUAGCCUCAUGCAUCCAUAUUAGAAUUGCCUAGAGUAGAGUCGACCUUACCCUAUUAGGGACACAAUUUACAAGGGGAGGGAUCCAACCCCUCUUUCCCUUUUAUUGCUUUAUUUCUUUGUAUUGAUUUCGUUGCUACAAUGUGUUAUGUGUAUUUAUCUGGCUGAACUAACUUUUCUUGGUUUUGUGUCCCCAUUGCAUUCACAAACCCUAGCAAAUAAGAGGUUUGGCAUGACCUUCUUUUAGAACCUACCCUCGUAGAUAGGUUAUUGCACGGUUAAAGAUUUUGGUAUAUUGCAUUCAUAGAUUAAUAAUUACAUAGCAUUCUAAGCCUACCUUGGCGUAUAAAAGGUCCUUUUAGGUCAUGAUUUCAUUUCAAAUUGCAUGUUUUACUGCUUUAAUAAAAUGGCAUCAUGCAUAAACCCUAGAAAAGGAAUGCCAUUUAGGCGAUCCCGUGCUAGGAAUAAACCGCCCUGUGUCUCGGAUAUAUAAUCCAAUGAGACUUGCACGUUUAUAUUUCCUGUACCAUCCAAAGGGGUAGUGCACAAGGUAAGGUGGGAUCCGAUCAUUUUCAUGGAGCUAUCUUGGAAUAUGGAGCCGUCUAAUAAUCACUUUCUGGCCAUUUUAUCAAAUUGGUAAAAAUCCUUGCAAAAAGGACAUUAAUUUGAAGAAAUUCACAAACAAUUCCUCGCUAUUGAGACGAUAAAUAAACUGAGGCCAAAAUUUGAUUUUAGAAGGCUCAUAGACUAAUGCAUCGCAAUAAGCCGUCACUUCCAUUCUAUCCAUUGGACCAUUUUAUUCAUCAAAGUUAUCUAGUCCAUUUUAUCAAUUUGUUCAUUUUUAGGGCAACCUAGUCGAUUUGAAUUCAUUUGACUAGUUUAUCCAUUUUAGGGCAAUCUAGUCGAUUUUGAAUAAACCAUCAAUUUCAAUUCAUUUGACCAAUUUACCUAUUUUUAGGGCAACUAGGUCGUUUUGAAUAAAUCAUCAUUUCACUUAAUCAAUUGCAUUUGACCAUUUUACCCCCUUUGGCACGUCAUGCGUCGAUCAAAGCAAGAAAUCCAUUCCGACUUUGCCCUCAUUUUUAGGACGAAUGUCUCUUCUCACUCCAAUUGGCCAAAUUUUUCAAAUCAUUUUUCACUCAAUCAAUUGAUCGGAUUCAUUAGGUAUUGUAUGGUGCCUACCCUAAAGGAUUGCAUUUUCAUGCUAGGCCUACCCUUGGCAUAAAAGGGUUCCCCCGUAGGACACGCAUACCGAUUUUAUAGUCUUGCUUACUAACUCAGGUUUUUUUCCCUUUUGUUUUCCCCCUCCCCUGCAUUCAUGGAAAUAUUUCAAUAAGGUGAAAAUAUUUUUCUAUAUCUGAUAACAAUUUUGAUCUGAUAAAGUUUGAAAAUUACAAGUAUUACCUGAUUCUUGGCGAACCCUACAAUGAAGGAUCUAUUUGGAAAUGCUAGGCUAAAGCCUCUAAGAGACUUCAUCAUUAUUUUUCAAGGAAAAGAAAAUUGUUGUCCCAAAAAAGGAGGCAAAAGGGCAUAUAUGUGGAGUUUUUUAGAAGUUUUUCUCUUCUCAUUUGUAUUAUAAUUGAACGAGAAUUUUUGUUUUAAACUUUUUCAGCAAUAAAGCUUUGGACAAUUAUUGUUCUGUAUAUAGUCAUGUACAUUGCAUUGUUUAUUUUGGCUCAUUGGAGAUUUCAUGAUGAAUUUUAAGAAAUAAGACUAAAUUGGGAUUUGUUUUCAACCUCCAGUUUGAAAAUUUGCAAGUGUAUGCUUUCUAAAAUCCUUGUGUACACUAGAUUGGUGAUCUGAGCUACACAAUAAGAGUGCUCAAGAUUGAAAGAGGUCGCUCAAAAGGCCCCAUGAGAUACCUUUUUCUCCUCCACUGUACAAUUCAUAUUUUUGCCCACUUCACUUAACCCCAAAAUAAAAUCAGUUACAUUGAUUGAUAAAUUGCAAAUUGGAGCGAACUUUGCUUAGAAAGAUGCCCAUUGGUUUAACCAGAUUCAAUUCACAUCUAAGUGAAAGCAAAAAUGUACAUUAUUCUUGUUUGUUUUGAAAAUUUGGAAUGAUACUUUGAGCAUUCUUUUCUCUACCUAUACACAUUUUAUCAUUUGUUCUCCCAUUUGAGCCUUUGAAAGAGUAAUUUCGUUUCAAAUAAGAGCCCUAAUGAUCACUACCCUAUACUGGAAAAUUUUCAAAUAUCAAAAAGGGAAAUGAAUUUUCAAUGACCAUUUCGUUACUUUGGUUGUCAUGAGGUGUAAGAAUGAUACUUUGGCCAUCGUUUUACAACCUAAACACUAUUUAUCCCUUGCAUCCUCAUUUGAGCCAAAAUUGGAGGUUCUUUUCAAAGCAUCUAUGAUCGCACCCCACAUUGGGGAGGGAGAUUGCAGAAUUUUCAAAAAGGGGAAAAGCAAAAAUGCUAGAAUAAGGAGGGAACCGCAAAUUGGAAAAAUUUGAUUCCACUUGGGUUCCAAUUUUCGAAAAAAAAAGAAAAGGAAGAGAUUUGUCCGCAUAGACCGCCUAUGUUUCACAGAUAUGGAUGUACAAGGGUCUUCCUCAGUCAGUUAAUUCAUAUACAUGCUAGAAAUUUCCCAUUAAUGAAAGUUUCCUUUCAGAGUUAUUAUAAGGAACAGAAUAAAAGUCAGGCCCUCUUCUUUUCCGAUCAAGCAUUCUAUCCCUAGUUAUCCCUUUUGAGCCUUCAGAAUAAAAUACUUCAUUUGGCAACCCCUGAGAAUCGCAAACCCCACACUGGGGCAAGUUUGAGUUGAAAAGGAAAAUUUCAAGAAGUGAAAAAGUGAAAAGCCACAAAAUCAAAAGACAAAAGAAGAAAAGAGAACCUCAGUUCACAAAUAAACUGGGGCAAAUUUUGAAAAUUUCAAAGAAUGGCAGAAGGUUGAAAAAUCAAAAGAAGAAAGAAAAUGAAAGAGAAAAAGCCUCAAUUGAGCAUAAACUCUGGGGCAAGUCUUGAUUUAACCCUGAAAUAGGGUUGGCAACAAUGCGAUCUCAGAUUACUUAAACCACUCUUGAAAUCUGCCUUCAAGCCUUAAAUUUUCUAAACACCCCACCAGACCCCAUUACAAACGCCUAAAGUCCUGACUUCUGUUCUUUGCAAUGGCCCUGUCAAGAAAAUUCGGAUGCCGAAAAUUUUAGUUGUAUUUCUGAAUUGCCUGGGUAUGGGGUUGACGCUACUCACCAUGUGAAAAUCCACCAAGUUGAGGGAAAGGAAAAAGAGGAAAAAAGCAAAACAAGAAAAGUAAAUGCAAGGAAAAUGCAGAAAAAAUUCGACGCUGAAGUCCCUGGUGAAUGAUGAGAAAAAAUGCAAACAAAGUCUGAGAUUUUUUGAGUUCAAAAUAGGGGCAAUUUUGAAAAAUACGAUCUUCGGUGCAAUGUCCUUGAAAGUUUUAUUCUUUAACUAUCGUUUUCAAGCAACAUUACAAGCUAACAAAGUCCAUCGUUGACUUAUUCCUUCAUGACAAUCCAAAGUGAGGAUUAUGCUCGUAAGAAAUCCAUCAAUCAUUUGUGAUCAUGGGGGUAUAACCAGUUUUCACAGGUUUAGCUAUCGCUUCUACCCAUUUUGUUGCAAGCCUAUAAAGCUUAUACGUUGACUAAGUUUUCUUAAGAAAUAAGAGUGACAAACUCUUUGCUUUCACUAAGACGUGGUAUUGAAGGAAUUACAUACAAUUUGGGCACAAGAAUAAAAACAAGUCCCGACUUCUCAUUUUCCUUAGCCACUUCCAAAUCAGAAAUAACGCCCCACUUGAUUGGUCCUGAAAGAGAGACAACAGGAAAUGGUGACCCAUUACCCAAAACAUCGAUGCUAAAGUGAGGAAAAAUCUUUUAAUUUGGCAUUAUUUUGAGAAAUUCAUCAUGAAAUUUCCUGUAUGAGUUAAGCAAGACGUUCAAUUUUCUUCACAUUAUAUAGGAAACACAGUUUCUUACUUUGUUCAAAUAAAUGGAAAGGCAUCAAAUCAAUUUUUGCAAUCAAAUGGGCCCACACUGGGGCAAAAUUUUAUUUGCAAGAUUUCGCAAAAUAAACCCACACUGGGGCAAAUUUUUUAUAGUCCAUUUGAGGAUUUCGACAAGAGCCAAGUAAUAUACUUUCAAAUCAAUCACGCUGCUCUUUCUAUGAAUAGUAGUUGCAAUAUUUUGAAAUUCAAGUGCAUGUCAUACUUUGGUAAGCCCCUGUGCAGGUAUCCAUGGUUGAAAUCGACGAAGGAGCGUAAGUCAAAAUCUUACGAAUCAAGGCCUCAAGGAGGAGCAACCACGCCGUAAGGCAAAUCAAUUGAUUAGUUUAAUAAUUGGUGGAAACUGGGCAAAUUAUUUUGAAAAGAUUCUCUUGAAAAAUCAGAAAAUUCAAAAGUCAAAAAAUCAAAAAUCAAGUUCAAAUUCUUAUUUCUUAGAAAAUCAAAUUUAAUUUCUAGUUUUUGACAAAUCAAAUUCAAUUUCUUGACCAAUUGGAUGGCAGGACUGGGUCUUAUCCCACUGACCAUUCGCAAACUUCACAAAAGUCAUGUUGGAACUGGGUUUUAUCCCGCCAACCUCGGCAGAACUGGGUUCUAUCCGCUGACCGUUUAUAUCACGUUGGAAUUGGGUUUUAUCCCGCCAACCUCGGUAGAACUGGGUUCUAUCCGCUGACCGUUUAUAUCACGUUGGAACUGGGUUUUAUCCUGCCAACCUCGGCAGAACUGGAUUCUAUCCCGCUGAUCGCUUAUAUCAUGUUGGAACUGGGUUUUAUCCCGCCAACCUCGGCAGAACUGGUGUAACAUCCCGAAUAUUAGGAGGUUGUUUGUGAGGAAAAUAUUAAAGUAUAUUUCUUCGGGUUUGAUUUAAAACCUUAUUUUGUUUUAAAAGACUAGAAACCCUAAUGUUUUAAUCAAAAACCCUAGUUUACUUGUGACUAAACGGUUUCUUAAAUCUCUCAUAUUUUACUAGAGAUCCUAAUGUUAAUUAUUGAACUUGUAAAUUCCUCACGUUUCCUUACAAAAUUCCUUUUAUUUGAAAAUUAUUAUUUAUUAAGGCCCUACUACUCAAUUGUUCAACAAUAAGUGCAGAUGAACCUGGAAAUAGGGUUUUACACUUCAGUUUCAAGAUUUGAGCAAAAUUAGGGUUUUUCGAUUUUUCCGCCGGAUGAAUUUUCGGUACUGGCCAAGGAUCAAUUUGAUGAUUAAAAGUGACUUUUAAGUGAGAUAAUAUAUGUGAGUAGUAGCCAUGAGACAAGGUUAGUGAAUGGAAAAAAAAAAAACCUAGUACGUGAGUUUUUAAGAAAACGGCGCGAAUCGGCGGGUCCCGCGCACUACCGUUUGAACGCACCACUGGACUACCACUUUCUUGCACCACAAGCUCAUUGAUAUUUGAGCCAAAAUAUCUUCUUAUAUUCAGCUAAGAAGGACCGAAAUUUGUGGCUAAGAAGCAAGGGGAAGAAAGAGAAAAAUUAGUGGACAAGAUUAGUCCAAGUGUUAGUAGAAAUUUGUGGUCAUAAUUAACUCUAACCUUCUUACUUCUUAUAAGACCAACACUUAGCUUCAUUCCUCUUCAUUUUGCUGCUGAAGAACCGUGAGUGAGAGAGAGGAAAAACAAGAGAGCAAACCUUCCAUUUCAUCUUCAAAUCCAACAACUUAGGGAGAAAUCAAACAAAAUAAACCGAUUAAACUUGUUCUUGAGUGACUAGCUAGUGAGUUGUGGUGUGAUUCUUGAAGGGAGAGCUUGUGCUACUCUUGGUGACUUUUAUUCAAGGUAAGAGAGUUUAUCUCUCCAAGUUUUACUUCUAAUCUUGUUAUAUUAAGCCUAGUAACUUGAUUUUAUGGUGAGAUUAUGGAUGAUGAGCAUGUUUUAGUAUUUUUCCCCAAUUUAUUUGAUGAACUAGGGUUCCUGAUUUUCUGCUCAAGUUGAUGUAUGAUGCAUGAAUGUUGCAAUUAAAGUUAUAUAAGGUUGUUUAGUGGUGAUUGGAACCAGAAAUUUGAGGAAACUACACUUAGAGCUAAAAAUUUCAGAUUUCUGGAAAAUUUCCCAAGCAUUCUGUCCGAAAUUGUAUCUGUAUGUUAGAGGCCGAAUUGGCCUUUGGUCAAAGAAAUAAAGUUGUAGAGAAUGGUGUUUUAUAGGUGCCUACAAAAUUUCAACUCAAUCGGAGCAAUGCAGAACGUGAAAAGUCCAAAAUACCCCUACUGCUUUAAGAAUUUCCCAGUAGUCCGUUUCUUCAGUUCAGUCCAGUUUAUCACGAUUUUUGACCAGGAUCCAUUCUGAUUUAGCUCUGGACCAAAACAUGAAAGUUGUAGUGCUCUGAAGUAGCUUUAAAAUGCCUCUAAGAACACCUGAUUCGGACUUGUGUACACUGAGUUAUGUCCAUUACAGUGUUCUGCAUUUAAACAGCCGGUGAAUUGAUUUCAGGUUUGGUAAUUGGAGAAUUUGACCAAUUUACAUUAGAAACUGGAUUAAGUGACCUUCAUGAACAUUGUAGCUCUGUGUCUUAGCUUCGAAACGGCAUAGGUUACGCCUCAAUCCGAUAAGCGUAGCCUCGGAUAUGUUAUUUCCGCAUUCGUACGUCAAAUCUGUCUUGUGCUAAGUUGAAUUUCUGCACUUGUCAUUGUUGUGAUUCUUGUUAUUAUGAUAUUGUGAGCCUAUGGAACGGCUCUGGACAUGAAUUGUUGACAUAUGUGAUGUUGGGUUGUGUUUGAGAAAAACAAUGAAGCCUAAAAGGCUGGAAAAUUAGAUAAACACAAAGGGCAUGCUGCCCAAAUUUACGCUCGAAAACUAGAGAACUACUUGCAACUUGAGUAAGGGUUAAGAGUGAUUACUGCUUGAACCAUCUAGGGUACUUGAGUAUUCUUGUUCCGAGGUAUAUAAGGAAGGACUUGGCCGAACUUGUACCCUUGAGAAAUGCAAUCAUGAUUGCUCGAAGUAUGUUUUCCUUGUAUUUUCCACUCGCAUGACGAUUUCAAGUAUAAAGUUACAAAGUUUUACCGUUUAAAAAGUGAGCAAGUGUUUCACACUACCAUCCAAGUGAAUUCCAAUUUCUUGAAUUUUAUUGAACGAAACGUUUAAGUUUCGAAUCUAAGUCGUGUUUCAAAGUUCUCAAACUGAGUUUUAUCGCAGAUUUGGACUCCGAACCCGGAGUAUAACCUGAAAGUGACCAGUAAAGGCACUAUAUCUUUUGGUGAGUGCUUUCAAAUACCAAAUUGAACUUGAUACUUGAACUUGAUACGUGACCAAUCUGAUUACAUGUUAUAUACGUGAAUUGUAAGGGCAAGAGUGUACUUUAUCGCACUUGCCCUUACGUGAUAUACUUGUUUAUUGUUGCAAUUGACUUGAUAUACUUGAUUAUGAUGCGCGCACUUCCUGGAAUUCCAGAAACCCUUUGGCGAGUUACUCUAGUCGAGCCGGCAAGGGCUUGGUCGAUUGGGUAACGAACCCUGGGUCUCUUGUAUUGUCGAGUGGAGUGAUAUCUCCUCGACUAAUCGGUAUACUCGAGUAUUACCACCCGUGUUCUUGAGGAUUUUGGGCCCAGCUGGGGGUUGAACGGUGGACGGAGAGUCGUUUAAGUGGUGUUCUACUGGAUUGGUUACUUACUUGAAAGUUGACGGAGUGUCAACUACUAUGUGAUCAAGCCUUGAUGAUGAAUGGAAGUUGGCUCCUGAGAGCCAUCCGUAUCCUUAUGCUUUGGAAUGAUUAUUGUUUAUUGGAUUAUUGUUUCUUUUGAAAAACUUCUACACUCGCUCAUUUUAAGAUUGUUACUUGACGUGUUAUUGCUCACAUUUAUGAACUCUUCAUGCUCGUUACUUUGCUAUAUAAAAAACUUGUACUUAUAAAUAAUGGUCAAUUUGCUAUUUGGAACCUCACUGGGCUUUUAGCUCAUACCACGUUAUUUGUUUUCCUUUCAGGGGUACGAGCGAGGUGUGAGUUAUGUAAAGUCUAGCAUAGACUAGUUGUUUGAUUUUUGACUUGUACUCGCGCUAUUCCUCGGAUGGAACAUGUUGUAGCUUGGAUUGUAUACGUUUUGAACUAUCUCGGUGUAUUGAGACUUUGUACCUCGAUUUCUAUCAAUGUAAAUUAUAAGCUUGAAUUGGGAAUGUUAUUUAUGGUUCAUGGAUGUGUGUACAUGACUCGAUCGAGAUAGUGAGUGAGUCCUGGCGAGAGCUGGGCAGGCGGUCCGCCGAACCCUUUGGUACGCCUUAGGGGGAGGUGGGGUCGUCACAACUGGGUUCCAUCCCGCUGACCGUUUAACAUCACGUUGGAACUGGGUUUUAUCCCGCCAACCUCGGCAGAACUGGGUUCUAUCCCGCUGACCGCUUAUAUCACGUUGGAACUGGGUUUUAUCCCGCCAAUCUCGGCAGAACUGGGUUCUAUCCCGCUGACCGCUAACAUCAUAUUGGAACUGGGUUUUAUCCCGCCAACCUCGGUAGAACUGGGUUCUAUCCCGCUGACCGCUAACAUCACGUUGGAACUGGGUUUUAUCCCGCCAACCUCGGCAAAACUGGGUUAUAUCCCGCUGAUCGUUUAUAUCACGUUGGAACUAGGUUUUAUCCCGCCAAUAUCGGCAGAACUUGGGUUCUAUCCCGCUGAUCGCUUAUACCACGUUGGGCCUGGAUUUCGCGCCGCCAACAUCACAAACAUCACGUUGGGCCUGGAUUUCGUGCCGCCAGCAUCACAAACGUCACGUUGGGCCUGGAUUUUGUGUCGCCAACAUUCCAUUGGGAUUGAAUUUUGUGCAACCAAGGCAGACUCGGGUUUAAUCCCACUGAUCAAAUCUCACGGCAGGCUCGGGUUUAAUCCCUGGCCAAUUCAUUACACUGGGGCAAAUUUUCGGAUAAUUUUUCGAGCAAGUCUUACACAGUCUCUUCAUACAUACCAGCAUUUCUUUUACUCUGCCACUCCCACUAGUGUGCAUUUCUUUUAUUCUGCCGCUAGCCGUUGGGUCAGUCCCACUAGUGCGCAUUUCUUUUAUUCUGCCACUAGCCGUUGGGUCAGUCCCACUAGUGAGCAUUUCUUUUAUUGCCGCUAAACAUGGGUCAGUCCCACUAGCGUACAUUUUGUUUCCACUACCACUAGCCGUGGGUCAGUCCCACUAGUGUUCAUUUCAGUUUCAUCGCCACUAGCCGUGGGUCAGUCCCACUAGUGUGCAUUUCAUUUUCAUUUUCACUAAAAAUGGGUCUAUCCCAUUUACAUUUCUGUCCGGGUCUACCCCGUGGGUCUAUCCCAUUUAAAUCUUGUUCGGGCCAGUCCCAUGAUUUUAAGUUUAUUCGGGUCAGUCCCAUGAUUUUAAGUCUUUUUCAGGUCAGUCCCAUGAUUUUCAUUUUAUUCGGGUCAGUCCCAUGAUUUUUAAGUUUAUUCGGGCCAGUCCCAUGAUUUUAAGUUUAUUCGGGUCAGUCCCACGAUUUUAAGUCUUAUUCGGUUCAGUCCCAUGAUUUUAAGUCUUAUUCGGGUCAGUCCCAUGAUUUUCAUUUUAUUCGGGUCAGUCCCAUGAUUUUUAAGUUUAUUCGGGUCAGUCCCAUGAUUUUAAAUCUCUUGUUCGGGCCAGUCCCAUGAUUUUAAAUUUUAUUCGGGGCAGUCCCAUGAUUUUAAAUCUUAUUCGAGUCAGUUUCAUGAUUUUUAAAUUUUAUUCGGGCCAGUCCCAUGAUUUUAAAUUUUAUUCGGGUCAGUCCCAUGAUGUUAAAUUUUAUUCGGGUCAGUCCCAUGAUUUUAAUUUUUAUUCGGGUCAGUCCCAUGAUUUUUAAAUUUUAUUCGGGUCAGUCCCACGAUUUCAAAUUUUAUUCGGGUCAGUCCCAUGAUCUUCAAUUUUGUUCGAGUCAGUCCCAUGAUUUCAAGUUUUGUUCGGGUCAGUCCCAUUUUAAAAUUUUGUCAAGGAGGUCAGUCCUCAUUUCAGAAGCGUCGAUCGUUCAAGUCGUUUGCGGCCGAAUAACACAGGUAAGUAUUUGGUGUUUACUUCUUUGUCUCAAGUUUUUUCAAAACUCAGACAAAGAGGGGCAAACUGUAGACACCAAAUUUUUAAGGUAUUUUGUUUACUAUUAUUUUUAUUUUUUUUAUUAGUUUCAUUUACUUUUAGUCUUUUAUUUUUAAGUCAUUUUAAGUCGUUUAAUUAAACUUUAAUCAUUUAACCAUUUAAUUGUUAUUUUGUUUGUUUCGAUUCUAGGUUUUUGAAAAAGAAAAGAAAAAAAACAAAAUCAAUCGAAGGGACAAAAAUAAGACACGUAAGCCUACUUUGGGGUUUGAAAUCUUGGCCUUUCAUAUUAGGUUUAGUUUUGGGGUGCCCUAAAAGAUGAAAGGGCCGCAAGCUAAAAGGGGGUGCCAAUUAGAGAGGAGAGCUACGGGGGGUUUCUAAAAAGGGCUGACGGCUGAAAAAAAACAGAGUGAAAAAGGGAGGAGCGGCGGAAGACUAAGGGAGCUGGGAUGGAAAAAGAAAAACACACAGGGAAGAGUCUUCGUCUAGGCAAAGGUAAAAGCAAAACAGAGAGUCGAGAAAAGAGGCAAGAAAGAAACUUCAUGGGUGGCUAGGUUUGGAAGGAACAAAAACAGCAGGAAUUGAAGUAAAAGAAACCGAAAGGGAGCUGGAACGGAGAGAAAAAGGAAAGGCUAAGAAGCAAAAGAAACAGAGGAGAGCCGAGGGAGAGUGAGGAGGGGGCUAGCGGCUAAAGGAGCUUGUGACUGAGAAAACAGGGCAGCCGGAACUGCUGUUCGCGGGAAGCUACUGCCACCCUCACUCCCACUCCCAGAUGUUUAGACGAAGGUUUCGGAGGCAAAACUCUCAAAUGUAUGAGGUCCCUCCGCAUCCAGCGGCAGCAUCAGCAUCAGCAUCAUGACCACUCCGCCGCCGCAGCCACGGAUGACAUGGAGGAUUCUGAGGCGGAUGAGGAUACAAUAACCUUUCGUCCAACAAGAAGCAAGCGGUGACCUCAUCGGACAAUCCGAACAAGCUGGUGGGUCUGCUCCCUGCUCGGCAGCCGGAACGUGUCGGGAAGGAAUUAAAAGCAGGGGAGGACGCUCAGGGCGUCUGCGAGGAACACGAGCGGGAGAUAGAGCACGACGGCGAAUAAAUUGCAUAUUGUUGACAGCUACGGAAUUUUUCACAGCCACUGCCACCACCGGAAGCCACCACCACCUCGUCUGAAUCCAGCACUGCCGCUUGCAGAUGCCGUAAGUCAUCCUUUUCAUUUGCAUUUCAGUUUUCCCUAAAGCGCAGGCUCUUUGGAAAUUUUCAGAAAACAAGGCUGCCGUGUGUGACGCCCCGAAAAAAAAUGAGUUUGAGAAUCCGGAAAUUUUCUAAUUUUCUAGGGUUUAUUUUUUUUUAACGCCCGCCUUUUCUACAUUUUCUUGAUUAGAAAAAUUUCCCAGAUAAAGUUUAUGAGCAAAAAUAGUUUUAAAAUGAUUUUUCUAGUAUCGGUUUGUUUUUGAGAAAUUAAAAGCGUAUUUUGGACGUGGGACCCGCAAGUGCGGUAAAUGCAUUAUAUUUUUGACAACUUGUUGGAAUUUUGUAUUAAGUGAUAUUAUUUUACAAUGUGUUAAGAUAUUUGUAUUGGAGAGACAAAAAGAUAAGAUUAAAACCCUAAAGGACCAUUUGUCACAAAACCAUUGGACCUUGACUUUUGACCAAGACUUUUCUAACUUUACUAAAACCAAUUUGGACCCAAUUUUUCUCCCAUUUUUCUUGUCAUGGCCAGCUGUUAAGAGGAGCAAAAUAAGAGAGAAAAAACUUCAUUUUCUACUCCACUUUCUAGCUUCAAUCUUACUCCAAUCUACCAAAUCAACCAUUGAAUCCUGUUUUUACUCCAUAGAAAACAUUAAGUGAGUAUUUGUGAGGUGUUUAUUGGAGUGAUUUGGAAGAUUUAAGUGCAAGGUUGCUCCAUCUCUUUGGUUACCAAGGUGAGUGGUGAAGGAUCCCUUUCCUCCCUUAAUUGAUACUUAAAUCAUGAUUGGUGGUGGUAUGAGAUGCAAUAUUAUGGAUUAUUUCUUGAUUUUGGUUGAAUUGGCGAAGUUUUAUAAUUAUUGGGGAUUUUUCUGUUUUCAUAUGGAUAUGAUUAUGGGGUCAUGUAUGAUGAUUGUAAAUGAUGUUUAAUGACUCUAGGAGGUGGAAAAAGUGAUUAAUUGCAACCAAUUUCUGUUUUGGACCAAAAAUUGAAAAGUGAGGGUUUUGUGAUGAACAUUCUGUCCGAAUUUUUAGGUCCUAGAUAGAGGCUGAAUUGGCCUUUGCUUAAAACAUGAAAGUUGUAGGUAAUGAUAUUUUAGAGGUGCCUACAAAAUUUCAGGUCAAUCGGAGUAGCGUAGAGUGAGAAAAGUUGAAAUUACUAUUGCUGUUCUGGUUUACCAGAAAUUGGGAUUUGCGACUGUAAUUGGUUGUUUUGGCUGGUAUUGCUUCCGAAUUGGUUGUUGAGGCUUUCUGAUGAAAUUUAGCCAUGUUUCUUAGCUUUCAGCUGGUUUUGGAAUUUCUGGAUUUGGACUUGGAGAGCCUGAGUUAUGAUAUUUUCGCUAGAAUGCAUUUUGGUGAAUCUGUUUUUGUGAUUCCGAUGUAGUAUCUUGAAUUUUUGACCUAGUUACACUCGAAACUGGGUUGAGUGACCUUCUACAAUAUUGUACCCCUAUCUCUUAGCUUCGAAACGGUGGGUCUUGUACCUUCAUCCGACAAUCGUAGUGCCUUUGGUACCAUUACCGCAAAAUGACGUCAAAACUAUUUUUCUGGUUUUGAGCUUAACUUUCAUUUCCAAACUUUUCCCUAGUUUGACUUGUACUAGUACUACUUGGAGUUUGCUGAAUGGCUAUUGGAUGAACUUCUUGUUGUGUGUGUACCUUUGGGUUGGAAUGAGGAAAUCAUGAAGCCAUGACAGCUGGAAAAGUAAGCAAAUUUAGGUGAAGCGCUGUCCGAACUUUUAAAGGAUUUGUUUGCAUUGACUUUGUGAUCUAAGACUUGGGUUUGAGCAAGGCAAUGAUACAUGAUGGAUGAUUUCUGAGCCAUUGAGGUGAGUGACCUCAAACUAUUUCUAAAGUUAUUUAUGAAUCGUUUUUUUUCAUUAUUUACCUUUAAACUGUUUCCAAUGUUACUUUUGAACUGUUUUCUUGCAUAUCAUGCAUGCUUGCAUAUAUGUGUUCCUUGUUUGCUAUAUCACUUGAUUUAUUGGCUUGUUAUUAUUGAUUGAUAAUAUGUUAAGUGCUUUCAAUGAUUGUUAAAACGAGUUUUCUAGGCGAAUGUGUACUUUAUCGCACUCGACCUAAAUAAAUAUGAAAUUUCAAUGAUUAAUGAUUAAAUGCUAGUUGCGCAUGAAUGUAAGCCGUUUGACUGAAUUGGGCCCUGCCCUUCGUAACCGAUCGACUCUAGCCAGAAGCGGACUCGGUCGGGCGAUAUGGUGACCCUGGUGAAUUUGGUAUACUCGAGUAUUACCUUGUAGUCCGGCUACGUCCGGAUGGGUGGAGUCCGGCUACGUCCGGAUGGGUGGACACCGGCCAACGUCCGGAAAAAAAAAGAUGAACGAAUAAAAGAUGAACGAGGGAUUAUUUAUAAAAAAAUGAACGUAUCCUUUUCAUGAAUGUUACUAUCGUUUUCCAUUGUACAUGUUUCUUGAAUUAUUGAUACUCCAUAUUUAAUGUUUUGUAAAUGCUGUGAUCGUUUCUGGACUUAUCAUUUGAUUUAUGACAUCAUUGAAAAGAAAUAUUGUUAAACCGAUUUGAUUACUGAUUUUCUGGUUACUCGCUGAGCUUCUAGCUCACCCCAAAAAUAUUUUAUUCCCCUGCAUAGGGCUCAAGGCGAAGGCAGGACUUGUUGUGCUUAUUCACGUGAAUGGAUGACCUAUAUCUUGUACAGUUUUGGAUUGGGAAUCAUUUGAUGUAUAGUUGGAAAUUAGUUUCCGCUGCAUUUGUGACAUGUAAUUAUUGGAGACUUGGAUGUAUAUUUGUGGACCAUGUGAUGUAUAUUUGAGGUUUAUUCUUGUAAUUCAUUUGAGGACUUUAGUGAAUGACUGAGUCCGGCGAGAGCCGGGCAGGCGGCCCGCCGAACCCUCUGGUUCGCCUUAGGGGAAGGUGGGGUCGUCACACCGUGCCUUUGUUCAGUGCUAUUUUCUUGUUGAUUGUUCAUGGAUUUCAGAAUAUACAUGCUUUGUGUGUCGAUUGGGUUGAAUUACUUGUUGUUUCUGAUGAUUUUUGGGCUGAUCAUUACACCAUUUGAGCAGAGAAAUUGCUGAAUUUAUAAUGCCCAGUAGCUGUUCGAUUAAGUGCCUAAUUGAAAGUUCUAUUUGAAAGACGAUUCAUCUGCAAUUUAACGUGUGAAGGAAAAUGAACAUUCAGUUUGCUCAGUUGCUCAUCCGAACUUAAUAACCAAUUUUUUCAUGGGAAAAGAUAGUGUUGGUCCGUUUGUACCUUUUCUAUUUUUUUUUUAUAUUUCCUUAUGCUUGAAUCCGAAUUGAUGUGAUAAGAGGAAGUGUUAUGAGUUUCAAUGUUUUGUUGGGAAUGAUGUGAUUUGAAACCAAUUUCUGGUGCUGCUAACCGAAGAGGGAGCUGAAAUGGCAGCGAACGUUGAGCCAAUUUGGAGAAGAAGAUUACUUGAUUAAAUUCAUGAUUCCAGUCCCUCAAUUUCCCUUUCCAUUAUGAUUUAACCCCAUAAUUUUAGGACUUCAUAAUUUUGCCUCCAACACCUUCAUAAGUCCUUCAAUUAGGUCCCUGCUCUUGUUGCAUUUGAACCCCUCAAGCUUCCCCAAAUUCACCCGUGGCCCAAAAUCUGGAAAAAUCGAACUAAUUUCACCCUUUUAAGCUUAAUCCUCUAUUUGCGUAUUUUUCGUGACUUUUUGGAUAGAUUAAUUCUGGAAUUUAGUUCAUAGUUGUGGCUUAAUAUUUUUUGUUGAUUUGUUUAUGUUGUUGGGUUUAGUAUUAUGGUUUAAGCUUUUGGGUAAUUAUAUUUGGUUGGGUUUGUCAAUGUGGAUUUGGUUUAUAUUCUUUUGGGGUUUUGGUUUGGGUUAUAAAGUCAAGGCCCAUCAGUUUGGUUGGCAAAUUUUGGAUUAAAAAACAAUUAGGCUAGCCCAUCUGUUUUCUUGGGUUUCGAUUGGGCUGGGGAAGGUCUUGGCCCAAGUAAAAAUAAAAUAGCCCAGUGGCUUGAUCCAUUAAGAAAUCAGAGAACGAAUUCGCAGAUCAGUACCUGCACUUUUCUUUAAUUUCACUGUGGCCCUACAAACUUUCAAUGCUUUCAAUUGGGUCCCUAGUUUAAUUGUAAAUAGGUCCCUCAACUUUGUUUUUCUUUAUUUUUGACCUUGAAUCUUUGUGAUAAUUGUAAUUGAACCCCAAAGCUUUGAUUAAUUCUUGCAAUCAAGUCCUUCAUUGUUUUAAUUUCUUGAAUGUAGGUUGUUUAUAUGAUUUAAUCGAUUCAAUUUCAUGAUUCAUUUUUAUCUUUAUGAUUGUUUUGUUAAUUAAAGUGGUGCCUUGACCUUUCCUUCGUAUUUUGGAGGGCAAAUAAGUGAUUUCAUUUCAUUGGGGCCCAAUUGCAAGGGAGGUAACCUCCAUCUCCUUGAUUUUCAUUGCUCCUAUGUGUUCCAAUGUGCUAAGUGAGAAUUGCAUGGCUACUUUGCUUUCCUUGCCUUUCCUUAAUUCCUUUCAUUUAUUUCAUUUACUUUUGCUUUUUAUUUAAGUUAUUCUUUAUGGGGUAUGUGUACACCUCUUGGCUUGUAAUAGAUAGGGCUUGGAGAGCAUUUUUGUCCAUUUUUCCCUUUCCCCUUUUGUUUUAGUUAGCAAAUGUAAUAGGUUCAUUAGCUUGGUUGUUUGCUUUUGUUGCUACGUGUUAAUUUGCUUUAUUAGGCUCUUGCAUCUAGUCGAGCAUGCUAAGUGUUACGUGAUAUGUGUUUAUAGGUGAUUGGCAUGUCUACUUGCUUUCUAUAGUCAUAGAUGAAUGUGAUGGAUGAAUGCACGUCACCACACUAGUCCAACGCUAGUUGUGGCUCAUUGUCCCGUUUUCCACUAGUCCAAUGCUAGUAGGAAUUCAUAGAUAUGGGCUAGUCCAACGCUAGACCCUUAGGGAUUUCCCUCGCUAGUUAACACUUGCAUGUUUCACUACAUUUCAUGCAUUUUUCUUAGUUUUCUAGCAUUUGGCAUGCUCCUCCAACCCUUUUCCCUCAUUUUAGAUUUUUGCAUCCUCAUGCUAGUUAUAGGGUACAUUUGCUUGAGAGUCUCCUUUCGAUAAGGGAAACGAGCGAGUGUGGCUACAAAAUAGCCUUAGCACGCUAGUUCUCCCUUCUAAUCAAAGGAAAAAUCAAAGUCGUGAAAUUAGGAGUCAUUCCCGUACCCGACUUGAUGCAUUCCUCUAGGUUCAUACAUUCUCAUUUUUAUCAUAUCACUUUUCUCACUUUCUUUAUCCACAUUCUUUCACUACUUAUAUUUUCUCAAUCCACAUGCCAUGUUUGCAUAUUUUUCUUCUUUUAUCAUUUAUUUUCUAUCUCACAAAUUGCACCCAAUUGCACUUAUAUGCAUUUACUACUAUUGUACCAUAUUUUCAUCCACUUGCACACAAGCACCUUCAUUUUCUCAAUUUGCACACAUGCACUUUUCUUACACUUGCACACUUGCACUUUUCUAACAUUCUCACACUUGCACUCACAUUUGAGUCUUCAUUUGCAUCAUUCGCGACCUCUAUGAGGACUUUCCUUAUUGGCCACCACAACUCAUGUGGUUGGGACCAAAAAGCCUCGUAAGAGACAUUUUAGAUUUAGGAUUGCAUUUCUUUUUCAUACCCAUUAGUCAUAUCCAACAUGCAACACAUACUUUGGGUAGAAGAAUUAGGAAAAGUAGGGCUAAGUCACGCAACUAGCUUUGGCUAGGGUAAGGAAGUGCCUUAGGCUUGGCCUUUGCCUUCUCCCUUAUCAAAUGUGACCCCCAAUCCCUUUCUUUGGUUACGUAGACCUAAAAAAUUCUUUAAAAAAGGGUUUGUUUACUUUUCUUUCCAAAAAAUCACUUUUUUUGGGGUGACUUGGUACACCCUAACUCUAUACCAAGUGGCGACUCCAUUUUUCAUUCAAAAAACCCUUUUUGAACUAUAUUUUUUGCCAAACCGUCGCAUUUCACAAUCCCACGGCCUUUUUUUUCACUUUCACACAUGUUCACAUACAUAUCUCACACACUACUUUCACCCAUUUCAAAAAGUGGGGCGCGACAUAAACAAUAAGGGGGAACAACAUUGGUGCUCCAGAUCAUGUCACGAACUCACGAAAGUGGUGGAGACGUUGGCUCCAGGUAAAUAGUAGAGAAGACGUUGGUGUUCAGCACAAGACUCCCCAAGAACUCAUUUAAGCUAAAUCAUUUCAUGGACUCACAUGCCGGCACACAUGAUAUGCAAACGAGUAAAUAAUGCAAGAAACAUUUCAAAAGUACUUUGGAAACAGUUUAGGGUCACUCACCUCCACGGCUCAGAAACCAUCCAUCAUAUAUCAUUAUCUUGCCCGAGUCCAAGCCCUAAAUCACAAACUCAAAACAAUCAUACAUUCCCAAAGUUCAGACAGCAUUUCCCCAUAAAUGCUUCAUUUCCAACCUACAAGCAACACCAAUUCAUCUCAAAUCAACCACAUACACAUCAUAAACUAUCAAAUACACCUUUCGGUACAAUAUCCAUAACUGAAGUUACCCUUAUCGGAUUGAAACAAAUCUUAUGGCGUUUCGAAGACAAAACAUAAACCUACAUUUCUUAUGAAGACCUCCAAACCCAAAUCAUGCAAUUUCAUGAUAAAAAAUGGAAAACUCCAUGAAAACAGAAAUCUGGGCGCGAAACAGGGUUCAUGGACAGUCAAGGGUAUUUCAGUCAUUUUAUAGACUACAAUGCUUGGAUCUAGCUGAAAUUUUGCAGGUAGCUAGUUAACACCAUUUUCUACAACUUUUAUGUUUUAACCUAAGCCUGAUUCGGCCUAUAACAUGCUCGAAUAAAUCCAGUCAGAACAGGGCAAAUUAAACCCUAAACCUGGAAUUUCGUAUCAAAUCAGAAAUUUUCCGCAACCAACUUCAACUAACAUAUACAAGCUUCAUUUUACACCAUUACAAGCCAUCAUACCAUGAUUAAACCAUGAUCAUUAUAUAAAAUCAGAAAAAUCUCCAUAAAAUCAAAAAUUUAGCUAACUUCACUCUAAUUUAUAAAAUCUUCCAUAAAAUCACAUAUCUAGCCACCACAAGUCAUGAAUUCACCAUUAUUGGAAACAAACAAUGAAUCUUUAGACACCAUACCUUGAUACCUCACAAAAGAUAGUAGCUUAGUGGUUCCUUCUCCAAAAUAACUCCACCAAGACCUUGGAAUCUCUUUAGUAACCAACUUCUAUGGAGUGAUUUGCAAUUCCAUCGGUUAAAACUCAAGAUUGAAGUGAAAGAUGAAGGUUUUUCUCUCUCUCUUGCUCUCCAAGUUUCAGCCAUGAGAAGGAAGAAAUGGCUUGAUUUUUGUUCAAAUUUUGGUUUUAGUAAAGUUAAGGUAAGAUGGUCAAAAGUCCAAGAGUGAAUAGGAUGGUGACACUUGUCACCUUUUGGUUUAAGACUUAUCUUUUUGUCUCUCUCAAUACUAAUCCAUAUAGGUAACAUCCAAUUAUCUCUUAGCACCUUGUAAAAUAAUAUCAUUUAAUACAAAACUCCAACAAGUUGUCAAAAAUAUAUCGCAUUUACCGCACUAGUGGGUCCCACGUGACUAACUUAUAUCAAGGAAAUGAUUUGAAAACUAUAUUGUGACGCCCCACAUCUCCCUAAGGCGGACCAAAGGGUAUCCGCGGACGCCUGCCCAACUCACGCCAGGACUCAAGCAAUUCCAUCCAAAUUCAAACCGAACUAAACACUUCGAUGAGAGCAACAUGAAUACAAUAAUGCGGAAGCGUUCAACUUAAUAAGUCACUUAAUGUAUAACCAGUACAUCGGUAAAUCAUGAAACGACUUAAAUUCAAAGUACACAUCAGGGCCCAAACUUUUCAAGUUUACAAUUUCCAAAAGUACAACCCAAACCAGGGCCUAGUCAAAAUAUAUAUAACAGGAGUCUUAACAAAAUUCAACGGAUGGUUUCUCCAUAUUUCUCCAAGAGUCGGUCCUGUUAAGGAAAACAAAACUAUAGGGUGAGCUAACGCUCGUGAGGCCAAGAACACACAUGCAAGCACGUAAUCAAAUAACAAUCCCAACUUUAAUAAGUAAAGCCAUGUCUUUUCAAUAAUCAAUCUAUCAAACAGGAAAAAGUAAUCAGAAACAAUUCAAGGAUAUAGUAGCUCUCAGGAGUUAAGUUCCACUCGAUCUGUCGAUGUCAUUCGUAUACUUUCCCGCAUUGACCCUCCUGUCAACCGGGUCGGUAUUUCCAUUUCCGUAGAUCACCACUUUCUUCCCUCCGUCCACCGUACACCCCAAGGGCCCACAAGUCUAUUUUUAGGGCGAUACUCGACGAGUAUGCCAAGCAAGACCUCUUAUUAGGUCGAGCUUAUAAUCUCAUGGCUCGCCCAAGUUCCCGACCAAGCCCAUUACCGGCUCGAGUCUAAGAACGGCCUAUGAGUUUGGGCGUCCCCCAUUCAUUUGGUAGUCGAGGAGAUUCACUCCAACGACACAAGCAUUCAUGACAUGACAUUGCAUUUCAUUCAUUCAUUCAAUACAUUUCAUUCAUUCAUUCAUUCAUUUGAAAAUAGAACGAGUGCGAUAAAGUACGCACCCGCCCUUAUUUUUAAAACUCCCAACAAGUAUCACAAUAAGCAAGUAUCAAAUUCAUACACUUGACACUCACCGAGCAAUUCAAUAAGAAUUAUUUUCUGGGAGUUCAAGUGUCCGCGGUGAGAUCCUCUUGAAGGUCUCCUUGCGCGCCUGGCAAUUUAAUAGCGAAUAAUCAUACAAUUAACCCACUUAUCAAGAAGAUUGUACAUUAGUACAAUCUAAGGAUUAUUUCGCAAAAAGGAAACUCAAUUACACGUAAAUCGAGGUUCAACUUGCCUUUUAUCAUGUACAAUAUUAUUUGAGUUUUGAUCAUGAAAAUCGUAAACAAAACGUUUAAGAACAUCAAAAGAAUAAAGAGUUUUUGAAAAACUCUAUUUCUUUGAAAUUGGAAAAUUUUCCAGUUUUAUGAUGAAUCUUUGAAAAAUCAUAACUCGCUCGGUAUAAGUCAAGAAUUGGAAAAAUUUAUACCGUUAGAAACCUCUUAGAGAGUACUAUAAGUUCCUAGAAGACACUUUUCCAUGAAUCGAAGUGGAAAGUGAUCAAAAAUGGGCUUGAAGACGCAGCUUCAGUUUACAAGGCAGAAUUAAGUUGGAUUUCGGCCAACUUUGAAAAUUCGGCACGAUUCGCACAUUACAAACCGGCCUCUGAAAUUUUCAGCUCAAUUAGUGUUGCAAGUGAAGUGUAGGACAAAACAAGAGGAUCAAAAAUCGGAGUUUCGAGCACCGAGAUACGGUAGCCCGAAGUUGAGCAAAUUCAAGACUGGAUGAGGAUUUUCCAGAUUUGAACCUCUAACUUUAGUAAUUCAAUUGGGUAUCGAAACGAACUUGAAUCGGCACCAAAAUUGGCAGUAUUUCAAUACUAUAUGGAAAGUAUCUCUCUAUCAAAUUUCGGGGAAAAAUACCUUCGGCAAGGUAGUUAAUGAGCCAACCGAAGUUCAAGAAAAUUCCUAAGGCAUUCUGCCUUUGACUUUCAUUUUCCAAAUUUCCAAUCGUUUAACCAAGAAGGUUAUCCAACCAUGGUUCAUUUGUAAAAUAAGGGUCUAAGAUACACCCAUAAUAACUUUGGUAAGUGUUUAAUAACAAAAACAUCAACUAACAAGUUCACUCCAAGAUUUGGUUCCAAACCAGUCCAACAUUAGGGUUUUUCCAAAACAGAGCAGUCCACAUGUUUCAGUCACAACUCAGUCAUUAUAGCUCGAAAUCGAGCAUGGCUUACGCCGUUGGAAAAUACAUUCAUAGGACUAAAAUAUCACAGAAGAAAUCAUUUCAAAAUUCGGCCGCCCAUCCUGGUUCAAAUUUGGGCAUCAAAGUUGCUGCGCUGAACACUUCAUUCCAGAUGAACAGAGCAAAGGACAGGAGCUUAAACAUUUGGUUGCGCUUGGUCACAAAGAAAUCAGAAAACGUACAUUAGUAUAACGCAAAUUAAAGCUUAGGAAUGUCUAGUUUCAAACGCCACCGGACGCACAUGAUUCGACUAUCCGAGGACAGAGUUAUAGCCCAAAAUACUACUGGCUGGUCAGAGACAUACGGCGAACAGUUUCCAAGAUUUGCUGGUUUCGAAAAAAAAUUCAUUUGCUCGCAUCAAACCUGCAAUAUUAUUCAAUGAAAUUUUUCACACAUCUAAUACAUCCUAUAAAGCAUCCAUUUCAAGGCCAUUAAUAACCAUUAAAAUUAUGCCUGGUGAAAUGGCCGAACAUAGCAGGGGCAAUCGGAGAAGUUUUAGCCUCUUAACAGCCAUAAGAAGUUUCCGCACUAAAUUACCAUCACUUAAUGCAUCAUAUAAUAUCACUAAACCAACAAUAUAAUACAGCCAUUCAUCAUCACAUCAGCAACACACGCCAAGUUGUGGGAAUUCCAAGAGGGCCGCACAAUCACAUUUUAAGCAGCAUAAAACAAAGUAACGUAAGUGGCAUGCAUGAACUUAAUCUUGUCAAUAUAAAUCUCCAAAAGAUAAGAAUCCAUGGUUGAUCAUUACCUACUCCUUUGUUUGCAAGGUCAGAAUUUUCGGCCCUCUUGAAAGCUCCAAAGAAACGCGUGAAAGCUCCUUGCCUCGCUUAGCUAGAUGUAUCUUCGCAAGUGGUUUGCUAAGAGAUCUCGCAAGUUUUGGUGUGAUUUGGGUGGAUUUGGUGCAUAGGAUUGAAGAUGAAAAAUGAAGACAAUGGAGAGGCUCUUCUCCUUCUUGUUUGUUCGGCCAAGGUGAGGUGAAGAGAGAGAGAGUGGCUGAUAGCAUUUGGCUUCCAAAGGAAAGAUUCUUUGUGUGGUGCAAGCAAAAUGCACGGCUCCAAAGUCAACUUUGAAAUAGUGCAAAUUUAGGGUGCGUUUGGAUUCGAUCUUUCUCGCGCGUUUGGUUCACUAGUGCACUAAACCUCCAAGGCAUAUAUAUUCUUGUAAUUAUUAUUCACUCUUAAUUGUCCCGAAAUAAGGGUCUAAAGUCCUUCAAUUGAAGUCGCGCGUGUGAAAACGCGUACCGUCAAAUUUAACGCUAUAACGCGAAACUUUCGAAAAAUUCUUAUAACGAUUGCACUACUAACUGUCACUUGAAUAUUUAUUCAUAAAAUUACCUAUUUUAGGACCAUAGUACAAGCCCCCAAUAUUCCAAGCUUAUCGGCUACUACGCGGAUAAAAUCUCCAAGUACUAUUCACUAUUUUUACUAAACGCGCUCUAGGAAGUUAAUUUUCGAAACGAAUCAUUUAAAAAAAAUAUAACGAAGUUAUAUUAUCAUGCGUUUAGGUCUCAUAAGACUAGAAAAUAUUCCUUGGAAAAAAAAAUCCAAUUAAAUAAUUUAUUAAGCCAUAAAUUAGGCAUAAAAUAAUAGUUUUUGCGAGUCCUCACACGGUUGAUAUCCAGCAGGCAUUGCGAGGUUGUCGAUUCUAGCAGUGUAAGGCUUGCAAUAGGUAAAACUUGAUUUUGAACCACCCUCCCUUUUAUCUUUGAUUACGCCUUCAACAAGUUCGUUCAGUUGUUCCACGGGGAUAGUUUCAUUGGUAGUCACAUAUACUUCCUUCACCUUGUCCUUACCUUUUGAUGAAGGAAUUUCACGCUCUUGGUGCUCCUUAGGAUUCGCAUGACUUCCUUCAGCAGCGUAAUCUUUCUGAGUGAGCAGUUGAACAAUGAGAGCAUCUUGGUCCUUGAUGUGUUUUAUCACGGUUUCCAUCAUUUUGGACAUGUUCGAAACUUGUUCUUCGAGACUUAAAGUAUUUGUCAUCAUGGCAGGCAUUGCAACAGAAGAAGCAGCAGAAUCUUCAAUAGAAAAUCUUGAAUGAAGAGUUUCAUGUGAAGAGGCUGAUCCAGUGCUUGAUGAAUCAUCGUCAUGCUUAGAAAAUUUGGAUUCGGAUCCAAAUUUGAGCAUGGCAAGAGCCUUCUCAAUCGAUGCAGAAACGUCUUGGAUUCCCAUCGUGGAAGAAUAGCUCAUUGGUGAUGUUGACCCGAAAACGGGAGUUGGCGCCGAUGGAGCUUCCAUGCUACUUUGGGUGGAGGCUCUCGUCAUAUUCCUUGUCACGGGACCAAUAGCGCGGGUAUUGGUGGCAACAUAUGCAGCUUCCUGCACAGGCUUAGCAUCAGUAGCCUUGGAACGUGCAAUCAUGAUUUUGUUGCUCUUUGGUGCCAUUGGUGAUAUACGUAGUUGAAUAUUCGAGGAGAAGAGAUGGAAGGCAGAGAUGUCCCACCGGGCAUGCCAAAAAUUUGUACGCGAUAAAUUUUUCAAGUCUGCAAAAUGACAAGAAAAGAAAUACACGACAAAUAUGUAAUAUAUAAAUUUAGAAAAAUAUGGGGGUAUAAUCUCUGGAAGUUUCUCGAACUUAUGGAGAGUUUCCUUCGAUUCUUCUCCUCGAACACCGAUCCAAUGGCUUCGCAGCUUGUUCUUGGAUCAACCACCGAUUCUUUCAAAUCUUGAUAUGGAAGACUUGAAGAACUUGAAAAUAUUUGGAAGCUCAAGCCUUGCUAUAUGAAAGACUUGAAGAGUUUGAAGACCCAAAUCUUCGUAGCUUGGAACUUCACCACUUGAGUGUAUGAGAUGCCUUCUGGUGUGUAUCUCUAUAUGUCUGUGUGUAUGUUCCCUUGAUUUGGUCAAGAGACCCCUAUUUAUAGUUGUAGCAAAAGGUAAAGGUUGAAGACCUGUGUACUACUUUACCUAUCUUGCAAGACGUGCAGUCAUAUUAGGACUGUACCAAUCAAAUAUUAUCUCUUCAUUUUAUAUUUUAUAAUAAAGAGAUAAGUGAUUCCUCGAUUGGCCUAACUCGUGGGGACGCGUGACGUGGCACCGUUUGACUGGCCAAGCUAUUGCGGUAUAUAAGAGAUAUACUUGGAUUAAAUAACUCUAAAUAUUAUCCCUUUAAUAGGAAAUAAAUAUUUAGAUAUUUAUCCAAUAGACAUGUGACAUGAUAUGAUUCGAUUGGUGGAGAUAUCCCUGCAAUUUUAAUUGAUCUGGAACACCUCGCCUUGACACGUGGUAAAAUAUAAUUGGCCAUUCAAUAACCAAUUUUUCCAUAUGGCAAUAUCCGAUUGGGCAAAAAUAUUUAAUAGACCAAUGGUAAUUUUUAGAAUUUAAUUAAAAUUCCAUUGUCUACAAUGAAGUUCCAAAAAAUUUAUUCGCCUUUCUAGUUUCUCCCUAGCUUGUGAGUUGUGAUACAAGAAUAUGGAUGUGUAUUCUAUCCAGUUUACUUCAAAAGCAGAUGUGAUGUUAAUACAAAUUGCAGUAACUAUGUAGACACUAAAACAAGAAAUAGAGAUACUAAAAUCGUAGAUGAAGAUAAGGUUUGUAAAUGUAGACAACCUAAACUACCAAUGCCCGUGAUGCGGUAUUUUUGACGUGUGAGUCCCUCCAUAAUUUCAAAAUUUUCCGUUAUCUUCAAUCCCCACCAUUAUUUUUAAAGGAUUUACUACAAUUCCUUUUGAUAUCAUAACGUUAGAGUCGUUUGAAUUGUUAUUUUCUGGAAUUUUUGCAUAAAAAAUAUACUGUAACAAUUCGAUAUAUGUGAAGUAAAAAGACAAAUUAAAAAAUGUGUUCAUGAAAAACAUAAAAAUUUUUUGGAGAAAAAUUGCAAUCCAAACAAGACCUAGAUUAGAUUUUUCCGUUGAAAGAGUGUUUGGAUUAAAGAUUAUUUCACUUUAUUUACACACACUGAUUUGCUUGCAUCAUCAACACAUUUUCCAAUCACUUUUUUAUCUCACAUAUAUCAUAUAAAAAAAGGUGCUACAGUACUCUUUCACAAAUUUAUCUCAAAUAAUUUUCAAUCCAAAAUUAUCUCAAAUAAGAGAUCAUUAUUGAGGAUACAAAUCUAAAAACAAGUUUCCAUAAUAGAUCAUAAAAUUUUCCUUUUAAAUGAUAGAAUCACGUCCAACAAUUGCCGCAAACCUCUGGUGAUCCAAUGCAUCAGUCAUUGUUAGUCUAAGUUAUUGGUGAUUAUGUAAACGUAUAUAUAUAUAUACAUUAUUACAAUUUUUGGUUAUAAUAAGUGCUGUUUACCUAAAUAUCUGUUUAUAUUUUUCUUAACUAUUUCCAAAUUUUAAGGGAUACUUUUAGAAAUCUCCUGUAAAGUUUUUGACGACUUUGAAAAAUGUCAUUGGCCUCUUUUAUUUUCAAAUAAGUUAUAACAAUUUCAACUAUUUAAAAUAUAAGUUAAUAUCAUCAUUGAGGAUACAAUCUAAGCAACAGUUUCAGAGAAGAGACCGUAAAAUUUUCCUGUUUUCAGUAUAGUAGAAUCACAUUUAACAAUUGCUGAAAACCUCCGGUGAUCCAAUGCAUCAGUCAUUUUUAAUAUCAGUUAUAGGUGAUUGUAUACACAUCAACUAUGAAUAUAAACAUUAUAACAACCUUUGGUUAUAAGAAAUACUAUUUACCUAAGUGUCUCUUUAUAUUUUCUAAAGUAUCGCCAAAUUUUGAGGGAUAACUUUAGAAACUUUCCCUGAGAUUUUUGACAAUAUCAUUUAGCACCCUUGAAUUUUGAGAGAUGUCAUUGACCUCCUUUAUUUUCAACAUUUUCAAUAUAUUUCAAGACAUACGAGUAAAAAUAUAUUAAUUCAAGGCAAAAAAACAAAGACAAAAAAUGCAUGAAGGCAUAAGUUUGAUGUGAUAAAAUAUACCAACAAUGACUAUCAGCAAUAUGUUUUUUUUGAGGCCCAAAAAAAUUAAAAAUUUAUUUGAAAUGUUUUUAAGGUUUGGUGCCCUGAGGGCACUAGAUGACGAAUGAGCCCGGUACUAUUUUUUAGAAGAAGGUAAAAUUCUCGUGUGAAAGUGUUGCAAUUCAAGAGGUGGGUACUAAUUUAAAAACUUUAAUAUUGGAUCCAAUUUCAUUUUUUAUGUGCUUAUCAAAUAACUUUCUUAAAUGUAUAGGCAUUUUGGGUUAACCGAAGGAGUUUUAUAAUUGUUUAGAAUCUUAAAAUUCUUGUUAUCCAAAUCAAUGGCUUGAGUAUUAAAAGAAAAAAGAAAAGUUCUGAAAAUUAUACCAAAAAACUUAUUUGAGAUUUUUCUUAAGGUACAAACAGCUACUUUCUUAAUCUUUAAAGCUUUUCAAGUCAUAUUUAUGAAAUUUGUAAUUUUUGUAGAAGUUUGAAUUUUUUUUGUCCAAAUUAUAACACAAAAACUAUUAAAGAAUCACUCAACCCAGUUAAAAACUCAUAAUUUCGCUUAACGAAUUACAUUGGUCAGGUUUUGAAAUAUUGAGGGAUUAAAUUUGUAUGUUUUGACAAUUAAAGAACCACAAGAAAAGGGCAAUUUUCUAAAACAAGUUAUCUUCUCUCUUAAAAUAAAUAUUCUAAUGAUAUAUUUUAAAAUGGGCUGAGAAUGUUACAAAAAAAGUUUAAAAUAGGGGAAUUCAAUGAUAUUUUUAAAAUUUUAAGGGCGCUAAGUAAUCUUGUUAGAAACCGUAGGGAUGGUUUAUGAAAUUAUCCCAAAUUUUAUUCCUGAUCCUUUUGUGUUGUUGGCAGCCAUCGUAAUGUCCAUUGCAAUGUCUAAUUCUCUACAACUUGUGGAUGUCUCAACCCAGGCCAAGUCUACAUCUUAUCCAAAUUCCAAAGAAUACCCACUCCAAGUCUGCAUCAUAUCCAUAAAAAUGCGGGGUUCCAAGAUUUUUGGUAUAUUGGGGCACAAUAAUAUAAGGAAAGGGAACAUAUUGACUCGAGAUGGAGAGUGGUAGGAAAAGUUAUCGAUGUAAGUAUUUAUAAAUGAUGUAAGAGUACUUUAAUAAAUUGUAAUUCAUCAGUAAAUAACUUGUACAUCUUUAUAAUAGAAAUGUUAGGGGGAAACACCUCGAUAGAGUCCACUAAAGAGUCCAAUAUUUAAGUCAGGAACCCAACUCUGACCCAAAAGCUUAAGCUAUUAGGUCUUAGUCCCUUACUUACAUAUUAACCGCUCUUCUCUAUCUCUCGGAUCAAUGUGAGACACAAUCCUUUAGUCAUGAACCUAACAAAUCUCCCCCUUCAUGAGUAACCCCCACAUUAAAUCCAAAUUUACAAGCCCUUUUUUUGAACCUAUUUUAAUACUUAAUGCAAGUCCACCUUUAUCACCAAGGUCACAUCUUCUCUCAAACAUGGACCCACUCUUCUUCAACAUCUAAACUGCAUUUUGGACCCCUGCCAACCCUUGGUUUCUUAGUCUAACAUCAACCGGACCCCAUGCCAAACUCAUGGCACACCUAGUCCAACACCAACCAAAUUCCUUGGCACUUCGGUCCACCAUCAAGAAGAGAAUUUUCACCUAAUCCAAUUCCGAGAAGAAUCCACUUGCCCAUGAGUAGCCCAGUCCACAACCUGAAACUCUGAUAGCAAUUUGUUAGGGGAAAACAUCUCGAGAGAGUCUACCAAAGAUCCCAAUAUUUAAGUCAGGAACCCAACUCUGACCCAAAAGCUUAAGUUAUUAGAUCUUGGGCCCUUACUUACAUAUUAACCGCUCUUUCUCCAUCUCUCGGAUCAAUGUAGGAUAUAAUCCUUUACUCAUGAACCUAUCAGAGUUUCAGGUUGCGAGAUUGGGCAAUGAGCAAAAUUCGUGGUCGGAUCCUAAUUAACUAUUGAGAUCAAGACGAUUGGUAACUGUUACUAAUUGAACAAUUUAAUGAGUGGUAUCUUUGUUUCAAUGACUUGACAGAAAACAUUGAUGGUGAAGGAUGAGAAGUCAAAAAGCAUGGAGAUACUUGACGGUGAAUCUAGACAAGUAAUUCAAGGGUCAAGGAAAAGGUGGAGUCCAAUGUUGAUUUUGGACGUGAAUCGGUGGAGACUUUCUCACACCUCCAACGGUCGAUACUUCAUCCCGGUGAAUUUUAGAUUUUGAUUAUGUUUUUUGGGUGGUAUGGCACGUGUCCCAAAAAAAUAAAGAGAUCAAAUUUUCAUGCGCCAGAAGACUCUGAUAGUUACGAGUUUUUCGUUUUAGGUGGAGUCUUGGAAACUAUACAUGGCGAGACAGUUCUGAGGAUGAGAAGAAGUAUGGUGAUUUUACCACUUGGUUGCCUCAAUGAUCAGGGUUAGAGCUCAUAGAAGGGGAUCCCAAAUUGCAAGUUGUGGUGAGAAGAAAUCCUGCAAAGGGAGAUGCUGAAUUGAGGCACUUUCUCACGAGUCAACUAGAGGUUAGACUCGGGGUAAUUACACAUGUUCAUUUGCUGAUUGAAUCAAUUUGGUGUGAGGACUAUAUUGAUUCAGGUAUGUAGUUCGGUACCAUAUUAUUUGGUAGUUGAAGGCAAAUGGUUGCUAAAAGAAAUUUUCGCCAAGGUGGAAAUUUAUUAGGAAAUUGGCUUAAUUUCUUUUAGAUAGAAUUCUUGUUUUGUGUGGAAAUAAUUAUUUUCCUAAUUGGUUUUAGUUACUCGAAAUAGUAGUCAAGGAAUAUUCUAUUUAGUUUAGAAUUAGAAAUUAUUUCCUAUUCUAUGCAACUCUAGGAAUUAGAAUUGAUUUCCUAUUAUUAUUUGGGUUUUGACCAAAUAAUGAUCUCUAUAAAUGGGUGGGUUGGUAUACUACAAAGAGACACGCAAAGGCAAACAGGAGGCAACAUAUAGCCUUAUAUAUGAGGUGGUGAGAGAGGAUUCUUGGAAGAUGAGAGAUGUUAUACAAGAGUUGAGUUUGGAUUCAAGUUGUAUUCUUGUAUAGGGUUUUCUUCUUAUAAUAAAGAACGAGUUUCUCUCCAUGGAUGUAGACUAAAUGGUGGAGCCGAAUCAUGUUAAAUAUUGUGUAUUGUCUAUCUCUCAUGAUUGUGAUUUGUUCCUCAUUAAAUUGUUGUGCACUUGAUGUCUCAAUAGUUGUUUGUUCCGUGUUUGGAUCCUAACAAGAAAUUUUUAAAAUAUAACAAAGAAAUUACAUUUUACUACUAUUCAUAUCAGUCCGCACGUGAUAUGACAUGUUGCACAAAGGGUGAGGAAAGAACAAGAGAGAGUUUCUUCAACUUCAACUUCAAUUCUUGCUCAAAUCUUGAGAUCCAACCGAUUAAAUUGCAAAUCUCUCCAUAAAACUUGCUAGCUAAGGAAGAUUGAAGCUAUUGGUGGGAAAGGCUAUAGACGGCGAAUAAGAGUUUCAAUAAUGGAGGUUCCCAGGGGCUGAGAUUAGGGUUUAGUCCGGCUUGCAUGGAGGGUCCUCCGUGGCCACCGCCGGCCACAGGGGGCACAUCUGGAGGCACAGCUGCGUCCAAGUCCUUUGCCGACGUGCUUGCAGGUUCAUGUCGGUUGGAGCCAACUGUUCCAGAUCUGGGGCGUUGUGCGACACAUCGAGGCGAACCAGCACUGCUACUUUCUCAGAAUGAUCUGCACCUGUUGUCGACACCAUUCAAAAAAGCACUGGUGGGACGGUUUCCGUUUCGUCGGCCUCCAAUGGAGGUCAUUCGGGGAUUUUUUGUUUCUCUGGGUCUCAAGGGAGAUUGUGAUAUUGGCAUUUUGGAUUUGAAUCACGUUCUGAUCAGGCCAUCAACUGAGGAGGAUUUCACACGGCUGUUCGUGCGUCGUUCCUGGUUUGUGAAGGGCGCACAGAUGCUGGUAUCAAAAUGGACUUUGGACUUUAAAGCCCAUCAGGAUUCGACUUUUGCGCCUGUGUGGGUGUCCAUGCCAGCGCUCCCUUUGCCUUUAUUCAAUUCGGUGUACAUUGCCAAACUAGCAGGUAUGCUGGGGCGAUGUCUGAAGAUUGACUCGGCGACAGUGAAGCUCAAAAGGCCCUCGGUUGCGAGGGUUCUGAUUGAGAUGGACGUGUCGAAGCAACCCCCUCAUCGCAUCUGGAUAGGGGAGGAUCAGGAGGGGUUCUGGCAGGAGGUGGAGUAUGAAUCUUGGCCAAAAUUUUGUGGAUUUUGUGUUCGUUUUGGACAUGACGAUGGAGAAUGUUUUAGGCAACAUCCAGAUCUGAAACCUGUAAACAGGAUGGUUACGGCGAGAGGGAAGUCCAAGGAGGUUUACCGGGCUAAGGGUAUCAUUGGCACUAAUGGGCCUGGUUUAGGGCUCCUAAAGAGUGGGGAGUGUCAUCAGCAUUCGGAGGCAUUGGUUGCUAGUCACAGCAGUGAGGGGAAGCUUGUUACUGAUGCCCUGGGGAGGAAUGCACACGUUGAAAUGGAAGGGACGGAAACUGCAAAGCAACGGACGGCGCCUAACCCAGCGUCGGAAUUACAGGAUCCAGAGGGGGCCUCUACUUUGGUGGAGCCUACUAUUCCGUCGGUAGCUGUUGAAGUGUUUGCUGGUGCUGAGAUUGCUGAUUUUUUGACAACUUCGGACGGAGUUGAUGCUGCAAAUGAGCCGCCGUCGAGGGAGACAUCGGAGGAGCUGCAUGGCGGGGAGAGGGUGGAGUGUGGGAAUAACUUUGCUGUCUUACAAUCUCUAUCAGAUCUGGAAGUUCGGGAUGUCGAUCGCCUCCUUUCCAGUUCGGCGUGUCAGGGUCGGAGUGCUAAGCAGAGACAUAGACGUCAAUGCUCUGACGGGGACAUACCGGGGGAGGCUGCGCCGUGGGAGCAAUUAAAACAUUUUCAGAGAGUGUUGCAUCAAAGGCUGUCCGCGGCUCAGUCAGGCUCGAGACAGAGGGGUGUGAAGGAAAAUUUGGAAGGGUUGGAGCAGCCAGUGACUGCGGAGCAUGGAAUCCCAGGAGCUAGACACAAGGGAGGUCGGCCGGCAAAGGCAGAUACCCAUCAGGGUAAGUUUCAUCCCAAUCCCAAACUCACUAUUCUUUGUGGUCUCAUGUUAAAUCCCAUUAAGGUUGUUGUGUGGAAUAUUCGUGAGGCUUCACGUAAAGAUUCACUGCGUUAUUUAAAUAAGAUAUGCAAAAGUAAUAAGAUCCGGUUGCUGGUUCUCCUGGAACCAUUGUCGGAGCCCCCACAACUUGAGGUGGUACGUCGGUUUCUCGGGUUUGAUAGGGCGUUGGGGGCAUUGAAUAACAAGGUGUGGGUUUUGUGGUAUAAUGACAUGUCAUUGAGCUUCAGGGAAAUGGCGGAACAACUGCUGCACAUGAACAUCGAGUUCUCAUCUGGAUGUUCGGUGCAACUCUCGGCAGUCUAUGCUCGGUGCUCGAGGGUGGGGCGACGCGAGCUGUGGGCAGCAAUGGAAAGUUUGGCAGGCGAAGUGCUGGGGCCUUGGUUACUAGCAGGGGACUUUAAUGUAAUCUCCUGUAUGGAGGAGCGUGUAGGAGGAGCCCCGGCUAAUGAUGCAAAUAUGGAAGAAUUCAAUGAGUCUAUUGGUAAUUGUGGUUUGGCAGAGGUUCCUUUUGAUGGCGCUGAAUUCACCUGGACGAAUGGGAGGAUGUGGCAGCGUUUGGAUAGGGCCUUAAUGAACCGGGAGUGGGCGGAUGGGUAUGAUCCCUCGCAUGUCUCACAUUUGGCCAGGGGACGUUCGGAUCAUGCUCCACUGCUGAUUUGUUGUCAGAAUGGGAAUCCCAGCAAACGGUCAUUCAAAUUUCUAAAUGUUUGGCGGCAUCAUACGGGUUUCAAGGAUGUGGUGCAGAAGAGUUGGGAGAUGCCGGCGGAGGGUGAGGGUAUGACGAGGUUUUAUAAUAAAUUACGGGUGGUGAAGGGUGGGCUGCAAGUUUGGAACGGCCAGGUUUUUGGGAAUAUUUUUAGUAAGGUGAAGGCGGCUGAGGCAGUUAUGAAGCAACGUGAGGAGGAGUUUGACAAUGGACGAGGGUCUGUUUCCAGGGCUGCAUUGGAGGAGGCAAAGGCGGUUUAUGCAAGGAGCUUGGCAGAGGAAUGUGAGUACUGGAGACAGAAGGCGGGCAUCAAAUGGUUACAGGUUGGAGAUGCUAAUUCGGCUUAUUUCCACUCUCGAUACCGCCAGCGUCGUAAUGUUAAUUUUGUGGCUCGCAUUAAGGAUCCGGCAGGCCCAUGGUUGGAGGAUAUUCAUGAUAUCAGGAGGUCCGUGGAGGAGUUCGUGUCCUCUUUGUUCAAUUCGGAACAACAUGGGUGGCAGUCGCCUGGCAUUCCCUUUACGAUGCCCAAGUUGUCUGAGGGGGAUAAUGAGAUGCUAUCGACUGUUCCUGGCUUGGCCGAAUUACAGGAGGUGGUGCAUGGGUUGGAUGCUGAUAGUGCUCCUGGACCAGAUGGGUUUGGGGCAGGUUUUUACCAAGCUUGCUGGGAUAUUAUCAAGGCGGAUCUAUUGGAGGCGGUUCGGGCUUUUUUCCAGGGUAUGCGUUUGCCUUGGAGUUUUACUAGCACUUCUAUUAUUUUACUGCCUAAGCUUGCAGGUGCCAUGCGCUGGAAGGACUUUCGGCCGAUUAGUCUUUGCAACACUUGUUCAAAAAUUAUCUCUAAGAUUGUGGCUAAUCGGUUGGGGAGAGUCCUACCUGCCUUAGUUUCACCAUGGCAAACAGGUUUUGUACCUGGACGGGGGAUAACGGACAACAUCCUUCUCACGCAGGAGCUGGUGAUGGAUUUGGACAGGCGGUUGAGCCACCCAAACCUCAUGUUAAAGUUGGAUAUGGAAAAGGCGUAUGACAGGGUUGAGUGGCCAUUUUUUUUGUUUAUGCUUAGGCAGUUUGGUUUUGCUGAACAUGUGGUAGACAUAUUCUUUCGUCUGGUGUCUAAUAAUUGGUUUUCCGUUUUGGUGAAUGGGGAGGCUGCUGGAUUUUUUAAGUCUACACGGGGUGUUAGGCAGGGGGACCCGGUCUCCCCUGGCCUUUUUGUGUUAGUUGCAGAAUUCUUAGGCCGUGGCUUGCAUCAUCUCUUAAGUAGGCAGCCGGGCAGGUUUUUUGUUUCAGCCGGGACACAGGUGCCAUACCUAGCCUUCGCGGAUGACAUGCUUGUCUUUACAAGAUGCUCGGAGGAGUGUCUGACUGCAAUCAAGGCUUUUCUAGCAGAGUAUCAAGAGGCAUCAGGCCAGAGGGUGAAUGUCGACAAGAGCUCAUUCUUUUUGUCUUCAGGGGCUACUUCGGGGCAGGAGCAUAUGGUGGCUAGGGUCCUAGGAUUUCACAGGCAAUUUUUUCCGUUCGCUUAUCUGGGUGCCCCUAUUUAUAAGGGUCGGCGGCGCAAUGUGUUAUUUGAUGGGAUUGUGGCUAAAAUGCGGGCUCAUCUUGCCCAUUGGAGUACUAGGCUGCUUUCAUUUAGGGGUAAGCUGGUCUUAGCGAGGCAUGUCUUAGCGUCGCUGCCAAUGUACUUACUUCAGGUGGUUAAUCCCCCAAAGGCGGUGCUUACACGUUUGGGUGUCAUUUGCAACGCCUUCCUGUGGGAUCGAAUGGGGGAGAGGCGUACACAUUGGUCGUCUUGGGACAAGUUGUGCUUUCCACUUGAGGAAGGGGGUCUGGCGUUUAGGUCUUUUAAGGACUUGGCAAGGGCUUUUGCGGCUAAACUUUGGUGGCAGUUUCGGAGUGGAGAUUCAAUGUGGGUGGAGUUCAUGCACGCCAAAUACUGUAGUGGGAGUCAUCCAUCGGAAGUUUCAUCCGUUUUGCCUUCAGCUACUUGGCGGCGUCUUGAGGCGAUUCGUGCUUUGGUUGAGCCGAACUUGUGUUGGUGUGUAGGGAAUGGCCUAGUCGAUUUUUGGAAGGAUAGAUGGGUUCUUCAGGACCCGUUAGAGGUGGUUGUGGGUCGUUCUGAGAGGCCUCAUUUUCUGGUGGCGGAGUUUAUUUCUGAUGAAGGCUGGGAUGAGGUUCGUCUUGCUAAGUGGGUUCCGGAUUUUGUCAUUCGUGCAAUCAAGGACAUACCCUUUGAGCAGUCCCAGAAGGAUAGGUUGGUUUGGUCGCUUUCGCCGUCGGGGACUUUCUCGGUCAAGUCGGCAUGGGAGUUGCUUCGACAACGGCGACAUCACUCUUUGGUAGACUCCUUACUGUGGCCGUCGGUUUUGCCAGCAAAAAUGUCAUUUUUUGCUUGGAGGUUAGUGCGAAAUUUCCUCCCUUUGGAUGUGGUGUUAAGGUCUCGGGGUUUGUCUUUCCCUUCGAGAUGUGGGUGUUGUUACCGGGAGGAGGAGGCGCUCUUGCAUGUUUUUCUGACAGGACCGGUAGCUUCGGAAGUUUGGAGGAGAAUCUCUGCCCGGUUUGGCUUUCAGUUGCGUAAUUGCCCGAGUAUGGCGUCGGUUUUUAUCUCUUGGUACUUCACUUCAGCUACAACGGCAAAAAAUCAUAUUCGGGUUUGUAUGCCAAUAGUGGUGUGUUGGUUUCUUUGGGUUGCUAGGAACCAGGAACGCUUUCAGAGAGUGCGGUGGGAGGUGGACAAGAUAAUCCGCGAUGUGGAUUAUUUUUGGGAGCAGCUUGGGAAGGCAAAUAAGCUUCGUCGGUCGCAUUUCAUGGGGGAUGUGGAUUGUGAGUUGGUUCAAUGGAUCAAGUCUCCUGCUAGGAGAAGGGCUCCGUGUGCAAUUGCCUGGGUCAAGCCGCCACUUGGUGUGCUGAAAUUUAACUCGGACGCCAGUGUGGUUCAAGGUCACGCCACGGGUGGUGGUCUGCUGCGUGAUUGUCAGGGGAAAUUGAUUUUUGCUUUCUACAAGGAGUUCGGGGAACAGGAUGUGUUAGGGGCGGAGUGUAUGGCAUUACUGUUUGGUCUGCAGUUGUGUUCACAAAAGGGGCUGCGUCCUUUGUUGGUAGAGGUAGACUCCAAGGCUUUGGUGCAGUUGGUGGUUUCUGGGGCGAUUGCUAAGUGGCCUUUGUGUAACAGUUUGAGGAAAAUUAGAGGUCUACUCAAGGAAUUCUCUGCGUCCAUUUCACAUAUUUUCCGUGAGGCCAACGUAUCAGCAGACAGGUUAGCAGCGGUUGGGGCUUCUGGCGCCCAGGUUUAUGAGCAGGAACUCCAGCUGCCGGCGAUGGUUAGAGCUGCUAUGCUCCUUGACUCACGUGGGGUGCCGGGUGUGCGCUGGAUAAAUGAAGAAGGUUAGACUAGUGCAAUUCUUGGAGGCUGUAUUUGGGAAUGGUGGUUCCCCUUUUCGUUCUUUUGCUUUCAAUAAUAUGUGGGGCGCUUGUCCUCUUUGAAAAAAAAAAAUAUCAGUCCGCACGUGAUAGAUAUAUUAGACUUACGUGGCAUUUUCUGAUUCUUACAACUCAAAUUUUUUUGCCUUGUUAACAAAUUUGGAUCGAUGAAUUAUUAGGGUUCACAAUCGUCCCUACACUCUGUCCAACCUAAGAUAUCCCGCUUGAAGUCAUGGUACUUAAUUCACGAUCAAAUCAAUAUAGUUGUGUCAUUGUCCAGUAAUUAACUCAUGCAAUUAUUUCAACUUUGAGGAGGAUUGGCUUAGCUCAACCUUCUGCAAUUUGAUGGACAAACUGACAUUAAUUUACGCUUUGACCCUCUAAAUUGGGUCUUAGAAACAAUAUGCCUUCCAAAUAUUUUGAGUAUAUACAGUUAAGCUCCUACAAUGACCAAUCAAAGAAUAUAGAUAAUGUUUUAUCCAAAAAUUCAAUGAUAAUGACAUUAACAGCCAAGUAUAAUAGCUGUAUGGUCAAAGAAUCAAAAAUAUUCUAGGAAUCUUUAAAAUAUGCAACGCUCCACUCUCUGUUUCUAAAUUAUCAAGUUAGGGUGGAUCCAACAAUAUUCAUUGAUCAGAAAAAGUUGAGAGAAAACAUUUGAGCGUUCUCAUUUCUCACACAAGAAAACCAAACCUAAAGCUAUGUUUUUCUGUAUUUAUGUUUUUUUCAAUAUUUGUGUUUGGAUAGGAGAUUGUUUGAAAUGUUAUUUAGAAUAAUUAUUGUAGCAUUUUUUAAAUGAUCUAAUGUAUGUGAAAUAAAAGAUAGUUUAAAAAACAAAAAAAAUAAAUUUUAUGAUGCAAACAAAUAAUUUUUUUUGUAAAUAAUGCCUAUUCAAAUGCACUUGUUUUGAUACUCAAAACAACCUUUAUAAUGACAAAAAAUGUCCAUGCAUGUAAAAAAUUGAUGUAUAGAUUUAAGGGUUUCAUGUAUUGUGUUCUCAAUACAGUCCAAGUCUUCGGUUGUUAGGGAGAAACAUCUUAGAGAGAGGCCAUCAAGGAGCCUAAAAUGUAAGUCAGGAAUUCAAUUCUGAGCUAAAAGUUUAACCUUUUAGAUUUUGGACCCUUACUUAUAUAUUAAAUACUCUUUCUCUAUCUCUCAACUAAUGUGGGAUACAAUUCCUUACACAUAAUCUAACAAUAUUACCUUUCAUAAGCAAUAUCUCACAUUAAAUCCAAGUUUACAAACUCUUCUCUGAACUCACUUUAAUACUUAACACAAAAUCAUCUUAACACAUAAGGUCACCUCAUUUUCCAAUCAUGGACCAACUCUUUUCAAUAUCUAAACUGGAUUUUGGACCCCUGCCAACCCUUGACUCUUUGGUCUAACGCCAACUAGACCCUCUGCCAAAUCCAUAGCUCACCUAAUCCAACACCAGUCAAACUCCAUGAUACUUUGGUCCACUACCCAGAAGAGAAUUUUUAUUAGUUCAAUUCUGAGAAAAAUUCACUUGUCCAUGAGUAAUUCAGAUUCAUAACCAGAAAAUUUGAUAUCAUUUGUUAGGCAGAAACACCUUUAAGAGAGAUCCCUUGGGAUUGAGACACGGAACAAACGACCAUUGAAAAAUAAAACACACAACAAUUUAAUUAGAAACAAGCCACAAACAUGAAUGAUAAAUGACACACAAGAUUUAACGUGAUUUGUUAAGAAAUUGGUUUAAUUUCUUUUAGACAGAUUUUUUAUUUUGUGUGGAAGUAACUAGUUACCUAACUGGUUUUAGUUACUUGAAACAGUAGUUAAGAAAUUUCCUAUUUUGAUUAAGAUUAGAAGUCAUUUUCUAUUCUGUACAAGUUUAGGAAUUAGUACUGGUUUCCUAUUGUUAUUUGGAUUUUUUGCCAAAUAAUGUUAUCUGUAAAUAGGUAGGUUGACAUAUUAUACAAGAGACACACAAGGGCACACAAGAGGUAACAUAUAGCUUUGUACAUGGGUGAUGAUAUAGGGUUCUUGGGAGAUGAAAAAUGGUAUACAAGGGUUGGGAUUGAGUUCAAAUUGUAUUCUUGUAUAGGAUUUUCCUCUCAUAAUAAAGAAUAGAUUUCUCUUCAUGGAUGUUGGUUCAAUGAUGAAGGCGAAUCAUGUUAAAUAUUAUAUGUCGUUUAUCUUUUAUACUUGUGGCUUAUUUAUCAUUAAAUUGUUAUAUAUUUGAUAUCUCAAUAGUUGUGUGUUUCGCACUUAGAUCCUAACAAGUGGUAUCAGAGUUUGAUUGCGAAAUUGGGUUACUCACAAGCACUUGGAUCCCAACAAACUGAAUGGUUGGAUCAAGAGUUUGGUGGUUCAAGGUUGGAUCCUGGUUAACUAUUGAGAUCAAAUGAAUUGAUAGUUGUUACUAAUUAAAUAAUUUAAUGAGUGAUAUCCUUGUUUCAAUAGUUUGGCAAAAAGCAUUGAUGGUGAAAAAUGGGAAACCGAAAAGCAUGGAGACACUUGACGGUGAAUCUAGGCAGGUGAUUCAAGUGUUAAGGAAAAGGUGGAGUCCAAUGUUGAUUUUGGAUGUGAAUCGGUGGAAACUUUCUCACACCUCCAACAGUUGAUAUUUCAUGCCGGUGGCUUUUAGAUCUCGAUUACGUUCUUUAGGUGGUGUGGCAUGUGUUCUAGAAAAACAAAGAGAUUUAAUUUCCAGCCGCCAGAAGAUUUUGACAGUUACAAGUUUUUUGUUUUGGGUGGAGUUUUAAAAAUCACACAUGGCGAGACAGUCCUGAGAAUGGAAAGAAAUAUGGUGAUUUUAUACUUGAUUGCCUUAAUGAUUAGGGAUAGAACUCACAGAAGAGGAUCUCGAAUUGCAAGUGGUGGUGAGAAGAAAUCUUAUAAAGGGAUAUGGUAAAUUGAGGCAUCUUCUCAUGAGUCAACUGGAAGUUGGAUUUGGGGUAACUACACAUGUUCAUUUGUGUCAGGACUGUAUUGAUCCGGGUGUAUAAUUCAGUAACAUAUUAUUUGAUAGUUGAAAGCAAAUAGUUGUUAAAAGAAAUUUUCGUGAAGGUGGAGAUUUGAUAGGAAAUUGGUUUAAUUUCUUUUAGACAUGUUUCUUAUUUUGUGUGAAUGUAAAUAGUUUUCUAAUUGAUUUUAGUUACUUAAAGUAGUAGUCAAAGAAUUUCUUAUUUUCUUUAAAAUUAGAAGUUAUUUACUAUUCUGUAUAAGUCUAGGAAUUAGCACUAGUUUUCUGUUGUUAUUUGGAUUUUUAGCCAAAUAAUGUUAUCUGUAAAUAGGUGGGCUGACAUACUACACAAGAGACACAUAAGAGCACACAAGAGGUGACAUAUUGCUUUAUACAUGGGUGGUGAGAAAGGGUUCUUGAGAGAUGAGAGAUGGUAUACAAAAGUUGGGUUUGGAUUCAAGUUGUAUUCUUGUAUAGAAUUUUCCUCUUAUAAUAAAGAGCGGAUUUCUCUCUAUGGAUGUAGUUUCAAUGGUGGAGUCGAACUAUCUUAAAUAUUGUGUGUUGUUUAUCUUUCGUAUUUGUGACUUAUUUUUCAUUAAAUUAUUGUGUGUUCCACGCUUGAAUCCUAACAUGAUUCGAUGCCAUCAUUGAAUUUAUGUUCACGGAGAGAAAUCUAUUUUUUAUCAUGAAAGAAAAACCCUAUAUAAGAAUAUAACUUGAAUUCAAUACCAACCAUUACAUACCAUCUCUUAUCUUCUAAAAAUCCUCUCUCAUUCUUUGUAUAAGGCUACAUAUCGCUACUUCUAAGAUUUAUUUUACAAAAAAUAGAAAAAGCAAGUGAAGGUGACAAUAGUACAAGAUAAAACAAAGAUUAAAAAAAUUAGAGAAGGAAAGAUUGAGAAAAGAAAAGAAAAGAAAAAUAAGAAUAAAGAAACUAAGUACUAGUGGUCAAACCACUACUUUUAGAGUAGUUGGUCACCGGGGAGAGUUUUAAAACUCUUCUUGGAUGUAGGAUCAAAUCCCCCCUUUGGGUCCCCACUUCCCUCUCCCCCUUCUUUUGACCCCUUUGGAUCCCCCAAUUCCCCCACUCCCCCUCCCCAACAAAUUUCACCAAUUGGAUGGUGGUUCAGUCUCCUCUGAAUUCUCCCUUUAAUCUCUUUGGGUCCCCAUUUCCCCUCUCCCUAGCAGUCUCCUCCCCUCUUCCUCCUUCCCCUGCCUUUGAUUUCUUUGGAUCCCCCUUUCCUUAACAUAGAGUAAGAGCAAAAAUAGAAUAAAAUAUAUAACGUGCCAAAAAAAACAAAGAAUACUAGUGAUCAAAACCAUAGAUUGGGUCUCUCCUUAUUUCCCUUCCCCCCAGUUCAAAACCAAAGAUUCAACAAAAAUUUAUUUAAACAACCACACAAAUUUGGAGAACAAGCUCAUAUAUGAAUCAAUCUAGUAAUUAUCCAAGAACAAGUUAUGUCUCCAUACCAUUGCCGCCGCCAACUUUGUUGUCAAUCGCCACUGCCUCCAUUGCAUUUUUCAUAUUUCAUCGCUAUCCCUUUUUCUCUGUUUCAAACACACACCGACAAUGAUGAACAGGCCUUGUAAUAAUUUGUUUUUGGGAUUUAAUAGCCCAGGAAAUUACCCUUCUAUUAAUUGGAAUAUUAUUUUCUAUCCAGAAUCUGAUCUACCCAUUAAUGGGUGAUUUUCGUUGAGUCCAUUUAUGAUUGAAUUUGAGCUAUUGCAUCAGUGUGUGUUUCUAAUAUUUCUAGGAGUUUUCUAAAGACUUUGGAAGAAUUUAGUUUCGAUUUAAGCACGUUUUUACCCCACAUUUUGUGUUUUUUUUUCAUAUCAAGUUUAUUGAAAUAUUCAAACUUUAAAGCUCAAACCUUGACAAAAAAAAAAUUUAAAACUGACAUUGGCAAUUGGAGCGGGAUGCUUCAACUCUGGCGUCUUGUUAGGACAAGUCACGGUUUUAGUAUCUGACUGUAUACUGUAUACGGGGAAGGAUGAAGAAAGAUAAGUAGUAACGUACAAAUUAUGGUUUUAGUACUAUUUGAUUGCAUAAGGGGAAGGAAGAAGAAAGAUAACUGGUAACAGAUUUUUGAUGGGCAUUCUCAGAGUUUUGUCAUAUAUUUGCCGUGACAUUACAGCCAGUUUGUAAAUCAACGUUAGUUGACUGACACAGCCACACAGGGAUGUUUUUGUUAUGGAGCUUUGAGUUUGAGGGACCUUUUCAUAGUUUUGUUAAAAUGAGGGGCUGGUUUGUUAUUUGAUCAAACCAUAGGGGAAGUAAAUGUAAUUAACCCUAAAAUUUUAGGAAAAAGGGGAAUAAAAGGGUACAAGGAAAAGGAAAAUCGUAUCAGGUAAGAGCCAGCAAGGAAUACAGAGCACAUUACAAAAAACAAAGAACCAUAUGCAAUUAUAGAUGAUCAGAAUAGCCAAAAAGCAAGUACAGAAGGAAAAACAGAUGGAUAAAGGAACGAGACUCCAUUAAUUGAUUAAUUCUCACUGACUCUCAAAACAGAAUUGAUAAUAGCAGAUUUCAUGAUUGUAGUAGUAGUUGAUAUCCAGCUAUGAAUUUAUGAAAAACAAGGGAUCCUGUAAUCCAUUAUCACUAUUCAAUUCUGACAUACAGUCAUGGAAUGUUAUCUGCAACAUCUUCAAGAAAACGCCUCAAGGAAGAAAAGGAUGAUCCUCCUUCAUUAGGAGCCAACCUGCUCUUCUCUUUCAUUUCCUUCACCUUCUCUCUGAUCUCAUUCUCAGGAUCCAUUAGAUGUUUAAUCCCUCUUUCAAUCACAUCUGCACUCAAAAUCUCACUACUCACACCCAUUACGAAAUCCCUUUUGAAAUUUAUUUUGAUCUCCACUGCCAUUGCCAAGUCUUUCACCAUUAGGAAUGCAUUCUCCUGCUGCUCUGCAUCAAGCGGCCAAGUUGCCACUGGCACACCGCACCAAACGCUUUCCAAUAUUGAGUUCCAACCACAGUGAGAAACAAAGCCCCCCAUAGCAGGAUGGGAUAGAACUGCCGCCUGUGGUGCCCAUCCAAUAACUUUUCCAACAGUUGCAGUUCGCUGCAAGAACCCUUCUGGCAAGACUUCAUCCAGGUUCUCAUACUCACUUGGAAACUCAAAUUUUUCUUUAGGUGAAGGCGUUCUCAAUGACCAGAGGAAUCGAUAUCCACUGUGCUCGAGUGCAUAGGCAAUUUCCUUCACUUGGUCACCAUCAAAACUACCUCCACUACCAAAGCAAAGGAACACAACAGAACAUUUUGGCUGAAGAUCUAGCCAUUUCAUAAUCAUCUCAGUUUCUUGAUUUUGACUAUUGCUUCCCUUCAGAUUCAAUAUAGGCCCUACUGCAUAUACUGGUGGGAUGGUUUUAUCAUUGCUCAAGGCGUGAAUCGCAUGGGAUUCUAACUCAAGGAAAGUGUUAAUUAUGAUUCCCUUGGUCUUCCUGUAUCUUUGUGCCUGAUCGAGGACCAUGUCGACACCUCCAUCCUUCUCAAACAAUGCAGAUGACAAAAGUUUAGCUAGAACAGGAUUGAUGUAAGUAGGCAAAGCUAAUUCAACGUCUGAAUUCUCGUAAUGGCUCACAUCUUCAUUGAGAUCAUCCUCAGACUUUGCAACUGGAAUAAAACGCCAAGCGUUGCAGCACCACCUGGGUAAAAUAUAUAGGAAGGAACCCCAAAUUCAUUGGCUACAUCAAUCAAAGAGGUGCAAAACAUGUCUAUAACGAUCCCACCAAGAUGCGAAGAAACAGAAUUGGAUAUUUCAGCAAGAACCUCCCUCACACAACUUUUAUGGUUGUCGAUAAAUCGAAACAGAAUCGAAAGAAAAGAUGACAAUUGAGAAGAAGGCUCUUCUUUCAUGAGCUCAAGGUACCUUAUGUGCAAAUUCAGAGUUUCUACCAAUGAAUUUGUGUAGCUACUGACUUUUGGAUCAAAGGGCAGCUUCAUAAUCAGGACGGUGAUCGAUAAUCAUUCAUCACAUUCAACGAGAAGCUUUGCUAGUUCAACACAUGAUACUAAGUGGCCAAUCCUGUAGACACCAAAUUUUUGGUGUAAUUUCAUUUACUGUUUAUUUUUUAGUUUUUUAUUUAUCGUGUUAGUUUUAUUCGAUUGUUAGUUUUUAGUUUCUAGUUUUAUUUUUAUUUUUAAGUUUUAGCAUAGAAUUUCUUGAAAAAAAGAAAAAUCAUAAAAAAGAAAAAAAAGGAAAAUUGUUCACAAAAAUACGUUCAAAUUCAAUCUUGUGGCAUUUUGGUUUAUUUUUGUUGAUUUUGAAAAAAAGAAAAAGGAAGGGAAAAAGAAAAAUGAAUGAAAAAUUGAAAAGCAAUGAAAAAAAGGAAAAAGGAAAAAAAUGAAUUUGCACUUUGUUGUUCUAGUUUAUUUUUUCAUUAAAUGUUAAUUAAAUCAUUUUUGUUAGUUAUUUUUAUUAUUUUCAAUUUUUGUUUUAAUUAAUCUUAAAAAAAAAAGAGAGAGAGAAACUUGGCAUGCAAGCUGCGUUUUGCCGCAGCUUGCAAACACAGGCUUGGGCAGCUCCUUGGCUGCAAAUAAAGCUGGAUUGGCUGAGGGUUUAGAGGUUGGGGGGCUCCCAUAUAAAUAGAAAAAGAAAGGAGAGCCGCAGGGAGAGAGGGGGAUCACAAAGGAAAAACAGGGGGGAUAGAGAGAGAGGGGACGGCGGACUAGAGGAGAAAAAAAGAAAAACUGCAACGGAUGAGAGGGGGUCGGCUAAAAAAGAAAACGGAGCAAAAAGAAACUAAAAAGAAGCAGAGGAAGCCGAGAGAGGUUUCAGCAAAGUAAAACCAAAGAAAGACUGGGAAUUUGAAGAAACCGACGGGCAGAAAGAAAGCAGAGAAAUAAGGGCCGGAUGGAGGAAAAAAGAAAAGCUGGGUCUGAGAGCUUGAGAAACAGGGAAGGCUUACGACUGGAGAAAGGGGAGUAAAAAUGAAGGAGUAGCGGAUAGGAGGGGAAGCAAAAUGGAGUGGCGGCUAGGUUUUUGGGGAAGCUUCGUCUGGUGAGAGCGGUGCAACAAGGAGGGAGAAAAGAGGGGAAAUCAGAGAAGGCUUCGGCUUCAACAAACGGCGAGAAAAUCUGGUGAAAGGGGGAACAAUUAGAGAGGGGAGUUUCAUCUGAAGCUAUAGGAAAAACAAAGGAAAAGAAAGAAACAGAAAAGGAAAAGGGGGGAAGAAAGCUUCGGGAGGUUGAGGAAAACAGAGAGAGUGACGGCGGGCAAAGGAAGAAGAAAAGGUCUUUUGGGAAGUGAAUGGGAGAGCUGGAAGGCUGGAAAAAGGAAAAACAACAGAGCAAGCAAAAAGGGAGCAUUUGAAGAGGGAUUGUGGGCAAGAAAUUGAAGAAGAAAGCAGCGAAGGAAUGGAAGCUUGUAGCCGCACCGUUCACUGGAGCCGCCACUGCUCGCCGCCACAUCGUCGGAAUCCUCCACUGUCAUCCACGAACCUUUACCGCGAGAAAUCACUGUAAGUUAAUCCUCUCCACUACGUUUCAGCUGUCAUCCGAACAUAAACUUUGAAAGAUUUCAGAGCAUGUUUGCUGACGAAUGUGCCGUGUCUGCCGUUAGCAUAUUGUUUCAAAGUUUCUGUCGAUUGUUCAUUUUCUGUAUGUUGAUUAGAUUGGUUUCUCGUGAGUUUGCUGUAAAUUGUGGGGCUGAGUAUAGCUUCAAUUGAGUAAAAGAUUAGUGAAAUUUUUGAUGCCCUUUACCUGUUUGAUGAAAUGCCCGGCUAAAAAUUCUGUUUGAGGAACGAUUGACUUGCGUUUUGCUGUGAUCUUGUUUUUAUCUGCGAAGAAAGCUGAAAUGCUAAUGAUGCUUAGACUGUUUGGAGAAGCUGACUAUUUGUCCCAAGAAUUUUUGCUGUUUUCACUCUUGUUUUGCAUCCUUUCGAUGGGUCUUUGUAGCUUGCAUUUUGGUUAAAUUUCAAAGAUUAGAGUUGUAAGAUCUUGUUGUUUUGGUUUGAAUAUUUGAUGUGCGAUUGGAUGUUGUUUGCGCCUGGCAUGAAUUUCAUAAGAAGUAUUGUUGCAGAAAAUGUCCUGAUUGCAGGCUCUUCCAUUUUGUUCUUUGAUUGACCUUCAAGGGUUGUCUCCUUGCCUGUUGUGUUGUGUGUUGGAGCUUAAUGAAAUGGGUUAAUGAAUUUGAAGAUUUGGUUUAAGAUGGCCUAAGUCGCCUAGGUUGUAUAUGCUGCAAAAAUUAUAGAGAAUUGGUGAUGAAGAAGAGUUUCUGUGAAGAAAAAUGCUUUUCUGCGAAGAACAUGCGUGAAUAAAUCUGAAAAUUUGCAAUUUAAUCCCUCAAUUUCUGUCUAACUUCAUUGUGGCUCAAAAUCUGGAAAAAACCAAACUAAUUUUGUCCUUUUAAAUUUAAUCCUCUGUUUGCAUAUUUUAUGUGACUUUGUGGAUAGAUUAAUUCUUGAUUGUGGGUCAUAAUUGUGGCUUAAUAAUUUUGUUGAUUUGUUUAUCUUGUUGGGUUUAAUGAAAUAAGUGUUUGGGCUAGAGGGUCAAGGCCCAUCCUUUUGGUUGGCUAAUUUUGGCCAAAAUAACAUACAAGCCCACUUGUUUUUUCCUUGGACUUUCGAUUGGGCCAAGUGAUCUUGGCCCAAGAAAAAUGAAAAAUGGCCCAUUCCCUUUUGUUUUGGAUUUCCGGUUGGGCCUGAAAGGUUUUGGCCCAAGCAAAUAAGGAAAAAUGGCCCAAUGGUUUGGUCCAUUAAGAAACCAGAAAAUGAUUUUGCAAAUCAGUCCCUGAAUUUCCCUUUGACUGUACUGUGGCCCUGGAUAUUUUCAACUUCUUUCAAUUCGGUCCUUAAUUUAAUUGCAAAUAGGUCCCUGAACUUUAUUUUUCUUUAAUUUUGACCUCCAAACUUUGUUCAUUUGUGCAUUCAAGUCCUUUCUUCUUUUGACUUCUUGAAUGUGAGUUGCUUACAUGAUUCAAUUGAUUCAAUUUCAAGCUUACCAUUUUAUUUUUUAUGAUUAUUUGUUAAAUAAAGUGAUGCCUUGACUCGUUUAUUAUUUUGGAGGGUAAAUAAGUGGUCUCACUCUAUUGGGGCCCCAAUUCAAGGGAGGUAUAACUUCUUUUAUUUUUUUUUGUCUCUCCUAUGUGAACCAACGUGCUACGUGAGAAUACAUGUCUACUUUGCUUUCCUAGCCUUUCUUUAAUUUCUUUUAUUUAUGUCAUUUACUUUUGCUUUUUAUUUAAGUUAUUCUUUAUGGGGUAUGUGUACACCUCUUGGCUUGUAAUAGUUAGGGAUUUAAUUAUUGUAUUCCUUUCCCCCCCUUUAGAUUGUAGUAGGGUCUCCCUAAUGUAAUAGAUAGGGCUUGGAGGAGCAUUCAAUGAAGACCUAUCGAAGUCAUGUGCCUAGCUAGCAAAUGUAAUAGUUAGGGCUUUAAUCGUCUUAUGUGUCUUGCAUGCUUAGUUGCUACGUGUUAAUUUGCUUUGUUAGGGUCUUGCAUCUAGUCGAGCAUGCUAAAUGUUAUGUGUUAUGUGUUUAUGAGUGUUUGACAUGUCUACUCGCUUUCCAUAGCCAUGAAUGUACGUUUCCACUAGUCCAACGCUAGUCGGAAUUCAUAGAAUGGGCUAGUCCAACGCUAGACCCUUAGGGAUUUCCCCUCGUUAGUACAUGUUUGCAUGUUCAUUACAUGUCAUGCAUUCUUUUAGUUUUAUCAUUUUUCAUGCCCCUCAAACCCCUUUCCCUCCAUUUUAGGAUUUUUGCAUUUCAUGCUAGUUAUAGGGUUCAUAUGCUUGAGAGUCCCCUUCUGAUAAGGGAAACGAGCGAGUGUGGCUACUCGAUAGCCUUAGCACGCUAGUUUUGCUUUCUAAUCAAAAGGAAAAUCGAAGUCGAAAAAGUUAGGAGUCAUUCCCAUACCCGACCUGAUGCAUUCCUUUAGGUUCAUUCAUUCUCAUUUAUCACUUACUCAUUUUUUUCAAUUCACAUUUCCUCAUCACUUUUCCUUUCCUUAUUGUUCAUUUUGAUUUCUACUUCACAAAAUUGCACUUAAUUACACCUAUAUGCACUUAUCACUAUAUUUCAUACACUUGCACACAAACACUUGGAUUUUUCAUACAAUUUCACACGUGCACCUUUUUAUACACUUGCACACUUGCACUUUAGCCAUCAUUUGCAUUAAUCGACCUCUAUAAGGUUUUCCUUUAUUGGCCGCCACAAUUCAUGUGGUUGGGACCAAAAACCUUACAAGAGACAUUUUAGAAUUUAGGUUGGCAUUUUUUCUUUCUUUUUGCAUUCAUGUAGUGCAUCCAAAUGUAAUAAAUUCUUUGGUUAAAAUAAGAAAAACUUUGAUUAAAUCAAGCAACUAGCCUUGGCUAGGUCGAAGGAGUGCCUUGGAUUUUUUUCCUUGCCUUCCCCUUCGUCAAAUGUGACUCCCGAACCUUUUUCGUUGGUUUACGUGGACUAGGAGUCGUUUAAAAGGGGUUUCUUACUACUCUUUCCUAUUUUUUCUUUAAAAAAUUCAUUUUUAGGUGACUUGGUACACCUUAACUCAUUACCAAGUGGCGACUCUGUUUUUUAUUUCAAAAACCCUUUUUAAACUAUAAUUUUGGGUCAAAUCGCCGCAUUCUCAAACCCCCAUUUAGACCCAUUUUUCUUUUAAAUCACAAUUCAUUUUCCAAUCACAAAUUGAAUCAAAAAAUACGUUUUUAAACCAUUUUAUUUAUUUAUCAAAAAAAUGGGGCGCGACAAAUCCCUAGUACAGUAACGAAAACCAGCUCUGCUUUAUUCAUUUCUUUCGUUUUCUCUGCUAACGAAAAUGGCAGAUGGGAUGUGCUUAUGAGCAAAGUUCGGUGUGGAUAGAUUUGUGGCUCUGUUGGGGGGAAAAUGGGAAACCAGAGGAGUAAUAAAUGAUGGAGGAAAGGGAAAUUAGAAAGUGGGGACAAAUGAAGUAAAUGGUGGAUGAAGAAAGAGAGACCAUCGGUUGUAAGGGGAAAAUUGAGGACAGAGGAGGACAGAAAAUUUGAAGAAUGGGGCACUCAAAAUUACAUUAAAAUUAUAUAAAUAUUAUAAGAAUUUAAGGGGAUAGUGGAGGCUCGACGGCCCGUGCCCCAAUGCCCCCACCUUAAAUCCGUCCCUGGUUAUUACCACAAUUUUGAGAGGAAUUAGACCCCGCCUUCAAGCCUCUCAAACCCCUAGUUUUGACUUUUUAACCAGUAUCUCUGUCCAAGCAAGCUUCUCAUGUCUUACUCCUAUUAUUUGUCAAGCAUAUCAAUUAAAAAAAAUGGUGCCUAGUAUUUGGCACUCAUUUCAAUUAGGCGCCCUUUGCAAUGAUAAAUUGGUUAUGUUUUCACAUUUCAAAUUAUGACCAAUGCAAUGAACAAAUGACUUAAUUUUUUUCUAUGGACAAAACUAUGUAAAACCAUAAGUUGUAAAGGUAGCAGAGUCAAUGAUGUAGGCACUGGAUCCCAAAUAACUAACAUGAAGGUAAGUAAUGUUUCUACAAUUUAAGAAGACAAUAUGAAAUGGUCAAAACCUCGAUGGCAGUUUCUAAAAUUAUCCCAAUAAUAUAAGGAAAAGGGAAUAUUGACCCAAAAAAAUCCUUUCCAAGUUGUGGCUUAUAUCACAUGAAAUACUUGUGUCACGGUUGCAUAACAUAGUUGUAUCACCGUCCAAUAGGCUCCGAUUGUAUCUCAAGUUCUAGCAGAACUGGCUAUGCUCUAAUUUCUGUAGUUUCAUGGAAAAUUUGAGGUUAUUUAAUUACACGUUGCCCCUCUAAAUUGGGUCUACUUUAAAUAUGUACACUUCAGCACCUACUAUGAUCAAUCAAAGAAUAGAGAUAAUCUUCUUUUGUUUAGAAAUUUCAAUGAUAAUGACAUUAAAGGCCACCGAUAAUGGCUGUAUGAACAAUAUGUUACCCUUUACAUGAGUACAUAAAGUACUUACUAGGUGGAGAAAUAACAUGCUGAUGUGACAUGUAUGCAAAGCGCCUCUCUCUCUAAAUUAUCAAGUUAGGUGGAUGCAGCAAUAUACGAUCAGAAGAUGCUGGGAGAAAAGUCUUGAAUAUUCGCAUAUGACCAAACCACGUUAAGCUAUGUUUUCUCUUUUUUCAGAUGCCGUUUCAAUACGCAAACCUACCUUUAUCUAAAAUAUAUAAAAGGGGGAAGGGGGAAUAGCUACAGUACAACCAUGGGUUGGUUUCGAUGAUAAUUCUGAUGACUUUGUGGGGUGUCUUGGUCUUUACACCGUACAUGACCUGCAAUGUGUUCUUGCCUCUUCCGUCCUUCUAUAAUUGGUAAAUUCUGUAGUGUAUUCAGCUAAUCCAAGACAGGUGUGGAAAGGUAAAGAAUAUGGCAAAGAAGCUGACAUGUACGGAGGAUGAUGAGAAUAUUUCUACAAAAGCAAUUGGUGACCUAUAAACCCGUUGGGGGAUGGGGAAAUGUUGCGUACUGCAGAAGCUGGAAAUGUAUUGGGGUGUGACAGAAUUAACAAAAAUAUAAUGGGCCUGCGAAUAAAACACCGAAAAGAAAGCGUAAGUAGUACUAAACACAGUCAUACUUGGCUUUGAAGCAACAUAUAGUCAUAUUGAAUAACGAGUUGAGAGCCUUUAAGAAGUGAAACUUAAGAAAAUAAAUGUUUGAAAUAUUAAGUUUUUUAAUUAUCUAAUUUAUUUUGAUUAUAGACGCUCUAAUAUAUAGUCAUUUGGAAGACUUCUAAAGCUGAAGUACUGAAUCCUUUUUGGACUUUUAAUAAAUUUGAGUUAUUUUUCUUUUGAUUUCUCACUUUUCUAACAACUUUUAUCUAACCUACUAAAUUUGAAUUAUUAAAAUUGAUUUUAAUUGUUAUAUUAGUAAAAUAUUAACAUUUGUGAAAACUGGGUUCGUGGGAAGACAGAUUGUUGCCUGUUUCACAUUUAAUUGAAUACAAAUAUCUCUACUUUACAUAAAGCGUCCAAGGUUGAGGAACAGUGAAUUCCAAUUGAUUCUCCCGAUUAUGAGCAUUACAUCAACAAAAUACUAUCUAUUUAUGGGCAUUUUACUUUGAAUCAUUACAUUUAUGUAAAAUACAUAAAUAUUUAUAACUAAAAUUGAAAAACUGUUACACUAAUAUUUUUACGAAAGGAAAAUUGGUUGUCCUGUAUUUAACAUAAACUGAUUUUUGUGAAAGUAAAAAACAUAUUGCCCAUAACAUACCUCCUCUUUAUGAUUUUUUUGCAUUAUAUCAACAAAAUACUAGUUAUUUAUGGGCAUUUUACUCCGAAUCAUUACAUUUAUGUAAAAUACAUAAAUAUUUGUAACUAAAAUUGAAAAUGUGUUACACUAAUAUUUUUAUGAAAGGAAGACUAGUAAAUUUUGUAUUUAACAAAUUUUAAAUAUGUGAAAGUAAAAAAGUUUUGCCCAUAACAUACCAGUUCUUUAUGAGUUUUUUGCAUUACAUCAACAAAAUACUAACUAUUUAUGGGUAUUUUACUCUGAAUCAUUACAUUUAUGUAAAAUACAUAAAUGUUUGUAAUUAAAAUUGAAAAAGUAUUAUAGUUAUAUUUUUACGAAAGGAAAACUAGUAGAUUUUGCAUUUAACAAAUUUUAAAUAUGUGAAAGUAAAAAAGAUUGCGCCGAUAACAUUUUAUGGAUUUUUUUGCAUUACAUCAAUAAAAUACUAGCUAUUUAUGGGCAUUUUACUUUGAAUCACUACAUUUAUGUAAAAUACAUAAAUGUUUGUAAUUAAAAUUGAAAAAGUUAUACACUUAUAUUUUUAUAAAAGAGAAACUGGUAAAAUUUGUAUUUCACAUAAAUUAAAUAUGUUAAAGCAAUAUUAAAGGUGAUUUUAUUAGUUAUUUAAUUUGUUGGUAAGAAACAAGGUUUCUUUUGCAAAAUUUGUUCAUUAGAUUUUUCCAAAUAAUUAGGAUAUAAAGAUAAAUUUUCACAAUCUUUUAUUAGCAAUAGACCCCAAUUUCCUCCUAGGCAGUGACGAAGCCAAGAUUUUUUCCUUGGAGAGAGGGCCAAAUGAUUGACAAAUAAAAUUAUUUUAAUAUGUUAUGCUCAAAAUAAUUUUCAUCUAUUUAAAUAUAUGGCAUCCUAAAAUAUCAAAUAUUAACUUUAAUUAUAAAGGUAUGUCUAUUUAAUAAAUAUGUAGUAUAGUCAUAACUAAAAUUAAGACAAGAAAUAACAUUUGAUUAAAUAUCUUAUAGGAAAAAAUGCACUUUUCAUCCUUAAAGUUGGGUGGUUGGCCAAUUUUAUCCUCAAAAUUUCACCCCAAACAUAUUGCAUCCUCAAAGUUGCGUAAUUUUGGCCAAUUAAGGACAAUUGACGAGAAAUGAAGAAUUGAUCGUUAGAACCAAUGAUUUUACCCAACAAAAAAUGGGUAAGACCGAAUGGAGCCAUUUUUAACGGAAUAAUUGCAACGGACAAAAAGCUCAAUUCUUCUCCUUCUUCCCUCUGCCUUUCUGCAACCCCAAAAUUUUUUUGCCAAUCUCUGGAGUUUUAACGACCGUUAUACAACUUUCAAAACAAAUAAAUUCAUUCUAAACUUUUAUUUGGGAUUAUUUCAUAAACCAAAUCGUGGUCACUUUCCAUAAAGUAUCACUUUCCCAUAAAAGACUAGCUCUUUAUGGUUUUUCUCCAUUAUAAGAACAGAGUACCCAUUUUUUUCAUAAUUAAAUUUAUUUAUCAAAUAAAAUAAAAAUAAAUCCAUUUUCUAAUAAAAGACCAGCUCUUUAUAACUUUUCUCCAUUAUAAGAACAGAGUACUCAUUUUGAAGGCAAAAAGGAAUUUGUUUAUCGGAUAAAAUAAAUAUAAACUCAUUUUUCAAUAAAAUACCAACUCUUUAUGGCUUUGCUCCAUUAUAAGAAAAGAGUGCCCAUUUUGUCAUAAAUAAAUUUAUUUAUCGAAUAAAAUAAAAUUAUACCCGUUUUCCAAUAAAACAACAGCUCUUUAUGAUUUUUUUUCAUUUUAAGAAAAAAACACGGUUCUAUGGGCAUGCAAGAGAGAAGGUUCUUGUGUAAAGUUCUUAUAGAAGAGGCUACGGUGCAUGGGCAUACAACAAAUGGAGGAGCCGACGGUGCAAGGAUUCAGUGAUUUGAAUCAAUUGCUGCUGGAUUAAUUUACAUUAUGGUUAACAAACUUAAUGAUUUAGUCCGUCUAACUUAGAGAGAAAAUGGGUGACAGUUGGAUGGUGUUCCGAUAAUGAUAAGACUGGCGCCAAUGAUUCUUGUUGGAGAAGAUGCAUCACUUGCACCUGUCUAUUCAGUCGAACGCUACUUCCACAGGUAUUGAACGGUGUUGCUUCGAUGGUGGCCCACCUCUCAAUGUGAUUUUCAAUGGAAUAAGAUUUGCACGGUACAUGUAGCAAAUUGUCAUGGCCCCUGUUUCUUCACAUGUGUGUAGGGGCGGUAAUUGUCAUAAAUUGCUUACAACUUAUUCCCUCCAAACCUUUUCUUAUAAUGGAGUUUCUGAUUUUAUCCAAGUAAUAAAUUACUUCAGUGAAAAAAGGAAAAAUAGAAAAUUUAUGGAGGAAAGUCACAAAGAGCUGGUGUUUUAUUGGAAACCAUCGACCCCUUACCAAAGAUGAUCAAAUGCAGCUAAAUGAUUUUCUUGCAAGAAAGUUGCCGAAAGCAGCUUUGUGACUGUAGUUGCUACUUUUUUUUUCAACCAUAUUUUUAGCAAGAGGUAUCAUUAAUGUCAAUAUUGAGAUAUAGCAAAAUUUGUAUACAAAAUAACAAACCAAUUUGUCAUUACAAAUACAAAACGAGCAACAAUAUAUUACAACCAAUAUUAUCAACAGUACAAAACACAAAGAUACUCAAAUCAAAUCCUAAUUAGGCUUUAAUAUGUACAACCAAAAUUGCUAGGGAUAACAAAUGCUAAGAUAGACGUUGUGCCGAUAUACAAUGAGUAUCAUGUUUGCAUUAAUUGGCGAAGUCCAUAAUCAAAGUAGCUUGUAAGAGCUUCAUAGCCAGGUUUACUACAAUCCACCAUCAACCUACAGAGUCCAAUGGAAAAAAAAUUAUUAAACAGAAAUUUACAUUGGUAGUUAGAUAAAUUAAACCUGCAUUAGCCUACAUAUAUCAACUAAGACAUUGAUCCUCAUAUUGUUGCAUGAAAAGAAAUGAAAAUGAGGGACUUUAAAAGAAAUGCUAAGGAUCACUUUUAUUAACCACAAGUACAAAAUUGAACUGAAUUUCAAACUACAAGUUGGUAGCAUGUACUUAAGAUGAAUAAAUCAUUAUGACCCCAAUUGACAUGAAACCAAUUGUAAAGUAACGCCAAAGCUAUUUCCUUUAACACAAAAAUAGUAAUUGCAUUCACCCAUGCAGCUCAUUCAAAAUUGAGAAGUAGCUAAGCAAGCGUCACAUUCGGACUUGGAAAGCAUGAAAUGAACUUGGAAAAAGGAAUUAGAUUUUACUGCCAACAAGGCUUCCAAGGUGCAAAUAGCCAAUGAGAUCCUUUUUUUCUAAUCCUUAUUAUUUUUGUCCAGUAUGUUCACUUAAAAGAAAACUAUAUUCUAUUUACUAGAUCUUUAGUUAAGAAAUAAACAAAAAAUUAAAUCAUCAAAAAGCAAAAAGACCAAAGGCAUUAAAACUUGCACAAACAUUCAGGAGGAGGAGAAGUUAUUACCUAAGAGAAUCACAUGCAGCGCGAUGAAACCAUUAGAAUUAGCCCAAAGGAAGGGAAAAAAUAUGCUUCACGAAUGGUCCUACAACACUGAAACACAAAACAAUAGAUAAUGAUGAACCACCACAAACCAGUCCAAAGACAAGCAAAAUCACCUACACCAUCAAUCCUAAUCACCAACCCGAGUAGAAAAUCAUCCAAAAUUUCGGUUAAGUCACCGAAUAAAUAAGGCUUAAAUCUUAGAACAUGUCAUAAUUAGUGUUUAGCAUUCAAAAAUUGUGUAAGAUACAGGGUUUGGAACAACAAAAGGGGACAACUAGGGCUGGGCAACGAGAGGUACAGAGGAAUGGGAGUGAAAGUGGUAAAGAGAGGAGAUUGAACAAUACGACAAAGCAAGGAAAAAAUCAAAUUGUGGAAGGAAGAAUUGGGGAAAAAUCAAAUCGUGGAAGGAAGAAUUCUAGUAUGAAAAUAUGUUGGAGACUACCUGAAAUCUUAUAUCUGAAAUUUUGACGGGCCGUUUUCAUUUUGCCUUCCAGUAAGACCCCUUUCUCUACUUCAACUGAGAUGCCCAUUCACUCUAAUCCACUGAAGUAGAAGCUUACAAUUUCAAAAAGUUUAUCUUGCGAUUGUUAAAUUGACCAAAAAUGCAAGAAAAAGGCAAUUGACAAAACAGAAAUGAAAAUAACAUAUUAAAAAACCUAUACCAUCGUUUUUCCUUGAAGUCUGCCAUUGCAUCGGAAGGGUCUUUAAAGUAUGUCCAUGAUUGUAUAAAUUCAGAUCUGGAUGCCAGAGAGGAAGAGGGGAACUAUAUGUCUACGGGAAACUGAAAAUUGAUAGAGAGGGAAAGAGAGAUAGAAGGAGAAAGGUGCAGGGGAGGUUGCGAUUGAACUUUCGAGGGCUCUGAUCUGAGAACAAUAUUUGGGAAAGUAGCCUUGCAAAUAUGGAAGGCUUGGAAUUCAUGUGGUGCUAGGCUUGACAAGUGCUGUGCCGGGAAUGGUUAAAAAAUUUUCAAUGCGCGGCUCUACUAAAAAUUGGAAGGGAGCAAAAUUUUGAAAUUUUCACAAAAAAACACCCAUGAUUUCUCACCAAUAACAUAGAAACUUUGGCCCACUAGAAUCAAUAUUUGGAGGGAAGCUUUCCCGCACUCCUUUUGGCGAGAAUUUUAAGCGAGAAAAGUCCUUGCCCUCGCAGAGUAUAUGAUGGCUCCAAUUUUUGGCGAGGUAUUGUCCUUUUCCUUGCUAUAAGCCUUCUAAGAGCGUCAAGCUUUCUACUUCUUGCUAAAGUUGUUGUCGCUAAUAUCCUUUUUUGUUGUAGUGAAAGGAGGAAAACCAUAAAGAACUGGUAUGGUAUCAGAGUUUGGUCUCCUAGAGAUUAAGUUCAACCGGCUUAGGAGUAGAUAUGACAACCAACAAUGCCAUGUUCUUUGAGGGACAAUCUGUUACAAGACCUCCAAUGUUCAAUGGAUCAAACUAUGUGAGCUGGAAGGAAAGGAUGAUUAUAUUCUUACAAUCUAUUGAUAUUGAGUUGUGGUUUAUUGUAAGUGAAGGUCCAUAUGACGCAACUAUUAUUGAUGAAACUACUCAUAGGCUGAGACAAAAGGCCAGAAGUGAGCUGACUGCUGAAGAUAGAACUCAUCUCACUCUAAAUGCCAAGGCUAUGAAUGUUCUAUACAGUGCAUUAGACUCAAAUGAGUCUAUUAGAGUCAAAGGCUGCAGAUCUGCAAAAGAAAUUUGGGAUAAACUUAGAGAGAUCCAUGAGGGAAGCGAGAAUGUGAGAGAACAAAAAAAAUCCAUUCUGGUCACUAAGUAUGAAUCUUUUAAGAUGGAACCUCAUGAAAAUAUUGACAAAAUGUAUUGUAGAUUCAAUGAUCUGAUCAAGGAUUUAGAGGUGCUUGAGAAGGAGUAUUCUCUAAGUGAGAAGAACAGAAAAAUUCUGAAUGCUCUAUCAAAGGACUGGGAAAGCAAAGUGACUGCCAUUGAGGAAGCCAAGGAUCUAAAUACUUUAUCCAUCGAAUCUCUGAUUAACUUUCUAACUUCUUACGAACUGAAACUUAAAUCUAAGAUGCAGGAUGAUGAAGAUACAAAAGUAAGAAAGAAUAUUGAUCUGAAAGCUUCACAAGACGAAGAUGAAACAGCCUCACAGGAUGAAAAUGAUUUGGAAGGUGAUGACAGUGAUAUUGCACUCAUCACAAGAGGUUUCAAAAGAUUUCUCAACAAGAGAAGAUUCAGGAAAGGCGAAUCCAGCAAUUCCUUCCCAAAUCAGUCUAAUGACUUCAGAAACAGAGGGAAACUGCAGUUCAACAAGAAGCUGACUGAUAAGUAUUUGGAAUGUGGCCAACCAGGAUACUAUGCAAAUGAGUGUCCAAUGAAGAAAAAGAAGGAGAACAAGGUUGAACGAAAAUCAAAGUUCAACAAUUUCCAAAUUACCUGGAAUGAUUGCAACUCAGAAGGCGAAGUUGAAGAAGAAGAGGAAUCUACUCAAGUGGCUUUCAUGGCCAUUGGAGAUGAAGAGGUAACACAAUGCAACUCUCAAACCAACAGUGAUAGUGAAUCUGAUGAUGAUGUUAAUUCUUUUCUAGAAAAAAUGCAUAACAGCUUGAAAGAAUCCUAUGUUAAAAACAAGGAACUAAAACAGAAAAUUAGCUUUCUAAUAUAAGACAAUGCAAAUCUUUUUCGACAAAAUAAGUGUCUUAAACAUGAAAAUGAGAACCUGAAAAGGACUGAAACUGAUGUGCUUGCUGAACUUUACAAAAAGAAAAAUUUUUGUGACAUAUUCAGAAGUGAGCAAUGUAGCUUAAGAAAAAGGAUGGAUGAUUUAUGUCAAUUGUUACACCAUAUGAAACAGAGCCGUCUUCAAAAGAAUGACACUGAACCUUAUGUUAAUACUCAUCAAAUAAGACUGAAUCAAAAUGCAAAUGAGUUUGCUAUCCACAGGAGAAGGCAAGUCAGAUUCAUUAAACCUGUUCAUUUGAUUGAUCCAAUGUCAGUAUGCAACCUUUAUUGUCAAUUUGGUCACAUGAAUAGCAACUGUUAUGUUAAGAAAAACAUGAGGAAUGACAUGAGAUGCAUGUGGAUAGUUAGACAUAAGACUAACUCUCAAGGACCCAACAUGUAAAGGGUACCACGUAUUAUCUUGUGGGUUUGUGUGUAGGUGAACCAGGAUAACAUUGCUAAAGAAUCAAAAUGGUUCAUUGAUAGUGGAUGUUCAAGACAUAUGACUGGUGAUGCAUCACAAUUCAUUAAACUCAAGCAAAAAGCAAGUGGAAAGGUAACGUUUGGAGAUGAUAACAAAGCCAAAACUGUUGGUAUUGGUGAUGUUAGUAAGAAUGGUCAAACCUCUAUCCAUAAUGUUCUUCUCGUUGACAAUCUGAGCUACAAUUUAUUAAGUGUUAGCCAACUGUGUAAUAGGAAUCUGUUUGUAUUGUUCAAAAAGAUUGAAUGUCUCAUAUUUGACUCAAAAUUCAACAUUGUUUUCAAAGGAAAAAGGGUUAAUGAUGUCUAUGUAGUUGUUCUUGAAAAAAUUGAUUCCUCCUAUCUCAAAUGUCUUAAAGUAGCAAAUGAGGACCCAUGGUUAUGGCAUAAAAGACUGUGUCAUUUCAACAUGGAUUUGUUAAAGGAAAUCUCUAAAAAAGAUCUUGUUAGAGGUCUCCCAAAAAUCAGAUUUGAAAAGGACCGGAUAUGUGAUGCUUGCCAAUUUGGAAAACAAGUCAAGGUAUCUUUUAAACCCAAGAAACGUGUUUCUACUUCAAAACCACUUGAACUUUUAUACCUUGACCUAUUUGGUCCUACACAAACUUAGAUGUAUUAUUGUAUAUGCGUGUAUUAUAUUCCAUUCUGGAGAGUAUGUGGCUCAUUUAUGGAUUGGUAAUGUCGUCAUGUAACUGCAUGCUGAGCUAAAUGAGUUGUAUAAUAUUAUUGUUAGUAGGCAUACUGUCAUAAUACACCAAUGUCAGCUGCAUAUGAAGUGGACCUGACAAACUGAAUUGAGUAUAAUAAUUAAGAUUGACUUUAUUCAAGUUACAUCCAGAUAAGCCUAAUGUCAUUUUAAGCCAAUUGGAAAGUUACAGUGUGUUUGAAAAAUUGUUAGUUACAUUGUAUUUAAAAACUAUUACAAAAUAGUUAUUGAAAAGUUACAGUAUGUUUGAAAAUUGUUACCAAAAAAAUUAUUUAGGAAGUUACAGAUUAAAAAUUAAUACAAAACUCCGUAUUUGACUAUUUGUUGACAGUGUGUUUGUAGGUUGUUACAAAAUAGUUAUUAGAAAGAUACAGUGUGUUCGAAAACUCUUACAAAAUAGUUAUCUGGAAUGUUACAGUUUGAAAAUUAAUACAAAACUCCAUAUUUGAAAACUGUUAGUUACGAAGUGCUUGUAAGUUGUUACAAAAUAGUUAUUGAAAAGUUGAAUGUUAUUGAAAACUAUUACAAAAUACUUAAUUGGGAAGUUAGAGAUUGAAAAUUAAUACAAAACUCCAUAUUUGAUGAUUGCAUGUUACAGUGUGUCUGUAGGUUGUUACAAAAUAAUUAUUAAAAAGUCACAGUGUGUUUGAAAACUGUUACAAAAUAGUUAUUUUAGCAGUUACAGUGUGAUCCAUACAACAGAACACAAGCAGACCACAUAUAAAUUUGGACCCAGUAUGGGGUCCAUACAUGUCACGUUUGGACCCAAGAAUAGUUUUCGUAGUUCAAAAUUUGUUACUCAGAGCACAUAUAAAGUUCGUACACGUGCAUUGUUAUACAACAUCGAUCCGAACAUAUCGACUAACAAGCAUACCUCUAUAAAAUUUGAUUGCAUUAUUAUCAUAGUAGAGAUCAAAACAUAUGCGGCCUUAGUUACGCUGGCAUUUCUAUAUCUUUAACAACAAAAUCGACUGGGAUUUCAUAUGUACUCAUUUUCACAAGCAAUAUUAGUUGCUAGUUUACAUCUUCUAACGCCGCAUAUUACCACUCGAGAAAAUAGAGUGGCCAUUAAUGAAUGGCCAUGAUUUGUUAUAAAAAAUUCCAUGACUACUUUUUAAUGCAAAUUGAGUAAUUAUAAUUGUUAUUUGUUUCUAAAUUGACCUUUUACCAUGACCAUUACCCCAAACGUUGAAGCCAAUUAAGUUGAAUGUUUGGUGAAUAUUUACAAUUACGUGGUAACUCCGUCCAAAAUUUAAGUUUAGAUUUUAGGACACCUACUAUUUUAAUACAACAACUUUCUUUACAUAAUAUUUGCUUCUAAAUAUUACUUUUAUUACGAAUGCAUACCCUUUUUUUGUUGAAGCAAGCAGGACCAUUUUGUGGUUUAUCACGAGUGCAUAUAUCACGACAUAUCACGAACGCAUAUAUCACGACUGUCAUUUGUUGUGGUAUUCUAUGAAAAAUACCAUAAUCAUAAAGAAGCACGUUCAAUGGUAUUGUAAAAAUGUUAAUUUUCAGUCAACUUUAUAAUUUCUUAACAACUUUAUACAACCCAUUACAGAACAAUUGAUGACUACUAAUACUGGAUAUGAUUACAAUUGUAAUCCACUUGUCUAAAUUUGAAUAGAGUGAAACAUUGAAGGUGCCUGUCCAGGCACAUGAAUAACUUAUAAUAGCUUAUUAACUACUUGUAACGUAGAUAUACAGCAUUCUCAAUUAAGCCGACAUGGAGGUCUAAUAACAAAUGUUCUUCGAAAAACACCGCAAAUCUCGUUCAAGAUAACUAAUGUAUGAAAAUAAAAAAAAAAAUCUAGUUAGUUAUAGUCAACAUGCACUAAUUCAUUUCAACAUUGCAGAUUAAAAGAAACUGAUAAUAGGGAAGCGAUUGAAACUGAACAAUAUCUUCAACAGAGAAGUACUAACAUCAAUAAAUGAGGUCAAUUUGGUGAAUGGAUAAUCGAAACUAAAUACACGUAAUGGAACAUACGGUUAAUAAUAUACGAUGUCCAAGACAUCCAAUUAACAAUACUACAUAAAUAUGUGAUGGAACGAUAAAAGUUUGUCAUCCGUGGUGAUGGUGAAAAUACAUGAUAUGCAUCAAUAUCAUAGUGUGUUGAAAUUGUCGCAUGCUCCUCCUACAUUAUAUAAUAUAACUAUUCAACUGUCAAUAAAUCAUUACCAGUGCCUAUAUUGCUCACUUCAAAAGCUAAAUUGGACUAAACAUUAUAAAAAAAAUUAUAUAUCAAACCAUUAAUAUAUCUCUGACGGAGUUAUGUUUGAAAAAAUAGAAAAUUUAGGUGCAUCUAUUCUGUAGGGACUAUCGCAGGAGGCUCCUGAUUAACCAAACGGUGGACCUUCGGAUAAUACAAAAUAAUAUGUCAUAGAAGCAAGUAUACGUUAACUACAUAAUAUACAUGCGUUGAAGCGUUCAGGUGUCCACCAUUACAAUAAUCAAAAAAGUAGUUUUACGAUACGAACAACAUCUUUAUUUUUUCAACUAAAUGUAUGCAUAUCAUUUCACUUUUUUUUAUUUCGGGAGCAACGGCGUUUGGAGGAUCAUUCACUGAUUGGCUCCUUGAAUGCGUUUAUGAGUUUUGAAUGGCUCCUACAUUAUAUAAGACAGACCAAAUAAGUAUGUCAGGCGUAACAAAAUUAUCACAUAAUGUAACAUCCAUGUAACUAAUUAUACCGUUAGAAACAUUUAAAUAAAAGCUAAAGCCAUGGCCAUCACCUCUUAACAUAUUCAGAAGGAAUUGUCUUUAUACCCACGGUAUCAAAUAACUUCAACGCGUGCCUAUACAAAAUUCCUUCAAUCUCAUAUUGUUUGCAACUACAGCGUACAUUUAGAUCAUUCCGAUUGAAUACCACUAUUCUUUCAGGUCCUCCAUCAUACCUUAUGACCGCAAACUCCUCAAAUAUCCCUGCAUCUUGUUGUCUUAAUAUAAUCAUAGUUGUUGACUCGCCGUAUUCAUUUUGGAAUGCAUCAAAUACUGUUAGUGAAUACGUCUCUACUGCAUGCACAAGUAUACGUGUUUGCCUCAACCCAAUCAUGGACAGUUUUUGUCUUAUUUCAUAUUCUGCGAUGAGUUCAUUAUGUCUCUUAUCAUCAACCACUCGAUUGAAAUGUUUAAACAACUACACAAGAUCGUGAUCCAGUUUCAAUGUGCAACUCAUGGUUAUGCUCUAAGACAAGGUCAUGCACAUGGUACUUCAUUGUCCCUCUAAACAAUACAAUAACCAUUUUAACUCCACACCCUGUUUUCGUCAGUGCUCGUGCCCUCUUUGGCAUCACAUCACUUUCAUACUUGCGCUUCACACCUUUCUUGCAGCAACUAUAUCUCCUAGACGUGAUCACUCCGUUUUUGUCUUUAUUUAAAUAGUCUUUGCAUACACUAACAUCCAUUUUAGAGGCAUAUUUAUUGUAAAACUUGUACGCAUCCUCUUCACCGUUGAACUCUAUUUCUAACUCAAGGGUCCUAUCUUCUGCCAAUUUGCUGCAAUCCAUUACUUCUGCUCCUACCAAUUAUGCAUCAAAUACCAUAAUUUGCAAUACUUCAUGAAUAGUAUGUAUAUAAACAACAAUAUAAAUGUAUAUUACCGUUCAUAAUGUGAUAUAAAUCACACAUUACUCGUAUACCAAAUCCUAUUAUUAUGCUUAUGAAUAUGAUUAAUGAUUCACAUCACUUUACUUUGACUCUAAGACAAUGGUAUUAUUAAUGUACAAAUACAUUCCAUGUACACUAAGUUAUAUGGACUGUAAUAUGUUGGUCAUACGAUGUAAGUCUUUUUUAACUGUAUGUACAUCCACUCUGGUGAUUAUAUUUAGAUUCUAGGUUCCAUAACUCACUGAACCUUAUGUCAUUCGUUAAUUAUAUAAGUCUAAGCCAACUCCGCAUUUUAUACUAUUUCUACAUUUUGAGGGCCAAACAAGUAUUUUCUACUCAUUGUAAUAUAUUUCUUACAUCAUGUAAUUUAUUUACAACACUAGGUACACCCAUUUGUUAUUCACAUCUAUUUGCCUCUUUUUCUCUGUUUCACCUCAUUCAACUCUAUACCUCUAUUUUAUACACACUGCAUGGUCCGGAGAAAGGCAAACUAAGAUUGUAUAAUGAGCAUGGAUCAACUAUUAGAUGCACAAUGAUUCAUACCAAUUGUAAUAUGGUGGCUAUAACCUGUAACUUAUUUACAACAAGAUGUACAUUCAUUCACUUGUUACAUGUGACUUUGUUUCUCUCAUCUUUCCUCAAUUCCGCUUGAUGUUUUACUUCAAUACAUACUCUUGGAUUUUCGGAUAACUACUAUCUCAUUAUAGUUCAUCACUAAAAAGCUGAACGUUCACACGCACACACAUAUGGUACAAAUUCACUAUUCUUCACAACCAAUAUUAUGUUUUUAGUGACUCUAAUUUCAUCCCUAAACCCUAAACCGAUGUGCAUUGGGUGACAAAUGAUUGGCCACAAUUGAAGACGAUGGUUCAGUCACGUUAUCUUGGUAUGCUAAUACGCUUUAUGUUUCACCGAAUUUGGAGAGCGCAGUUACUUUUGCUAUUAAGUUGCAUGACUAAACCAAGUUCGUCAGAUGAUGAAUUUCCUCUGUUUGCUUCUACCUUCACUUUGCUUCCUGUUGCUUCUAAUAGUUUACUUCAAUUUGCUUCAUAAUAGUUUGCUUCACGACCUUCACUUUCAACUAAGUUUGCUUCAAUUUCCUCUCUCUUUGCUUCCUCUGUUAGCAAACAGUUCAGUCAGGCAACCACUCUCCAGUCGUUUGUUUCCUUGGUUCAGUCGUUUGCUUAUGCUAUUAGGGACUCAGAGAGCACCCUUUUCGGUCGAUUUUGUUUUGUGUGGCUAUUUCAAAUUUUCAACUUUCAAAAUUUCAACUCUUCCGUUUGCUCCGUCUGUUACCGUUUAGGCUAAUGCAAUUUUUUUUUGAAGCACCCAUCAUUUUUUAGUCUUCCUGACGUGGUUAUUUCUAGUCCUCAAGGUUGUGUUUGUGAGGGGACCGUUCAGGGACGGUCAUUCUGCCGUCCCUGCCCCGUAUCCAAACUACCAUGUUUCCAGGAUUUUUCCCCAAUAAAUGUAAAUGUACUAUCAAUAAAUUGCUUUGUAAUGUUGAAUUGUGAAAUUUUAUUAUCAUUAAUCAAGCUAGUCAUCUAACUCAAUAUAAAGUAGUUUCUUUUUCGAUUUGACAUUUAAUUAUCUUUAUUUAAAGUUAAAUGCACUUAAUUCUCCUCAAUUUUAUCAACUUUAUGCAUUUCAACUCAUUAAAUAGGCAUGUUGUCCCCCUACUUGAUGUUUUAGAACAAGAGUACUCUUACUUUAUAAUGAUCUCAAGGAUAAAGUGCGAUGCGAAGUAAUAUUGCGAGAGUUUUAUAUCUGUUUCUAACUUUUCAAAGUUACAAUGUCCUUCAUGUUACUACAAUCCUAUUCUGGGAUAGCAAUGGGAUGGGUUUGGAAUGGGAGAAGUGCCAUCCACUAAUCCGCUCUCCAAAAAGUCCCAGCCCCCUCCCCAUCCCCAGUAUCUCUGGCCCCCUACACCCUACUACCUCUGGGGAACCCCCUUCCUGCGCCUCUAGCAUUUUUAUUUUUUUUGCUUGAUUUUAAUUUUUUAUAUGUGUAAUACACUAAUAAUGAACUUGCUAAUAAUUGUUUUACAUUUAUCCAAUGUGAAACAAAGUUUAAAAAUUAUUUUGAUCUCGUGAAUCUAUUUAUGUAUAUAUGAUUUUAUAUAAAAUGAAUCAAUUAUCGUACUUUUUUUUAUAGAUCUAAAAACAACAUCAAAAUAGAAAACAUAAACUAACGUAACAAAAUUAUUGGUUAAUCACAAGAAAUUAACAAUAAAUAUUAAAUUAAUUUAUUACAAGAAAACAUCCUGUUAUUAAUAUUAAUAUUACAUACAUAGAGUUUUAUUAUAUUGUAUAUUUUUACGUUCUACAUAUAUAAAUAUAUAAUAUUAAAUUAUUAGCGGCAAACGGGAUAGGGGUAUUUUUCCCUCCCUCCCACCCCAUUUAAAGCGGUAGGAAAAAGAUCUCCCUCGACCUUGUUGAUCAUGAAUACCCGCCUUGUUGUCAUCUUGAAUCCUAUUCUUAAAUUUAUAAAAUCACAAUUAACAAUUGCCGAGAACCACUAGUGAUGCAAUGGAUCAGUAGUUGUUAGUAUCAAUUAUUGGAGACUAGUUAUAGGUUAAAGAGGGAUAAUGUAAUUAUUCUCUUCAUUACAUCUGAGGUUGAAGUAGUUAACUAGAAGAUGUGAUGGUAGGAAACAUUCGUAGAUGUUUUGGUACUAUAGUUUUCUCUUUGGUGUUUAAAUAUAUUAGGAACUUUACAUUAAAAAUUUUAUUAAUUUUUUUAUUUGAAGUAUACAUUAUUAUCAUAUUUGGUUUAUGUGCGUAUGUUUGUCAGAUGUGAUUUCUGUUAUUAGUGUAGAUUUUAAUAUUUAAUGAAAUUUUGAAUUGUUUUAUAAAAAACUUAUAAAUCUAAUCGUUAGAACAAUAUUUGCUAUACUGCUCACAAAAAUGUCCGUUCUUAAAAGCAUUGCAAAAUUUUUAUUGUAAUUUUUUACUUUUAAAACAAUAAAAUCACCGCAAUGAGUUGUUUCCACUUUCCACCCAUUGCAAUUGUGGACUUCGGCAAAAUUCAACCCACUCGAGGUCUGCAUCAUAUCCAGAGAAAACUCUAAAAUUUGGGGAUCCAAGAUUUUGGAAUAUUAAUAUCACAUUCCUCACUUGAGGUUUUUAACAAUUUUUAUUAUCCUCCCCUAAAGUUUUGAAAAUAUUAUUAACCUCCCUAAAACUAAUUUUCUUAUAACAAUUCAGCUCAAUUCAAAAAAAGGCACAAUAAAAAAAAUAAUUUUAAGAGAGAGAAGAUUUUGUAAUUUCACAAGUACCCCUUAACUAUAGCUCACCAUAAACAAGAUAAAAUAAGCUAAAUUACAUUUUUAUUUUUUGACUGUAUGCAUGAUCCAACUCAUUCUUUUCACUUUCUAGUCCAUUAUUAGAUACGAGAUCAACAAGAAAUUUCCAUCAUCUGCAAUUAAAAAAUAAUAGCUUUCGCAGUUUAACAAAAGAAAACUCUUUUCUCUUAACUUAAUAUGCUGUUAUUACCGCAAUUUUGAGAGGAAUUAGGCACUGCUUUCGAGCCUCUUAAACCCUUAGUUUUGGUGAAAUUUGAUAAAUGUGUAUUUUGCAUAUUUUAAGUGUGUUUUAUUAUUUAUAUUUUGGUGUGUUUUAGUCAUUUUUAUAGUUAAAUAACUAGGUUUCUAGUGGGAGUGUUCAACACAAUUAUAGGGAAGCAAAUGUACUUGCAGAUGCUGUGACACCCUCACUUCUCCCAAGGGCGAACCCAAGGGUAUCAGCGGGACGCCUGCCCAACUCUCGCCAGGACUCGAUACAAUAUCAAUCCAAACUUAAGGUAAAUAACCAAAAUAAUAAAAGUCGAACUGAAAAACUAAAUCGCUUCCAUACACAAGUGUUCAAUCUUACAUCACAAGUUUUCAAAAUACAUAAUUUACAAGUUUUCUAACGGGGUGAGCAGAUACUCGUGAGACCAAGAAAACAUGCAAAACACGCAGUUCAAAUAACAAUAGCACUUAAACAAGAAUGAAAGCUAUAACAUUCAAGUAGUUUACAAUUAACAAUAAAAUACACUUGAUAAGGAUAUGGGAGCUCUCAGGAACUAUAUUCCACUUGCUCGAUCCAGUACCUCCACUAGUUGACACUCCGUUAAUCGGGUAGGUUGUAAUUCCGUAGAACUUCACUUACACUUCCCCCGUUUACCAUUACAUCCCCUGCUCCGGGCCCGUACUUCUUUUAUAUAAGGCGAUACUACUCGAGUAUAUCAAGCGAGAUCUCUCCAAUAGAUCAAGCUUAUGAAAUUUUCUUAUGGCUCACCAAGUUUCAUGACCAAACCAAUGCCGGCUCGAUUCGCAAGGUCGGCCAAUGAGUUUUGGGCAUCCUCCACUAUUAUCACUAUAAACCGAGGUGAUUUACUCCAAUCGACAUAUGCAACCAUAGCAUAAUUCACUUUCGCAACACUUCACUUAAUUCACUUAACAAUUCACUUCAAGCAAUUCAAUUACACUUCACUUAAUUUACUUAGCAAUUCACUUUAAGCAAUUCAAAUACACUUCACUUAAACGAGAACGAGUGCGAUAAAGUACACACCCAACUUGACAUUUUCACAACACUCAAUUAAUGAAAACACUUAAGCAUGUAACAACACUUCAUACACUUGAUACUCACCAAAUCAAAACAAAAGUGAGUGAGCGAGCAAUUAAGUCUUUAGACAUCCGCUUCAAGAUUCUCUUGAAGAUCUCCUUGAGCGCCUGAACAAUAUAACAAGUACUUUUACUCACAAUCAUGUAUUAAUCAAGAAAGAGGGUUCACUUAUUUAGACUAAAUUAAAGUCUCAAAAGGGAACCUUAAUCACUCAAAGUUGAGGUUCAAAAGUGAGGAUUUAACAAUACAAGAGAAACUGAUUUCCUUCAUGAAAUCGAGUUUAAAAUGAUCAAUCUGUAUCAAAGAAUAGGGAAAAGUUUCCAAAAACUCAUUUCCCAUCAAGUCGGAAAAUUUCAGUUUUGCGCGUUAAAUUUAGAAAAAUCAGAACUUGCACUCAAUAGGUCUAAAAUUGGAAAAUUUUACACCGUUGGAAUCUUGGUUCAAAGUACUAAAAGUUCUUCGAAUACAUUUUCCAAGAUUCUAAACGGAAGGCAUUCAAUUUUCAACUCAAAGUGGCUGAUCUGAACAAGCAAGGCAGUUUUAGUCAUGUUUUUCGGCAAUAUUUGGAAAUUCGGCAAAAUGUACAUAAAGUGAACUAGCAUUUGAAAUUCAUAACACAAUAAGAAAUCUAAUCAAGGUUUCAAACACAACAAACGGCACUAAAAUUGGAGUCUUGAGCAUCAAGAUAUAGUAGUCCAAAGUUGGCUGGAAUUUGAACACUAAUCAGGGAUUUUCCAGGUUUGAAAAGCAAAUUUUGGGACAUCAUUUGGGUAUCAAAAUGGUAUUAGAAUAACACCAAUUUUGGUACACUUAAAUCUCUAUAUAUAGACUACCCCUGUAUCAAAUGUCAUGCAAAAACUCACGUGGAAAGGUAGUUAAAAAAACUACCAAAGUUUAGGAAAUUCUUAAAGCAAAUCUGUCCUCUUGCUUUAGUUUCCUUUUUCAAACAUUUUGCACCAUGAAAUCAGUCCCAAUUCAGUUCAUUUGUGAAACCAAGGUCUUAUAACAUCUAAUAAGUAAUUGGUAGGUAAUUGACACCAAAAUUUUCGAAACAAAAAGUCCCAAACCCAACCUAACCAUGCGGCUAGCAAGAAGAGAAAGAUUUCCAGAUUUCCAGCUUUGUCACAGUUUGGAAAUUGAACCAUAUUCACUCAAUACAACUUGAAAUUGAGAAUGGUUGGUAGCGUUGGAAAUUAGAUUCAAAACUCUACAUUUCAUCAGAACAAGUUGUUUUCAAAAUCAGUUCACAAGUAAUUCAAAUUUAAGCCACAAGUUGCAGCUUCUACCUUUCUCUCGGAUAGACCAUCAGAACAGGACAACAAACUUUGCCGAAUCACAACAGCUCACUCAGUUCGAACUAGAAAGUGAAUUUUAUACCGUUGGAAAUCUACAAAUGUCUAGUUUCAAAUGCCACAAACGGAACUCGAUUUUGACUUUUGUACAAAGAAAUAUGUUUGAUCAAAGAGUUACUGUUUAGACUGCUUGAACACAUUUUCCAGUUUUCUUCAAAUUUCGAAAUUUCAAGUUUAACUCAACCAAUUCAAAUGAUUUUUGGUAGAAGCUUUCUGCAUACCAUAUACAACAUAUAUCCACCAAUUUCACAGCAAAACAACCCACAAAAAUUCAAAAGGUAGGUACAAAAAGCACUGGAUAGAUUCGGCCAGUUCUAGUUCCUCUCAUUUCUCAACUUUCUCUCCAUUUCUAACCGAAAUUCCUCUCAUUCAACACAUAAACAACAUUAAACAAGCAUUUAAUCCUCAAGGCAGCUACCUAGAGGUCACACCAAGUCCGUUAGCCUAACAAUAAAAGCAAGAAAAAUAAAUUUCCUCAAGUCCUCUGCCUAGUUCCAUGCUUAGGGUUGCAAACCCUUGCAAAUCCAACCGUAAAUCUUAUAUUAAAAGGAGAGAUUAGAAGAGUUGAUGGUUACCUCCUUAGCCCUUGAAGAAACCAGAAUUUUCGCCACCAAAAACCUCCUUGAAUCUCCCAAAAUGAAGCCUUUCUCCAAGCUCAAGUUAAUCACCAAGUGGUUUUGAGGUUGGGUGCAAAGUUAGAAGUGAAUUGGAGCAAGAAUGAACAAGAUGGAGUCGAGCUUUCUUUCUUCUUUUCCCCAGCUAUGGAGUGAGGAGGGAGAGGGUUUUGUUGUUGUGAAGCUUCCUUUGGAAGCUUAAGGAAUUUGUGGUCAAAAAUCUUACAAAAGUCAACUAGGAAUAGUGUCAAGCGCGGUAUCGUGCCAUCAUUUUCUCUCUUGUUUGUUACACUUGUGCACUAAAUCUCCAAAUGUAAUUCCUUUAACAUUAUAAUUAAUCACUCUUAGUAGUCUAGUAUAAGUUCCUUAAAUCUCCAUUGUGACAGCCCCACCUCCCCCUAAGGCGAACCAAAGGGUUCGGCGGACUGCCUGCCCAACUCUCGCCGGGACUCAGUCGAUCACUUCCAUCCUCGAUCAAAACUAGAUCCAGCCCAUACGAAAAAUAUAGCAAUGAUCCAAAAACUUAAACGAAACUUAUAUACAUUACGAUCUCAAAAGAAGUACAACCGUCGAAUAUACAAAGGUUCCAAAUCCACUAUACAACCAGCCCGUGCCAAGCACUAGGGCGAGAACCAUUACAAGAAAAAUCAAAAGCUAGACCAGCUAGUCUAUACAGAUCUCUCGUCCUUGCGUACCUUCCCCUGUUAAGGAAAACAAAACUAAAGGGAUGAACUAAAAGCUCAGUGAGGUUCCGAACACAUAAUAAAACAAUCAAUCCAAUACACUAACAUGGCAUAUCACUACUUCACGAAACAUUUACAAUGGAAAGCGAUAAAACAUUCAUGAAAAGGAUACGGCUCACAGGGAGCAAUUCAUUCGAUCAUUCAUUCGUUCUCCUGACAUUUCCCCUUAUUCCUCCAAUCAUUUGAAAUUUUCAUUUUUGUAAAUAAACCCUCGUUCGUUCGUUCAUUCGUUCAUUUCAUUCACCCUCUCCUGGACAUUGUCCAGGCUCCACCAACCUCCACCAACCUACAAAGGUAAUACUCGAGUAUACCAAAACGUUCACCCAAGUCACCAUAUCGCCCGACCGAGUCCGCUUCUGGCUCGAGUCGAUCGGUAACAAGGGGCAGUGGCCAGUUCAGCCAAAAGGCUUAUAUUCAUGCGCAACUAGCAUUUCAAUUAUUAAAUCCUUGAAAAUUGUACGGUUAUUUAGGUCGAGUGCGAUAAAGUACACCAUCGCCUAGAAAGCUCGUUUUGGAAAUCAUUAAAAGCACUUAACACGUUAUCAAUCAAUAAUACAAGUUAUGAAGUCAAGAAGCAUUUAACAAACAAGGAACACUCACCGAACUAUGCAAAAUAACGUGCAAAAUAUCCUUCUGGAUAGAAUCCUUAAUCACCGAGAAAACCUAAGAUUGAACGAGAAAGAAUAUAGCCCAACUAAUUUGGUGAAAUCCAAAAAACCCAAUAAAUGAUGAGUAAACGCAUAAAAAUGACUUUAAAGCGAAACGGGGCAUUUGGACUGAUGGUCGGAAAUAUCAAGGGUUUCAUAAAUCAAACGCAAAACUAAACUAAAAAGGGUUAUAAAAUUUUGCGGCAAAAAAAACACUUGGACCAAAACUAGCCUUCAAGUAAAAAUUUCGGCAGCAAAUCCCUUGUGUUUACCUAUUUUCCAGACAUUAAUGGCUUCAUUAUUUCCUCAAAUCAGUCCGAACAUCUCACACAAAAUAAGCUCAUUUCCAAAAGCCGUUCACUAGGCUUAAAGUCAUUCAAGUACACAAUUUAGCUAGGAAAAUGACUAGAUUCCAAUAAACACAAUAAGACUCGAAUACAAGUCAUAAACCAAUGUCAAAUACUACUGAAAUAGGAUUCCAUAAGCAUACAUAAACAAUAGAGGAAACCAGAAAAAUCCAGAAAUGAUUUAGUUUUAACCCUAAAAAAAACAGUUUUUGACCUCAUUUUGCGGUAAUGUUACCAAAGGUACUACGAUUAUCGGAUGAAAAUGCAAGACCCACCGUUUCGAAACUAAAAGAUAGGGCUACAAUAUUGCAGAAGGUCACUUAACCCAGUUUCGAGUGUAACCAGGUAAAAAAUGCAAGAAACUACACCAGAAUCGGAAAAACAGAUUCAUAGAACACGUUCUAGUACAAACAUCAUAACUCAGCCUACCCAAGUCCAAAUCCAGAAAUUCCAAAACCAUCUGAAAGCUAAGAAAUAGGGAUACAUUUUAUCAGAAGACCUCAACAACCAAUUCGGAAGCAAUUCCAGCCAAAACAACCAAUUACAGGCGCAAUUCUAGCAUUCGGGUAAAACCAGGACAGCAAGGGUAAUUUUGACUUUUAUCAUUCUACGCUACUCCGAUUGACCAGAAAUUUUGUAGACACCUCUAAAAUGUCAUUCCCUACAACCUUCAUGUUUUAAGCCAAGGCCACUUCGGCCUCUAACUAGGAGAUAUAAAUUCGGGCAGAAUGUAACCAUUAGAACCCUGAUUUUUUUUCAAUUUUCUUCCAAACCAGAAAUUGCUUACAAUCAUCCACUUUUUCCACCUUCUAGAAUCAUUAUAUACCAUUUCCAAUCAUCAUAGAUAGCCACACAAUCAUGUUCAUAUUAAAACAGAAAAAUCCCCAAAAAUAAUAAAACUUCAUCACUUCAACCACAAAUCAAGAAAUAAUCCAUAAACUUGCAUCUCAUACUACCACUAAUCAUGAUUUAAGCAUCAAUUAAGGGAGGAGGGUGGUUCUUCACAACUCACCUUAGAAACAAGAGAGAGAGAGCAAUAGGUCCUCUUAACUUUCCAAAUAACUCCACAAAUCAACUCACUAACACUAAUUGAAGAGGUUUUAUGGAGAAAUUGCAAGUUUCAAUGGUUGGUUGGAUGGAUUUGAGCUAAAUGGAAGCAAAACUUGAAGAGUUUCUUUCUUUCUUUGUGAGAGAGAGAGUCGGCCAAAGAGGAGAGAAAAAUGGUGAAUUUUAGUUAAUUUUGUGAUUUAUUUGGUCAAUGAUAAGAAAAGGAAUAGUAGUCUUACAAGUCACUCCAAUCAAAUGGUGACACUUGUCACCCCAUUUAAUGCUUGCCUAACUUUUGUCUCCCUCAUACCAAUCCACUUAGCAUCCUCUACUUAUCUCUUAACACCCGGUAAAUUAAAUCCAGUAUCCAAAACUUAACCUAGUUGACCGAAGUUUUCCGAACUUUUCGCACCAGUGGGUCCCACGUUCGGUAUACGCUCUUAAUUUCUCAAAAACUAUCCGAUACUAGAAAAAUCAUCCAAAAACUAUAUUUACUCAUGAAAAUUAUUUUCCCAAUUUCUCAAAUCAAUAAAAUGUGAAAAAACGGGCAAUUAUAAGAAAAAAAUAAAAUCGAGUACUUUAAAGCAAAAUUACAGGCUCUCACAUCCAUUUAACCGUUUUACGUGAAGUACCCAAACUUUCGAUUCACACACGAUAAGGCGAAAUUUGAAAAUGAUUCAUGUAACGAUAAUAUAAUUAACCAAUACUAAGGCAAAUAAUUAUAAAAAUAAUUAUUUUAAGAAUAAAACAUGAGUCCUUAUAGAUGCUUUGGCAAGUCUCCUAAAUACGAGGCAAUAUCUCUUUGAUUCCGUGUCUCAGCUGCCAAAACAUAUUCAAACACUGGCUUCACUAGAUAUUUCAAUUUAUGCAGGGAUUAGAUGCAUCCAUGUAAGGGACUAGUACUCGUUAUUUAAUGCUUUUCUUAUGUAUCAGACGCUAUUUCUUUAAUAGAUUUUUAAAAUAAAAUCAGGGAUGGUGUCCCUCCCUCAUGUACGGGGUUUUGUCGGUAAAAAAAAUCUAGGUUUCUAGUGAAAUUUGCAUUUUGUGGUCCAAUUGCGAAAAAUUGCAUUUCUAUGGUUUAAAGUGAUAAAAAAAAUCAUGUUUUUAUAGGUUUAAUGGCUCAAUCAUCAAAUGGAGUGAAUUGAGAAUAUAUUUGAAUGAUUAUUGAUUAUUAGAAGUGAUUUAAAGUGAACAUGAAAUGUAAAAUGUUCAUAGGAUGAGAUGCAACCAAGUACAAAUGAAGAAAAGUUUGAUAGUUUUGACACUUUUCGGUUUUUUGACUAUAUCUUGAGUUACAAGUAUUGGAUUGAGAUGAUUCUUAAACCAUUUUGAAAAUAAUACAUUGACCUAUAGUUCUUAUGAGAUAGCAAAAUUCAAUUCGUACAUUUUCUUGGGCAAAAGGUUGAAAUACUGUCAUGCAUUUUUUGCUUUCAAAAGCUAAACAAGGGAUUGACUAGUUAGUGAUUUUUUUGGUCAUUUCUCCACCUACAGAUAUCCAAGUGGACGAUUCUUGAUGCAUUUUGUGAGGACCCGAAUUUUAUUUAUUUAUUAUUAUUUUAUUUACUGGCUUAUUUAUUUAAUUAUCUAUUUAUUUGCUCCAAUUAAUUUAUUUCAUUCAUUUUAAUUAUAUUCGCAUGGUACAUUGCCUCAUUUUAUAUUUUUAACACGUUUUCUCUUAAAGUUAAUUUUUCGAUCGCUUGAUUAGUGAAAAUUAGUAAAUACACGUUUUUUGAGGUAAUAUUUGGUCUAAGAGUGCAGUAGUUUUGGAGAAUUAAGAAUGAUCAAUUUUAGACUAAAAAAAGUUAAUUGAUGAAUUAGAGGUGAGUGAGUUGAAUCAAGAUCAAUUAGGAGCACUAAUUGGGUACUAUUCAUUUGUUGACUUGUUACACCAAAGUAACUUUAUGUCCCAUCUUUCUUUCAUCAAAUCACUUCGCCAAAAAUCACUCGGAAACCUCUCUCUUCUCCCUCCCUCUUGGCCGGCCACUCCCUUCUCCCUUUAGCGAAAAAUUUCAGCUCCAACUUCUUCAUUUUUGCUCACCAAAACUUGGUCCAACCUAGUUCAUUCUUUUGGAUCAUCCUCAAGCUUAGUAGAGAACUUGAAGGAGGAGAGAUUCUUGGUGGUUUAGGGCUUGAUUCCUUAUGGUUUUUCCUACUACUCUUGGAGGAAAGGUAACUCUCAAAACUCUCAUUUUUCUUCCAUCUUAUGAUUUGUUUUUAGUCAGUGUGUAACUAGUUAAGCUUGGGUUGUUGAUGGGUUCCAUGAACCUUGACUUUAGGUAGAUGUCUUGAGGAAGAUUCUUAGGUAGUGGCCUUGAGGAUUUCUUGUUUGUUUGGUUGUUGUUUUAGUGAUUUAUAGUUUGGUUUUGGUAUGAAGAUUUGGAAAGAAAAUUUAAAGAGAAAGGGGUACAAGGCUGUCCUAUUUUUGCUGGUUCAUUUCCCUUGUUUUAAUUCCAAAUUUUGUGGUUAUAUUGAUGCCAAAAUGCUUGUUACAUGUUUAGUUAUGUGUGUGUAAAUUAUCUCCCAAAAAGCAUUUCAUUUGGAUGAGUUAAAGUUAGGUUAAAGGGGGGAAAACAAACCUGAAAAAUUCUGAUAAGUAUAGCCGACCAAUGCUCACUCAACAACCCAUAAUGUUUUGUAUAGGAGUCAAAAUCAAGUGACGUUUGUGGCAUAUGAAACUAAAUUCCAAGGAUUUUGAAACUAGAAAACUUUGUACAGGAGUCAAAAUCAAGUGACGCAAUGAACUGACAAAUUUGGCUGUUUUUCAUCACUGUUUUAACCGAGAAACAAGCACAGUUGUAGUCUGUAGCACAUUUUCUCUCAUCUUACAAAAUGAAUUUGAAAACAGUUUCUAGUGAUUUUUAGCUUUUUGAAUCUAUUUUUCAACACCAUAAACCACGCUAAUUUUGGAUGGGUGUAACCUUAGUUAUGACUUGAUUUAUAAACUAUGUCGAGUGUUCUAAAGUUGGAAUUUUGUGAACCAGGUUUAAAAAACCAGCUUUCAUAAAACUGUUGUAUCUUGGUGUAGAAAAAUCCAAAUUGAGUUCUGUUUAAUGCAUUUGAAAAUAGAGCUGAAGUUCUUUCAGGUGUAUAAAUUUCAAUGGCUGGUUCGAUUCCUAUGAAUUUUUCCAAAUUUUCAAAAUUCACUGAAAUUCAUGACUGUUUUGCCCUGUUCUUACUGAAGCAGUGAUUUGGAGCAAAGAUUUGACUGAUUUCUGAUUUGAAUCUGAAAAAAGUGUUUUAUAGAGAGUUUUAGCUAAUUAAAUCUAUUUUCCAAUGGUAUAAUAUUUGAAAAUUUUGGACUUAUGGACCUCAAGUUAUAAUUUUUCAAAAAAGUUGGCAAAACUUAAUUUCCCUAUAAAGUGACAAAACUUCAAAGUGACUUGUAAGCAUUUUCUAGGUAUCAAACCUAACUUUCUUGGUUAUUUGCACCUUAUUUCAUAUUUGGGAAAUGGAUUUCAUCCCCUAGUCUUAUGCCCUUGGUUUCCACAAAAAUGAACCAUAAAUUGGAGCAUUUAGCUAGAGUAAUUCUUGAGGAACUGCACUAAUUUUACAUUCGAAAUUUAGAACUUUUAACUUCAAUAUUUGCUAUGAAAAUAAGUAGCAUUUUGAUGGAUUUUGACUCCAUAAGUUUAGAAAACGUGAACACUCCUUUAUAUUCUAAAACUUAGGUACAGGAUUAGAAAUUUUAAGAUAUGAAAACCAUUUUUCCUUUUUUCGAUUUUCGUCCCAAAAAUUAAGUGUGAUACUUUCUUUUGGAAUCAAGAUUUCUUACCAUGACUUGACUCGAAAACGACUUUUGAAUUCUCCUUGAGUGUUAUUUCAAUUAUUAGGAGAGAAAAUCUCUUUUAAUUCGACUUGAACGUGUGGCUUUUGAGUGUGGGUAACAAAAGAAUAUUUUCUUAUUAGCCUUGGUCGAAUACCUAGAUAAUCGUGAUUGUACCUGUCUCAGGUAGUCACGUGGAUGCCGAGGAGCUUGUCUCAUCUCUUGCUUUUGCUCUUGCUUUGCCCUUGAAUUUUGGUGAGUGUCAAGUGCAUGUUUCAUAUACUAUGAUUGAAAUAAUAUUUGUACAAGUGUUAUGUGAAAUUGUUAUGAUUUGUGAACUUGCCGAAGCGAAAGUGUAUUUUAUUGCCCUUGUUCUCUCUUUCUUGCAUACUCACUACUUUUAUAUGGCGUGACUGGCACUUGUACUCAAACAUGCUUGUAACUCGUGAGUAAUGAGCGGCAGCAUGUUCAACACUCUAUUCAGGUGGGAGGUGCCUCUCAUACCGACUCAGUAUUAUGACCGAUUUUAAGUUGAUUGGAGCGUUGUCUUAUCGACUACUCGAGCUUGUGGAGACGCUUAAACCCAUUGGCUAACCUCGUAACUCAAGCCGGUAAGGACUUGGUCAAGAAGUUUGGUGAACUAUGAAAAAUUAAAAAAUUUGAUCUUUUGAGAUCUUGCUUGGCAUACUCGAGUAGUAUUGUCAUCUUGUGCUUGUUUAUUUUCGGAUCCGAGAAGGUGUUAUAAUGGAUGGAGGAAGUAAGUGGCACUCUACGGACAUGUUGCUACUUGAGUUGACGGAGGGUCAACCAAAGAUGGUUUGAACCGGUCCAAACGUGGAAAUAACUCCUGAGAGCUCCUGUAUCCUUUUACAUGUGUUUUACCUCCUAUUUGUGCAUUUAAAUGAAAUUUCAUAUUGAUCAUUUUUAAGAGUGAUAUUUAAUUUAAUUUGUGCUACUUGCUUGACUUUCUUGACCUCACUGAGUAUUAGCUUGUUCCUUUAAGUUUGUUUUUCUUAACAGGUUUUGAAAGUGAAAGUGGGGGACUCUAGACUACUAUUUUUGGUUGAAACUAGUGAACCUUUUGUAGGUUAUUGGAGACAUUUGAAGUGUAAAUUUUGUUAUAUUUGGAAAUUUUGGAUUGUAAUUGUAAAUAGUAGUCCUAAAAGAAUUUGAAUUAUAUAUUUGCAGUAUUUCUUUAAUUUUAAGCCUAUGAUUGACUUGUGGAUCGCUAUUAAACUUGAAUGAGUGCGUGAGUCCUGACGAGAGUUAGGCAGACAUUACGCUGAUACCCUAGGGUUCGUCCUAGGGAGAUGUGGGGGCGUCAUAGUUGGUAUCGGAGCGCUAGGUUUGAAAUACCUGGAAUAAUGUUAGGAAUUUUUAGUCGUGAACUGUCGAUCAUAGAAAUUUGUGAUAAAUCUUAAGUUAAAUUUUUGAGUGGCACCAGUGAUUUUAAGGACCUAACCUUGAGCCUUGUAGGUUAUUUGUAGAAUAUGGACAGUGGCAAUGACGGUGAUAGGAUCGAGGAACCUCUUCCAGUGAUCCGAUAUUGUAUGGUUGGAGGCGGACGCCCCUUCGGUGGUCACCCUCCGAGCGGGUUAGGACGUGCCCGUACCAAGAUAGGUUCUCCUACCCUAACCACGUGGUGUUAGGGGUAGUUGAGGAGAGGAGACAGUUGACCCAUGAUCUCAGGGUAACACGAGCUGAGAGAGAGGAGAUGAGGGCCACUAUGGAGGCCCAGACUGUCAGGAUUCAGGAGUUGAAGGCUAGGAUUCCUGAGGAGCGUCAGAGGGCUAACACCUCCCAUGCUCAAUUUCAGACGACCGAUGGGCACCUCAUUCGGAUUAUCGAGGAGGUAGGGAACUGUGUGGAUGGCAUUAUGGCGGAGUGUACGACCAUGGUCGAUCGCAUAGAGGAGGCCAUGGGUGGAGGUGGACCAGGGGAUGUUGCCACUAGUGAUGAGGUGGAAAUGGACCCGUGGAGAAGGAUCCUUUUGAGGAUGUGGGAUCUACUAGUACAGUCCACUUAUACUAGUGACCUUUUGAUCUUUUGAGUUUUGCUAAGGAUUUAGAAAGGGUGAUCCUCACCUUGCGGCCUUUUGUAUCUUAUUGCAUGUACCCCUAUAUUUUGUGGCACUUGGAUGCCUCUGUCCUGUACUUGAUCUUAUUAACUUGUUUUGUGAACUCUUGACUUGUAGCAUGACUUUUAGUAUAUGUAAAGAAUUAUAUUUUAAUUUCAAGUAUUUUUGCAACUUGCAUAUGCUUUUAAAUUUCUAUGCUUAUUUUUUCUCUUUUAAUUAACAUUUAUACUUUUACUAAAUGCAUCAGCGAGGACGUGAACGAGGUCGUGGGCAUAGGUUUUAGCAACCCUACACUUUCGAGAGAGAUGAGAGAUCAGGGACUGGUCCGAACCAAAAUUCUAGGAUUGAGAGGAAUGAUCAAGUGGCUACGGCCCUUAAUCGCAUAACUGAUAUCCUUGAGCGUCUAGUUAGGGUUGUAAAUCCUGGUUUCAUGAUGGGUAUAGAUAUAAAGUGUGAUUUCUUAUCUUUUGACUUGAAAGUUAAGACUCCUACGGGGAAUUGGUGCUUAAUUGCUAACAAGGUAUAUAGAAAUGGUGAGAUUUGGGUUGGUGAGAGGAAAUUGUUGGCAGACUUAGUGAGUCUAGCAAUUAAGGGAUAUGAUGUGAUAUUUGAGAUGGAUUGAUUAACUCAAUACCAUACUCAAUUAGAUUGUAAGAUGAAAUUAAUAGAAUUGCGUAUUCCGAGGGAAGCAAUUUUAAAGUUAGAUAUGAGGGGUAGACUAGCAUCGUCUACUCUAAUUUCAGGAAUUUGAAUUAGAAAAUUAUUGAGUACUGGGGUUAAAGGAUAUCUAGCCUUUCUUAUAAAUACACUUGGGAAUAAGGUGAAAUUGAAAAACGUGCCAGUAGUGAAGGAAUUUUUCAAUAUUUUCUCCGAAAAAUUAGAGACGCUACCUCCAAAGGGAGAAAUAGUGUUUAAGAGUAAUGUAACUCUAGGACAGCACCUAUCUCUAAGACGCCUUAUAGGAUGCCUCCAGUCGAAUUAAAAAAUUUAAAUUUGGAGUUGCAAGAUUUAUUAGAAAGAGACAUUAUUAGAGAAAGUGAUUCACCGUGGGGAGCUCCAGUACUCUAUGUUAAGAAGAAAGAUAGAAGUUUGAACCUAUGCAUAGACUACUGAGGCUUGAACGAUGUGAUAAUUAAGAACAAAUACUCUUUACCUCACAUAGAUGAGUUAUUUGAUCAACUGCAAGAGGCCGAGGUAUUUUUCAAGUUGGAUUUGAGGCAGAGCUAUUACCAGUGAGGAUCUUAGAAGCGAAUGUGUCUAAGACAGCUUUCAAUUCGAGAUAUGGACACUUUGAAUUUGCAAUUAUGCCUUUUGGAUUAACUAAUACGCCAGUAGCAUUUAUAGACUUGAGGCAUCGGGUCUUUAAGUCGUAUCUGGAUCAAUUUGUGGUGGUAUUCAUAGACGACAUAUUUGUGUACUCUAAGUCUCGAGAAGAUCAUGAAAGACACUUGAGGAUAGUCUUGCAAACCCUGAGAGAGCACCAACUUUUUGCUAAAUUCAAUAAGUACGAGUUUUGGUUGGAAGAAGUGUUUCACUAAGGCACUUGUAUUAGCAUUGCCAAACGAAGGAUAUAUGUUCUAUUCUUAUAUACGAAUUUUGACAGAAUUAGGAUGAACGUCUUGAUAGAGGAUAGUACCAGGCACUAGUGAGACUAAGAAGUUAUAAUUUCUUCUUGAACGAAUUUAAAAGUGAGUGUAUAAUGGAAAGUGAGUUAGGGCCCUGAACUUCUAUUUUAAGGAGUAUGAUUCCAUAUCUUGUUAUAUGUAUAAGCGAUGAUAGUAAUCUUUAUGGGAAGACCCCAAAAAUAGGAGUAAGUACUUGUGUUUAGAUUUCUUAUUUACCUCGACAGGAAAUAGUUAGGAUUUAUGUUUUUUGGGUGACCUGUAAGCAAAAGGAUGGAAAAGUUAUAUGGCUACAGUUUUCAAGUGUGAUUAGUUACUUAUUUCAAUCCUUUGAUUUUCUUGACAGGCUAUCAUUUGACCUUAAGAGAAUCGGUAAUAUAAUAAAUUUGGGAGAUAUGCAUAAGGAAAUAGACAUCCUUCGAAUGGAAGUAGAAUUUCAAAAGAAAUUGGCUGACUACUGGGAAGAACGAUGGAAACAGGAAUAUGCGGAGAAAAUUGAGCUACUACACAAGAACAUGAAAUUGGAAAAGAAAUACAAAGAGAUCUCAGAAGAGGUGCAGAAUAAGUUUGAAUUGGUGCAUUUACCUAGUCAAGUAGCACCUCAAGACCUUCCUAGUAAUCAAGUUAAAAGGGAUGAAGGAAAUUCCCAUGAUACUAAAAGGAAACGUAAAGCAAUUAGAGAAGAUAGUAUGUAGUUAGUGUACUGUGUUUGAUUUCAAGAUCCAGUAGAAGUAGUAACCAAAUUUCGUAGUUAUCGUUUUCACUUUUCAUUAGGUCUUUAAGCUUAUAUUACCCUGCACAUUUUGACAUCUUUGUUAAACUUCCUUAACAUAUUAUAUUAGCAUUUAUGUAGUAAGAUUUUUCCUCUAAAUAAGUUGUGGUAGUACUACGAGUAAGAGAAGACUAUUUGAGAAUUGGAGGAAAAUCCUGUAGCAUCAAAUUUAUACGAGCAAAGGUGAGAAUUUUGAGAACGAAAUUCUUUUAAGGGGGGAGGAUGUGAGGACCCAAAUUUUAUUUAUUUAUAUUUUAUUUUAUUGGGUUAUUUAUUUAAUUAUCUAUUUGUUUGUUCCAAUUAAUUUAUUUCAUUCAUUUUAAUUGUAUCCAUAUGGUACAUUGCCUCAUUUUAUAUUUUUAACAUGUUUUCUCUUAAAGUUAAUUUUUCAAUGGCAUGAUUAGUGAAAAUUAGUGAAUACACGUUUUUCGAGAUAAUAAUUGGUUUAAAAGUACAGUGGUCUUGGAGAAUUAAGGAUGAUCAAUUGUAGACUAAGAAAAACUAAUUGAGAGAUUAGAAGUGAGUGAGUUGCAUUAAUCUCAAUUACGAGCACUAAUAGGCCACUAUUAAUUUGUUGACUUUUUGCACCAAAGUAACAUUAUGUCCCAUCUUUCUUUCAUCAAAUCAUUUCACCAAAAAUCACUCAAAAACCUCUCUCUUCUCCCUUCCUCUUGGCCAGCCACUCCCUUCUCCCUUUAGCCAAAAAUUUUAGCUCCAUCUUCUUCAUUUUUGCUCACCAAAACUUGCUCCAACCUAGUUCAUUCUCUUGGAUCAUCAUCAAGCUUAGUAGAGGACUUGAAGGAGGAGAGAUUCUUGGUGGUUUAGAGCUUGAUUCCUUAUGGUUUUGCCUACUACUCUUGGAGGAAAUGUAACUCUCAAAUCUCUCAUUUUUCUUCCAUCUUAUGGUUAGUUUUUAGUUAGUGUGUAACUAGUUAAGCUUAGGUUGUUGAUGGGCUCCAUGAACCUUGACUUUAGGUAGAUGUCUUGAGGAAGAUUCUUAGGUAGUGGUCUUGAGAAUUUCUUGUUUGCUUGGUUGUUAAUUUAGUGAUUUAUAGUUUGGUUUUGAUAUGAAGAUUUGGAAAGAAAAUUUGAAGAGAAAGGGGUACAAGGCUGUCCGAUUUUUGUUGGUUCAUUUCCCUUGUUUUAAUUCCGAAUUUUGUGGUUAUAUUGAUACCAAAAUACUUGCUACAUGUUGGGUUAUGUGUGUGUAAAUUAUCUCCCAAAAAGCAUUUCAUUUGGAUGAGUUAAAGUUAGGUUAAAGGGAGGAAAAUAAACCUGAAACAAGUGUCUUCUAGAGAUUUGACUGAUUUCUGAUUUGAAUCUGGAAAAAGUGUCUUCUAAAGAGUUUUAGUUCAUUGAGUCUAUUUUCCAAUGGUAUAAGAUUUGAAAAUUUUGGACUUAUAGAACUCAAGUUAUAAUUUUUCAAUGAAGGUUGCUGGCACUAAAUUUUUCCUUGUAAAGUGACAAAACUUCAAAGUGACUUGUAAGUAUUUUCUAGGUUUCAAACCUAACUUUCUUGAUUAUUUGCACCUCAUUUCAUACUUGAAAAAUGGAUUUCACCCCCUAGUCUUAUGCCAUUGGUUUUCACGAAAGUGAACCAUAAAUUGGAGCGUUUAGCUAGAGUAAUUCUUGAGGAAUUGCACUAGUUUUAUAUUCAAAAGUUGGAACUUCUAAUUUCAAUAUUUCCUAUGAAAAUAAGUAGCAUUUUGAUGAAUUUUGACUCCAUAAGUUUAGAAAACGUGAACGCUCCUUUAUAUUCUACAACUUCAGUAUAGGAUUAGAAGUUUUAACAUAUGAAAACCAUUUUUCUUUUUCUCGAAUUUUGUCCCAAGAAUUAAGGUUGGUACUUUCUUUUGGAACCGAGAUUUCUUAUCAUGACUUGACUCGAAAAUGACUUUUGAUUUCUCCUUGAGUGUUAUUUCAAUGAUUAGGAGAGAAAGUCUCUUUUAACUCGACUUGAACAUGGAGCUUUUGAGUGUGGGUAACAAGAGGAUAUUUUCGUAUUGGUCUUGGUCGAAUACCUAGGUAAUCGUGAUUGUACAUGUCUCAGGUGGUCACGUGGACGCCGAGGAGCUUGUCUGACCUCUUGCUUUUGCUCUUACUUUGUCCCUGACUUUUGGUGAGUGUCAAGUGCAUGUUUCAUGUACUAUAACUGAAAUGAUUUUUGUACAAGUGCUAUGUGAAAUUGUUAUGAUUUGUGAACUUGCUGAGUCGAGGGUGUACUUUAUUGUUCUUGUCCUUUCCUUCUUGAAUACUCACUAUUUGUUCAUGAAUUUGCAUAACUUGCACUUGUGCUCGAAUAUGCUUGUAACUCGUGAGUAUUGAGCGGUAGCAUGUACCAUACCCUAUUCAGGUGGGAGAUGCCUCUUAUACCGAUUCAGUACUAUAAUCAAUUUUAAGUCGAUUAGAGCGUUGUCUUAUUGACCACUCAUGCUUGUGGGGACGCCCAAACCAUUGGCUAACCUCGUAACUCGAGUCGGCAAGGAUUUGGUGGAGAAGUUUGGUGAACCAUGGGAAAUUAAAAAACUUGAUCUUUUGAGAUCUUGCUUGGCAUACUCGAGUAGUAUUGCCAUCUUGUACUUGUUUGGUUCCGGAUUCGAGAGGGUGUUAUGAUGGAUGGAGAAAGUAAGUGGAGCUCUACGGACAUGUUGCUACUUGAGUAAAGAUGGCUUGAACCGGUCGAGAUGUGGAAAUAGUGUGACAUCCCCACUUCUUCUUAGGGCAAAUCUAAGGAUAUCCGCGAAACGUCUGCCUAACUCUCGCCAGCACUCGAUACAAGUAAAAUUUAAACUUAACGAUACACCACCAAUAAUAAAAGCCAAAAUAAAGAAAAGUCUCUUCCUUACAUAAAUAGUCAAAUCUCACAUCAUGAAGUUUUCAAAAGUACAUCAAAUCUCCAAAAUAUACAACCACUAUAAAUCGACUAGGCAAUUACAUCCCAAGAUUUCCAAUCAAAAGUUAUCAAGUCGAUUUCUCCAAAAUCUUUUCAAUCCGAGCUCCUGUCAAGGAAAACAAACUAAUGGGGUGAGCGAACGCUCAGUGAGGCCAAGAAAAUCAUGCAAACACAUAGUUCAAGUAACAAUAACACUUAUACGAAAGAUAAAGCUAAAAAGUUCAUGUAAUUCAGAAUAAAUAAUAAAACACAAUCAAUAAGGAUACAGGAGCUCUCAAGAGUUAGAUUCCACUUGCUAUGUCGAGACUCGAUCCAAUACCUCUACGUGAUAACUCUCCGUCAAUCGAGUAUGUAUUAAGUCCAUAGAAUUCUACUUAUCAUCAAGUUUCCGUCCACCGUUACACCCCCUAACCGGGCACGAACGUCGAUUAGAAGAGGCAAUACUACUCGAAUAUUCCAAACAAGAUCUCUCAAAAUAGAUCAUGUUUUAAAAUCUAUCUCAUGGUUCACCAAACUUCUCGACCAAAUCCAUGCCGGCUCGAGUCACAAGGUUAGCCUAUGAGUUUGGACGUCCCUCACAAUUAUAAGUAUAAGUCGAUGAGAUUUACUCCAAUUGACAUCGAUUCAACACAAAUAUAAUUAUAAAUCGAUGAGAUUCACUCCAAUCGACAUUUAGUCAAACACAAGUAUAAUUUUAUAAGUCGAUGAGAUUCACUCCAAUCGACAUCGAUUCAACACAAAUAUAAUUUUCACUUCACAUAAUUCAAUUAUAAAUUCACUUAAAAGAGAACGAGUAUGAUAAAGUACACGCUUGUCUCGACAAUUUCAAAGUACUCAAUUAAUAAGGAACAAUUCAGCAUAUAGCAACAAUUCAUGCACUUGACACUCACCAAUUCAAAAUAAGUGAGUAAAUAAGCCCUUUAGUGUUCCGCUCCAAGGUUUCCGUCAAUAUCCUCUUAAGUGCCUGAAAAAAUAGUGAUCAAUUAUCACUCACAUAUACUUACAAUCACUUAACAUACAAGGAAGGAAAUGUAUUUGCUUAAACUUAGAACAAUGUCUCAAAAGAGUUUCACUCUAUUGAAAUUCGAGAUUCAAAAGUGAGAAUUUAAAGUCUCAAGUGAGACUUGAAUCAUCCAUGAAAUCAAGUUUAAAAUGAUCUAUCAAUAUCGAAAGGAAAUGAAAAGUUCUUAAAAACUCAUUUCCUACGAAAUCGGAAAUUUUUCGCUUUACGCGACUAUACUUAAAAAAUCAGAUUUUGAGUUUGGUACGUCCAAAAAUGAAAAACUUUACAUUAUUUGAAACUAGAUUAAAAGUACUAAAACUUCGCUAAAGACACUUUUCCAAGAUUCCAAAAAGAUAGCAUUCAUAUUUCAGCUCAAAGUUGCUGAUUCAUGAAGACAAGACAGAACCAGCCUUGGUUUUCAACGAUGUUUGAAAAUUCAGUAAAAUUCACAGAAAAUGAACUAGCUUCUAAAAUUUAUAAUACAAUAAGAGUUCCAAAUCAAGUUUCAAACACAACAAGCAGAACUAAAUUCAGAAUUUUGAGCAACAGGAUAUAACAAUUUAAAGUCAACUGGUUUUGGCAACCUGUUCAGAAGAUUUUCCAGUUUUAAAGAGCAAUCUUUGGGGCAUUAUUUGGCUAUCGAAAUAGUAUUGAAAUUAUGCCAAAUUUGGUACACUUAAACUUUCAUAUGUGGACUACCUCUCUAUAAAAUAUAGGCAAUAACUCCCACGAGAAGGCAGUUAACAAAAUGACCAAAGUUUGUGAAAUUUCUCAAAGCUAAUCUGCCAACCCUAUCACUCUUUCUUUUUCAAAAGUUUUGUCCAACGAAAUCAACUCCAAUUCGCACCAUAUUUUAAACCAAGAUUCCAAAAACAUUUAAUGAGCAAUUGAUGGAUAAAUGAUACUAAAAUUUUCAAAAUAUAACAUUCCAAAGCAAACUUGACAUUUCGGUCAGCAGGGAAGGGAAAAUUUUUCAGUUUUGAUCUUUGUUGUAGUUUCAAAAUCAAACCAUAUAUAACUCUAUACAAAUCCAAAUUGAGAAUAGUUUAUGGCAUUGGGAACUAGGUUCAAAAUACUACAAUUCAUCAGAAGGCAUCAUUUUGAAAAUCUUUUUACAAGUGGAACAAAAUCGAGCCACAAGAUGCAGCUUCCUAGUUUGAUUCGGAAACAUAGGCAAAGCAGGACAGUCCACUUUGCCGACUCAGCACAGUUUGCUCAAAAUGAACUAGUAGGUGUUUUUUAUACCAUUGGAAAGCUCUGAAUGUCUAGUUUUGAAUGCCACUGACAGCACUCAAUUUUGAAUUUUGCACAAAAAGUUAUGUUCGGACAAAGAACCACUAUCCAGUUACUCUACUAGCAAUUUUCAGAUCUGAAACUUUUCCCAAAACUCAAGUUUUGUGCAACCAUUCGACAUGAUUUUUGAAAGACACUUUCUACACACAAAAUAAAACAUAUAUCCAUCAAUUUAACAAUCAGCCAACCAUCAAAAUUUCGAAACUAAAACAGAACAACAUGACCAGAAUUUCGGCCAGCUUCCUUUCGCAACUUUCCUUCGAUUUCUCUCCACUUUCUAACCAUAAUCAUCUUAUUCAUCACAUAAACAACCAUAAUCAAACAAUCAAGCCUCAAGUCAGCUACCUAGAGGCCUCAUCAAGAUAGCUAGCCUAUGAUUUAAAGUGAGAUAAAUGGUUCCUCAAGUCCGCUAGCCUAUAAACAUGAUUAGGGUUUUAAACCCAUGAAAACCAACCGCUAAACUUUGAAGAAAUGGAAAGAUUAAAGAGAUGAAGUGAUUACCCUUUAAACCCUAGAUGAAGACCAGAUUUUCCACCAAUAAUCACCAAGCAACACCUCAAGCUUUCAGCCUUUCUUCUUGUUGGAGCAAAAACCCAAGAAAUUGUGAGUUAAAUGGAAUGAAUCAAGCAAACUUGGAGCAAGAAGUUGAAGUUCCUUUCUUCCCUUUUCUUUCUUCUUGGUCGGCCAAAUAAAGGAGAGAGAGAGUGAGGGUUUUGUGGUUUAGUUGCUUGGAGGGGAAGAAUGAAAAAGGUAGCCAUAAAGUGUGCACAAAAGUCAACCCUCAACAGUGCGAAAUAAUGUCGUGCACUACCACUUACUCUCUUGUUUGAUACACUCAUGCACUAAUCCUCCAAUGUAAUUCCUUUAAUACUGUAAUUAUUCACACUUACUAGUCUAGUAUUAAAUUCUCCAAUCUCCAAUUAGUCACGCGGUGCGACCUUCGAGAAACUUUCGACGCGCACGCGGUAAAAGUUUAAUUUCACUCACUCACGUCUAAUCCUUCAAUUAACUUUUCUUAAUAUACUAUUAAUCAUUCUUAAUUCUCUAAGAUUAUUGCAAUCUCUGACCGAAUAUCGUCUCGAAAAAUGUGUAUUCGCUAUUCCUUACCAAAUGAGUUGCAGAAAAUUAAUUUUGCUAAUGGAACAUUUUAAAAAUAUAAGUGAGACCUUGUUCCAUGAAAAUAGAUUUAAAAUGUUUGAAAUAAAUUAUUCGGAGAAAAGGGGUGAAUGACUAAUUAAAUAAGCUAGUAAAAUAAGAAAAUUUUUGGGUCCUCACAAAUAGCUCUUGAGAGUUCCUGUACCCUUUUACGUGUGUUUUACUUUCUAUUUGUGCACUUAAAUGAAAUUUCAUAUUGAUCGUUUCUAACUGUGAUAUUUGAUUUAAUUUGUGCUACUUGCUUGUUUGUUUGACUUUCUUGAACUCACUGAGCGUUAACUCAUCCCUUUAAGUUUGUUUUCCUUAAUAGGUUUUGGAAGUGAAAGUGGAGGACUCUAGACUAGCGACUUUUGGUUGAAGCUAGUGAACCUUUUGUAGGUUAUUGGAGACAUUUGAAGUGUAAAUUUUGUUAUAAUUGGGGAUUUUGGAUUGUAAUUGUAAAUAGUAGCCCUAGAAGAAUUUGGAUUGUAUAUUUGUAGUAUUUUUUUAAUCCUAAAUCUAUGAUUGACUUGUGGAUCGCUAUUAAACUUGAAUGAGUGCAUAAGUUAUGACGAGAGUUGGAUAGGCAUCCCACUGAAACCCUAGAGUUCGUCCUAGGGAGAUGUGGAGGCGUGUCACACAUUUGAAAGCUAACUCAAGAACUACAAUUUUUAUGUUUCGUGAAAAGGCUAAUUUGGCUUUUAUCAUUGAAAAAAUUCCAGUUGAACUUGGUAAAAAAAUAGAGUAAUAUUGUAAAUUGAGCAAAAUAGUGUAAACCUGCUGCAACUUGCAAGAGCAAGUUGUAGACAUUUCACACAAGUUUUUGGACCAAUUUUUCUACAAGAGAAAACUACUAAAUCUAGCAAGAUUUGUCUUGGAAAAGUUAAAGACAACUUUACGACUGCAUUAUGAGCAUAUUUUUUCCUUCAAAUACAUCUAUAAAUACCCCUUGUAUCGCAUUAAUUAGAAAAGGAGAGAAGGUUAGAGAGAACUAAAUAGUUGUAGCUUAGAAUGCCACACACCAAGCCCGCACCUUGCCUGGAAUGCAACUGCCGCCGUACCCCAAAGAGAAUAAUUGUGCAAGAUACAAGACCUCGAUAAUCAUUACAUCUUAUUUGCGGAAGCAAUAGAAAAUCUGGUGUGAAACUUUUUUCUAUUAAUACAUAAAUAAAAAAUAAAAUAAUUAAGUAAUCAUUCUAUUGAACCAUAUAUGCUCAUUAUUAACAUAACGGAUCCAAAUAUAACAUUUAUUCAAUCACUAUUUGAUUAUUCUACUAGCAAUCCUUGUCACCAUUAGUCUCAACAAACUUGUAUACGUACUCAUCCUCUGCAUAAAAUGUUAAAAUAUUGGGAUGACCAUCAAGUUACUCAGUGAGUGAAACAUACCGCUCUUGUUGGACCGAGUAUGUUACAUAUAUAUAUAUAUAUAUAUAUAUAUAUAUAUAUAUAUAUAUGAAUAUACAAUUAUACAUUUUAAAAAGUUAUUCACAUAAACACACAAUUUCAUGAAAAGUAAACAUUCCUUGCAUAUUAGUAUCAGAUAUAAACAUUGAUUAAACAGUUAACGGCUCUUAAUAGUUACACGCCUUCAUUGGCACUGAGUACUCAGUCUAGUGAUUGACCCCACUAGAACGGGUAGUCAAAGGGACCUCCAGAGUACCUUUUGAUCAACAUUGCACUUUACUUUACAUUACUUUACUUUGACAUUGGCAAAACUAUAGCCCUUACCGAUUAUGUGAUGACCAUUAGAGUCGUUACAUUAACUUUACACUUAAUCAAGUAAAAUCAAAUAAUUUUGUAUAAGCAUGAAUGUAACGACCCCACCUCUCCCAAGGGUAUAUCCUAAGAUAUCAAUGGACCGCCUGCCCAACUCUGGUCAAAACUUUUUAACAAACCACAAUAUCAAACUCAAUAUCCCACCUUAUGACAAGAUACGCCAAAUACAACGAAUACAUACAAUUGUCUGUCAAAACAAUUUAAAAUACAAAAGAGAGUUUAAGCUUACAAAUUAACAUUCAAAUAAUACAGUACUCUAAUCACUUAGUCUAACUAAAACAAAAGCUAAAUGCUAAUUUACCGAAUCAUGAACCAACCUUAGUAAGGAAAACAAAAGGAAAUGUAUGAGAUUGUGCCCAGUGAGAUCUAAGAAAGACAUGCAAUUUAAGAAAGCAAUUAUUUCACAUAUAUAAGUCGACAAAAAAUAUAAACAAGAGGUAUCAUAUAAGCACAUCAUUAAAAUCGAUAUGUCAAUCAUGAAGGAUACUGAGCACUGGCAACCACUCGAUCAAUCAGUAAUUCAAGUAGUUGACACUCCGUCAACUUUUAUGUCCAUGUAGAAUUGCCACUUCACACCACUCCGUCUACUUUUCACUCCUUACCGGGCCCGCACACUAACAAAAUUUCAAAGAUUGGUAUUACUCAAGUAUAUCCAGUAUAGCAUGGAUCCAACAUAUAUAUACUACCCAAGGUUCGCUAAUCGAGUCGACCAAACCCUUGCCGGCUCAACCUCGAAUAACUAGCCAAUGGGCUUUAGGACCCUCAUAUAUCAAUAAUAUCAUAUCACAUUCACUUAUAGCAAUAACACAGUAGGGUUGAGUGUGAUAAAGUACACACUCGUCCAUUCAUCAAUAAGUUCAAAAAAUGACAAUUCAUAGUCAUAUCAUUUUUCUCGAGCUCAUUGACAUAUCAAGCAUAUAUAUAGUGCUACCACGCACUUAGAACACUUACCAAAUAGCACUUAAACGUCCACAGAAGGAUCGCCUACACAUUCAGAUUGCAACCUUGACAGACAAAUACAACAUAUAAGUGAACAUUUAGUGUUCACCAAAUCAAUUCACUUAAACACGAAAACAUUGUUUUCAAAUUAGUCAACUUUAGUGUUCUAGACACUUCAGCCCAUUCAGGCUUUCAAAUCGACAAUUUAGGUAAAAAUAAAACUUUCCAUUAGGGUAAAAACAUUUCAAAAGUUUGGACAAGGCUUUCCACUCCUACAAGUUUUCUAGCAAGCAAAUCAUAGCAAAAGUCCACUUUUUCAAUUUCUUACAUUCGUAGUUUUUGUCCCAAAAUCAUCCCACAAACAAGGAUCAAAGUUUAAUAAGGUUUCUUGAACUAAACAAACCAAAACUUCAUGAAAACAAGGAUCCAAAGUCAAAUCAGUCCAUAAAAUUGUCAACCACUAAACUUUAGAGAAAAUCUUACUUUCCUUCCCUUUAACUUCAAAAUUUUGAUCCAAAAUCAUUAUACAUACCAAGAUCAAAGUCCAAUAGAACCUUUUGAACUAAAUUUCACCCAAAACAGUUUUUAAAAUAGAAAAUUAAAACUGGAGUUUUAGCUUGCAAAUUCGGCCAGCUUAGACCAUUUUUUUUUUCAGCUUUUGCUACUAUACUUUUUCCAACAAGAUAACCUACAUCACCACUUCAUUUUCUUACAAAUUUUUCAACAUACAUAGAGUCAAGUAGCAUCAACUUUCUUAAAAAUUUUCCAGCACAAGUGUACAAACAAGCCACAAAUUCAAGGGAGGUAAAGCUGAAAAUUUGUCCAUGAUAAUUGGCCAUCUAAACAGAAAUUUCAGCAUAUAUAUACUCCAAUUUUCACCAACAAUUCACCAUAAAUCAUACUCAAAUUUUCAAGAGCUUCAUCAAUCAUUAACCCUAGGAUCUCAAGAGUCAAGAUUCUACCAAAUUCUAGCAAAAUAUAUCAAGAUCUAAGUAUACCAAGAUCAUUAAAGUAUCUAGUACCAAAUUUUCAUAAAACUUUCAAAUCCAUCAUAGGUUUUUCACAAAUAUCAUAAAUCUACCAAGAUCUAGUCCAAAAUUACUUGAAAAGCAAAAGAAUGAAAUAGAUGAGCCACUUACCUCUUCAAAGCUCCAAACUCUAGCAAAAUUAACCCAAAAAGAUGGCAAGAUCCACUCCUAGGAGUCUUUUUCUCUCAAAAAUUUUCCAAAAGUUCAAGUAGAUUAGUGAAAGGGAAGUUUGGAUCUUCAACAAUUUCAAGAAGAGUGAAGUUUCUCUCUCUCUCUCUCUCUCUCUCUCUCUCUCUCUCUCCCUCUCUCUAAUUUUUGGCCAACAAGAGGAGAAAAAUGAAGGAAUUUUGGUUGCUUUUGAGCUAAUAUACUAGCCACAAGAAAGGUUUUUAAGUCCAUUAUAAAUAGUGUCCGAAUAGUGUCUUCCACUUAAGUUUCUUGCUAUCAACUUUUAGCUUUUCUAACCUUCUUUUAAAUCCCAAAAUAUUUCUUAACUUCACUAAUAUCUCAACUUAUAUUCUUCUAGAAUUUUGGCCAAAUUCACUAAUAAGUCAUGAAAUCAACAAUUUUGAAGAAAUUAAUCGCUCGAAAAUUAAAAAUAAGCAAGCAAGAGAAACUCAUUUAUCACUUAACAAGUAAAUCACUAAAUGAAUGCUAAUUUUAUACAAAUAUAAUUUAAAUAGAAAUGCAAAUAGUUGGGAAGUGGAAAAAAUAAUUUUUCUAGGUCAUCACAUUCUCUUCCCCUUAAAAGAAUUUCAUUCUCGAAAUUUUUACCCGGUCUAGCGAAUAGAUCUGGACAGUUCUUUCGCAUUUCCUCCUCCAUCUCCCAAUUGGUUCUUCUAUUCCAUGGUUUCUCCAUAGGACUUUCACCAAACAGAUUUUCUUCCUUCAUAACUCUUUCACUUCCCUAUUCAAAAGUUGUACUGGUUGUUCCUUAUAAGUUAAUGAUUCGUCAAUCUCUAAAUCUUCAAGUUGGAAUAUAUGAGUUAGAUCUGGAUGCUACUUCUUAAGUAGAGAGACAUGAAAAAUAUCAUGGAUUCUAGAAAGACUUAAAGGUAACUCCAAACGAUAUGCAACACUUCCCACUCUAAAUCUUCAAGUUGUAAAAUCUUAAACUGUUCCACAUACCUCGGCUUGAGUUUCUUCCUUCCUUUUUUCUGUCAUGAUACUAGAUUUCAAUGGUAUAAUCUUAAGGAAAACCCUAUCCCCAACUUCAAACUCUACAUCUUUUUUCUGAUUAUCUGCAUAGCUUUUUUGCUGACUCUGAGCUGCUUGAGUCAUUGAACGUAUAAUUUUCACUUUCUCAUAAGCAUCUUCAAUCCAUGGUAAUGUUGUUGGAUCCAUAAUUUUUCUUUUUCCUACUUCUUUCCAAUAAAUUGAGGAAUGGUAUUUCCUCCCAUAAAAAGCCUCAUAAGGAGCCAUUUGAAUAAUCGAGUGAUAGCUAUUAUUAUAGGCAAACUCUACCAAGAUUAGAUAUUGUCCCAAACUUUCUCCAAAAUCCAAAACGCAAGUCCUCAACAUAUCUUCAAGGGUCUGAAUAGUCCUUUUCGAUUGUCCAUCGGUCUAAGAGUGGUAAGUAGUGCUAAAUUUAAACUUAGUUCCCAAAAAUUCUUGUACCUUUUGCCAGAACUGAGACACAAAUCUAGGAUCUCUAUAUGACACUAUACUUACUGGCACCCCAUGUAACCUUACAAUCUCAUCCAAGUUGACUUUGGCUAAUUUCUCCAAAGGAUAUUUCAUGUUAAUCUGCAAGAAAUAAGUAGUCUUAGUUAAACGAUCGACUAUCACCCAAAUUGUAUCAUAACCUUUCUGAGUCCUCGGUUAACCCAACAUGAAAUCUAUGGUAAUAUGCUCCCAUUUCCACUUAGGUACUUCUAACGGCUACAGUAAUCCUGAGAGUUUUUGAUAUUUUGCUUUCACCUGUUGACAAAUAAUGUAGGUCUGAACGAACUGUGCUAUUUCCUUCUUCAUAUUAUCCCACCAAUACAAUUGCUCCGAGUCUCUAUACAUUUUAUUACUUACAGGAUGUAUUGAAUACUUUGAGCGGUGAGCAUCUUCUAAAAUUUUUCUUUUUAUUCCAUCAUCGCUUGGCACCACUACUCGAUUUCUAAACCUUAAAACUCCAUCGGAUCCCAAGCAAAAUUCUGGAAGUUCUCCUCUUUGCACUUUCUCACAUCACUUAUAAACCACAGGGUCUCCCUUUUGAGCUUCCUUAAUGCGUUCCAACAAAGUGGAUCUCACAACUAUAUUCCUACAAAUCACCUUUUGAUGCUUAAUUUGAGGAUUUCAUUCACUAAUCCUUUCUAAUUUGCCAUUCCUUACACAUAAUCCCGGCUAUCUAAACUUUUAGAUUUAAUGCAUCUACUACUACAUAUAACCUUUUCCGAGUGAUAAUUAAUAAUACAAUCAUAGUCUUCCAAAAAUUCCAUCCAUCGACGUUGCCUCAAAUUCAACUUUUUUUUCAAAAAACAAAUACUUAAGACUUUUAUGGUCUGUAUAUAUCUCAAAAGUCACCCCAUAUAAAUAAUGUCUCCACUACUUGAGGGCGAAAAUUACCACGGCUAACUCCAAAUCAUAACUCGGAUAAUUUUGCUCGUGAGGUUUUCAUUUUCUAGAGGCAUAAACUAUUACUUUUCCUUUUUGCAUCAAUACAUCUCCUAACCCUUCUUCCGAUGCAUUUGUAUACACUGUGAAACCCUCUUUCCCACUUGGCAAAGUCAAAAUCGGUGCACUAGUCAACUGCUUCUUCAAUUCAUGAAAACUAGCCUUACACUUGGUACCCCAGAAAAAUUUAGUAUUUUUCUUGGUUAACUCAGACAAUGGCCUGGCAAUCUUGAAAAAAAUCUGGAAUAAAUCGACGGUAGUAACCUGUUAAACCCAAGAAACUACGAAUCUCGGUGAAAUUUUCUGAUUGCUUCCACUUAGAUACCGUAUUUACCUUCGUUGGGUCCACAGUUAUUCCAUCUUUAGAAAUUACAUGCCCAAGGAAGGAUAUUUCAUCCAACCAAAACUCGCACUUGCUAAACUUAGCAUACAACUGAUGUUUCCCUAGAAUUUGCAGUACUAUCCUCAAAUGGUAUUCAUGAUCUUCCUUUGUCUUCGAGUAUAUCAAAUAAUUAUCAAUAACGAUCACUACAAACUGAUCCAGAUAAGAUUUAAAAAUUCGAUGUAUUAGAUCCAUAAAAGUUACUGGGACAUUAGUCAAUUCAAAAGGCAUCACUAAAAAUUCGAAAUGCCCGUAUCUAGAAUUAAAAAUAGUUUUAGGUACAUUCUCUUCUUUAAUUCUUAGUUGAUAGUAUCCUUGUUUAAGAUCCAAUUUAGAAAAUACCGCAACUCCUUGUAAUUGAUCAAACCAUUCAUCCAUGUAACAUAAAGGAUGUUUAUUCUUAAUAGUAAUAUCAUUCAACCCUCGAUAAUCAAUGCACAGUCUCAAACUCUCAUCUUUUUUCUUAACAAAUGAAAUUGGAACUCCUCAAGGCAAAUCACUCUCACUAUAAAUCUUUAUUCCAGUAAUUCUUGUAAUUAUAACUUCAAUUCUUUCAAGUCAACUGGUGUCAUCCUAUAAGGAGUUUUAGAAAUAUGUGCAGUCCUUGGCAACAAGUCGAUUUUAAACUCCACAUCUCUCUCAGGUGGUAACAAGACCAACUCCUUAGGAAAAAAAUCGAAAAAAUCUUUCAAUAUUGAUACAUCUUCCAACUUCACUUAUUCCCCUGGGGUAUUAAUUAGGAAGGUUAGGUACUCUCGAUCUCCUUUACUUAGCAAUUUUUUAGCUAGAAUCCCUGAAAUAAGAGUUGACGAGGCCAACUUCCUCCACGUCCAGCCUUAGUAUUGCUUUCCUCGGAAUGCACAAUUUCACAGCUUUCAUCUUACAAUCCAACCGAACAUGAUAUUGAACUAGCCAAUCCAUCCCCAAAAUGACAUCAUAUCCCCUAAUCAGUAAACUUAUUAGGUCAGCCAACAACUUAGACUCCUUAACUCAAAUCUCACAAUUUCUGUACACUAAAUUAGAAGUUAAGCAUUGAUCCCCCAUGGGUGUUCUAACUUCCAAAUUAUAAGGCACUAUAGCAGGUUUUACAUCUACCCCACUCAUAAAAUCAAGUUUCACAAAUGAAUGAGUCACACCAGGGUCUAUUAAAAUCGUAACUAAGUGGAAUACACGGAUUGCACCUUCUAUAACUUCAGUCGAGUCAGGGAUUUGUUGAUGAUCCAAGGCAUAAACCCUAUCUGGCACUUUAGGUCUACCCCCUCCUAAACUCGCUGGCUUAGUAAUAGCUUAUCUGAUUAUUGGGUGUUACUUCCUUCUGAAAACAUGAGGGGGCAACUAGAGAUCUGAUGCUCGGCAUUUUCACAAUGAAAGCACCUUUUUCCUUUCUUCCAACAAUUGCUCUCAACGUGACCCGAUUUUUCACAAUAACCAUAGGGUGCAUGAGAGGUUACUUUCUGGCUUCCUUGUGAGGUAUUCUUUGACUGUCUCGGACCACCUUGGCCUCUUCUCGCUGGAGCCACUCUAAGUGGCUCUAACAUUUUAAUUCUACCGGUCUCUCUGCCAAUUUCAGGAGGUGGCAUGCUCUUACUGGUUUGCCCUAAUGUGUCACUCGGUAUAUUCUUUUUUCUCGCUUGAAAGGUUUUGACUUGAAGCCUUGCACUUUCGAUCCUAUGAGCCUUUUCUAAUGCCUCGACAAAGGUAUUAAUCUGAACUGCUACUAGAGCCUCCUGGAUCUUCACAUUUAGCUCUUGUACAAAUCUCCUACCCUUUUCCGUUCAGUUACGACCAAUUCCGGAGAAAAUUUUGAAAGUCUAGUAAAUUGAGUCUCAUAUUCUAUCACACUUAAUUUGCUUUGCCGAAGUCUUAUAAAGUCAUCAUCUCUUUUCUCUUGAAUCAAAGGAGAAAGGUACUUUUCGUUAAACUCUCUCACGAAAUUUGUCCAAGUCCAUGGGGUCCGAUUUCUCUCCCACUUAAUUCUCACAACAUUUCACCAAGAUUGAGAUAUUCCCUCAAAUUGGAAAAUGACGAAAGAGACUUGCCACUCUUUAGUGUAAUUUAGGACAUUAAAGAUAUCGAUCAACCUUUCGAGGCAACUCUUAGCUAUCUCAGGGUCAAGCUCUCUCAAGAACUUAGGUGAAAAAAAUUUUUAAAAUCAUUUUAAAGCUCUAUCUACUCCUUCCUCAAAACCCUCAGGUUGAAUCAUGGGUUCUUAACCCUGUCUAUCUACUAUCCUCUCCAAGAGGUUAGUCAUUCAAUUGAUGGCCUUAGACACUUGGUCACCUCCUUCAGCCUUUGGCCCCCGAUUUUGAUCAACUGCAGAUCCUUGAUCACUCCUUUGCUCUUGGGGUUGUUUAUGUCCCCGACCACAACCUCGACCUCGACCAUCCAUGGUUUUAAUGCAAGUCUAAAUAUGCAUAAACAAAAUUUAACUACAUGUACAAACUAUAACACCAAUUAAAAGUAAAAUAAACAUUUCAUUCACGAUAACAAGUCAUAGACAUGUACAUUAGACCAAAAAAGUUCAUAAAAUUUUUCAAAUUAAGAGAGAUAGGCCAGAAUACACAAAAUACAGCAUCCAAACUAAUCAAGAUCACAAAAAUAUCAAAAGAAACCCUAUCUAAUGACUAUCUCCUAUACACAAAAAGGAAAGACUUUCAAAAUGCGCUAUCCUAGUCCACAACAGAGCCAACAGAUUCUCUCUCAUGAGUAGAACUAUCCUAACCCUCCACAGGUACAUUAGCGCCAAUCAUCCCCUGAAGGAGCUCAGUCCUUGAUCUCUCUGACCACCCUAGUGAGGCAGCCAUUAACUACCUGCAGCUGCUCUUUAAAAGCAUUCGUUCUCUUCUACUCCAUCAGUAUAUCCUCCCGGAGCUCUUGAAUCCUAUCAGCCUGCAUCCUCAUGAUGCCUCUCAUCCUCUGAAUCUCAGUUUGAACCCUACAGUUGCUCUAGCUAAUCUGCUCCUCUCAUCAUCUACAGUUAGGACUACUCGGUCAGGAUACGAGUAGAUCCUCCAACAAUCGCAGGGCCGAAUCCGAUGCCCAGGUCCCUAAUGCCGGAGAGGUCCCCUAGGUCUCUCUCGCUAAGCAAUGACUCGACGUGGUCUCGCUGGAUCCUCAUUACCGUUAUUCCCUCUUUCCAUGUCCUACAUGACAAUAGAAGAAGAAACUUAGACUUACCUAUCAAGUUUAAACGCUAACACUUAAAAGUCAAUACUUAAACAAUUCUCAACUUAAUAAGUCAUUCUAGCACUCCUAUUACUUCAUAUCUAUAGGAUUCCCUCUUCUGCCCAAAUUACUCCGAAACCUAGGCUCUAAUAUGUCAAUCAUGAAGGAUACUGAGCAAUGGCAAACACUCGAUCAAUCAGUAAUUCAAGUAGUUUACACUCCGUCAACAUUCAUGUCUAUGUAGAAGCGUCACUUCACACCACUCCGCCCACCUUUCACCCCCUAACCAGGCCGCACACUAACAAAAUUUCAGAGAUUGGUAUUACUCGAGUAUAUCCAAUACAGUAUGGAUCCAACACAUAUACACUACUCAAGGUUCGCUAAUCGAGUUGACCAAACUAUUGCUGGCUUAAUCUCAAAUAACUAGCCAUUGAGCUUUGGAACCCCCAUAUAUCAAUAAUAUCAUAUCACAUUCACUUAUAACAAUAACAAUUCAGUAGGAUCGAAUGCGAUAAAAUACACACUCGUCCAUUCAUCAAUAAGUUCAAAAAAUGACAAUUCAUAGUCAUAUCAUUUUUCUUGAGCUCAUUGACAUAUCAAGCAUAUAUAUAGUGCUACCACGCACUUAGAACACUUACCAAAUAGCACUUAAACGUCCACAGAAGGAUCGCCUGCAUGUUCAGAUUGCAACCCUGACUGACAAAUACAACAUAUAAGUGAACCUUUAGUGUUCAUCAAAUCAAUUCACUUAAACACGAAAACUUUGUUUUCAAAUUAGUCAACUUUAGUGUCCUAGACACUUCAACCCAUUCAGAAUUUCAAAUCGACAAUUCAGGUAAAAACACAACUUUCCAUUUGGGCAAAAGCAGUCCAAUAGUUUGGACAAGACUUUCCACUCCUACAAGUUUUCUAGCAAGCAAAUCAUAGCAAAAGUCUAUUUUUUUAAUUUCUUACAUUCGUAGUUUUUGUUCCAAAGUCAUCUCACAAACAAGGAUUGAAGUUUAAUAAGGUUUCUUGAACUAAACCAACCAAAACUUCAUGAAAACAAGGAUCCAAAGUCAAAUCAGUCCAUAAAAUUGUCAACCACUAAAUUUUGGAGGAAAUCUUACUUUCCUCCCCUUUAACUUCAAAAUUUUGAUCCAAAAUCAUUAUACAUACCAAAAUCAAAGUUGAGUAGAACCUUUUGAGCUAAAUUUCACCCAAAACAGUUUUUAAAAUAGAAAAUUAAAAUUGGAGUUUUAACUUGCAAAUUCGGCUAGCUUAGGCCAUUUUUUUUGUAGCUUUUGCUACUUUAAAUUUUCCAGCAAGAUAACCCACAUCACCACUUCAUUUUCUUACAAAUUUUCAACAUACUUCAACCAACAUACAUAGAGUCAAGUAGCAUCAAUUUUCCUAAAAACUUUUUAGCACAACUGUACAAACAAGCCACAAAUUCAAGGGAGAUAAAGCUGAAAAUUUGUCCAUGAUAAUUGGCCAUCUAAACAGAAAUUUCAGCAUAUAUAUACUCCAAUUUUCACCAAUAAUUCACCAUAAAUCAUACUCAAAUCCUCAAGAGUUUCAUCAAUCAUUAACCCUAGGAUCUCAAGAGACAAGAAUCCACCAAAUUUUAACAAAAUAUAUCCAGAUCUAAGUAUACCAAGAUCAAUAAAGCAUUUAGGACCAAAUUUUAGUAAAACUUUCAAAUCCAUCAUAGAUUUUUCACAAAUACCAUAAAUCUACCAAGAUCUAGUCCAAAAUUGCUUGAAAAGCAAAAGAAUGAAGUAGAUUAGCCACUUACCUCUUCAAAGCUCCAAACUCUAGCAAAAUUAACCCAAGAAGAUGGCAAGAUGCACUCCUAGGAGUCCUUUUCUCUCAAGAUCUUCCAAAAGUUCAAGUAGAUUAGUGAAAGGGAAGCUUGGAUCUUCAACAAUUUCAAGAAGAGUGAAGCUCUCUCUCUCUCCCUCUCCCUCUCUCUAAUUUUUGGCCAACAAGAGGAGAAAAGUGAAAGAAUUUUGGUUGCUUUUGAGCUAAUAUACUAGCCACAAGAAAGGUUUUUAAGUCAACUAUAAAUAGUGUCCGAAUAGUGUCUUCCACUUAAAUUUCUUGCUAUUAACCUUUAGCUUUUCUAAUAUUCUUUUAACUCCCAAAAUUUUUCUUAAAUUCACUAAUAUCUCAACUUAUAUUCUUCUAGAAUUUUGGCCAAAUUCACUAAUAAGUCACGAAAUCAACAAUUUUCAAGAAAUUAAUCGUUCGACAGUUAAAAUAAGCAAGCAAGAAAAACUCAUUUAUCACUUAACAAGUAAAUCACUAAAUGAUUGCAAAUUUUAUAGAAAUAUAAUUUAAAUAGAAAUGCAAAUAAUUAAGAAGUGAGAAAAAUAAUUUUUUUUGGUCAUUACAAUGAACAUCUCAUAUACAUUAGAUUUCAUAACAAGAAGCAUUAAGGUUCAAUGCAUAUAACCAUACAAGGUCCAUUUUCAUAUAGAGAAAGUAACGCUUUGCUAAACAUUGCCAAAAAGAUUUUAGAAAGUACAAAGGGGUAAAUCCCACUCACCUUGAUUAGCUUGGAAGACUGUCCUACUAGGGUUUUUGAUCUUUGCCUUCUAUCCCUAGAGAGAUAACAUGUAAGUCUAUUACUUUACACAUAUUGACUGUUCGUCACUUAUUUCUUUAAUAUAUCCCCUAGAGAUGUUUAACUCUAGGACACCUAACAUUUCUAAACGAGUAAAGUUUCUGUAUCUAAUAUUUCCUUUUUAAAUAAGUUUCCUAUUUUAGAAAGUUCCUUUCUUGGAAAGUUGCUAUUUUUGGUAAGUGUAAACAACUUUGGAAGGAAUCCUAGUUUAGGUCAAUAUUAUUGGAAAAAUCAAUCAUUAAGGAAAGUUUAGUUAAUUUAGUUAAUUCUUUAUUUUAGAGAGGUCAUGAAUUAACUUAGGAAAGUCCAUAACUUUGGAAGUCAUUUAUUUUAGGAAAAAAGUUCUUAAAAUGUCAAUGACAAUUUCAAUUGUUGUAUCCUAGUAGUAACUUUAGUACAUCAAAGUUUUAAAAUUUAACCUUAAAGCUAAAUGAGGCAGUUGCAAGAAAUACAUAAAUUACAACACUAGACUAUUGAGUACUAUUACUAUUAAUGUUGUUAAUAAAAACUCAUAGUCAGUUGGUGUUAUCAUCUUAGUAGUCUUCUCCUUUUAGAUAGAAAUUUAUGCUUUCAAGCAUUAAGGUUCACUUUUCCUUAAGAUACUAUCACUGUCAUUUAGCUACGGAUAAUUAAUAAUGGUUAUAAGAUAAUCUUGGAACUGUUAUGAUAACAAAAGUAACAUUAGGGCGUUAAGGGCUAAAAAUUCAGUCUUACACUUGAAUAUUCUAGAUGUGACGGUACUAAAAUAAUUUGCAAGGUAUUGGUCAGGGACCACUGAUUGUACCAGAUUUGCAUAACUUUUAAAAGUCUAAAACACAAAGACUAAGAACCAGAUUUGAAUCAUACUUGUCAUAUCAAAUGUAAACUAAUUGCAUUACUAUGUGAACAAUAGUCUAAACAAAAAGAAACCUUAGUAAGGCAUUGAAGCUACUACGCUUAUACUAAACAUAAUCCAUAAUGACUCCAAAUCCAUGUAAUGACAUGUGCAUGGUAAUAAGAAAACUAAUAUGCAUAGGAUUUGACUACUUAUAUGUGAGUUGCAUUCUUAAUCGAUUCUCGAGCCAACAUGAUCUUUUGAAGGGUAAGUACUAUUGUUAGAUCAAUCAAGGCACAUUCAAAUGGAUUGAUUAUAACACGAACCUUUAGGAGUUACUUGACAAAUUCUAAUAGAACUUAAUCAACAAUUUUUAGAGUUUUAAGAUCUAGUUAAUUCUACUAAAAUUCAUAAACUAAAGUAGGUAUAAUAAAUCUUAAAAUCUAGACUGGCUUUUCAAAACAAUAAAGAAUAAAAAUCUUAGAGUUUUACUUGUAUUGCAGUCACGAGUUGUUCAAAGUUCCUUCUCCUCCCUCUUUUCCUCUUCCAAAAGAUUGCUCAACUUUUCCCUCAAACCCACCUUUGUAUUUGUCAGUUUUCCAGAGAAAGGAAAAGAUGAUUUAAUUUUUUUGAAUAGGGUAUGUAUAAGCCUCAGAUAAGUAGUGUUGUGUCAAGACUCAAUUAAAAAGUUAAUGUCCUAAUUAUUAGUUGAUAAUAUUUUCUAAAUGGAUUGAUUGAGAUUUGAUUUAUAAUUAGACAUAAAUGCUAUUAAUUGUAUUCUAAAUCUUACCAUAGGAAAUAUCCUAAUUAGUAAUGAAAAUAGGCUUGAUUAGUGGUUGAAUAGUAAUUACAUAUUAAUGAUACUAAAUGUAAUUGGAAACCUUACCAUAAAAAAUAAAGAAAAGAACUCACUAUAUUUAUUGAUCUUAUUACUAAUGUUUAGUAGUAUGACUAGAUUCCUUUGCCUAAGUAAUAUGGUAAAGGCAUGAUUUUAGGAUAUUACAUUCUACUCUCCUUAAAAUAAGUUUUGUUCUCGAAACUGACAUACCUUGUGUAAACAAUUGCUAAUACUUUGCUCUCAUUUCUUCUUUCAACUCCCAUGUUGCUUCUCUCUCUGUAUGGUUUGUUCAUUGGAUUUUGACAUACGGAAUCGCCCUUCACUUAAGCACCUGAUCCUUUUGAUUAACUAUUUUUACUGGAUGCUCUCCGUAGGAUGUGUUUUCCUUCACCUCUAGUGGUUGAGCCUCCAGUACAUUACUUGGAUCAGAGACAUACUUCCUCAAUUGGGACACGUGAAAGACAUUAUGGAUUUUCAAUAGAGCAUGUGGCAGUGUCAAACGAUACAUCAAAUUUCCUACUCUUUCAAGUCUCUCAAAUGGUCCUAUGUAUCUGGGUCUUAACUUUCCACUCUUUCCAAACCUCAUAAUACCUUCGAAGGGAAAAUUUUUAAAUAUACCUUAUCCCCUUGAUUAAACUCUAGCGGUCUCCUUUUAGUGUCUAUCCAUUUUUUAUUAUGAUCCUGAGCCGUCUUUAAUUUGUCUUUGAUGAUUCUAACCUUCUCUAAAGUCUUCUCAAUCAAAUCUGGUCCAGAAAUUAAUUCCUCUUCGACUCUAUCCCAAUAUAAUGGGGAUCUACACUUCCUUCUAUAUAAUGCUUUAAAUGGGGUCAUUCCAAUUCCACAAUGGUAGCUAUUAUUGUAGGAGAAUUCCAUUAGCUUAACCAUUCCAUCCCAACUUCCUUUAAAUUCGAGUGCACAUGCCCCCAGCAUAUCCUCCAAAGUUUAAAUUGUUCGUUCAGAUUGCUCAUCCAUUUGUGGAUGGAAAGCAACUCAAUCUAAGAUCUGUUCCCAUCAUUCUUUGGUAUGUAGACCAAAAUCUUGAUGUAAAUUUAGGAUCUCUAUCAAACACAAUACUUAUCAGCACUUCAUAUAAACAAAUUGUGUCUGAAAUGUACAUCUUCACUAAUUUUUCCAUGGAAAUUCUAUUUACAAUGGGUAGAAAAUGUGCACUUUUGCUCAAAUGGUCCACAAUGACCCAAAGGAUAUCAUGGCCUCCUUUGGUCCUUGGUAGUGCUACCACAAAAUCCAUUGUGAUAUGCUCCCAUUUCCAUUGUGGGAUCACCAAUGGCUGCCAUAAUCCAGCAGGUUUUUGAUGUUCAGCUUUAAUCUGUUGGCAUACUAAGCAUCUCGCAACAUAUGUAGCAAUUUUCCUUUUCAUCCCAUUCCACUAGUAUGUCUGUUUUAGGUCUCGAUACAUUUUAGUUCCUCCUGAAUGUAUAGAAAAUUUUGUACCGUGGGCCUCCUUUAAAAUUUUCUACUUUUUUUCUUCAUUCUUAGGUGCAUAUAACCUUCCCUUCAUCCAUAGGCUACCAUCAAUUUUUGCUUGAAAUUUCCCGGAUGUUUCAACCUUAAGUUUCUCCUUCAGGAUCUACCCUUUGUGCGUAUUUAAUUCUGUUAACCAAAGUUGGUGCUAACACCAAUGCAACUAAAACUCCAUCAGUAGAAUCUAUCACAUCUAACUUCAAAUCUGCCAUUUACUUUCUCAAAUUAGGGGUGCUAGCGGUAGUUGUUUUUCUACUGACAUCGGCUACUCAAUUUGCCUUUCCAGGAUGGUAGCUAAAUGGUCAAAUCAUAAUCCUUUAUCAAUUCUAGCCACCUUAAUUGCCUCCAACUCCUUCUAAGUAAAUAAAUAUUUCAAACUCUUGUGAUCAGUGAACACCUCACAUAGUUGCCUCUAUAGUUUUAGUACAAAAACAACUGCAGCUAAUUCUAAAUCAUGAGUCGGGUGAUUUUAUUCAUACGGUUUCGAUUGCUGAGAAGCAUAAGCACUCACUCGACCAUUUUGCAUUAACACACAAACUAACCCAUGCUUGAAUGCAUCAUCAUAAACCACAAAAUCAUCCAAGUCAGAUGGCAAUGUCAAUACAAGAGCUGAGUCCAAUUUUUGUUUCAACUUUUGAAAACUUGCCUCACAUUCAGGUGACCAUACAAACUUAUCUCACUUGUGAGUUAACUUGCUUAAAGGCACGGCUAUUGAUGAAAAUCCUUCAACAAAUUUUAGAUACUAUCCCAUAAAUCCUAGAAAACUCUUUACUUCUAUCACAUUAGUUAGCCUUGGCCAAUCCACAAUAGCUUUUAUCUUCUUAGGAUCUACUGCCACACCUUGAUUUGAUAUUACAUGUCUUAGAAAGGUUACACUCCUUAGCCAAAAUUCGCAUUUGCUAAAUUUUUCGUAUAACUUUUCCUUCCUUAAUAUCCCUAGUACUUCUCUAAGAUGCUCAGCAUGUGCUUCCUCAGUUGGAGAAUAUAGUAAGAUGUUAUCUAUGAACAUCACAACAAAAAUAUUUAAUUGGGAUCUAAAUAACCAAUUCAUUAAAUCCAUAAAUGCAGCAGGUGCAUUGAUUAAUCCAAAUGGCAUACUAAGAAUUCAUAAUGCCUGUACCUUGUCCUAAAUGCACUCUUAGGAAUACCCCCUUCUUUGAUUUUCAAUUCAUGAUAUCCAGACCUCAAAUCAAUUUUAGAAAAUACCUUAGCACCUUCCAAUUGAUCAAAUAAAUCGUCAAUUUUUGGAAGUGGGUACUUAUUCUUGAUUGUGAUUUUAUUUAAUUCUCAAUAAUCUAUACAGAGUCUCACACUCUCAUCCUUCUUUUUAACAAAAAGUGUGACGGCCCCACCUUCCCCUAAGGCAAACCAAAGGGUUCGGCGGACCGCCUGCCCAACUCUCGCCACGACUCAUUCACUCACUCAUAGUUCAAGCAAAAUAACAUACAUCCAUAGAAAAUGAAUAACACAUCCACUUCAACUUAAUAUAUACAUUGAUGCUCAAAUCCAGAUACAAAGUUUCUACACACCAAAAAACUUCAAAGUAUUUACAUUUCGAGUACAAUCAACCCUAGUCGGGUACUAGCGAGAGUACAAUUACAAAAUUCAAAACAAUUAGACUACGCUAGUCUGUGCAAGUCACAAGCCUCGCUCGUACCUCCUGUAAGGAAAACAAAUGGCGUGGAAUGAGCUAAAAGUCCAGUGAGGUUCCAAAUAACAAAUUGACCAUUUUUAAAAGUACGAAUAUCAACAUGGCGAAUUAAUGAGCAUCAAAAGUUCAGAAAAGUAAACAAUAACACUUCAAAUAGCAAAUCUCAAAGUGAGCGAGUGUAAAAGUUUUUCAGAAGAAAUAAUAAUCCAGUAAGCAAUAAUCAUUCCAAAGUAUAAGGAUACGGAGGGCUCUCAGGAGACAAAUUCCCAUUGCAUCACCAGGAGCUUGAUCACGUAAUAGUUGACACUCCGUCAACUUUCAAGUAAAGAAACCAAUCCAGUAGAACACCACUUACACUACUCUUUAUCCACCACUCAAACCCCCUAUUGGGCCCAAAAUCCUCAAUAAACACUGGUGGUAAUACUCGAGUAUACCGAUUAGUUGAGAAGAUAUCACUCCACUCGACAAAACAAAAGACACAGGGUUCGUUACCUAAUCGAUCAAGUCCUUGCCGGCUCGACUCGAGUAACUCGCCACAAGGUUUCUGGAAUUCCAGGAAGUGCGCACCAUAUACACAAAUAUAUCACAUCCAUUGCAACAAUAAACAAGUGUAUCUCAUAGUGCGAUAAAGUACACUCUUGCCCGAACAAACAAAUGACAUAUUAUUAAAUCACAUUGGUCAAGUAUUGAAAACAAGUAUCCAGUUCAAUCAGGUAUUUGGAAGCACUCACCAAAAGUAGUGCCUCUAGUGAUCAUGUCUGGGUUGUACUCCGGGUUUGGAAUCCAAAUCUGCGAUAAAACUUUGUUUAAGAACUUUAAAAAUCGACUAAGGUUCGAAACUUAGACGUUUCGUUCAAUAAGAAUCAAGAAAUGGAAAUUCACUUGGAGAAUAUUCGUGAAACACUCGCUCACUUUUCAAACUAUAUAACUUUGUAACAUUUAUACUUGGAAAUGCCAUUUGAGUCGAAAGUACAAGGAAAACGUAUUCUUAGUAGUCAUGAUUGUAUUUCUCAAGGGUACAAGUUCGGCCAAAUCCUCACUGAUAUACCUCGAUAAAAGAAGACGCAAAUAUCCUAGAUAGUUCAAGUGGUAAUCGCUCUUAACCCUUACUCAAGUUGCAAGUAUGUCUACCUAACCCUUGAGCGUAAAUUUGGGCAGCACGCCCUUUGUAUUUUCCUAAUUUUCCAGCCAUUUAUGGCUUCAUUCUUUUCCUCAAUCAAACCCAAAGUUGCACACAAAAUAAUCUUAUUUCAAUAGCCGUUCAAUAGACUCAAAGUCAUACAAGUACAAAAUCAAGCUAGGAACAUGUGCGGAAAUGAAGUUUAGCAAAAGACAGAUUUGACAUUGUUUGGCGUAACGGACACAACCGAAGCUAUGCUUAUCGGAUUGGGAUGAAAUUUAUACCAUUUCAAAACUAAGACAAAGGGCUACAAUGUUGAUGAGAUCACUUAGUCCAAAUUCUAGUGUAACCCAGUCAAAUUCCCAAUUCACAGAACCAAAUUCCAACUAACAGGCCAGUUAACCGCACUACCUUCAAAUGGCCAUAUCUCAAGCUACCAAAGUCCGUUUAAGACGUUCUUGGAGGCGUUGAAAAGCUAAGACAUAGUACUAAAACUUUCAUGUUUUGACCAAAAGCUAUUUCAGUAUGUAUCAAGGUGAACAAAUGCAACCAACUUAGUGUACUGUCAAAACUGUCCACUAACUUUACUCCUAUGGCGGUCAGGGUAUUUUCAUCUUUUCAUAGGCUACGUUGCUCCGAUUGGGCUGAAAUUUUGUAGAAAACCAUAAAAUAUCAUUCUCUACAACCUUCAUGUUUUGUGCUAAGCCUAAUUCAGCCUCUAACAUAAUGAACUGGAACCGGGCAGAACUGAAGCUACAAUUUCCAGAAAUCUGGAAUUUUGUUAUAUUCAAGCUAUAAUUCACAUUUUUACCUUAAAACUACCACUACUAUCUCCUUUACAAGAUUAUAUACCAUAUAUAUACAUCAUAUAACACCUCCCCCACAAGAAAUAUAAGUGAAUCAAUCACAACCCUAACUCAAAAUUCAUUACUCCAAUCAUCAAAACCAUUUGAAACAAGCAUCACAAGCACAAUUCUAAACUUAAUACCCAACUUAAUCAUGAGUAAUGGAGAAAGAAAGGUUGAUCAGCCAUUAUACCUCAAGACAAGAGCUUGCAAGAGUGAUCCCCCACUUCUCCUUGAAAUUUUUGAUUCCUUAAGCUUCCCAAGCUCCCAAACUAGUGAUUAAUCGGUUUAGAUUUCUUAUUUUCUCACUUAAGUGGAUCAAACUCAAGAUGGAUUGUGGUUUCUUUCUCUUGGUUUUUCUUCCUCUCUCUCUUGGCUGGUGUACUAAAAAUGAGGGGUAAAUUGAGUAGUUUUUAGUGAUAAAGAUGGUGGAAAUUAAUUAGUUAACAAACCAUUAGAUGGUCGCCACUUGUUGCUUUAAGAUUAACCUUCAAAUUUUGUCCUUUUUCCUUGUUUUUUGGUCAAAUAUUUCGGCCAAGCUUAGCUGAAAAAUGGGGUGAUAUUUUGCACUCAUAUCAAUGGUAUUGUAUGGUAGGAAAGUGGUGGUCAAGUGGUGUGUUCAAUCGAUAGUGAACGGUACCCGUCGGUUCUAGCCGUUUUUCCUUAAAUCGCGUAUACUAGGGUUUUAACUUAUAAUUUACUAACUUAUUAUUAUCAUCUCUAAUCCCAUACUUAAUAUCAUCUAAAACUCACUUUUAACUAUCAAAUUUGAUUCACAAUUCGCACUGGAUAGUCACACUACGGAUAGACGUAAAAACCCUAAUUCGCGCUAACUUGAAAACGAAAAGUGAAACCCUACUUUCUAGGUUCAUUUGCACUUAUUGUGGGGUGAUUGAGUAGUAGGGCUAUUAUAAAGUAAUAAUUUCCAAAUAAAAGGGCAUUUUUAAGAAAAAAUAUAAAGAAUUUUUUGGACUCUCACAAAAAGCACAGGUGCUCCGCAGGGUGCGUACUUGGCUGAAUAAAUUUCAUAUCAAGUAAUUCUUGAAAUUGGUCUUUUAACUCUUUUAAUUCUGUUGGGGCCAUUCGAUAAGGUGGCUUAGAAAUGGGUACUGCUUCAGAUGCUAAAUUGAUCUCAAACACCAUUUCCCUAUUAGGGGUAUCCCAGGUAGUUCAUUAGGGAAAACAUCUGAAAACUCUUUAACUACUAGUAUAUUUUCUAAGGAAAUACCAUUCUCUUUAGUGUCUACCACAUAGGCAAGAUAACUUUCUACACGAUUUCUUAAUGCCCUAGAUGGUUGUAAUGCAGUCAAUAAUAACUGCUCGUGUAUUUUCUUCUUUUUUUUCUAAAUUCCCUUGAAAAGAAACUUAUCUUUAGUAAGAUGAUUAAAAAUCACUUUUUUUUCUCCUACAAUGAAUCUGUGCAUGGUUUCUCACUAACCAAUCCAUUCCUAAAAUGACAUUAAAGUCACUCAUGUUGAUUUCAACUAGAUUAGCUUGUAAUAUUCUACCCUCAAUUUCAGUCAAACAAUUGUUAUAUUUUAGGUCAGACACACGAUAUGGGUUAUCUAACCAUUCAUGUUGCACGUUCAAGGUCUUAGUAAACUUUCUAACCACAAAAGAAUGGGUAACACCACAAUCAAAGAGCACGUAGGCAGGCGUAGAGUUUACAAGAAGUAUACCUAUGACUACGUCAUUAGAUUCUUCUACCUCAAAGUCAGUCAUCACAUGUACCCUUGCAUUGAUUCUUGGCCUAUUUUUAGGGGGGUUAGUAGACUUAUCACCUUCUUUCUUAGGAUUUAGACAAUCCUUCACUCAAUAACCCAUCUGUCCACACCCAAAAUAGGCACCAAUUUUCAGACGCCAUUCUCCCAAAUGCAUCCUAUGUCAAGUUGGGUAUUCCUUCUUAGUAGGAACUUUUCCUUUAGAUUGAGAUGUAACCAUCCGUGAAGGGGUAUUCAGGUUUCUCCUUACCAACUUAAAAACUCUGCUUGGUCUCUUUGGACCGACCAUACUACCUUCACUCUCAAGUCGAGGCCUUUCACCUCUUUCUUCCGCUUGAAAUCUUUUGAUAUCUGCCUCAAUUCUUACACUUGUAUUGAACAGUGUAUCAUAGUCAGAGAUCAUAGUGUUUGACAGCUUUGAUUGAAUUUUGCUUGACAAUCCCCUUGUGAAUUUUAACAUUUUUAACUGUUCAUUUGUGAUAAUAGAAGGGACAAUCCUUCCCAAAGUGCAAAACUUAUUUGCAAACUUGACAACUGGCAUGCCUGGUGUUUGCUUCAGUGAUUCAAUUACCUCCAUUUUCUGAAGACAGACAACAGGUGGAAAAAAUAGUUAAGGAAAGCUUCCUUAAAUUUCUCCCAAUUCAUUGGCCGUGCAAUGGUAGGUUUAACAACUGACCACCAUUUCUCUGCAUCUUCAACUAAAAAGGGUGUAAUUAUCUCAUGUUUCACUUCAUCUGGAACUUGCAAUAACUUAAAGUUAGUCUCAACCUCUCCCAACUAUUUCUCUGCUUUAUCUGGAUUCAGAGAACCAUCAAAGGUUGGGACUUGCACUUUCUUCAUUCUGUCGUAGUGUACAUGAAUACCAAUCUAUCUUUGUGCAUUUGCCUGUACCGCUUGGGCUUGCAACUGCACAUGGCCUUGGAUAGCUUAUGCCACAAUAGUUAAUGCUAUGAUAAAUUCUGAUGGCAAUAUCAUUACAUGUCCAUUGUCACCUUGACCAUUCACAGUUUGAUUGUUGUUUCCAUUGCCGCCUUGACUAUUUGUAUUCUAGUUCUUACUACUCUUACCUUAACCAUUACUCCUAGUUUGUACCAUUUUCCUAAAAUGACAAAAUCUAUCAACUCAUCUAUGUUGUGCCAAAGAUCUAUAUACAUUGAACAACCUAAGUUCAAGUCAUAAAGUUGUUGUCAUUUUUUUGCCUCAAAAUGUAAAGCAGGAGAAGAGUUAUCUAGUGCAAGCAACUAAUGAAUGUAAUAAUCAAUGGUAAGCAUGAAUUUCGUCAAUUAUUCAAUCAAAAGAUAAACAAGCAGAUAUCAAAAGUAGAAUAUUAAUAAUAAUGAUAAUAAUAAUGUUGCCAAUAAAAUUGUCAAACAUUAGGGAAUAACACCUAACUUAUUACAACUUAUUAUAGAGAUUUUAUUUCAAAUAAGCGAAAUCAUAUUACUUUCCUAUCGUAUCAAGGUAUUAAGGAUCUACUAUAUCCUCAACACCUAAAUCUUCUUCAUCUGCUUGAGCAUCCCCAAGAGCAUUGUCAUUGCCUAUUUCCUCCUCUAUGGGCUUCUCUUGCUCUUCCUCCACUAAGGAUCCUCUUCUUCUUCAUCCAUUCAUAACAUUUUCAUUCUCAUUGUUGGCAAUGAUAGGGGCAUUCUCACCCUCAUUAUUACCUUCAACAUUUGUCCAAAAGUUUUCGAACUCGAGGACUGGUGCAAAUGUAGUUAUGAUAGUGCGAAACUCAUUUAUCUUUUACUCAUACUUGGCCUUUAGAUCAUGGUAGGCCAUCCCUCGCUUAUAGGUAUAACCAUUCAUUUCCUCCACCGCAUUCUCCCAUUAAUUUGGCUUCAGUCCUCCAAGUUUCAAUAUCUAUUUUUAGAUGGAUAUUUUCAUACUUCAAAUUAUUGACUUCCAAGUCCAAAGCAAUAUUUCUAUUCCUCAAUCAAACUGUAUUAGUCACUAGCUUCUAAACAUCACACCUUAAAAAUGCUUUCUCCUUCUCUACCUCAGUAUUAGAAACCAGAAAUUUGGUAAUUUCCUUAUGCAAGGCAGCUUCCCUUAAUUCCUGUCCUUGAGUCUCAUUAGUUUUCUCCUUGAGCUCCCUUUUUAAACUCUCAAUCAUCUCUCUGGCAGCCACCUCAACCUGUAUUGCAUUUUUCAUCCAAUCUUCAAUUAAAUCACUGGACUCCUUCUUUGACUUCUCAGGUUCCUAAACCCUAUUUUGCAACAUCUUAUUUUAUGCCUAACACAGCAUCCAAUUGCCUUUACCAGACAAUUGCACUCCUCCCUCAACAUGAUAGAAAACAUGUCCAGUCAUAACCCACACGAUCAAAAUGUUCUCGUUAGUAGAAAUUUUAAAUUAAAGCAAAUUUAAAUCUCCCAAAAACAAAUUAGGAAUCACAUAUCUUAGUAUCUAGAAUCUAUUCCUAUAAGAUCUAGACCUUGCUUAGAUACCACUAAACUUGUCACGUCCUAAGCCCGCACCUUGCUCGGAAUGCGACAAUCGCCAUACCCCAAAGAGUAUAAUUUUCCAAGAUACAAGGCCUCAAUAAGCAUUACAUUUUAUUUGCAGAAACAAUAGAAAAUCUAGUGCGGAACUUAUUUCUAUUAAUACAUAAUAAAAAAUAAAAUGAUUAAGUAAUCAUUCUAUUGAGCCAUAUAUGCUCAUUAUUAACAUAACGAAUCCAAAUAUGACAUUUGUCGCGCCCCACUUUUUGAGAUGUGAAAGUAGUGUGUGGGAUAUGUAUGUGAACGUGUGUGAAAGUGAAAAUAAAAGGCCGUGGGAUUGUGAAAUGCGACGGUUUGGCCAAACAAAGAGUUUUAGAUAGAAAAGGAGUCGCCACUUGGUAUAGAGUUAGGGUGUACCAAGUCACCCAAAAAGUGAUGUUUUUUUGAAAGAAAAGUAAACAAACCCUUUUUAAAGAAUUUUUUAGGUCUACGUAACCAAAAAAAGGGAUCGGGGGUCACAUUUGAUAAGGGAGAAGGUAAAGGCAAAGCCUAAGGCACUCCCUUACUCUAGCCAAAGCUAGUUGCGUGACUUAGUCCUUCUUUUCCUAAUUCUUCUACCCAAAAUAUGUGUUGCAUGUUGGAUGUGACUAAUGGAUAUGAAAAAAAAAAUGCAAUCCUAAAUCUAAAAUGUCUCUUAUGAGGUUUUUUGGUCCCAAUCACAUGAGUUGUAAUAGCCAAUAAGGAAAACUCUCAUAGAGGUCAUGGGUAAUGCAAAUGAAGACCCAAAUAUGAGUGCAAGUGUGAAAAUGUAAGAAGAAUGCAAAAUAAAAUAAAAAUACAAAUACAAAUGUAAGUGCAAGUGUGCAAAUGUAAGAAAAGUGCAUGUGUGCCAAUUGAGAAAAUAAAGGUGUUUGUGUGCAAGUGGAUGAAAAUAUAGUAUAAUAGUAGUAAAUGCAUAUAAGUGCAACUGAGUGCAAUUUGUGAGGUAGAAAAUAAAUAAGUGAUAGGGAAAAAAGAAAAAUGUGCAAACAUGGCAUAUGGAUUGAGAAAAAUAUAAGUAGUGAGAGAAUGUGGAUAAAGAAUGUGAGGAAGUGAUAUGAUAAAAAUGAGAGUGUAUGAACCUAGAGGAAUGCAUCAAGUCGGGUACGGGAAUGACUCCUAACUUCACGAUUUUAAUUUUCCCUUUAAUUAAAAGGAAGAACUAGCGUGCUAAGGCUAUUUUGUAGCCACACUCGCUCGUUUCCCUUACCGAAAGGGGACUUUCAAGUAAAUGUACCCUAUAACUAGCAUGAGGAUGCAAAAACCUAAGAUGAAGGGGAAAGGAUUGGAGAAUCUUGCCAAAUGCUAGAAAACUAAGAAAAAAGGUAUGAAAUGUAGUGAGACAUGCAAGUAUGUACCAACGAGAGGGGACGGCCUAUUGGAUCUAGCAUUGGACUAGCCCUUUUCUAAAAUUCUCUCACAAGCAUUGGACUUGCGAGAGCUCGAGGGGAAAGACCAUGGCCAGCGUUGGACUAGCCACGGUGACGCAUUCAUCUAUCACAUUCAUCUAUAACUAUAGAAAGCAAGUAGACAUGCCAAUCACCUAUAAACACGUAGCACAUAACACUUAGCAUGCUCGACUAAAUGCAAGAGCCUAAUAAAGCAAAUUAACAUGUAGCAACAGAAGCAAGCAAUCAAGCUAAUGAACCUAUUACAUUUGCUAACUAAAACAAAUGGGAAAGAGGAAAAAUGAAUAAAAAUGCUCUCCAAGCCCUAUCUAUUACAAGCCAAGAGGUGUACACGUACCGCAUAAAAGAAUAACUUAAUAAAAGCAAAAGUAAAAGAAAUAAAUGAAGGGAAUUAAGGAAAGGCAAGGAAAGCAAAGUAGACAUGCAAUUCUCACUUAGCACGUUGGAUCACACAGAGGAGAGACAAAAAAGGAUAAAAGAAGUUAUACCUCCCCGUUUGUGAUGUUAGUAAAGUAAACAAGACUUAACUUGGACUAGAGUCACCAAAGAAAGAGCUAACUUGGGCUAAAACCAUCAAAGUAAGGGAUUAAUGCACCACUUUAAAGAUAAGUAGAAUAAAAGGCAAAAAGGAAAUUCAGAACACCUUAGAAACUUCAAAAGGGGUACUAACAAACCACCAAAUUCUUCUCUAAUUGCGACUUAAAUGUAGUCAAAAGAUGCUUAAUCUCAAAGGAAGUAGAUUAUUGACCAAACUUCUAAGAUAGAAGAACUUCUAAGGACCCAAUUGCAAACAUUAAUCAAUCAUUCGAGUCCAAUCGAAACAUUUAAGAACUUCACAGGUCCCAAAAUAAUAAAAGGCCAAAUAACGGUUCAAAUUGCAAUCAACUUAGGACUUAAUUGCAAGAGAUUGGAAUGUAAUUGGGUCUUUGUAGCAUUACUAGAGACUAAAGGGAGCAAAGUAUAAUUUUUUGGAACAUUUCCACACAACUUCAUGCAAUUUACGUGAAUGAUAGGCUUCUGCAAUUCCAUUUCCCAUACAACACAAUUUCUGCAACUCUUUGGCAACUUUCAACCAUGCAAGUCAUUUGCACAAACAAAAAAAGGAAUAUGGCGUUUUAACAAGAAAACCAUCUCGACAAUCCGACAUGAUGGAGCAAAAAUCAAAAGAGUUGAAGUUACUCCUGAAAAUUCAACAACCAAAGAAAGGAAAAACUGCUACAUCAAGCCAUGGGUUCGGACUUAUUGCAGCAGAUUUUUAUGCCCACAUAUCAGCCAUUUACAAGCUAGAAGCUAAGCAAGAGUACCAUCUAGCAUUCGAAUGGCCCUCAAAUGAAAAUUCAAACAGACACAUUCGGUAAGACUACUGUAAUUAACGUGUGGUAAUUUCUGAUGCAACUCAACGUUAUGUGCAAGGCAAAACUAGACGCAACUUUCUGCAACAAAUUGCUGUAUUUUCACUUUUCGGAUACAUAUUUCCGACCCAACAUGCAAGCAUUUGAUCCAAAUUUUUCAACCAACAUCACAACUUCAAACCAAACCACAACAAGAUAACUUCAAACUCCAAACAAGCAAGAAACAGUAAAGGAACUGAUGCAAAAAUUCUGGACAAAACAUUCAUGUAAAAUGGUUUGGCAGCCUGAAAUUCACUCUUUCGGUAGGCAUUCGAACAUGAUUCCGGCAUUUCAGCCCCAAAAAAUGCAAACCCAACACGCCUUAUCUAAUUCCUCUUUCCAACAUAAGGUCAACCAGCAAACUGGAUGGCCGAAACUUUGGUGAGCAAGUGCAGGUAAGAAAACAGCAAAGAGAAUGCGAAAGCUUUUUGUUCUGCUGCAAAUUUUGCAGCUUCAACUCAUUGUCAUUUAACAUCCCCAAGCAUAAUCAUCUAACCCCCAUAAACUGAUUGAAACAGCCAGGCAUAAAAUGCAGCAAAAGAAAAAAGUGGAAACUUGCUGCCAAUCAUGGAGAAACCAUCGCAGUCAAACAAAAUGAGCAUUUCAAGCAAGCCGAAACUUAGGCACAAAAGCCUUUAGACAUUUAGCUAAAUGUGUUCGUGUGUGGAAAAUGCCAAGAAAACAAGAAAAAUCAGGAGGCGCAGCAAUGAUACAAGAGGAUGAAACGGGGUUUGACGUAUCAACUAAACAACAAAUCUCAGAUUUCAAUCAAGUUAAAGCUUUAGCAACAACUCCAGAAUAAAACUCCAACGUCCGAACAAGCCCAAAACAAAUUCGAUUGGAAUGGAUCUUCACCAUCUAUGCGACAUUACAAGAGGACAGGCUAUGUAAAUGUCUUUUCUUUUCUAAGAUAGGAUCUUGCUACUAAACUACAGCCUAGGGACGAAAUGUAAUCAACGCCAAACAAGUUUCAGACCCUAACAUACCCAUCAUACACAAUAACAGUAAGAAGGUCGCACCUUUGAGCUAUAACCAUAAACCUACAUCGCAACUCUUGACCACAUUCACUUGACUCGAGAUCCAGCAUAGUUUCCAUGAUUUAUUGAUAAAAAUUAUCUAUAGGAAAGGGAAAAGAACCUUACCGUGCUAUUUUCCGAUGGGGUUUUAGCAGCGACAAGAAAACUUGAGUAGCAGUCCCCUUCCUUCUUUUUGGUUUGACCAGAAAUCUCCAGGCUCUCGCCCCAGCCGUGACUCCUUCUUGGUUCUCCUGUUGAGUCGCCCUUUUCUUCCUUCCAAAGCUCUCGGUCUCUCCCUCACGUUCUUUCCUUUCCCAGUUUUUCUUUUCUCUCCUGUCAGUCACCCUCAAAACCCCCUGCUCUUUCAGCCGUCACCCCUUUUUUAUUUAUCCGUUCUUUUCCAAAACCCUUAAUCCGACGCUGCUCCACAUCUCACCUCUUUCCUCUUUCAUUUCCACCAUCCACCUAUCCUCUUCUAGAAUUCUCUAGGGCCUGAGGUGUCCUAGACACCUGGACAUUCAUCGCUUAAAUUGCCCUCAAGGGCCUUGCGGCAACUCUUCUUUGCAAGUUGCGGACGAACGCAGCUUGCAUGUAAUAAAUUUUUAUUAUUAUUAUUAUUUUUUUUAUAAACAAUAAAUUUGCAUAAAAAUAAAAUUUAAUAGAGAUAAGGCAUAUUUUUUAGACCAUUUUCCGGCAACUCUUAACACUAAAAAAAAACCUUAAAAUAUAAGUAAACGGCUAAAUGAUCAAAAAUGAAUAUAAAAAAAUAAUAAUAGUCUAAAAUGCUAUAAAAUGCUAAAAGGUGCCUUAAAACAAAAAAAAAUAGAUAAUAGUUAUUACUAAAACAAAAAUGAAUAAGUUAAAAAUUUUGUGUCUAUAGUUUGUCCCUCUUUGUCUGAGUUUUGAAAAUAUUUGAGACAAAAAAGUAGACACCAAAUACUUACCUGUGUUAUUUGGCCGCAAAAUGAUUCCAACGAACAGGAAUUUAAAACGGGACUGACCCGAACAGAAAUUUAAAACGGGACUGACCCGAACAAGAAAUUUAAAAUGGGACUGACCCGAACAGGAAUUUAAAACGGGACUGACCCGAACAGAAAUUUAAAACGGGACUGACUCGAACAAGAAAUUUAAAACGGGACUGACCCGAACAAGAAAUUUAAAACGGGACUGAUUCGAACAGGAAUUUAAAAUGGCACUGACCCGAACAGGAAUUUAAAACGGGGCUGACCCGAACAGGAAUUUAAAACGGGACUAAGGAGGAAAAACAACGCCUCUACCAUCAGCUUCAACCAUCAUUGAAAGGCAGUUCCACGGCAAGUCACUUGCUGCGAUUUCCUUCUUGGUUUUCAGCUAAGGUCCAAGUUAAUUCCUUUGUUUUUUUUACUUACUUGUUUGAUUUGUUUCUUUGAUCUUUCAUGUCUUGAUGGUUGUUUUUUGGGAUGGGUUUCAUGUAGAUUUUCUCUGUUCCUAGGUCCUUGUUUUGACCCCCCAACCAUAAAUUUCCAUUGCUGCGUAUUAGUCAUGUGUUUAUGUGGGUUCUAUAUAGUCAGAUGAACAUUGGGCUGACUUGGGUUUAGGGUAGCAGUGUGGGUUUGCCUAUGGUGGGGAUAUACGAUGAAUCUGUUUUUGGUUGAUUUGUGAAGCCGCAGAAAUUUUUUCAGCUUUGCUUGUUUUUAUUCUGAUUUUUCUUGGUGCCUAAACCCAAAGGCUUUAUGUUGAAGAGUGAGCAGGGUAUUUGGUACGCCGUUUGUUUGUUUUCAAGCUGUGUUUGGCUGGGAUUUGCGCACGAAAGUCUGAUGAAACAAGCAACAAGCUCAAGCUAGCUUCUGGUUUGUUACAACAAUUAGACAAAAACUGAAUUUUCUUUGGGUAACUGAAUUUCUGGUGUGGAUUGUUUGCUCCUUUGAGCCUGUUUGCUGUGUCAUUGAUGCUGUGUAUAUGCUAGUUGCAAUUUAAAUCAGCAAGGUGUGGUGCCACAGUGGGUUACAACAUGGCAAAGCCCUUUGUUGCGGUAAUAUAGGUAGACUUGGUUUUGUAGAUGUUUGAAACUUCAAUGCUCCAAUUUUAUUUUUCUUUUGCUGAUUUCAUCCCAGCUCCUCGUUUGACUCCUGAGGGUAAACAAUGACAUUUGGUUGAUGUUAACAACAUGGUUUUGAAGUCAUAGCAUUCAUGUUUGGUUUGGUUUGAAGUUGUUCCACAUCAAUACAUUUCGGUUAGAAUGGAAAACCGUAGCAAGCAUGGUUGGUCUUCCAUUGCAGAAAUGUUUUCACUAUCCCUUCGUUGAUUGCUUUCGUAUCUUGCUCCAGAUUUUCUGUUUACAAACACUAGGUGGGUUGGUUGAUGUUUUGUUGAUGUUUCAGUUGGAAAUGAGAUGUCGUAUAAUGCAGAAGGAAAGAAAUUUUCUGAAGGUUGCGAUUGUUAUUGCAGAAAUUCUCUUCAUGUUGCUUUGCAUGAGUUGCAAGAAACAAUUUGCUAAAAUUGCACUUUGACCCCUCCCAAGUCUCCUUUUGUUGCAUUGUGGCCCAAAUACAUUCCAAUCUCUUGCAAUUAGCUCCUAGAAUAGUUGCAAUUAGAUCCAUUGCUUGGCUUUUUCUUUGCUAUUUGACCUUUGAAGUUACCAAAAGGUGUCAAUUGGGUUUGAAUGGUUGAUUAAUGUUUGCAAUUGGAUUCUAAAAAUGCAAGUUGAACCACUCUUUGACCUUUUCUUUACUCUGGGUCCCUUGAAGUUCCUAAAAUGUUUAAAUUGGAUUUGAGUGCUUGGUUAAUUGUUGCUCUUGGGUUCUUAGUCAUUUUUUUUUCUAGAAAUUUGAUCGAUGAUUCAUUUUUCUUGGAAAUUAUGCAUUAUUUGAUUUCAUUUAAAUUGCAAUUAGGAGAGAUUUGGUGACUUUGUUAUACUUUACUAUUUGAGGUACCGUGACCUUUUUAUUGUUUUGAAGCCAAUUUUCUUUCAUUUGGACACCAUUCAAAAGGGGCGGUAUAAUUUCUUUUAUCCCUUUUUAUGUCUCUCCUAUGUGAUCCAAUGUGCUAAGUGAGAUUUGCAUGUUUAAUUUGCUUUCCUUGCCUUUCUUUAGUUCCUUUACUUUAUUUACUCUUGCUUUUUAGUAAGUUAUUCUUUUAAUGGGGUAUAUGUACACCUCUUAGCUUGUAAUAGAUAGGGCUUGGAGGAGCUGUGACGACCCCACCUCCCCCUAAGGCAUACCAAAGGGUUCGGCAGACCGCCUGCCCAGCUCUCGCCAGGACUCACUCACUAUCUCAAUCGAGUCAUGUACACACAUCUAUGAACCAUAAAUAACAUUCCCAAUUCAAGCUUAUAAUUUACAUUGAUAGAAAUCGAGGUACAAAGUCUCAAUCACCAAACUAGAUCAAAACGAAUACAAUCCAAAUACAACAUGUUCCAUCCGAGGAAUAGCGUGAGUACAAGUCAAAAAUCAAACAACUAGUCUAUGCUAGACUUUACAUAUCUCACACCUCGCUCGUACCCCUGAAAGGAAAACAAAUGGAGUGGAAUGAGCUAAAAGCCCAGUGAGGUUCCAAAUAGCAAAUUGACCAUUAUUUAUAAGUACGAGUUUUCGAUAUAGCAAAGUAACGAGCAUAAAGUGUUCAUAAAUAUGAACAGUAACACGUCAAGUAGCCAUCUUAAAAUGAGCGAAUGUAGAAAAUUUUUCAAAAGAAACAAUAAUCCAAUAAACAAUAAUCACCCAAAGUAUAAGGAUACGGAUGACUCUCAGGAGCCAAAUUCCCAUUACAUUACCAGAAGCUUGAUCCCGUAGUAGUUGACACUCCGUCAACUUUCAAGUAAGUAACCAAUCCAGUAGAAGACCACUUAAACGACUCUCCGUCCACCGUUCAACCCCCAGCUGGGCCCAAAAUCCUCAAGAACACGGGUGGUAAUACUCGAGUAUACCGAUUAGUCGAGGAGAUAUCACUCCACUCGACAAUACAAGAGACCCAGGGUUCGUUACCCAAUCGACCAAGCCCUUGCCGGCUCGACUAGAGUAACUCGCCACAGGGUUUCUGGAAUUCCAGGAAGUGCGCGCAUCAUAAACAAGUAUAUCAAGUCAAUUGCAACAAUAAACAAGUAUAUCACGUAAGGGCAAGUGCGAUAAAGUACACUCUUGCCCUUACAAUUCACGUAUAUAACAUGUAAUCAGAUUGGUCACGUAUCAAGUUCAAGUAUCAAGUUCAAUUCGGUAUUUGAAAGCACUCACCCAAAAGAUAUAGUGCUACUGGUCACUUUCAGGUUAUACUCCGAGUUCGGAGUCCAAAUCUGCGAUAAAACUCAAUUUGAGAACUUUGAAACAUGACUAGAGUUCGAAACUUAGACGUUUCGUUCAAUAAGAAUCAAGAAAUUGAAAUUCACUUGGAGAAUACUCGCGAGAUACUCGAUCACUUUUUAAAUGAUAAAACUUUGUAACAUUUAUACUUGAAAUGGUCAUGCGAGUCGAAAGUACAAGGGAAAACGUACUUUGAGCAAUCAUUAUUUCAUUUCUCAAGGGUACAAGUUCGGCCAAGUCCUUACUUAUAUACCUCGAACAAGAAGACUCAAGUACCCUAGAUGGUUCAAGUACUAUUCAUAUCAACUCGACCCAAGUCGCAAGUGUAUUUAUAUAGUCUCGAGCGUAAAUUUGGCCAGCAUGCCCUUUGUGUUUACCUAAUUUUCCAGCCAUUUAGGCUUCAUUAUUUUUCCUCAACCAAAACCCAACAUCACAUGUAUCAGCAAUUCAUGUCAAGAGCCGUUCCAUAGGCUUACAAGAUCAUAAGAACAAGAAUUACAAUAAUAGCAAGUGCAGAAAUACAAUCUAUCACAAGACAGAUUUGACGUAUGAAUGCGAAAAUAACAUAUCCGAGGCUACGUUUAUCGGAUUGAGGCGUAACCUAUGCCGUUUCGAAGCUAAGACUCAGGGCUACAAUGUUCAUGAAGAUCACUUAGUCCAUUUUCUAAUGCAACUUAGUCAAAUCCUCAAAUUACCGAACCAAAAUCCAAUUCGUCGGCUAUUUAUCCACACUGCACUGGAAUGGACAUAACUCAGUGUACAAAAGUCCAAUUCAGGUGUUCUUAGAGGCGUUUGAAAGCUAAGUCAUAAUACUACAACUUUCACGUUUUGGUCCAGAGCUAAAUCAGAAUGGAUCCUGGUCAAAAAUCGUGAUAAACUGGACUCAACUGCUGAAACGGACUGCUGGGAAAUACUUAGAACAGUAAGGGUAUUUUGGACAUUUCACGUCCUACGUUGCUCCGAUUGAGCUGAAAUUUUGUAGGCACCUAUAAAAUGCCAUUCUCUACAACUUUUAUUCUUUGACCUAAGGCCAAAACAGCCUCUAACAUACAGAUAAAAAUUCGGACAGAAUGUUGAGCCAGACCUCCAAGUCGUGCGUGAUAUAGAGAUUGCCAUUAUUGAAUUCCAAAAUAGUGAUAUCCAAAGGGUCAAAUAGUUUUAUUUUUGGCCAUCUGAAAGAAUUAACGAAUGUGGGAUAAUAAGCAAACAAACAUACAACAAACAAAUGAAUAAGCAAUAUGACAAACGAAUAAACAAAACAACAUGACAAGAACCACUUGUGCAUUUUCAUAAAACUUUUGAUUGAAAGCGAAAACAAAAAGAAAGCAAGCGGAAACAAUAUUUACAUGUGCAAAUUUUAGUUAAAGAUAAAGAUGCUUUCAUUAGCUAUUUACAGAUGCAGAAGUAUUUUCAUGAAUUCGCAUGAAUGACAAACCCCUUUAGUUUUACCGAAACUCCUUCUGAAUGGGCAGAAACUUGGCUGUCCAAUUGGAAAUUGAUUCUUCAGGGAUGUCGGGAAACUCGGCUUCAUCUGGGAAACUGUCUUCAAAUGUUGCCCCAACGAACAAUUGGGUCAAACUAGUUUCGAUUUUGUCAACUGGGUUAAUCUCUGACGUGAUCACCUCGGUUGGUCGUGGAAAAAUAUAAUGCAGUGGUGGAAUAUCAAAGGCCAUUUGCCUGCCUUCUUUCUCUGAUUUCUUGCGUUCAUUCAUUUCUUUGAUGUCUUUAGCGGUUUGUCGGAAACCCAAACCGAAUGAAUCCUUUUUCUCCAUAAUUUCCAUUGGUUUCAGAAUUCCUUGUAGAUCACGUCCCAGCCCUUUUGUCAAACUCAUAUCCUCCGCGGAUCAUUUCUUUAGCCAUCAUGACACUGGCCUUUGACAGAGCUCAUUCCUCUUUUGUAAUCCAACUUACGGAGACGAUAUCAGCUGUGCUAUGAGGGGUCACUGUGGCGUUUCGGCUACCAUCUUCUUCGGACCCAGAAUCAGCAAUUACGAGCCAAUCCUCCUUGGCAAAGAUAGUUAUCAAUUUGUCAUUUACUAUGAAUUUCAACAAUUAAUGCAAUGAAGAAGGCACAACCCCGGACUUAUGAAUCCACGGCCUUCCAAGCAAAAUAUUGUAAAUACUAGGAAAGUGCGCAACUUGGCAGGCUAUUUGAAACUGUGCGGGCCCCAUCUCGACUACUAAAUCCACUUCUCCUAUAGGUUCUCUUUGUGCUCCAUCAAAACCUCUAACUAUGGUCCCUGAAGGCCUUAGCUUGAUAUCUUGCAACCCUAGCUUUUCCAAGGUACUCCAAGGACAGAUAUUAAGCGCAGAUCCAUUGUCAAUCAACACCUUUGGCAACAUUUUUCCGUUGCACCUCACAGCUAUGUACAGAGCUUUGUUAUGUCCAAUGCUUUCUGCCGGUAAUUCAUCUUCAGAGAAAGUGAUUUAUUUUGUAAAUAACAUACUCCCAACUAUAUGUGUGAAAUUAACAACCGAAAUGUCCUUAGGAAUUUGAGUUUUAGUCAACACUUCGAGCAACGCAUCCCUAUGCAUAUCCGAAGAAAAAAGCAGAUCCAACAUGGAUAUUUGGGCGGGCGACUUGCUUAGCUUCUCGACUACAUUAUAUUCGCUUCUUUGGAGCUUUUUAAGAAAAUCCAAGGCUUUCUUCUUAGUAAUUGUUGGUUUAGCGGGCAGCUCGGGGUUAUUUGUUUGAAUCGGAACGGUAGCUCCAAACGGACUUGCAAUUCUCCCUGAUCUAGUGACUACUGACACCUCUUCUUUAGCAACUGACUUUUUUCCAAUUUGUAUGACAGGUUCAUCGUAGUUCCAUGGCACUCGCUGCAAACUUAGAACAGGAUCCUGCUCUGGGAAUUCGAUGACCACUGGCUCCAAAGCCUCGCUCUCAGCUGGAGUGAAAUCCAAAAUAAAAGGCCCUUUAUCUUUCUUAAACGGCACCUCUAUUACAAAUGGUUGGUCUGUGACCCCAAACACCUCAGCUUCCCUUGCCAAUUUUUGGACUUGCUCCUCAUACUCUGCGUGGUCCAGAAUGACCCCAAUGGUAUUAGUAUGUUCCGGCAAGGGAUUCCUAUUUAUAUUCGGCCAUUGUGCUUCCCUUUUCCUGAUUACAAUCUCUCCAGAUUCAAUCAUAUCUUGAAUUCUAUGCUUAAGAGCCUUGCAAUCAACAGUUGAAUGUCCGGGUGCCCCUGAAUGGUAAGCACAGACGGCUUGUGGGUUAUACCCAACGAAUAUGCCAUAUGGAUAGGUCGGAGGGGCUACCAUACCAAUUUUUCCGGCGGCCUUCAACUGGUCAUACAAUUGGUCUGGAGGCCUGCCUAAAUCGGUAAAUGUACGGCUACGGGCUUGGUUGGAAGGUUCAGGAGGUUGAGGAUGGCUAUAAACAGGUCUAUUUGGGGGAGAAAAUCUUGGGUUAUAUGGAGGGCGAGGUCGGUUUUGGAGUGGAUUUAGUUGAGAAAUUUGAAAAGGAGCUAAAGGUGGGUUAGGAUAGCUUGGGCGAGGUCGAGGGUGGUGGAUAUUGGUAGUAUAUACAUGGUGCGGGUUUGAAUAAUAAGGGUAAUGUGGUUGGUAGGUUAGAUUGUGUUGGUAUCGGGAUUUGGGUGAAGGGUUCUGGUUCCAGAUAAAUGUUGCAUCCCCCUCUUUCUUUUUAAACUGCGGCUUCUUUCCACUGCUCCCUUGCCCUUGCAAAGCUUCUACUUGUGAUUUUAAGGCAGAGACGUUAACAAUUUUUCCGGAUCUCACAAAAUCAUCAUAUUUUUCGAGUUUAUUCACAAUCGCAGCAAAUGAACAUCCGAUCAUACGGAAGAUUUCUUCAAAGUGUGGAGGAUCAUGCGCCUUUAUGAAAGUGCGAACAAUUUCAUCUUCGGUCAUCGGAGGCUCAACCUUGGCAGCUAUCUUUCUCCAUCUUUUGGUGUAUGUCUUAUGAUCUUCAGAUGGUCGCCUCUUUGUGCCUUUCAAAGUAGUUCUGGUCGGUGCUAGCUCGCAGUUAUAUUCGUAUUGUCUGAUGAAGGCGUUGGAUAGAUCAAGCCAAGUCUUCACCUCCUCUGACUUUAAGUUGGAAUACCAAUCGAGGGCGUCUCCUUCUAGACUCUCUGGAAAUAACCUUAAUGGCAAGUUUUCGUCAUCCACUGGUCUGCCCAACUUGUUGGCAAAUAAACUCAAGUGUGUCUUAGGGUUGCCUGUACCAUCAUAUUUAUUGAACUUCGGGGUCUUGAACCUUACGGGCAGCUGUACAUUUGGAAACAGGCACAGAUCAUCGUAGUCUAACACCCCUUGUUUGCUUAAACCUUGGUUUUUCCUGAUGAACUCAUCGAAACGAUCCAACCGCUUAAGUAGCUUCAUAUCCAUCGGGGCAGACGACUCUCCCACUUCUGGCUUGGUUUGAACAGUGUGCUGUGGCAAAACAGGUUCUGCGGUAGUCUGAUAAAAAGCUUGUGGAUCCAGAGGCAUGUUUGGACCACCUUGAGGCUGAAAUCCUUGCCCAUAUGGAGGAUAGAACGGAGGAUUUUGAGUAUAAGUAUACUGCGAGUUGAAAACUCCCUCAAAAGUGGUUUGAAUUGGAGGAAUGACAAAUGGUUCGAAUUCCGGACCUAUAAGUGAAUUAAGAACUUUGAAAUGGAAAGUUUCUCAUAAAAUGUGGAAGAGUUCAAUCUUUCUUUACAACCUCGCCAAUGGUCUUAGUAACCAUGUUUACAAAAUCCCUAUGUUUCAGGAGACUUGUACUUUGUGACUCUCUAGAGCUCCCUAAACUGAGCUUACGAGCUCCUUCCCUAAUCCUAUCAAGGGCGUCUAUGGUUUCCUCUAGUUUCUCAUUCUUCUUCUUCUCCCUCCUCAACUGCACUUGGGUAUCUUCUAAAACUCUGUUGGCCAUUAUAAUCUGGGCUUGAGAUUCCUCUAAUUCUUUCCUUAGCUUCUCCAUUUGUUCUUCGGGCCUGGCUGAUGCUGAUUGUUGCCUUGCCCUAUCAUGUUUCACCUUUUAUUUGAUCCAUUCAUUGUACCCAGGCAUAACUGCAGGUGCCAUCUUGUUUACCAAUUCCAACUGUAAAUUCUCAAGACCUUGCAAAUUUCCCCAAGCCUCUAAGACCAUACUUGGACUCUUGGUCACCGUACCCAAUCUGAGAUCUUCAACCCCUUGUACCAUAGGAAUGCUUUGCGGGUAUCCAAACUGUCUCAUAACCCUUUGUGGAAUAUAGGCGACUAGACCAUUAACUCCAGCUAGAGGGAUGAAGUCAUGUUGAGUGGUCCUAAAAGUUGGGUCUCUAACCCUGGUCCAAUCUAGAACCCACUGCACUUUUUCUGGUGUCAAAUUGUUGAACUCCUCAAUAAACUGGCUUGACGACAUCACACGGUAGUAGCGGCUGACUCUCUCUCAAUGUGAAUCAAUCCAAUUCUCAACUAAGAGACAAGAACCCAAAGGGUUAAGUGAUCUGUUCGCCAAAUGUUCCACGAUCCACAUUUGAAGUAUUAAAUUUGAAGUAUAGAAGAAACCCCCUUUCUUUUGGCAAUUGGUAAGGGCUGAGAAGAUGUCCGCUAUGACAAUGGGUAUCAAAGUUGGUGUCGUUCCACGAAUUCCUAAAAAAAGACUUUGAAUCAUAUUGAUUGUUGCAAAUGUCACCUUUCCAUGUCUUUGAGGGAAUAGCAAUAAGUUGAUCAAAACCAAACCAAAAGCUUGCACACGCUUCUCUUCCCAUUGCCCCCUUGUUAUAAAGAAAUCGAUCUGAUGGUGCUCAAAAGACUUCUUUUCCCCAAACCGGUCAUAUAAAAACCUCAAUGGACAAGAUCUAGCGUCGGGGUGUUGGUCUAAGCUAUUGUUCCUCAAUCCCAAAAAUCUGCAAAACUGCUCUCUCGUUCCCCCGCUCGGGUAUAUCAUAGGACUGCCUUUUCCCGGUACUUGCAACAAUCUCUCUAACUCUUCUAAGGUUGGGGUGAGUUUGCACAUUCCAAACCGGAAAACUGAGGCAUCCGGAUCCCAAUAAUUGAUCAAUGCUUGGAUAGCAGACAAGUUGGGUAUUAUGUCGACAAGGCUUGGUAGAUGCCCCACAUAUUGGAAUAGCCCUCCAAUCUCAUAAGAUAGGUUAUUCUUCCACCAAUUCAGCUCUCGGGGGACUUGGUUGAGCAUUCGACACUGCGUCAUCUGGAUGGGGAAUUCACUUAGAUACCGUUACCUUGGGAUUUUACCCCUUAGGUUAUUUUGCAAAAAGGGUAAACGUGCAGAUCCCAAAAAUAUGGUUAAAUACCCAUGGGAUUAUAGAGUUGGCUUAUCCCUAACAUGGAAUUGCCUAAAUGGCAUUCUUUCUAAGGUUUAAUGCAUGAUGCCAUUUAUUAAGGCAAUGUAAAUAUGUGACAAAUAUGGCCUAAAGGACAUAAAUAAUGCAUCGGGGGAAAAAGGUCUAAAAAUGAAAUCUACUUAUUGAAAAUUAAGUGUAAUAAAUGAAAUUUAAACAUGUCAGUUAUCUAGUGGGUAAGUCACUAAAAGAGAGUCAAAGAGGCCUCUUAUUGCUAAGGCACAUGAAUGCAAGCAAAAAAAAUAACGAAAUGGUUAGUGCAAUUGAUAGUACACAUAACAUAUUGGGAACAAUUAAGAAAAGAAAUACAAUAAAAGCAUAUAAAAGGGGUGGAACCCCUUCCCUCGUGCCUAAUGUGCUUAAAAAGGGUGAGGUUGACUCUAACUUAGGAAAACUCUAACAUGGAUGCAUGAGGCUGGGGCUCACUAAUGUAACUAGACUCGAUAAGGUUUAAAAAGGUCCCCAAGCAUUCAGACCUAAGGGAAUGGGUCAUCAAUCCCAAGACCCUCGGUCGGUGGCUCGAGCGAUCCCCUAGGUACUGCUAUGGGCGCAAAGCACACCAUCCACAUACCUAGAGAAACCAUUCCUAGUCCUACAAGGCGGUGUGGGAAAGAGCCCACGAAAAUAAAAUAAAAUGGGAUAACAGUAAAUAAACGUGCACGUAUGAAGUGUUCCCUAUUUUGAGGGAAAGGGUUGAGACCCAACGCGAGGCUCUAAAGGUGACACCCCCCCAAAUGCAAUGCAGAGUGCGAGAUAAAACAAGUAAAACAUAUAUCCAAGCAACCAAUCAUACAUACGUGAGUGAGGGAGUAGUUUGAUACGCGCGCGAGGCAAAAGGUCCAAAAAUGGAAAAUGCAACCCUAAUAUCCAAAUGCUACGCAUAACAAGGAUAGAAAACGGAAAAGAAUAGCUAAAUCAAAUGUUUGGACCCACUUAUGAGGUCCCCAGUGGAGUCGCCAAGCUGUCGCGCCCCACUUUUUGAGGUGUGAAAGUAGUGUGUGGGAUAUGUAUGUGAACAUGUGUGAAAGUGAAAAUAAAAGGCCGUGGGAUUGUGAAAUGCGCCGGUUUGGCCAAACAAAGGGUUUUAGAUAGAAAAGGAGUCGCCGGUUGGUAUAGAGUUAUGGUGUACCAAGUCACCCAAGAAGUGAUUUUUUUUUUAAAGAAAAGUAAACAAACCUUUUUUAAAGAAUUUUUUAGGUUUACGUAACCAAAAAAAGGGAUCGGGGGUCACAUUUGAUAAGGGAGAAGGCAAAGGCAAAGCCUAAGGCACUCCUUUACCCUAGCCAAAGCUAGUUGCGUGACUUAGUCCUUCUUUUCCUAAUUCUUCUACCCAAAAUAUGUUUUGCAUGUUGGAUGUGACUAAUGGAUAUGAAAAAAAAUGCAAUCCUAAAUCUAAAAUGUCUCAUAUGAGGCUUUUUGGUCCCAAUCACAUGAGUUGUGAUGGCCAAUAAGGAAAACUCUCAUAGAGGUCACGGGUAAUGCAAAUGAAGACCCAAAUAUGAGUGCAAGUGUGAAAAUGUAAGAAGAAUGUAAAAUAAAAUAAAAAUACAAAUACAAAUGUAAGUGCAAAUGUGCAAAUGUAAGAAAAGUGCAUGUGUGCCAAUUGAGAAAAUAAAGGUGUUUGUGUACAAGUGGAUGAAAAUAUGGUAUAAUAGUAGUAAAUGCAUAUAAGUGCAACUGGGUGCAAUUUGUGAGGUAGAAAAUAAAUAAGUGAUAGGGAAAGAAGAAAAAUGUGCAAACAUGGCAUGUGGAUUGAGAAAAAAUAUAAGUAGUGAGAGAAUGUGGAUAAAGAAGAUGAGGAAGUGAUAUGAUAAAAAUGAGAGUGUAUGAACCUAGAGGAAUGCAUCAAGUCGGGUACGGGAAUGACUCCUAACUUCACGAUUUUAAUUUUUCCUUUAAUUAGAAGGAAAAACUAGCGUGCUAAGGCUAUUUUGUAGCCAUACUCGCUCGUUUCCCUUACCGAAAGGGGACUUUCAAGCAAAUGUACCCUAUAACUAGCAUGAGGAUGCAAAAACCUAAGAUGAAGGGGAAAGGAUUGGAGAAGCAUGCCAAAUGCUAGAAAACAAAGAAAAAGGUAUGAAAUGUAGUGAGACAUGCAAGUAUGUACCAACGAGAGGGGACGGCCUAUUGGGUCUAGCAUUGGACUAGCCCUUUUCUAAAAUUCUCUCACAAGCAUUGGACUUGCGAGAGCUCGAGGGAAAAGACCAUGGCCAGCGUUGGACUAGCCACGGUGACGCAUUCAUCCAUCACAUUCAUCUAUGACUAUAGAAAGCAAGUAGACAUGCCAAUCACCUAUAAACACGUAGCACAUAACACUUAGCAUGUUCGACUAAAUGCAAGAGCCUAAUAAAGCAAAUUAACACGUAGCAACAAAAACAAGCAAUCAAGCUAAUGAACCUAUUACAUUUGCUAACUAAAACAAAUGGGGAAGAGGAAAAAUGAAUAAAAAUGCUCUCCAAGCCCUAUCUAUUACAAGCCAAGAGGUGUACACAUACAGCAUAAAAGAAUAACUUAAUAAAAGCAAAAGUAAAAGAAAUAAAUUAAGGGAAUUAAGGAAAGGCAAGGAAAGCAAAGUAGACAUGCAAUUCUCACUUAGCACGUUGGAUCACACAGAGGAGAGACAAAAAAGGAUAAAAGAAAUUAUACCUCCCCGUUUGUGAUGUUAGUAAAGUGAACAAGACUUAACUUGCGCUAGAGUCACCAAAGAAAGAGAUAACUUGGGCUAAAACCAUCAAAGUAAGAGAUUAAUGCACCACUUUAAUGAUAAGUAGAAUAAAAGGAAAAAAGAAAAUUCAGAACACCUUAGAAACUUCGAAAGGGGUACUAACAAACCACCAAAUUCUUCCCUAAUUGCGACUUAAAUGUAGUCAAAAGAUGCUUAAUCUCAAAGAAGGUAGAUUAUUGACCAAACUUCUAAGAUAGAAGAACUUCUAAGGACCCAAUUGCAAACAUUAAUCAAUUAUUCGAGUCCAAUCGAAACAUUUAAGAACUUCACAGGUCCCAAAAAUAAUAAAAGACCAAAUAACGGUUCAAAUUGCAAUCAACUUAGGACUUAAUUGCAAGAGAUUGGAAUGUAAUUGGGUCUUUGUAGCAUUACUAGAGACUAAAGGGAGCAAAGUAUAAUUUUUUGGAACAUUUCCAUGCAACUUCAUGCAAUUUACGUGAAUGAUAGGCUUCUGCAAUUCCAUUUCCCAUACAACACAAUUUCUGUAACUCUUUGGCAACUUUCAACCAUGCAAGUCAUUUGCACAAACAAAAAAGGAAUAUGGUGUUUUAACAAGAAAACCAUCUCGACAAUCCGACAUGAUGGAGCAAGAAUCAAAAGAGUUCAAGUUACUCCAAAAAAUUCAACAACCAAAGAAAGGAAAAGCUGCUACAACAAGCCAUGGGUUCGGACUUAUUGCAGCAGAUUUUUAUGCCCACAUAUCAGCCAUUUACAAUCUAGAAGCUAAGCAAGAAUACCAUCUAGCAUUCGAAUGGCGCUCAAAUGAAAAUUCAAACAGACACAUUCAGUAAGACUACUGUAAUUAACGUGUGGUAAUUUCUGAUGCAACUCAACGUUAUGUGCAAGGCAAAACUAGACGCAACUUUCUGCAACAAAUUGCUGUAUUUUCACUUUUCGGAUACAUAUUUCCGACCCAACAUGCAAGCAUUUGAUCCAAAUUUUUCAACCAACAUCACAACUUCAAACCAAACCACAACACCAUAACUUCAAACUCCAAACAAGCAAGAAACAGUAAAGGAACUGAUGCAAAAAUUCUGGACAAAACAUUCAUGUAAAAUGGUUUGGCAGCCUGAAAUUCACUCUUUCGAUAAGCAUUCGAGCAUGAUUCCGGCAUUUCAGCCCCAAAAAAUGCAAACCCAACACCCCUUAUCUAAUUCCUCUUUCCAACAUAAGGUCAACCAGCAAACUGGAUGGCCGAAACUUUGGUGAGCAAGUGCAAGUAAGAAAACAGCAAAGAGAAUGCGAAAGCCUUUUGUUCUGCUGCAAAUUUUGCAGUUUCAACUCAUUGUCAUUUAACAUCCCCAAGCAUAAUCAUCUAACCCCCAUAAACUGAUUGAAACAGCUAGGCAUAAAAUGCAGCAAAAGAAAACAGUGGAAACUUGCUGCCAAUCAUGGAGAAACCAUCGCAGUCAAACAAAAUGAGCAUUUCAAGCAAGCCGAAACUUAGGCACAAAAGCCUUUAGACAUUUAGCUAAAUGUGUUUGUGUGUGGAAAAUGCCAAGAAAACAAGAAAAAUCAAGAGGCACAGCAAUGAUACAAGAGGAUGAAACGGGGUUUGACGUAUCCACUAAACAACAAAUCUCAGAUUUCAAUCAAGUUAAAGCUUUAGCAACAACUCCAGAAUAAAACUCCAAUGUCCGAACAAGCCCAAAACAAAUUCGAUUGGAAUGGAUCUUCACCAUCUAUGUGACAUUACAAGAGGACAGGCUAUGUAAAUGUCUUUUCUUUUCUAAGAUAGGAUCUUGCUACUAAACUACAGCCUAGGGAUGAAAUGUAAUCAACGCCAAACAAGUUUCAGACCCUAACAUACCCAUCAUACACAAUAACAGUAAGAAGGUCGCACCUUUGAGCUAUAACCAUGAACCUACAUCGCAACUCUUGACCACAUUCACUUGACUCGAGAUCCAGGAUAGUUUCCAUGAUUUAUUGAUAAAAAUUAUCUAUAGGAAAGGGCAAAGAACCUUGCCGUGCUGUUUUCCGAUGGGGUUUUAGCAGCGACAAGAAUACUUGAGUAGCAGUCCCCUUCCUUCUUUUUGGUUUGACCAGAAAUCUCCAGGCUCUCGCCCCAGCCAUGACUCCUUCUUGGUUCUCCUAUUGAGUCGCCCUUUUCUUCCUUCCAAAGCUCUCGGUCUCUCCCUCACGUUCUUUCCUUUCCCAGUUUUUCUUUUCUCUCCUGUCACUCACUCUCAAAACCCCUGCUCUUUCAGCCGUCACCCCUUUUUUUUAUUUAUCCGUUCUUUUCCAAAACCCUUCAUCCGACGCUGCUCCACAUCUCACCUCUUUCCUCUUUCAUUUCCACCCUCCACCUAUCCUCUUCUAGAAUUCUCUAGGGCCUGAGGUGUCCUAGACACCUGGCCAUUCAUCGCUUAAAUUGCCCUCAAGGGCCUUGCUGCAACUCUUCUUUGCAAGCUGCGGACGAACGCAACUUGCAUGUAAUAAAUUUUUAUUAUUUUUUUUCUCUUUUUUUUUAAUAAACAAUAAACUUGCAUAAAAAUGAAAUUUAACAGAGAUAAGGCAUAUUUUUUAGACCAUUUUUCGGCAACUCUUAACACUAAAAAAAACCUUAAAAUAUAAGUAAACGGCUAAAUGAUCAAAAAUGAAUAUAAAAAAAUAAUAAUAGUCUAAAAUGCUAGAAAAUGCUAAAAUGUGCCUUAAAACAAACAAAAAAAUAGAUAAUAGUUAUUUCUAAAACAAAAAUGAAUAACUUAAAAAUUUGGUGUCUACAAGCACCAGUUGUACGCUAAAUUUAGUAAGUGCGAGUAUUGGCUAGAGAAGGUUUCUUUCCUGGGGCACAUGAUUUCAAAGGAAGGAAUUGCUAUAGAUCUGGCCAAGGUAGAGGCAGUGACUGAGUGGAAGAGACCCGACAAUCCUACUGAAAUUCGGAAUUUUCUAGGGUUGGCAGGUUAUUACCAGCGAUUUAUUAAAGAUUUUUCGAAACUUGCCAGCCCUUUAACUGAUCUGACAAAGAAGGAUGGUCGGUUUCUGUGGAGUCAUAAGUGUAAAAAUAGUUUUCAAGAGUUGAAGUGGAGAUUAACCAUGGCCCCUAUUCUGCCUUACCUAACGGUAAGGACAGUUUUACUGUUUACACCGACGCCUCUAGGGAAGGUUUGGGGUGUGUAUUGAUGCAACACCAGAAUGUGAUAGCCCAUGCUUCUAGAAAACUGAAAACUCAUGAACAAAACUAUCCCACUCAUGACUUAGAGCUGGCCGCAGUUGUCUUUGCUCUAAAAAAGUAGAGACACUAUUUGUACGGGGUGACCUUUGAGGUCUACUCCGAUCAUAAGAGCGUUAAAUAUUUCUUUUCCCAUAAGGAGUUGAACAUGAGACAACGCCGGUGGAUGGAAUUUUUAGAAGAUUAUGAUUGUACUAUUAACUACCAUCCGGGUAAGGCUAAUGUUGUAGCUGAUGCCCUAAGUCGAAAGGCUCAAAUUUCUGGGUUAAUGGUGAAAGAGUGGGAAAUGUUGGGAACCGUUGGGGAGUGGAAUCCAAAAUUUAAACAUAAGAAAAUAACUUUUGGGAAUAUCUGUGUGACAUCCACACUAUUGGGUCGAAUUAAAAAGACUCAAACGGAGGAUUUGAUGGUUCAGAAAUGGGUGGAAAAUGUGAAGAAAUGAGCAAUUUUCGAUUUUAAUUUGAGUCUUGAGGGGAUUUUAAGGUUUCGGAAUCGAAUAGUGGUACCUAAUGAUGAAAAUCUAAGAAGGGAGAUUUAGGAGUAAGCUCAUCGAUCCAGAUAUACAAUCCAUCCGAGUAGUAACAAAAUGUAUCAGGAUUUAGGGCAAAUUAUCCAAUUGGCCCUUUAACUCUUUGUCUAGGUAAAAUUAAGCCCCUCAUCUAUUUUUUUCUGACUUUAAGCCCUUGAACUUGUAAAACUGGUAAACCGUGGCCCUUUUAGCCAGUUUCUCCGGUUUUGCAACCGGAGGACCAAUUCACACGAAUGCAACUGUGCUUCUUCAAAGGGCAUUUUUGUCUGCAUAUUCUAAACAAAAAGCGCACAACUCCUCCCUCCAUCCAUUUUCCUAACCCAACCCUACCCAACUGCUAGUCGAAACUUCACAGCAACAAUGGGAAGCAACAAUGGAGUGGCAAGAGAAAAGGUUUCCUACAUUUUCCUUACCCAUUUUCAUCUUCCCUUAAGGAUCUUUGCGGAGGGAGAAGAGCAAGAGAGAAUCAGCAGUGUCGGCUUUGGGUAUCAUCGACAUUGAAGCAACAAGGAGUGGCAAAUCAGGCCGGAAAAUCAUCGACAUUGAAGCAAGAGAGAAGUCUGAAAGGAAAAAAAAAGGGGGAGAAGGUAAAAGCUUUGUGAAGGGAAGGAAAAAAUGCGCAAAUAUCGCGGCCCUCUGCUUCCUACUUGUCGAUGCGGUAAAGUCACGAAGAUGAUUACUUCUUGGACUGAUAGAAAUCUAGGAAGAAGGUACAUCGUUUGCUCAGAAGAAAUUGGUGACUGCGGGUAUUGGAAUUGGAUUGACGACGAGAUGUGCCGUCGUUCUAUUGAGGUGAUACCAGGCCUUCUAAGGAGGAUCAAUGCAACAGAAAAGCAAAAAGACAAAUUUGAAACUGCAGCUGCGAGAUCCGAGGCAAAAGCUGCCAAGUUGAAGGCAAAAUUGAGAGAAACAGAGAAGCAGCUGCGGUGGCAGAAAUGGUUGAACAAGUUGCUUGUAAGGGUUUUUGUGGUAAGUUGGUUGGUUGCUGUAAUAAUGGUGCUUACAGAGAAAAAAAUUGCAGGUGGAGUCUCUCUUGGGAUGCUCCAAAUUGGGAAUAAAUGUAAUGGGAUUAUGCAAAUUGAAGAGGAUACAUGAAGGGCUGUGUGUAAGUGUAACAUAUUGCCAUCGGUACUGUCAGUUUUGAGAACCAUGGAUGGAGCAAAUGGAUCUAUGGUGUAUGAUGCAGAUGGUUAGGGAGAAGUAUAUUGUAUUGUUUAGCUUAAACAAGUCUUUGUUGUACCCACAGAUUAGUGUGAAAGUAUGGUUGAACCCAAUCAAUGCUAACUGUAAUUUUCGGUAAGUAAUGUGAUGAGAAUUAUUUAUCCCAAUUUGCAUGUCAUGGGCUUUGUUGGAUUUAUUUGAUUUAUCUAGUCAACAAAAUCUGCUAUACCAAACCAUACAAAUAUAAGAUAGCAACUGCAUAACAUUAGAAUAUAAUUAGCAAAAGGAAAUUACAAUGGUGUUUGCCUGUAAAUACAGUCAACAAUCACUUUCAUAGGAAACAUACAAAUACACAAAAAGCAGUGACCUGUGUCCAUCUAACUAGAUACCAAGCACAGGCACAUGCUUUGAUUCCCCACAAAAGCCUAUUCAAAAAAAUAUCAUUUAUAGUUUCAACAUUCUAGUUACAUCCAUUUACAGUCAACAAAAUCACACAAAAAUAUUUGUAGGUCCAACAAUACUUCAAGAACUUGUUUCAGAUGGACCCUUUCCCCUUCCCCUUCCCCUGCCUCUUCCUCUUCCUCCACCUCUUCCCUGCCAGUUUCCAACAUUGAAAGGUGGAUCUUUACCCAAAUAAGCAUAGUUGAGAUUAAUAUAACCUUUGUCUGCUUCUGUCAGUGGCCUUUUUGAUGUACUUCUCUUGUUCCUAUGAACUGCUGGCCUUGAGGUGGAUUGUUGGGACUGAGGUUCAUGUGUUGGCUGCUGUUGAGAAGGCUGGGACUGAGGUUGAUGUGUUGGUGGCUGCUGAGAAGGCUAGGACUGAUUUCUUUGUCCCUGAUUCUUGCUUACCUGCAAAUUAAAGAAAGCAUUUCAGAUCACAAAAAAAGGUCACAAACAGGCUGAAAGUUAUAAUGAAGUGCAAACAUACACGUUGUCUUUUUGUUGGUGCUUCGUGCUGCUGCUGUUGAGAAGGUUGUCCAGUAGGUGCUGGUUCUUGAGAAGGUUGCUGUUCAGUAGAUGACUUAGGAGGAUUCUUGCAAGUUUUAGCAUUAUGUCCAAUCCCUCCACACUUUCUACAGUGGAUUACAACCCUCUUUCGUAACCUUUUGCCAUGAUCUUUUCCUUCUGUAACAUCUCUCUUUCUAGCUUUCUUUGGCCUACCAGGUUGAGUGACACUUGCUGGUGGAUCCAACUCCAGCAUGUCUGACUGUGGCCACUGAAUAUCUCCAUUAAUAGGCUGCAACACAUUAUCAUAGAUGGUAAAAAAUACCUCCCUAUGAUAGCAAUUAGCCAACAUUUUGUAGGGAUCCUUUUUAGCUCUAUGUAGAGCAGCAAUUGCAUGGGAACAUGGAAUGCCACUCAAGGCCCACAAAUUACAGGUGCACUCAUUUUUGUCAAGGUCAACAGCAAAUUGGGCUCCCCGUGGCCCUUUUGCUUGAUAACCUGAGCUUGAAUUCCAUGUUAUUUCCCAUUAUGCUGCACGUUUGACCCUUUCUUCCACAAUUUGUCUAAUGAGUGGUCCACCAUCUAACUUGUAUUUUUCCAUUGCUGCCCUUCUCUUUUGGAUCCUUUCCAUGAGGUAUUCCCUAAUAGCCUCCAUCAUAGAAAUAAUAGGCUGGUCCCUAGCCUCUAAAAUAUGGGCAUUAAAUGAUUCACAGAGGUUAUUAACCAACAUAUCACACUGUGUAUGUUUGGAAAAAAAGGCCUUACAUCAAUGUCGAGGGUGUGGUCCCUUCUUCACCCAUGCAUGUGCUUCUUGGUCAUAGGCUUCAAGGUCAUCCAAGGCUUGGUUGAAAUGUUCAACUGUUGUGGUGCUUGCUAUAUGCCACAAUCGAUCCUUUAAACCUAAUCCUGGAUGUUUCUUCUUGAAAUUCCUAUACAUGUGUUGAACACAGUAUCUGUGUUCAGAAUUUGGUAGAACCUCUGCGAGUGCUCUGUCUAGUCCCUACAAAAAAUAUCACAACAGGUAUAAGUUAGAUAUCUAAGCCAAGAGGUUAGUUUGAGGGCAACAAGUAUGCUAUAUUAAAAAGUUCAGGGGCUUGUUUUUACCUACACUAAAAGUUCAGGGGCUUAAAAUCUGCUAUAAAAAGUUCAGGGGCUUGUUUUUACCAUAGAAUAAAAGUUUUAGAUCUCUCAUUAAGCUUUUACCUUCUGCUGGUCGGACAUGAAAGUAUAAUGUCCCUGGUUCUGUAUUUCCAGGUCGCCACUCAAGAGGGUUAGGAACCAUCUCCAUUGCUCCGUGGCCUCUUUUUCAACAGCUGCCCACUAAAUCUAUCAUUUUCUUCCUCUACUUGUGAUUCAGAUUCAUCAUCUAUGUUUUCACCCUCUGCUUCAUGUUCACCUUGCUGUUCACCACCAUAGUCAGCUUCAUGUUCACCUUCGUGUUCACCACCACCAUAGUCAGCUUCAUGAACACCCUCUUCUGUCCCAACAUUACUAGCUGCAUGAGUGCUUUUUGCUGUUUUUGCACCCCCUACCUUUUCAACCGUAUCUACACCUUCUACUGGCCUAACAUUACUAUCCCUUUGACUAUUUUUUGCUCUUUUUUCACCCCCUACAUUCCCAACCAUACAAUCCCUUCUACUACUCUUCCCAGUACCUGCAUAUCUAGUUAUGCAUUCUUCCUCAUCUACUUCCUCUAUGACAACUCCAGUUUUCUUUUUCCCCUUGUCUGGUGACUCUAUUAUUACAGCAUUUUUCAGUUCUUCAAUUUCUGGGUCUGUCAGAUGAUGGCAAUACACUUCCAUCACCUUGAAUUUAUAUGCCCAGUCACAGAAUGUCCUAACAUGGGUAUCAGUAGACAAUUCUCUCAAACCAGUCCUUAUAUCUGCAACUGGUUCAAGGUAAUAGUAUAAAAUGGUUGCAUUACGAUGACCAACUUUUCCAACCAUUUUAUUCAACUCAUGCAUUGACAUACGUUCAGCAUCACACAUAUCUAUGUAGGCCACUUUUCCAUUCUCAUAACUGACAUAAUUUUCCCAAUUUAUUCUUCCCCCAUGGUGUAAUCUUAUGCUAAAUAUUUCACAUUCUGGAUCUGCAUAUCAAUAUGAAUAUAUUGUUUCAAUACAAAUUGGGCUACAACAAAUGCAGAUAAAUAUACUAUUCAAAUUCAAAUAUAUUAAUUAAAAUUUCAAUUUCUUUUUCACAUGCUUUUUAUCAAGGGGAAACCCUAAUGUAAUGCUUAAAUCGAAGUUAAACAAUAAAAAAGUUCCAACUUUUAAUGAAAUGCUAAUUAUUCGUCAAUCCCUACACUUUUUGAACAUCUAAACAACAAACUUUGGUGCCCACCACCAUACCCCUACAUCUAGGACCACUGGCACGUCACUUUCAAUAACCCCCACCACCAAAAUUUUACUCUUUUCACCCAUCUGACCACUAAAUAUGCUACCUAUUUCACAUUUAAAGAUUCGAAUGAAUAUACAUACCAUAAGCGAGGACAGGAUCAAAGUAUUCAUUUUCUGGCCUGAUUUGCCACCCCUCCAUUGUUGCUUCAAUGUCGAUGAUACCCAAACCCGACAAGUAGGAAUUAACUCUCUUGCUCUUCUCCCUCUGCAAAGAUCCUCAAGAGAAGAUGAAAAUGGGUAAGGCUGUUGCUGUGAAGUUUCGACUAGCAGUUGGGUUGGGUUACGAAAAUGGAGGGAGGAGUUGUGCGCUUUUUGUUUAGAAUAUGCGGACAAAAAUGCCCUUUGAAGAAGUACAGUUGCAUUCGUGUGAAUUGGUCCUCCGGUUGCAAAACCGGAGAAACUGGCUAAAAGGGCCACGGUUUAUCAGUUUUACAAGUUCAAGGGCUUAAAGUCAGAAAAAAUUAGAUGAGGGGCUUAAUUUUACCUAGACAAAGAGUUAAAGGGCCAAUUGGAUAAUUUGCCCCAGGAUUUACGACGAUUGUACUGGUGGGACAAGAUGAAAAGGGAUAUAGCUCAAUAUGUACAAACUUGUCUAGUAUGCCAGCAAGUUAAGGCCGAACACCAAAAACCUUAUGGACUACUACAGCCUCUGGAGAUACCCGAAUGGAAAUGGGAACAUAUCACUAUGGACUUCGUUUCUGGACUACCUAGAACCCAAAAAGGACAUGAUGCUGUUUGGGUAAUCGUUGAUCGGUUGACCAAGUCGGCUCAUUUCUUACCAGUGAAUAUGAAGUAUUCCAUGGAUAAGUUAGCUCGAGUGUAUUUGGAGGAGAUUGUGAGAUUGCAUGGUGUGCCCGUGAGUAUAGUUUCCGACCGAGACCCUCGUUUCGUGUCCAGAUUUUAGCAAAAGUUUCAGGAGACUUUUGGGACGAAGCUGAAUUUAAGCACCACUUAUCAUCCUCAGAUGGAUGGACAGUCGGAGCGGACGAUUCAGACCCUUGAGGAUAUGUUACGAACUUGUAUUCUAGAGUUCGGGGUAGUUGGGAUCAACAUAUGAUGUUAGUGGAGUUCGCCUACAAUAACAGUUACCAUUCAUCGAUCCAAAUGGCAUCGUAUGAAGCUCUUUACUGGCGAAAGUGCCAUUCACCGAUAUACUGGGAUGAAAUAGGAGAAAAGAAGAUCCUAGACUCUACUAUUAUUCCUUGGAUAGAGGAUGCCCAAGAAAAGAUCAAGUUAAUCCGUCAGAGACUCCAGACAGCUCAAAGUCGCCAGAAGAGCUAUGCAGAUAACCGAAGAAAAGAUCUAGAAUUUGAAGUUGGAGACCAUGUUUUCCUUAAGAUUACCCCGUUGCGGAGUGUUACUGCUGGCAGAGGAAAAAAGCUCCAACCUAGAUUCGUAGGACCUUUUUCGAUUCUUCAGCGAGUCGGGAAAGUAGCGUACAAACUUGAGUUGCCGCCAAACGUGUCACGGAUUCACGAUGUAUUUCAUGUAUCAAUGCUCAAAAAGUACUACCCCGAUCCAACUCACAUUGUGCAACCGGAGGAGAUUGAAAUUGACGAAGCCCUUACCUACGAGGAAAGACCUGUGCGAGUACUUGAUAGAAAAGUUAAGGAGCUGAAGAAUAAACAAAUUCCACUGGUGAAGAUUCUGUGGAAGAACCACGGAGUCGAAGAAGCGACCUGGGAGAUGGAGGAGGAGAUGAGAAAGAAAUACCCUGGAUUGUUUAAUGACUCAGGUGAGAAAUUUCAAGGACGAAAUUCUUUAAGGGGGAGAAAGUGUGAGACCCCGAAAAUUUUCUUAUUUUCUAGGCAUUUAUUUUAGGCUUUUGGGCUUAAUUUUAGUGUUUUCCUUAAUAUGUACAUUUUCUGGGGAUUUUAUGAGAAAAUAUGAAUUUUAAAUCACUUUCCUGAAAUAAGUUAUUUUCUGUGGUAAUAGGGGGUACAGUGGAUGUGGGACCCACUAGUGCGAUUGGUACAGUAAAUGUGGUUUGGGAGAAAUUUUAUAUAUGGAGAUUUUAUUACCUUGUAUUAUGAGCUAAUUAGAGGUUAGCUAAUUUAAUUAAGCAUUACAAGACAAGGACGUGGGAUAAGCUUGAAAGGGGCACAUGUUGCAUUUCUAUUGAAAGUUGGACUUUUGACCAUUUUCUUUACCUUUCCUUAUAAUCAAUUUUGACCCAAAAAUCCCCUCAUUUUCUCCUCCUCUUGGCCAACCAUCAUAGAGAGAAAAAGAGAGAAAACUUCCAACCUUGGUUCUUCAUUUCUUGCUAAAAUCUUGGAAUCUAACCAUUCAUCUCCCAAAUUUCUCCAUAAAACCUACUUGCUAGGUAGAAUUGAAGUGCUUGGUGGUUUUGUUUGGAGGGAAAGACUCUCUUCUACCUUGUAUCUUGUGUUUGAAAGGUGAGUGGUUAAGGAAUUGCUCUUUGUUGGUUAUGAUGUGAAAUUAGUAGGUGUUAGUAGUUAAAGAUGCAAUUUUAUGGAGUAUUUCAUGAAUUAUGGUUGAGUUGUCUAAUUUUUCUAUUUCUUGGGAAUUUUUCUGUUUUAUAUAGUUGCUUAUAGUUAGCUGAGGUAUGAGAGCCUUAUAUUGAAGAGUUUAGAGCCUUUAUGUGUUAAUGGACGUUGAUUGCGGAAAAUUUCCGCUUUUGUAAGAAAAUUUCAGUUUUAGGGUUUUAUAUUUGGGGCUUUUCUAUGGUUUGCCUUGAGCCUAUGUUUGAUUGACUUUUGAGGGUAAUAAGACCCUAAUGAGGUGAGUGGAUUGACCUAUAAGCUAUGUAGGUGUGUGUGUGAUAACUUGGAUGAUGAAUGAUAGGUUGGAAAUGUGAAAAUCCAAGGGGAAAUGCUGUCCAAGGUUAUAGAGAAUUGGUAAUCUUGAGUUGGGAAUGAUUUUGGAUCGAAUUGAAGAGGGUUUGGGAUUACUCAUACCUAACACCACUGUCACUUCGUUUUACUUUUGAGUGAUAGCAUACUAGUGGAUCAUUAUAACGAUUUGACCCGUAAUCGAGUCUCAAACAUGCUUUUCUUGCUUGUUUAGGUCCUACCGGUGAUCCGGGGCCUACGUCCGACGCGAACGUGUGAAUUGCUUGAUUUCUUCGGGGAGUGUAUCAUUAUAUGGUCUUUUAUACUUGUUAUGUGACUUGAAUGACUUGAAUGGGACGAGAGUGUACUUUAUCGCUCUCGAUCUCUUAUUUGUAUUACUGUUACUGUUUGACUGUGAAAUUGUAUAUGUGCCUGAUUGGAAGUCUGCUAGGGCUACACUCGAUUAUUACUGGGAAAUCUGAGCUCAUUCCCUUAGGUCGUUAUUCGAGUCGAGCCGGCAAGGGCUUUGGCGAAUCGAUAACGAACCUUGGGGUCACUGUGAGUUGAGUGGAGUGUUAACUCCUGGACCAUAUGGUAUACUCGAGUAUUACCUUUCGUAACUGUGAGGUGUCCGGGCAUGGUAAGGGGGUGAACGGUGGAAGGAAAUGGUGUAAAGAGGAGUCUACGGUCUUGUUUUCUCUUCAACAGUUGACGGAGUGUCAACGAGUAUGAUCAAGUACGGCAAUUGGAAAACGGCUCUUGAGGGCCGACCGUAUCCUUUUAUAUGUGGUUGUUAUGAUGAAAGCAUUUGUGUGUUUGUUGGCCAUGCAUAGUGUACUUGUGAGUUUUGGUACCUCACGAGCGUAAGCUCACCCCCGUUGUUUUGUUUUCCUUACAGGGACACUUUCGAAACCAAGUUUUUGAGAAAACGAGUUGUGCUAGUUAGGCAUUUUGUUCUUUUGAAUAGCUCCUUGAUUGUUUAGGAAACCCUUGAUAUAUUCGAAUUCAAGUAUACUUUUGAGUGUAUGUUGUAAAUACGGGAUCAAUAAUUGUACUUCCUCAUAUGUAUAUGAUAUGGAUAUGUUAUGGCAUGUAUACAUUAAGUUGAGGAUUAACUGCUUUACGUGUUUGACUUGAUUUGAGACGAGUACCGAAUUUGAGCGAGGAAGGAAAAAUUUUAGCGAGGUUACUGUUCACCAAAUCCGGCGAAGAAUCCGGCCAAAUUUUGGCCAGAUACAAGGCCGGAUAUGCAGGGGAGGAAAAAAAAUUUUGGGUUUUGGCCUCUGGCCGGAGCAAUCCGGCCAGUUUCCGGCCGGAUUGGCAGGGGAUUUCGAACCCUUGUGGAGUUGGCCACUGCCUCAUAUCUGGCCAAGAAUCCGGCCGGAUAGUGACGUUGCCGUUAUUGUUCAUCCACGGCAAACUUUCAUUUUUCAUUUUCUUAACCGUUUUAAGUGCUUGAGUGCUGUACAUUCAUACGUAGUGAUAUUUAUUGGAGAGGAAUGACUUCAUACGUGUUGAUCGUUCGCUUUUUUGAAUUUUUCCCCUCGAACAAAAAGGGGUGUUUUGUACGUUUUGGAUCCGUAGUCCUGGUGAGAGUUGGGCAGGCGGUCCGUCGAACCCUUUGGUUCGUCUUAGGGAGAGAUGGGGCUGUCACACUUGAACUCAUUACUUAUCUGCUGUACUUAAAAAAAACACUUUCUCUCUUAAAAACAUUUUCUAGAAUAUAUACUUAUUUAAACGCAAUUCUUAAAUCAAAACUUUGAUGAAAAUUUUGAAACAUCCUUCAAUUAUAUGUUAUUUCACUGUAUACACUCUUUAAUACCCAUGCAUUGAGUCGCAUGAUUAAUCUUCUUAAAUGUAUUUGAGGAAUUUGAAAUAUGUAUUAAUGACGGUGGCAAAAACAUUGCCUGAAGUUUCUUACUAAGAAAACUUAGUUUCGAACCAUGAAGAAAGGUUUGUAUCUUUUAACUCUAAUUUUGAAAUUGUGAAUCGUAUUUUGCCACAUACAUAUCCGAAAUACAUUUAAAAAAACCCUCAUUUUUUUCUUGCAUAUUAUGAUUGACUUGAUUUGAACAAAAAUUUGAGUGGUCAUUUGGGACCAAAGAAAUCCAGUUAUUUCUAAAAUUGUUAAUUUUGGAGAUCGAAUGCCAGUAAAUGAUUUUUUAAAAAAUUGAGUCGAAGAUUUUGGUAAAGUUAGUUUUCUAUUGGAAAUAUAUCUUCCUAUUCGAAUUUCGAGCCACCAGAUGGAAUCAUUUAACUAGACCUUUAAUUGACCCUGGAGUUGACUAUUUUUGUGAAAAUCCUAUUUUCGUGAGUGGUAUAAGUAAAGUGUGAUUGCUGCCCUAUAGUUUGGAGAAUAGGAGUCUUAUGAAGAAAUCAGAGCUUAAUUGUUAGUGCAAAUUAUAGAAGCUGUGAAUUUUGAUAAAUCUAGUGGACCUGGCAAAUAAGGGGUACGAUAUUAUCGUAAGUGUGAAUUUCGAGAACGAAAUUCUUUUAAGGAGGGGAGGUUGUGAGGACCCGAAAAUUUUCUUAUUUUAUUUUAUUUUACUGGCUUAAUUAAUUAUUUAAUUCAACUAUUUAAAAUUCAUUUAUAUGGAAAAACAUCUCUCUUAUGUUUUUAAAGCGUUUUGUUAGAAAAGUUACUUUUCGAAAACUCAUUUAGUUCGGAACAACAAAUACACAUUUUUUGAGACUAUAUUUGAAUUAAGGAUGUAUUAAUUUUGGAAAAGUAAUAAUGAUCAAUAGUGAAUACUCGUUUUCGAGACAAUGAUCGAUUUGGGAAGAGUUUGGAAAAUUGGAGGCUUAUACACCAGUCUUAAAAAUAGGUAUUUUUAUGUUUAAGUACUCAAGUAUUAGUUAGUAGUACUAUCGUUAUAAAAAUUUCUUAGAGGUUUCACCGAAGCGCGUAUAAAUCAAAAAUUCGCGUAUAUCGAGUCGUAGCGGUUAAUUGGAGAAUUAAGAAAUUUAUUCUAGACUAUUAAGAGUGAAUAAUAAUAGUAUGAAUACAAGUGCAUUGGAGGUUUAGUGCACUAGUGAAACAAAUCUGAGAGGAAACGAGCACGAAACGCGCGCGUACGCGCACUAGUCUUAGUUGACUUUUGGAGUAUUCUUAGCCACACAUUCUUAAGCUUCCUCAAGAAGCUUUUGCAGCUGCAACAACCUUUCUUUUCUCCUCUACCUGCCGUGCAUCACCCCAAGGAAGAAGACAACCAAAUUUGUUCUUCAACAACUCCCUCAUUUCUCACCCGAAUCACUCCAAAAUUGAACUACAACUUGCAAACAACUUGGAGAUUCACUUAAGCUAGGAAGAAAGCUUCAUUUCCACGGUUUUCUUGGGUAUCAAAGUGACCACAAAUUUCUGAUCUUGAUCAUCUAAGGAGGUAAUGACGAUGAACCCCUUGAAUUUUAGUUUAUAGAAGUUAUAUUACACUUGUGAACUCAUAUAUCCAUGUGGGUAGCUUUAUUUAUGUUGGAUUUUGGUGUGUGGGCUCUAUGAACUCCCACAAUGACUUGAGGACUGAUUUUAUGGGUUUUGAUAUGAUUAAUAUUGGUUUAGUGCUUAAAUUAGUGGAUGUAAGUUGUAUUGUGUAGACACCAAAUUUUUGGUGUUUUACUAUUUAUUUAUUUACUAUUCGUUUUUUAUUUGUUCUAUUUUUAUUUGUCACAAUUAUUUUUAUUUACUUUUAGUUUUAGUUAUUUUAGCCAUUUUAGCGUAGAAUUUCUCAAAGAAAAAAAGAAAAGCGUUCAAAAAAAUAUGUUUUAGUUGUUUUAGAUUUAGUUUCAUUAUUUAAAAAUGAAAAUGAAAAAAAAUGAAAAAAUGAAAAAUGAAAAAAAAGGAAAAAGAAGAAAAGAAAAAAAAGGAAAAUCUUCGCUUUUUAUUUUUUUUAUCUUUUGGUUAUUAAUUUUGUACAUUUUAUUUAAAUUUAAGUUUGUUUGAAUUAUUAUUAUUUUUAUUGUGAUUUAAAUUAAGUGAUUUAAAAAUUAAAAAAAAAAGCCGCGCAUGCAUGCGGCGUAUAAAAACAUUUGCAGAAAAUAUGGCAAGGGUAUGAUCGGAUGGCUGGAUGAUAGAGUAGAAAAAACCUUUCAUCCUCACCAUUGGGGUGAGGGUUGAGAGUUGGAGGUUCCAUAUAAAAGGAAAAACACAGCCGAAGGAGAGGACAGAGGAAUGAUGGCCGAAAGAUGUGAGAACCCUCAUUUUUAAAACACAAUUUCCUCAAAUUAAUUGCCUUAUUCUAGGAUUUAAAUCAUAUAUUAUAUGCCAUUACAUUUGCUUUUCUAGGUUGUCGCGCCCCAUUUUUUGAUAAAUAAAUAAAUGGUUUGAAAAUGUAUUUUUUGUGAUUGGAAAAUGAAUUUUGAUUUAAAAGAAAAGUGGGUCUAAAUGGGGGUUUGAGAAUGCGACGAUUUGACCCAAAAUUAUAGUUUAAAAGGGGUUUUUUGAAAUAAAAAAUUGGAGUCGCCACUUGGUAAUGAGUUAAGGUGUACCAAGUCACCAAAAAAUGAAUUUUUAAAGGAAAAAUAGGAAAAAGUAGUAAGAAACCCCUUUUAAACGACUCCUAAUCCACGUAAACCAAAGAAAAAGGUUCGGGAGUCACAUUUGACAAAGGGAAAGGCAAGGAUAAAAUCCAAGGCACCCCUUUGACCUAGCCAAGGCUAGUUGCAUGAUUUAAUCAAAGAUUUUCUUGUUUUAACCAAAGAAUUUAUUACAUUUGGAUGCACUACAUGAAUGCAACCCUAGACCUAGGGGGAUUGGGAGAAAUUUCCCUUCAAAGGUUGAGUGGUGCCAAUCACAUUGAUUGUGAAGCCCAAUAACGAUCCUUUGAAGAAGUCACGAAUAAUGCGAGUGGGAUGCAAAUGAAUGGAAUGCAUGUAUGCAAUAUGAGGACAUGGGUUUGAAAAAGUAAUAAAAGACAAGAAUGUGAAAGUAAAAAUGUGCACGUGAGUGGGCAAGGUACGGUAUGUGAAAUGAUAAUAUGAAGUGCAUGUGUGCAAACGAUGAUAAAAGUGUUCGGGUGCAAGUGAAGAAGCAUAAAGGUGCAUGUGUGCAAAAAGUGUUUGUGUGUAAGUGAAAGGAAAAGUAAAAGUGUGAUGAUAGAGUGGAUUCAGAAUGCAUGAGCCUAGGGAAUUUAUGCAUAUUGGGCACGGGGAGACCUAAAUCGUGACUCAAUUUGCCCUUUUAUAGAGGGAAUACAAGCGUGCUAAGGCUUAGAAAAAGCCACACUCGUCUAUAUCCCAUAUUUAAGGGGACACUCAAGCAAAAUGAACCCUAUAGCUAGUAUGGGAUGCAAAACCUAAAAUGAGAGGAAAAGGGGUUCGAGGAUCAUGCCAAAUGAUAAAACUUAAGGAAAAUGCGUGAUAUGUGGUGAACAAGCAAAUGAUGUACUAACGACGGAAAAUCCCUAAGGGUCUAGCGUUGGACUAGCCCAUUCUAUGAAUUCCGACUAGCGUUGGACUAGUGGAAACGAUAAAAGAAGCCACAACUAGCGUUGGACUAGUGUGGUGACGUACAUUCAGCCAUUCCAUUCAUCCACACUAUGGAAAGCAAGUAGACAUACUAAAUACUCAUAAACACGUAGCACGUAACAUUUAGCAUGCUCGGCUAGAUGCAAGGACCUAAUAAAGCGAUUAAACACUUAACACGUAGGCAUGCAAUCAACUAAUGAACCUAUUACAUUCACUAACUAAAACAAAAAGGGGAAGGGGAAAAUGGACCAAAUUGCUCGCCACAGCCCUAUCUAUUACAAGCCAAGAGGUGUACACAUACCCCAUUAAAAGAAUAACUUAAUGAAAACAAAAAGUAAAUGACAUAAGUAAAAGGCAUUAAAAAAAAACUAGGAAAGCAAAGUAGACAUGCAAUUCACUUAGCACGUUGAGUCACAUAAAAGAAACAAAAAAGAUAAAAGGAAUUAUACCGCUCCCUUUUGUAGUGUUAAAUGGACGAGACUUAAACUGGGCCAAGUCACCAACUAACGGGAUAACAUGUGCUAAAACCAUUCAAAGCAAAGGAUUAACGCACCAAUUUAGUUAUAAGAUAUAAACAAAACAAUUGGAAUCCACCAAAUCAUUAAAUUUUCCCCCAAUUGCAACUUAAUGAAGUAAAAAGCUAAUUAAAGACCAAGCAAAGACAUGAUCAUCCAACCUCCAAGCAUAACGUCCACUAAAGACCCAAAUGCAAGCACUACUCAAAUCAUUUGAACCUAAUUGAAGCAUUUAAAAACUCAAAGGUCCCCAAGUAAAAAUAAAGUCCAAGCAAACAUCAUAUCUCAAGAAUCCAAGAGUGAAUGAAGGUCCAUGAAUGGUUUAAACUUGCAUUUCUAGGACCCAAUAACGACCACUAAUCAAUCACAAUCAACGUCAAAAUGAAUCAUCAAAGAGCUUCAAAGGUCCCCAAAAUAAUAAAGAUCAAUUAAUGAUUCACAUGCAAACACCUUAGGACCUAAUUGCAAGAACAUGGAAUGUAAUUGGGCCAUAAUGCAUUGCUGCAAAAAUCUCAGGGACCCAAUUGAUUAGUUUUCUCAAUUUUGGGGUCAUAGUAGAACAAGGGGAGACUUGGGGGGUUAAAGUGCAAAUUUUAGAAAAUGAUUUCAUGCAAUCUUCAUGCAAAUGACGUGAGAAACACAUUCUGCAGCAGAAAUUUCAGCACAACUACGAAGCUUUCGACAACCGAGAAUGAAUCAAGUAUUUGCCAACCAAAACUCAAAGCUUUAAACUAGGAAACAAUUACAACACUAUCAUACUCCAAACAAACAACAAGCAUAGAAGGAAAUCAUGCAAAUUCUAGGAAACUUUAGUACAAGUUCAUGAAGAAACUUUCGGCAAAUUUCUGUUGCAAAAAAUGCAGCUAGAACCCAUAUAGAUUUCUCACGAAAAGAAACCAACUAACCCAUUAUUUGUCAACCAAAAACAUAUAAAUCUACAAAUCACCACUCUUAGCAUAACCCAAGUACAAGAUUAACAGAAAAUUAGGAGGCUAAAGCUUGUGAGUGUUUGCGGAAAAGAAAAGAAAACAAAACGGGUUGCGGCAGCCUCUGCUUUGCUGCAAAUUUUGCAGCCAACCCAUUCAUGCCUUCCUUAAUCAGUUCAAAGGUAUUCAUGCAAAGUAACGCAAGUCUGGACAUUUCCUAAACUGAACAGACAUAGCCCUGGUAGGCCAAAAACAAACAGCGGCAAAAAAAGGAGGAAAAUGCAGUCUGGCCGAAUUGAUAAGAUACAGCAGAAUUUAUGCUAUUGAUACUCUCGGCAAUGUCAUGGAAUUUUUCUUUUCCUUAACCGGCUUCAUGCAAUCUCCUUAUCCAGAUUUGAUUCAUUCAUACCAAACAUUCCAAGAAAGUUCUAAUUGGUUCUCUAGUUAGCCACGAAGUGCAAGGAUUGGGGGCAAGAGAGAGGAAAGGUGAAACAUGACCGCUACAAAAAAAAAAUUUUCAGCAGCCUGCCGAAGCUUUUGGGAGCUUCAGCAACCUUAUGCGGCAUACUUAGUUUCAAAGAUAAAUUUUUGACAUCAACCAAAGGUUGCCCAUGGCAUUGAACUCACGUAGAGACAACAAGCAAACAGGCCAAAUGCAGCAAAACAAAGGAAAAUAAACCCACCUGCCUGAACUACUACGAAAGAUUCAAUCUUGUGGCAGCAAACUCUUAAUCUUAAGGACCCAAGAACAAAAAGCCAUACUCACAAAAGGAAACUCAACAUCAGUCAUGAAAGCACCAAACAACAUCAGGCUUCUCACAGUUCCACCACUAAUCGAAACUAUCUACAAAGCAAAGGAAAAAUAAAACCUUACAGUCGCGUUGCUGGCCAAACUCUCGGCAAUAACGGUGGUGAUGAGUCUCUUCUCCGUGGUUUUCCUUUCUUAGCCCGCAGCCUCUAUCUCUCUCUCUUCAUUGUUCCCACCGUAAGUCACUUUUCCCAGCCGUGGCUACAAACCCUUUUCCUCAGAAUCGCACUCCUUUCUCUGGUCUUCCUUUUCCAUUUUUUUCAAAUUUCGGUCGUCACUCCCUCAAUCUUUUUCUCUUUGCGGCUGUCCAGACCUCUCUAUCUCUCUCUCUCUCCUUUUUGCCAAAACCUAACUCUCCUGAUUCCUCCCCCUUUUCUUUGCUCAGCCCCCCUCAAAACUUCCAGCCGUCCCCCUCUAUCCCACACUCUCGGUUUCUCCUUAGCCGUUCCUAGCUGUUUUUUUUUUUUGUGUUUUCCUUUUGCCGUCAAACUCUCUCCGUUGCGGCUACUCUUUCUCUUUCUAUUUAUAUGGGAGCCCCCCUCCUAAACCCUUAACAACUUCCUCUGUAUUUGCAGCUAAGGAGCUGCCUCAAAGUUCCUUUGCAAGCUGCAAAAAUGCAGCUUGCAUGCACGCAGCUCUUUUUUUUUUUUUUAACUAAAUAAAUACAGAAUAUAAAUAAUAAUAAUAAUAACAAAAUGACAAAACCAUGUAAUAAUAAUGAAAACAAAUAAAUAAAAUAAAAACAACAAAAAUGUCCAUUUUUCAAAUUUUCUUCAUUUUUCCCUUUUUUUUCUUUUUCCUUUUCUUUUCUCAAAAUAACUUAAUAAAUAUAACUAAAGUGCCAAAAGAUUGAAUUUGAACAUAUUUUUGUGACCAAUUUUCCCUUUUUCUCUUUUUUCAUGAUUUUUCCAUUGUUUUCUUUUUCUUUUGAGAAAUUCCAUCCUAAAAGCUUAAAAAUAAAAUAAUGACAUGAAAACUAAAAAAAAAACUAAAAACUAAAAAUGAAUAAAACAAACAUGACAAAAACAAAAAACUAAGAAAUAAAGAGUAAAUGAACUUGAGCUAAAAUUUGGUGUCUACAGUUUGGCCCUCUUUGUCUGAGUUUUGAAAAAACUUGAGACAAAGAAAUGGACACCAAAUACUUACCUGUGUUAUUCGGCUGCGAAUCACUCAAACGAUGGGGACUGACCCCUGACAGGAAAUUUUAAAAUCGGGACUGACCCGAGACAGGAUUUAAACGGGAUAGACCCAGACAAAAAAUGUAAAAUUGGGGUAGACCCACGGGAUAGACCUGGACAGAAAUUUAAAUGGGAUAGACCCAGACAAAAAAUGUAAAUGGGAUAGACCCGGAUAGAAAUUUAAAUGGGAUAGUCCCAGUCCUACCGAGGUAAGCGGUCAGCGGGAUAAAACCCGGUCCUGCCAAAGUAAGCGGUCAGCGGGAUAAAACCCAGUCCUGCCGAGGCAAGCGGUCAGCGGGAUAAAACCCGGUCCUGCCGUCCAAUUGGUCAAGAAAUUAAGUGUGAUUGUCAAAAGGGGAAGAUAGAAGAGAGCGCGGCGGGCGCUGAGAUAUCGCCAACAAGAAUUCAAUGUGAUUUUUCAAAAAACAAGAAAUUGAAUUUGAUUUUUCCAGAAAUCCUGAUUGAGAGAAUCUUGUCAAAAUAAUUUGCCCCAGUCUCCCCCAAUUUGUGCAACCGAUCAAUUGAUUUGUAUUAUGGUUGCUCCUCCUUGAGACCUUGAUUCGUAAGAUUCUUGCUUCACGAAAUCCCAAAAAUUUGCCCCAGUAUGGUGAAUUUUCUGCAAUUUUGGGUCCAUAGUUGAUGUUGUUGCACCUUUUGAUCAGAUUUGCUUGCAAUAUUUUUGAUCGGCCUUUGUUCACCGGAGGACUUUUCCGACACCGAUUCCAGUGCGAGGUGUGACUACUUUCAUUUGUGCAUGCAAUUUUCCUGCAAAAGAGAAAAACAAAGAAAUUGCCACCACCAUUUGAUCCGUUUUCCUUUGAGAAUCGUGUAAACAUGAGUCUUUCGACGCUUUUAUCAACUUUUGCUGCGGCAGCCGAUUGAGUUGGAUUUCUCACCCUAAGACUCUUCCGAUUUUCAAACUGACCAGGUAUGUGCUUUGCCCUAUUAUGAAGUUUGUGUAGCUGGCUUGGCUGAAUUUCAACUAUUUCCAAAAGAUGACUGAAUCCAAGCAUACUUUUGCAAUAAACCACGGGGAUUGUCAUUCACCACAAUUCAAUGAUAAAGAAUGAGGUAUGCAAGAAAAUUCACAUGUCAUGUAAAAAUGAAUAUGUACAAGAAUGCACACCUAACCAUUUGUGCUUAAAUUCUACAAAAAAUGCCAUGAAUGCAAGUAAUUUGGAAAAAAUGAGUUUCCUAAGAAUGUAUUUACAAAAGAAUAUUUUUUACAAAAUGACACGGCUUUUGCCAACAGAUGUCAUAUUCAAAUCUCUGGAUAUCUUAGCUCCGGAAUUCAAUGUUGUCAGAGGUAUGACAAAAAUGAGAAGAAAUCCAAAUGGACCAAACCACCACUUGUUCUUCUUUGUGCUUGCUCAUUGCAGAAACUUACCUUGGCGCCCAUUCGGGUUUUCACCAAGGUUGCCCCCCACCCUUUUGUUGGUUUUUCUUUUCUCUUUCUUCUUCUUUUUUUCUUUUUUCUUUUUCUCUUGAGGUGCCCUUGUGGGUUUUUCACCUAAUGAAAUAAUGGAAGAGCUCAACCAUAGUCGACUCAGGAAUGUAAGUUGAAGAUUGCUGGCAUCAGUAAAAAUGCGCUUCCCUUAUAGACUUAACGAAGGCAUUAUGGACAUCACGUGCCAGUUGAUUAGCAAAAUCCCUAAUAGAAAUGCAGCAAGUGACGAAAGCCAGGACUUUUGGGCUUUUGUAAUGAGGUUAGGUGGGGUGUUUUUCAAGAAAAGUUGAGGCUUGAAAGCAGGUCUGAUGAAAGGUGUGAAAUAAACUGAGAUUGCAUCAUUUUGAAAUUAUCUCUAAUUUUUGAACGAAACCGAGGAAAACUUGCCCCAGCUUGAUUGAAUUUUCCUUUCUUUGUACUUUUCAUUGCAUUUUCUCUUCUUUUUUUUUUCUUUUUUCUUUGCAUUGCAUUUUUCUUCAAAAACUAAAUUUGCCCCAGUGUGGGGUUCUUUCUUCCUGAUCAUUUUUCAAAAUGAAUUUGCCCCAGUGUGGGGUUCUUUCUUUUCCCAUAUCUCUUUCGAAGAUACAUUUGCCCCAGUGUGGGGUUUUCUUUCCUUUCUGAUCAUUUUUCAAAAUGAAUUCGCCCCAGUGUGGGGUUUGCAAUUCUCAAGGGCUGCCAAACGAAAAUUAUUGUUCUGAUAGCUCAAAGGGGAUGACUAGGGAUGAAAUGUUUUGAUUGAAAAGGAAGAUGGCCUGACUUUUGCCUCGCCCCUUGCAUGAUUUCCUAAAAGAAACUUUGCAUAAUCAAAUAAAGAACAUCUUACACAUGUCCAAGUUGAUAGGUUAAGGGAAUGUCUGUCCUUCUAUCUCUCCUUUGAACACCCAAUAAACUUUGUCAAUUUGAAGCAAAUUUGCCUUCGACUUCGUCUUUCAUCGCUUUAGCACUUUGUUUCCUUUUCAGAAGAUCGGUGGCGGAUCCUUUUGUUAUGAACAUAGGUCAUGCGUUUUGACAACGUUGGUCAUGGCACAUAGCAUUCAACUGCUUUUCAUCAAUCAGAAUCAAUCGUUAAUGACACUGCUUUAACAAAUCAGCUUCCAACCCGGCCGAAAAGGGAUUUUCUCAAAUGAAAGGAUUUUUCCAUGAAGGGAUUUCGCAAAUGAAGGGAUUUCAAUGAAGGGAUUUCGCAAAUGAAGGGAUAUUUUCAAUGAAGGGAUUUUUAAUGAUUUUUCUCAAUGAAAGUUUUCUCAAUGAAGGAUUUCUCAAUGAAGGCAUUCUCAAUGAAGGAAUUUCUCAAUGAAGGCUUUCCCAACGAAGGAAUUUCUCAAUGAGGGCUUUUUAAUGGAGGAAUUUUCAAUGAAGGGCUUUAUCAAAUUCCAGAACAGUGAUAUUCAAAGAGUCAAAUAACUUCACCUUUGGCCAUUUCAAAGAAUUAACAAAAACCAGAACAAUAAACAAAUAAUCAAAUUGUGCAUUUCAUGAAACUCCAAAUCAAAGCGGAAACAAAACAAAACUCAAUUGCAAAAGACGCUUUCAUUAAGCUAUGCACAUAUGCAAGAAAAAGUUUUCAUGAAUUUUAGCAAAUGACAACCCCUAGACUUAUCAAAAUUCCCUUCGAGAGGGAAGAUAGUCAGCCAUCCAAAUUGUGCAGAGCUCUUUCAAGACCUUCAAAUUUCGUCAUUGGAGGUGGAUGCCUCAAAGGUGUCCUUGUGUUUAGGAAAAGGAUUUGUUUUUAUAUUUGGUCCUUGUUCUUCCCUCCCUUUCAAAAUUAUGUCUCCGGCCUCAAUCAUGUCUUGGAUUUUGUGUUUAAGUACCCAACAAUUGGUGGUAGAAUGCCCAGGAGCUCCAGAAUGAUAAGCACAAAAAGAUUGAGGAUUAUAACCAGGGGGAACUCCUUUAGUAUAGACUUUAGGAGGUAUUGUACCAAUUUUCCCCGCAGCCUUGAGCUGCUCAUAUAGUUGAUCGAGGGGCCGACCUAGAUUGGUAAAAGUUCUAUAUCGGGUCGGGUCUCGGGUGCCAGCGGUCUGUUGAUAGUUGUAGUUAUGGUUGACGGGUAAGAUUGGUCUUGGAUGAUAAGGAGAGCAAUGUCUAGUUUGAAAGUUAUGUGGGGAGAUAUAAAAUGGUGUUGUGGGUGUGUUUGGGUAAUUUGGUCGAGAUCGAGGAUGGUUACCAGUGGUAUGGUGCACAGGUUGAAAGUGUGAUUGGUACGGGUAACGGGGUGAAUAGGUGGAGUUCUGUCGGUAUCUCGGUUGGGGAGCAGGGUCUCGAUUCGAGACAAAUGAAGCCUCCUCUUCUCUCUUUUUGAAUGGGGAUUUCUUGUUACCGCUGCCUUGAUUUUGCAUCGCUUCCAAUUGCGAUUUCAGAGCCGACACGUUAAUAAUCUUUCCUGCCCUUAUAAACUCAUCAUAUUCUUCUAAUUUAUUAACGAUCUCGGCAAAGGAACACCCAGUCAUUCGACAAAUUUCUUCAAAGUAUGGCGGAUCAUGUGCCUUAAUGAAGGUGCGUAUGAUUUCAUCCUCAGUCAUUGGUGGCUCGACUUUUGCAGCUACUUUCCUCCACCUCUUAGCAUAAGUCUUGUGAUCCUCGGAGGGUUUCCUCUUUGUUCCUUCCAACGUGGUUCGUGUUGGAGCCAGCUCGCAAUUAUACUCGUACUGCUUUACAAAAGCGCUGGACAAGUCAAGCCAGGUCUUCACUUCUUCGGGCUUCAGCUUGGAAUACCAGUCGAGUGCAUCCCCCUCGAGACUUUCUGGGAAUAGCCUCAAAGGCAGAUUUUCAUCAUCUGUUGGCCUACCCAACUUGUUGGCGAACAAUCGGAGGUGUGUCUUGGGAUUGCCUGUCCCAUCAUAUUUGUUGAACUUCGGGGUCUUGAACCCUUCAGGCAAUUGCACAUUCAGGAAAAGGCAAAGUUCAUCGUAAUCCAGGACUCCUUGCUUGUUCAACCCCUGACUCUUCCUUAUAAACUCAUCAAAACGGUCGAGGCGUUUGAGCAGUUUUAUAUCAACGGGAGCAGAACAUCCUCCUAUCUCCGGCUUGUUUUGAAUGGUAUGGUCUGGCAAGAAAGGCUCAGCAGUAGCGUGGUUAAAAGUGUGUGACUCAGGUGGUAUAUUUGAGGUGAUGUGAGGUUGUGGGCCUUGCAUGUAAGUAGGGAAAAAUGAAGGAUCAGGAGGGUAAGUGUAUGGCAAAUGUAUAGUGGGAUAUGUGAAAGUUCCUUCGGGUGGAAUAGGUAAAGAUGGAAUAACAGUGACUUGAGUUGAAGGGAUGACGAAUGGCUCUUGCUCAGCCUGCUUGACGGGUAUAGGUUCGGGUUGAACUCCGCUGCUGAUUAGCUCGUCAAUCAAUUUCCUUUGGGCCGCCAUCUCAGUGGUCAUCUUGUCGAACUUAGUGAGCAUCUCAGUCAACUGAACCCCCAAACUCGCGGUCUCGGGCUGAGCGGUAGUAGCAGGCCUAUCUGAUAAUUCCAGUUGUGAACUCAUGUUUACACGACUCCUCUGGGCUCGACUACGGGAUCGCGUUAUGAUGGGGCUUCGACGAGAAGCUAUGUUUAAAUAUUACCUGAGAAUUUUGAAAGGAAUUGCCUUUAGAUUUAACCCUUGCCUAAUUGUUACAAUAAAAAUAAAGAAAAGAAAAAGAAAAAGGCAAGAGUUAGUCGAUAUCCAGGAAAUUCGGAUGCAUGUCCUACGGGGGAACCCUUUUUGUGCCAAGGGUAGGCCUAGCAUGAAAAUGCAAUCCUCUGAGGUAGGCACUAUACCGUACCUGAUGGAUCUGAUCAACUCAUUGAGUGAAAAAUAAUUUUGAAAAAUUUAGUCAAUUGGAGAGACGAGAGACAUUUAUCAAAAUGAGGUCAACGUCCGAAUGGAUUGAUCACUUUUGAUCGAUACAAGAUUUUGCAAAAACGCACGGGUUUGACCUUGACGAACUUCCUAUCAAAGAGAUUGGAAUUCGUUGAUAAAAUUUCUCAGUGAAUUACGGGUCAAAACCCUAAUUGAUCAAAUGGUUGGAUGCAAUGGAUGUUUUUCUCAAAAUCGACUAGGUUUUCCAUUUUGAAAUUGACAUUGAAACCCUGAUUGGUCAAAUGGGUUGAAUGAAAUUGACCAUUUAUUUAAAAUCGACCAGAUUACCCUAAAAAGAGAAACUAGUCAAAUGAAUUGAGUGGAACUCAAAAUGGACCAAAUCAUCCUAAAAAAGGAACUUGAUCAAAUGGAAUUGAGAAUUUUAUUCAAAAAUGAAAUUGGUCAAAUGACUUGAAUGAAAUCGAAAAUUUAUUCAAAAUUGACCAGAUCGCCCUAAAAAGGGUAAACUGGUCCAAUGAAUCGGAUGAACUUGAUGAUUUAUCGAAAAUCGACAAAAAUGCCCUAACUAAUCAAAUGAAUUGAAUGAAAUUGGUGAUUUAUUCAAAAGUCGGCCGAAUGACCCUAAAAAGGGUAAAUUGGUCAAAUGAAUUGAUGAUUUAUUCAAAAUCGACCAGGUGACCCUGAAAAGGGUAAAUUGGUCAAAUGACCAUAAAAAGGGUAAAUUGGUCAAAUGAAUUGACGAUUUAUUCAAAAUCGACCAGGUGACCCGGAAAAGGGUAAAUUGGUCAAAUGAAUUGACGAUUUAUUCAAAAUCGACCAGGUGACCCGGAAAAGAGUAAAUUUGUCAAAUGACCCUAAAAAGGGUAAAUUGGUCAAAGGAAUGAUUUAUUCAAAAUUGAUUGACAAAAAGGAUUGAUUGAAUCAUCUGGCCAUUGGUGGUUUCAAAAAAUUAGUCUAUGAGCCUUCUAAAAUCACGAUUUGGCCUCAAUUUAUUAAUCGUCUCAAUAGGGAGGAAUUACUUGUGAAUUUCUUCAAAUUAAUGUCCUUUUACGCAAAGGAUUUUUACCAACUUUGAUAAAAUGGCCAAAAAAGUGAUUAUUAGACGCUCAUAUUCCAAAAAUCGCUCUUAUGAAGACAAUCGGAUCCUACCUUACCUUGUGCACUACCCCUUUGGAUGGUACAAAAAAUGUAAACGUGCAAAUCUCCUUGGAUUAAGUAUCCGAGACACAAGGCGGCUUAUUCCUUAACACGGGAUCCCCUAUGUGGCAUUCCCUUUCUAGGGUUAUGCAUGAUGCCAUUUAUUAAAGCGGUGUAAAUAUGCAAUUCGAAAUGAAACGUGACCUAAGGAACCUUUUAUUUGCCAGGAUAGGCCUAGAAUGGUAUGGCAUUAUUAAUUUAUGAACAAAAUGUACCACAAUUUUCAAACGUGCAAUAGCCUAUCUACAAGGGUAGGUCCUAAAAGGAGGUCAUGGCAGACCUCUUAUUUCCUAACGUUUGUGAAUGCAAAAGAUAAGAAACAAGGAAACGUUAGUUCAACACAUAAUCACAUAACACGUUGGACAAUUACAUGAUACAAAAACAACAGAGAAAUAAGGAAAGAGGGUGGGAUCCCUCCCCUCGUGCAUGGUGUCCCUAGUUCAGGAUAAGGCCGACUCUACCCUAGGCAAUUCUAUCAUGGAUGCAUGAGGUUAGGGCUCACUAAUGUAUCUAGACUCGAUAGGUCAUAGGUCCCCGAGCCUUCAGACUUGGAAACCAAGGGUCAUCACUCCCAAGGUUCCUUGUCGGUGGCUCGAGCGAUUCCCCAGACGUUGCUACGCACACGUCGUGUUACGACUACCCGUCUGGGCGAAUCUAAAAAGAAUCCUCAACCUUCGACUAAAAACUAAUAGGUCAUCAACCUAAAGUUUAAAGCGGAAGAUCGAGUGAUCCCUCGGAUCAUGCUACGCACACGUCGUGAUACGAUCACAUGUCCAAGUGGGUCGCCUAAAAUCCUAAUAGGGUGGAGUGGCGUGACAAACCACUAAAAGAAAAAUAAAUGAGGGGUAAAAAUAAUUAAAGCGUAUGCGCGUAUGCUAGUGCUCGUUUGGAGGGGAGGGAUCAAGAACCAACGCGAGGCUCUAAGGUGACACACCCCCCCAAAUGCAAUGCGAGCGCGAGGUAAGCAAGUAAACAUACAUCCAAUCAACCAAUCAUACAUUCGUGAGCGAGAGAGUAGUUGGAUACGCGUGAAAUGCAAAAAUCCUAAUAAAAGGAAAAAAUGCAAUCCUAAACACCCAAAUGUGAUAUAUGAAAAGGUUAAAAGAAGAAAAAGAUUGAUUAAAUCAAAUUUGCUCGGACUCUCGAAUAUCCCCAGUGGAGUCGCCAACUGUCGCGCCCCAUUUUUUGAUAAAUAAAUAAAUGGUUUGAAAAUGUAUUUUUUGUGAUUGGAAAAUGAAUUUUGAUUUAAAAGAAAAGUGGGUCUAAAUGGGGGUUUGAGAAUGCGACGAUUUGACCCAAAAUUAUAGUUUAAAAGGGGUUUUUUGAAAUAAAAAAUUGGAGUCGCCACUUGGUAAUGAGUUAAGGUGUACCAAGUCACCAAAAAAUGAAUUUUUAAAGGAAAAAUAGGAAAAAGUAGUAAGAAACCCCUUUUAAACGACUCCUAAUCCACGUAAACCAAAGAAAAAGGUUCGGGAGUCACAUUUGACAAAGGGGAAGGCAGGGAUAAAAUCCAAGGCACCCCUUUGACCUAGCCAAGGCUAGUUGCAUGAUUUAAUCAAAGAUUUUCUUGUUUUAACCAAAGAAUUUAUUACAUUUGGAUGCACUACAUGAAUGCAACCCUAGACCUAGGGGGAUUGGGAGAAAUUUCCCUUCAAAGGUUGAGUGGUGCCAAUCACAUUGAUUGUGAAGCCCAAUAACGAUCCUUUGAAGAAGUCACGAAUAAUGCGAGUGGGAUGCAAAUGAAUGGAAUGCAUGUAUGCAAUAUGAGGACAUGGGUUUGAAAAAGUAAUAAAAGACAAGAAUGUGUAAGUAAAAAUGUGCACGUGAGUGGGCAAGGUACCGUAUGUGAAAUGAUAAUAUGAAGUGCAUGUGUGCAAACGAUGAUAAAAGUGUUCGGGUGCAAGUGAAGAAGCAUAAAUGUGCAUGUGUGCAAAAAGUGUUUGUGUGUAAGUGAAAGGAAAAGUAAAAGUGUGAUGAUAGAGUGGAUUCAGAAUGCAUGAGCCUAGGGAAUUUAUGCAUAUUGGGCACGGGGAGACCUAAAUCGUGACUCAAUUUGCCCUUUUAUAGAGGGAAUACAAGCGUGCUAAGGUUUAGAAAAAGCCACACUCGUCUAUAUCCCAUAUUUAAGGGGACACUCAAGCAAAAUGAACCCUAUAGCUAGUAUGGGAUGCAAAACCUAAAAUGAGAGGAAAAGGGGUUCGAGGAUCAUGCCAAAUGAUAAAACUUAAGGAAAAUGCGUGAUAUGUGGUGAACAAGCAAAUGAUGUACUAACGACGGAAAAUCCCUAAGGGUCUAGCGUUGGACUAGCCCAUUCUAUGAAUUCCGACUAGCAUUGGACUAGUGGAAACGAUAAAAGAAGCCACAACUAGCGUUGGACUAGUGUGGUGACGUACAUUCAGCCAUUCCAUUCAUCCACACUAUGGAAAGCAAGUAGACAUACUAAAUACUCAUAAACACGUAGCACGUAACAUUUAGCAUGCUCGGCUAGAUGCAAGGACCUAAUAAAGCGAUUAAACACUUAACACGUAGGCAUGCAAUCAACUAAUGAACCUAUUACAUUCACUAACUAAAACAAAAAGGGGAAGGGGAAAAUGGACCAAAUUGCUCGCCACAGCCCUAUCUAUUACAAGCCAAGAGGUGUACACAUACCCCAUUAAAAGAAUAACUUAAUGAAAACAAAAAGUAAAUGACAUAAGUAAAAGGCAUUAAAAAAAAACUAGGAAAGCAAAGUAGACAUGCAAUUCACUUAGCACGUUGAGUCACAUAAAAGAAACAAAAAAGAUAAAAGGAAUUAUACCGCUCCCUUUUGUAGUGUUAAAUGGACGAGACUUAAACUGGGCCAAGUCACCAACUAACGGGAUAACAUGUGCUAAAACCAUUCAAAGCAAAGGAUUAACGCACCAAUUUAGUUAUAAGAUAUAAACAAAACAAUUGGAAUCCACCAAAUCAUUAAAUUUUCCCCCAAUUGCAACUUAAUGAAGUAAAAAGCUAAUUAAAGACCAAGCAAAGACAUGAUCAUCCAACCUCCAAGCAUAACGUCCACUAAAGACCCAAAUGCAAGCACUACUCAAAUCAUUUGAACCUAAUUGAAGCAUUUAAAAACUCAAAGGUCCCCAAGUAAAAAUAAAGUCCAAGCAAACAUCAUAUCUCAAGAAUCCAAGAGUGAAUGAAGGUCCAUGAAUGGUUUAAACUUGCAUUUCUAGGACCCAAUAACGACCACUAAUCAAUCACAAUCAACGUCAAAAUGAAUCAUCAAAGAGCUUCAAAGGUCCCCAAAAUAAUAAAGAUCAAUUAAUGAUUCACAUGCAAACACCUUAGGACCUAAUUGCAAGAACAUGGAAUGUAAUUGGGCCAUAAUGCAUUGCUGCAAAAAUCUCAGGGACCCAAUUGAUUAGUUUUCUCAAUUUUGGGGUCAUAGUAGAACAAGGGGAGACUUGGGGGGUUAAAGUGCAAAUUUUAGAAAAUGAUUUCAUGCAAUCUUCAUGCAAAUGACGUGAGAAACACAUUCUGCAGCAGAAAUUUCAGCACAACUACGAAGCUUUCGACAACCGAGAAUGAAUCAAGUAUUUGCCAACCAAAACUCAAAGCUUUAAACUAGGAAACAAUUACAACACUAUCAUACUCCAAACAAACAACAAGCAUAGAAGGAAAUCAUGCAAAUUCUAGGAAACUUUAGUACAAGUUCAUGAAGAAACUUUCGGCAAAUUUCUAUUGCAAAAAAUGCAGUUAGAACCCAUAUAGAUUUAUCACGAAAAGAAACCAACUAACCCAUUAUUUGUCAACCAAAAACAUAUAAAUCUACAAAUCACCACUCUUAGCAUAACCCAAGUACAAGAUUAACAGCAAAUUAGGAGGCUAAAGCUUGUGAGUGUUUGCGGAAAAGAAAAUAAAACAAAACGGGUUGCGGCAGCCUCUGCUUUGCUGCAAAUUUUGCAGCCAACCCAUUCAUGCCUUCCUUAAUCAGUUCAAAGGUAUUCAUGCAAAGUAACGCAAGUCUGGACAUUUCCUAAACUGAACAGACAUAGCCCUGGUAGGCCAAAAACAAACAGCGGCAAAAAAAGGAGGAAAAUGCAGUCUGGCCGAAUUGAUAAGAUACAGCAGAAUUUAUGCUAUUGAUACUCUCGGCAAUGUCAUGGAAUUUUUCUUUUCCUUAACCGGCUUCAUGCAAUCUCCUUAUCCAGAUUUGAUUCAUUCAUACCAAACAUUCCAAGAAAGUUCUAAUUGGUUCUCUAGUUAGCCACGAAGUGCAAGGAUUGGGGGCAAGAGAGAGGAAAGGUGAAACAUGACCGCUACAAAAAAAAAAAUUUUCAGCAGCCUGCCGAAGCUUUUGGGAGCUUCAGCAACCUUAUGCGGCAUACUUAGUUUCAAAGAUAAAUUUUUGACAUCAACCAAAGGUUGCCCAUGGCAUUGAACUCACGUAGAGACAACAAGCAAACAGGCCAAAUGCAGCAAAACAAAGGAAAAUAAACCCACCUGCCUGAACUACUACGAAAGAUUCAAUCUUGUGGCAGCAAACUCUUAAUCUUAAGGACCCAAGAACAAAAAGCCAUACUCACAAAAGGAAACUCAACAUCCGUCAUGAAAGCACCAAACAACAUCAGGCUUCUCACAGUUCCACCACUAAUCGAAACUAUCUACAAAGCAAAGGAAAAAUAAAACCUUACAGUCGCGUUGCUGGCCAAACUCUCGGCAAUAACGGUGGUGAUGAGUCUCUUCUCCGUGGUUUUCCUUUCUUAGCCCGCAGCCUCUAUCUCUCUCUCUUCAUUGUUCCCACCGUAAGUCACUUUUCCCAGCCGUGGCUACAAACCCUUUUCCUCAGAAUCGCACUCCUUUCUCUGGUCUUCCUUUUCCAUUUUUUUCAAAUUUCGGUCGUCACUCCCUCAAUCUUUUUCUCUUUGCGGCUGUCCAGACCUCUCUAUCUCUCUCUCUCUCCUUUUUGCCAAAACCUAACUCUCCUGAUUCCUCCCCCUUUUCUUUGCUCAGCCCCCCUCAAAACUUCCAGCCGUCCCCCUCUAUCCCACACUCUCGGUUUCUCCUUAGCCGUUCCUAGCUGUUUUUUUUUUUUGUGUUUUCCUUUUGCCGUCAAACUCUCUCCGUUGCGGCUACUCUUUCUCUUUCUAUUUAUAUGGGAGCCCCCCUCCUAAACCCUUAACAACUUCCUCUGUAUUUGCAGCUAAGGAGCUGCCUCAAAGUUCCUUUGCAAGCUGCAAAAAUGCAGCUUGCAUGCACGCAGCUCUUUUUUUUUUUUUUAACUAAAUAAAUACAGAAUAUAAAUAAUAAUAAUAAUAACAAAAUGAAAAAACCAUGUAAUAAUAAUGAAAACAAAUAAAUAAAAUAAAAACAACAAAAAUGUCCAUUUUUCAAAUUUUCUUCAUUUUUCCCUUUUUUUUCUUUUUCCUUUUCUUUUCUCAAAAUAACUUAAUAAAAAUAACUAAAGUGCCAAAAGAUUGAAUUUGAACGUAUUUUUGUGACCAAUUUUCCCUUUUUCUCUUUUUUCAUGAUUUUUCCAUUGUUUUCUUUUUCUUUUGAGAAAUUCCAUCCUAAAAGCUUAAAAAUAAAAUAAUGACAUGAAAACUAAAAAAAAAACUAAAAACUAAAAAUGAAUAAAACAAACAUGACAAAAACAAAAAACUAAGAAAUAAAGAGUAAAUGAACUUGAGCUAAAAUUUGGUGUCUACAUAGGUGUUACAAUAAUUUUCAUGCAUUACACUUCAUUCCUUUUACUUGUAGUAAAGCAUUUUUUUUAGAGUUAAUUUUAAAUAUACACCACUUACAUUUUACCAAGUGUCUUUAUAUUAGUGGUAGAAAUCUUACAUGUAGGAUUAUAGGUGCUAAAAUAUGAUUGGUGCACUUGGAAAGAUUAGUUAGGAGUGUUAAAGUAUUAUUGGUGCACUUGGAAAGGUUAGUUAGAGGUGUUAAAAUAUUAUUGGUGCAUUUGGAAAGAUUAGUUAGAGGUGUUAAAGAAUGAUUGGUGCAUUUGGAAAGGUUAAGACACCAUUAGUCAAAGAUUAAGAAAGAAUUGGACAAGUAAGUGGACAUGUGGCUAAACUUUAGCCAAGUAUCUUAUUGGAACCAAGAUUAGAAGACUAUAUAAACUAGCCAAAGCCUUCUUUUUUUCUUGAGUGCUGGCCGAAAUUCUGGUUCAAGAGAGAGAGAAAAAGUGAGCCACAUAAUCUUGUUUUCUUACUUUAGCAAACCAAGAACAACAAUCAAGAGAGAAAAAUCUGAAUUAGUGAGAAAGUUCCUACAACUCCAAGUGUUUGAUCCAAGCUUGAAGACUUACUUUGGUAAAGUGAUUUUGGUGGUGCAAGCUCACUAUAAGAGAGGUAUAUGUCCUUUAAAUCUUGGUUUUUGAUGAUAGAACAUGCACUUGAAUUGUUAAUAGCAAAGAUAUAAGUUGUUUGGUUGAGAUGUUGAGUUAGUUUCUUGAAGUAAACAAGUAGUAGCUAGGUUUCUUAGUAUGUAUACCAAGUGUUUGAUGAAAUGUUUGAUUCUUAUUCAUGUUUGUUUAUGAGGUAUUAUUAUGUUUUAAACCUCUUUUGAGCUAGAACUACCACUUGAUAUGAUGAUUGAGUAGAAAACAUGUAAGGAUGAAGAUUGAACAAAUGUUGAAAAGGGUGGGCUGGUUGCUUUGUCUAGGCUGGCCGGUUCUUGUAGGAGGGAUUUUCCCUCAAUCUUGUUGUUAAAUUUUGUCCUCAUCAAGCCUAAUAAACUAGGUUAACUAUUGGUUAAGCCUAUGAGCAAGUUGGAAUGGAGUUGAAGCAAGUAAAGUGGUGAUUUUGAACCAUUAGUAGACUGUUUUAGGACUCUUGUAGUUAUGGGAUCAUUAUGGCUACCUUAAAUCAUGUUGUAUGUUAUAUUGUAAACUCCAUUGAUUCUAAGUGACUUGAAUCCUUGUAUAUGAUCACUUGAGGAGUGAAUUGGGUGAAUUUGAAUCAAAACUAAUGAAGUUAGCCCUAAAACUAGAGUAGUUUGGUAUAGGAUUAAUGUUGAUCCAGGGUUGGAUAAACAGCCACCUUGUCUGAAUUACUGUUGUUGAUAGGAGACGAACCACGGUGUGAGCUUGGUACCGUUGGAAAGCCCUUCGAGUCUAGUUUCCAACGCCACUAACGGCACCUAAUUUUGACUUUUCUACAGUGAGUUAUGACCGUUUUCCUAAGACUGCCAGGGCAUGACUGUGCAACCCGAGAAGAAAUCCUUAAGCAUAAUUGGAACUUUUCUUUUGCCAAACUUUCAUGCACCCACUAAACUUGUUUUCUCAUUAACUUUUACCAUGGAUUGGGCCUUGUUUGCAUGAUGGAUUAAGUAGCUUAGACUACUCACUUGGUCUCUUAUUGAGCCUAACCUAGUGGGACAUGAAUCUAAGUGUUAACGAUUUCACUCGUUGCCCUAGGUUUGGGAAACGAAGGUGACCAUAACUAAGACGUUUGAUAUCGCUCACUACUUUUGAUUGACAGGUGAGUGUUCCACUACCUGCUACCUGCUUAUGUGAAAUACCUGAAUAUUUGAUUUACGACUGUUUGAGCCAAACCCUAAUUUGAUAAAAGUGGAGGCGAGCGUGUACUUUAUCGCACUCGUCCUCCUUUAUUUCCACUGAGACCUUGUAUAUUGUUAUUGUGAAGUGUGAAUUCUCUAUAUGUGACUGUGCUUGAGUUGUUUUGGUGAUAUCCCAUCAACUACUACUACUGUUUGGGUGCCCAACCUCAUAGGUGAGUCGGUUCUAUCGAGCCGGCCAGGGCUUGGUCGAGAAGGCCGAUAAACCUUGAGGACUGUUUACUGUUCACUGAAACCGGUAUACUCGAGUAUUACCUAACUACUGUUUAUGAAGUGCGGGCCCGGUGGGGGGUUGAUUGGUGGACGGAGGCAGGUAAAAGUGGUGUUCUACGGACUUAAUAUUCUGUGUAUACAAGUGUUGACGGAGUGUCAACGAAGACAUUUAUGAUCAAGCUCAAGGGGAUUUUGGCUUUUGAAAGCCACCCGUAUCCUUGAUUUGAAUUGUGGUUAAUUGUUAUUGUAUCAUAUGGUAUUUAUUUGAAUUAUUCUAUGCCUUAAUUUGGCUAUGUGUUUUCUUGCUUUACUUGGAACCUCACUGAGCUUUAGCUCACCCCACUCCCUUUGUUUUCCUUAACAGAUCGGGGAUGGACUAACGGUCAAGAGCUUUCUUAGCUUUGUUUUGCUUGAACUUGUAACUUUUGUUAAGAUGACUUUACUUUUACUUUUGUAAGCUUGAAUCUAUAAGUUGACUUAUGUCAUGUAAUUCGUAGUAUGGAAUGGUAAGUGUGACUCUUAGCUUGCCGUAUUAAGUUUUGAAAGUUGAUUGAUAGUUAUGUGUUAUUAGGGUCGUAUGAUUUAAUUUGAAGCUAUUUUUCCCAGUUAUUUUGAGUUGCUAGUUCUUUGAUCGACUGAGUCCCGGCGAGAGCUGGACAGGCAGUCCGCUGAUGCCCUAGGGUUAGCUCUAGGGAGAGGUGGGGCUGUCACAGUUGGUAUCAGAGCCUAGGUUUGAAUUAGCCUGGGCGAAUUAGAAAUUUCCGACUUAAGGAUUCUAUUUUAUUAAUUCCCUUAAAAGUACUAAAGUCUAUCUACACUUUUAUGUAGGAUGGACGGACCUAGCGGCCAUAGUAAUAGUCCUGUUGGUGAGAAGCCCCAAGGAGCCCUUCCCGUGAUUAAGUAUCAAAUCCGGCCUGGAGGAUCUAGAGUUUAUUGGAGCCCGUCAAACCGCUAUAGGCGUUGCGAGUGCCAUCAUAUUUAUGGCUACCCUAAUGAAGUGGUAUUGGCGGUAGUAAAAGAGCGUAAGGAGCUUGCCAGGGAUAAUGCUAGGCUUGAAGCCGAAGUGAAGCAACUAAAGAAAGCCAAUACGAUGCAAGCCGAGCAGAUUAAAGAGCUCGAGUAUGAUAAUGUUGAGGGCCAAGAGAGGAUUGACGACCUUUGCGCACAGUUGGAGGAAACUCAAGAACGCAUGGUGACUAGGACAAUGAAGGUGAGGACUAGGGCGGAGUCCAUUCUGAAUGUUUGUGACGACCUUCUAGGAGAAGCAAGCGAAGAGGCUUCUUAUAUGGAUAUUGGUUCAGAAGAUGAACCUACUGAGGGUGGGGGGUCAGCUAGUCCCGCCACUGACUAGGUCUUCACCAUUAGGCUAGGAUAGUGGAUGAUUUUGACAUUGUACAUAGACAGGUUAGGGGAUGUGGUGACCUGGUGGUUGUAUAGCUCCUUUUGACUACUUGUGUUAGGUUUUGCUUGAUAUGACUAUAUCUGUACUUUUGAGGGCUUGUACUUUCUAUUGUGGUCUCGUUAUCUUGUAAAUGACUACUAUGAGCCUUUUAAUGUAUUAUACUUUGACUGUUGACCUUGAUCUUUGAAUGUUGACUGUUGACUGUUGACUGUUGAUCGUUGACUUUUGACAUUUGACUUUGUUCCGUCAUUAAUUUUAACUGCGGUGCAUUUCACUUGCUUAUCGUGAUUCCAAUCUUGAUUUCUUAUUUGACUUUUCAUUAUACGUAAUCAUCUUUCGUAUAUCAUAUUCGCUCACUCGGUUAGUUGUCAUACUUGGGCACUAGGCCACUGAGUAAUUAUGGAGACGAGACAAAGACGUACUCGGGGCCGUGGACGAGAACCCAGGCAAGUCCAAGAUCAAGGGGAGGAACAAGGUUCGGUGGCGAAUCAAAACCAGGAACCCCGAGGUGAUGGAAGGGACCAAGUAGCAACCGCUAUUAAUCGAAUGACUGAUUUGUUGGCCCGCUUGGUUGACCAGCAGGGUCAAGUACCUAGUAACCCACAAAGGGACCCCGAAGUAGGCAAGGAUAGGGCCCUGGAGCGGUUUCAAAAGUUUGCUCCUCCAAAAUUUCUUGGAGGACCUGAACCUGAAGUUGCCAAAAAUUGGUUCGAGCGAAUGGAGGAUAUAUUCGCCGCGUUGCAUUACUCUGAAGAGAGGCAAGUUACCUUCGCCGUUUUCCAGCUGGAAGGUGCGGCCCGUUCCUGGUGGAACGUGGUAAGGGCCAAGUGGGAAAGGGAGCAAACCCCACGUACCUGGUUAAACUUCACGAGGGAAUUCAAUGAGAAAUUCCUUCCACCCUUAAUUCAGGAGAAAAGGGAGGAUGAGUUCAUUAAACUGCGCCAAGGCACUUCAAGUGUGGCAGAGUAUGAAACGCAGUUCACCCGACUUUCCAAGUUUGCCCCAGAAUUGGUAGUAAGUGAACAAAAGCGUAUAAGGCGGUUUAUACAAGGAUUGAAUGUAGAAAUUCAAAAGGAUUUAGCUGCCGCUCAAAUUGACACCUUUAAGGAUGCGCUUGAAAAGGCUCAACGUGUGGAGCAGGCCCGAUCUCAAGUUCGGACCUUUCAGGCUAAGAGGCGUGGGGCAUCUACCAGUACUCCUGGCCGAAGUGAUCAGAAUGUGCCACCUCCGAAGUUUGGAAGGGGUACGAGUGGAGCCCGAAUUGCGGGGACACCAAGAGGUGGAGCUUCAUCUAGAGGAGCUCAAGGGGGAAGGGGACAGGGACAACCGAGAACUGUCUCCCUAGGAGUUCCCGCACCCACCACACGUGUAAGCUGUGGAUAUUGUGGUAAGCCAAAUCAUACCGAAGACAAUUGCUGGAAAAAGUAGAAAAAGUGCCUUGUUUGUGGAAGUUCUGAACACCAGAUUGCCACUUGCCCUGUUAAGAAUCGUGACGGGAACGGGGGUACCCAGUCGGAAAAGUCAAAUCCUAAGCAACCUACAGCCAGUACUAGUCGACCCAAAACCUCUGCUAGGGUUUUUGCUUUGGACCACCGGCGAGUUCCGGAUUCCUCGGAAGUAGUGGAAGGUACGAUCCCUAUAUUCCACCGCUUAGCUAAACUUUUGAUUGACCCUGGGGCAACCCAUUCUUUUGUAAAUCCUGCCUUUAUGUGUGGUAUUGUUGUGAACCCUGUUAAGUUGCCAUAUGAUUUAGAAGUUAAAACACCUACUGGGGAUCAAAGCCUAAUUACCAAUAUGGUCUAUAGAAAUUACGAGAUUUGGGUAGGAGAACGGAAGUUAGUGGGUGACUUAAUAAGUUUAGACCUUAAGGGGUACGAUGUAAUUAUAGCCAUGGAUUUGUUGGCCCGUUAUAACGCCCAAUUGAACUGUAAAACAAAGGUGGUGGAAUUCUCGAUACCCGGAGAGGCAACUUUAAGGUUGGAUGUGAGAGGUAGGUUAGCCUCGUCUGCACUUGUUUCGGAAAUCCGAGCCAGAAAGUUGUUAAGUAAGGGGGCGCAAGGCUACUUAGCCUUCUUAAUUAAUACUCCUAGAGAUAAAGUGAAGCUGGAGGAUGUUUUAGUAGUGAAUGAAUUUCCUGAUGUCUUUCCCGAUGAGUUGAAAUUGAUGCCACCAGAAAGGGAAAUAGAAUUUAAGAUCGAUUUAGUACCUGGAACUGCUCCCAUUGCAAAAACGCCAUACCGAAUGGCCCCCGCCGAAUUUAAGGAGUUGAAACUGCAGUUGCAAGAUCUGUUAGAGCGAGGGUUUGUUCGAGAAAGUGAGUCACCGUGGGGAGCACCGGUAUUAUUUGUUAAGAAAAAGGAUGGUAGUUUAAGACUGUGCAUUGACUAUUGUGGCUUAAACGAUGUUACGGUGAAAAAUAAAUAUCCCUUGCCACACAUUGAAGAAUUGUUUGACCAACUACAAGGAGCAGUAGUUUUCUCUAAGUUGAACUUGAGGCAAGGUUACUACCAGUUACGAAUUAGGCAAGAGGAUAUACCGAAGACUGCCUUUAAUUCCAGAUAUGGUCAUUUUGAGUUCGCAGUGAUGCCCUUUGGUUUAACAAAUGCCCCUGCUGCAUUUAUGGAUUUAAUGCAUCGAGUCUUUAAACCCUACUUGGAUCAAUUUGUUGUAGUAUUUAUCGAUGAUAUUUUGGAAUAUUCCAAGACUCGAGAGGAACAUGAACGGCAUUUGAGGAUAGUUUUGCAGACUUUAAGGGAACAUCAGUUAUUUGCCAAGUUUAGCAAAUGCGAGUUUUGGUUGGAGCAAGUUUCUUUUCUAGGACAUAUAAUAUCUAAAGAUGGAAUUUCUGUGGAUCCAGUAAAGGUGGAAGCUGUAGCUGAGUGGAAGCACCCGGAAACCCCGACUGAGGUCCGUAGUUUUCUAGGUUUAGCCGGGUAUUACCAUCGGUUUAUCAAAGACUUCUCCAAGUUAGCCGGUCCUUUAACCGACUUGACCAAGAAGCAUGGUCAAUUUGUCUGGAAUUCUAAGUGUGAAUCUAGUUUUCGGGAGUUGAAGAAACGGUUAACGUUAGCACCUGUUUUAGCUUUACCAAAUGGGAGAGAUAGUUUUAUUGUAUAUACGGAUGCCUCAAGGGAAGGUUUGGGAUGUGUUCUAAUGCAAAAUGGGAGUGUAAUUGCCUAUGCCUCUAGGAAGUUAAAACCCCAUGAGCGAAAUUACCCCACUCAUGAUUUAGAAUUGGCCGCUGUAGUUUUUGCAUUAAAGAAGUGGAGGCAUUACUUGUAUGGAGUGACUUUUGAGGUGUAUACCGACCAUAAGAGUUUGAAAUACCUAUUCUCUCAGAAGGAGUUAAACUUGAGACAGCGUCGGUGGGUGGAAUUUCUUGAGGAUUAUGACUGUACAAUUAACUAUCACCCAGGCAAGGCUAAUGUUGUAGUGGACGCUUUAAGCCGACAAGUGCAAAUAGCUGGAUUGAUGGCUAAGGAAUGGAAUUUGCUGGAGGAAGUGAGUGAAUGGAACCCGCGAUUAGACCGACAGAGGGUAAUUUUCUGCAAUAUUACAGUAAGAUCUGAAUUGUUGGACCGCAUUAAAGAAGCUCAAAGGAAUGACGGGAUGGUGCAAAAGUGGAUAGGAGAAGUACAAAAAAAGGAGUUACAAGACUUUAACAUAAGCUCUGAAGGUAUCUUGAAAUUUCAAGAUCGAAUAGUGGUACCACAAGAUGAGGUGAUAAAAAGGGAUAUUUUGGAAGAGGCACAUCGGUCCAAGUAUACAGUACAUCCUGGAAGUAACAAAAUGUACCAAGAUUUGAAAAGGUUAUAUUGGUGGGAUAAGAUAAAGAAAGAAAUUGCUCAGUUUGUCCAAAAAUGUUUGGUGUGCCAACAAGUGAAAGUUGAGCAUCAAAAGCCUUCAGGUCUUCUGCAACCUCUGGAGAUCCCUGGGUGGAAAUGGGAACAUAUUACUAUGGAUUUUGUAUCGGGAUUACCCCGUACCCAGAAAGGUCACGACACCGUUUGGGUAAUAGUAGACAGGUUGACCAAGUCUGCUCAUUUCUUACCCAUAAAUAUGAAAUAUUCUAUGGAGAAAUUGGCCCAACUUUACAUGGAUGAGAUAGUGAGGUUACAUGGGAUCCCUGUAAGCAUUGUGUCUGAUAGAGACCCACGAUUUGUGUCUCGUUUUUGGCAACAAUUACAAGGAACUUUAGGGACCAAGCUGAAUUUUAGUACUACCUAUCAUCCCCAAACUGAUGGACAAUCGGAGAGGACCAUUCAAACACUUGAAAAUAUGUUGAGGACCUGUAUUCUAGAUUUUGGUGGAAGUUGGGGACAAUACAUGGCUCUGGUUGAAUUUGCAUACAAUAAUAGUUACCAUUCUUCAAUACAAAUGGCACCGUAUGAAGCUCUCUAUGGAAGAAAGUGCCGAUCACCAAUAUUUUGGGAUGAAGUAGGAGAGAGAAGAGUUUUAGACCCAGUUGCAGUACCAUGGAUCGAGAAUGCGUAUGAGAAAGUGAAAGUGAUACGUCAGAGGCUUCAGACAGCGCAAAGUCGACAAAAGAGCUACGCUGAUAAUCGACGAAAGGACUUGGAGUUUGAGGUUGGGGACAAGGUAUUCUUGAAGGUUACGCCACUUCAAAGUCUCACGGCAGGAAAAGGAAAGAAGCUCCAUCCAAGAUACGUAGGACCCUUCAAAAUCCUUCAACGAGUUGGAAACGUGGCAUAUCGAUUGGAGUUACCAACAAGUCUAUCCAGGGUUCAUGAUGUAUUUCACGUGUCCAUGUUGAAAAAGUACCAUCCAGAUCCCACUCAUAUACUGAAACCAGAGGAAAUUGACAUUGAUGAAUCUCUAACCUACGAGGAAAGACCAGUGCAAAUCUUAGAUCGAAAAGUGAAGGAAUUGAGGACUAAGCAAAUACCCUUGGUAAAGGUCUUGUGGAGAAACCAUGAGGUGGAGGAAGCUACUUGGGAAGUGGAAGAGGACAUUCGCACCAAAUACCCUAAGCUAUUCAAUGAUGAAGGUGAGAAUUUCGAGGACGAAAUUCUUUAAGGGGGAGAGAGGGUGAGAACCCUCAUUUUUAAAACACAAUUUCCUCAAAUUAAUUGCCUUAUUCUAGGAUUUAAAUCAUAUAUUAUAUGCCAUUACAUUUGCUUUUCUAGGUGUUACAAUAAUUUUCAUGCAUUACACUUCAUUCCUUUUACUUGUAGUAAAGCAUUUUUUUUUAGAGUUAAUUUUAAAUAUACACCACUUACAUUUUACCAAGUGUCUUUAUAUUAGUGGUAGAAAUCUUACAUGUAGGAUUAUAGGUGCUAAAAUAUGAUUGGUGCACUUGGAAAGAUUAGUUAGGAGUGUUAAAGUAUUAUUGGUGCACUUGGAAAGGUUAGUUAGAGGUGUUAAAAUAUUAUUGGUGCAUUUGGAAAGAUUAGUUAGAGGUGUUAAAGAAUGAUUGGUGCAUUUGGAAAGGUUAAGACACCAUUAGUCAAAGAUUAAGAAGGAAUUGGACAAGUAAGUGGACAUGUGGCAAAAUCCUAGCCAAGUAUCUUGUUGGAACCAAGAUUAGAAGAUUAUUUAAACUAGCUAAAGCUUUUUUUUUUCUCUUAGUGUUGGCCGAAUUUCUGGCUUCAAGAGAGAGAGAGAGUGAGCUAUAUAAUCUUGUUUUCUUACCAUAGCAAAUCAAGAACAACAAUCAAAAGAGAAAGAUUUGAGUUAGUAAGAGAGUUUCUCUAACUUUAAGUGCUUUAUUCAAACUUGGAGACUUAUUUUGGUGGAUUGAUUUUGGUGGUUCAAGCUCACCACAAGAGAGGUACAUGUUCUUUAACUCUUGGUUUUUGAUGAUAGAACAUGCACUUGAAUUGUUAAUAGCAAAGAUAUAAGUUGUUUGGUUGAGAUGUUGAGUUAGUUUCUUGAAGUAAACAAGUAGUAGCUAGGUUUCUUAGUAUGUAUACCAAGUGUUUGAUGAAAUGUUUGAUUCUUAUUCAUGUUUGUUUAUGAGGUAUUAUUAUGUUUUAAACCUCUUUUGAGCUAGAACUACCACUUGAUAUGAUGAUUGAGUAGAAAACAUGUAAGGAUGAAGAUUGAACAAAUGUUGAAAAGGGUGGGCUGGUUGCUUUGUCUAGGCUGGCCGGUUCUUGUAGGAGGGAUUUUCCCUCAAUCUUGUUGUUAAAUUUUGUCCUCAUCAAGCCUAAUAAACUAGGUUAACUAUUGGUUAAGCCUAUGAGCAAGUUGGAAUGGAGUUGAAGCAAGUAAAGUGGUGAUUUUGAACCAUUAGUAGACUGUUUUAGGAUUCUUGUAGUUAUGGGAUCAUUAUGGCUACCUUAAAUCAUGUUGUAUGUUAUAUUGUAAACUCCAUUGAUUCUAAGUGACUUGAAUCCUUGUAUAUGAUCACUUGAGGAGUGAAUUGGGUGAAUUUGAAUCAAAACUAAUGAAGUUAGCCCUAAAACUAGAGUAGUUUGGUAUAGGAUUAAUGUUGAUCCAGGGUUGGAUAAACAGCCACCUUGUCUGAAUUACUUUUGUUGAUAGGAGACGAACCACGGUGUGAGAUUGGUACCGUUGGAAAGCCCUUCGAGUCAAGUUUCCAACGCCACUGACAGCACCUAAUUUUGACUUUUCUACAGUGAGUUAUGACCGUUUUCCUAAGACUGCCAGGGCAUGACUGUGCAACCCGAGAAGAAAUCCUUAAGCAUAAUUGGAACUUUUCUUUUGCCAAACUUUCAUGCACCUACUAAACUUGUUUUCUCAUUAACUUUUACCAUGGAUUGGGCCUUGUUUGCAUGAUGGAUUAAGUAGCUUAGACUACUCACUUGGUCUCUUAUUGAGCCUAACCUAGUGGGACAUGAAUCUAAGUGUUAACGAUUUCACUCGUUGCCCUAGGUUUGGGAAACGAAGGUGACCAUAACUAAGACGUUUGAUAUCGCUCGCUACUUUUGAUUGACAGGUG
Molecule: long non-coding RNA, 334467 nt
Filed under: Coffea arabica (coffee)
Lineage: Eukaryota; Viridiplantae; Streptophyta; Magnoliopsida; Gentianales; Rubiaceae
Description: long non-coding RNA (CARA_LNC003751)
Source: RNAcentral